CGCCCUUCCUCGCUUAGCUUGACUGCCAUAGGGUACAGCUGCUGCCCUUCGCCUAACAAUUCCGAAUCUGAACUACUAAAUAUUGAACUUAUUCCUUGCAGAGCGACCCAAAAUUCCCCUUUGGAAUUUAUUCUGAUGUUGUCGGGUAACCCCGGCAACUCAACAAAUGUAUCAUGUGUUCCUGCAAGGGGGCCUUUAAGCCAAUACCUUAAAAUUCUAAAAUUAGAAGUUUCAGUCACUAGCACGAAGGACCGAUUUUUACUCAAAGCUACACCAUUUGCAAAUGCGAGGUCUCUUAGUAAAACUGUUACUUUUUUUGUUGAUUUAACAUAUUUCAUUAGCUUGCCAGUCGCGUCUCCACUUGAAAAAGAGUCUAGAUAGUUCUUGCGCUGAUACUUUGUGCUUGUAUCCGUGAAGUAAAUCACAUCGUCAUGAUCAUCAAUAUCAACGUCAUUUGUGAAGAGUAGAGGUUUACCUUCGACUUUUUGGACUAAUGGGGUAGCUAAUCCUCCUUUUGGUCCUACAACUUGGAGCCCAAAAUAGGCAUCAGCAAUGUAGAGUUCUCCUGUUUUGGUAUCGAAUCGUAAGCCUAAUGGCCUCCCACAUACAUGUUCCAUUUCAGGAGCAGAAGGCAGAGUACAAUUCUUCCUAUGAGAAGAGGUGACUGCAAAAUCAGCCCAAAAUGAUCCAUGCCAUUUGAGAAUUCGUCCAUCAGCAACUCCUACGUAUGGACCUUGACCAUUUGGAUCGAAAGCAAGGCUCUCUGGUCCAACUGCACCUUUUAGAUGGAUGAUUUCGGAUUUUGAAAGGACAUUUUGGGAUUUCAACACAUUUUCCGAAGCAAACGCUAAAUUUAGUGAGAAAAUUAGUGCUGUUGUAGCACUAAUGAUCAAGAAUAAUAGAUCUGAAUCAUUCAUGGAGAGUGUUUUUUUGUUUUUUGGAGAUGAGAAUUGUGUCUAAGGUUUCUUCUUUUGUAGGAGCUUGUACGUAUCAAGUGGACUGACUUUUAAGCAUGGACCUCAAAAGCGUAUAUAGUACUAGACAAGUGGUCAGAAGCAAGUGGCAUUUCUAUAAUAAUUAUUGUCUACAUAUCUUAAUCUUUUUGAAAUGAAUUUGAUCCAAAAAUGCAUGCAUGCAGAAGAUUAAAAACAAGUUACUAAAAGAAAAAGGCCAAUGUACUGUAGUAGGGUAUUACAUCCAUAGUUUGGUUAUUAGUACACGUUAUCUACAAUCAUAUGUAGUAAACAGAUCAUUAACCAUAAAAUAUACUCCAUCCGUUUUAAGUUUUAAAAAGAAUGACUUGAUUUUACUUGACACAAAAUUUAAAAAAAUAAAGAAAGACUUUUGAAUCUCGUGAUCUUAAAUUAAAGUUAUGUCAAAUGUAUACAUAUUUUUUAAUUUUGUGUCUUAAACAUAUCACGUGAAAAGUUGAAAUUAAAGCGUUGUCAAAAAAGAAAAGGAUCAUUCUUUUUAAAACAGACUAAAAAGAAAAGUAGAUUAUUUUUUUUUAAACAGAAAGAGUAAAUAAAUAGAAGUCUGAAUUAGUGGACAAAAUUCAAUGGUUGAUCACUAUUUGCAGGGGCGGACCUACAUAGUGGCGAGGGGGUUCACCCGAACCCCUCGGCAAGAAUUACGUCGUAUAUAUAAGGUAGAAAAUCUAUAUUUACAUAUAUAUAUUAAUUUUGAACCACCUGACACAAGGUUGUUAGAUAACUCAGUGAUACAAUCUCCACUUCUUGGGGCGCUACUUCAGGCUUGGUCGUAGGUUCAACCCAUAUAAAAAAAUAAAUAAAUUAAAAUAAGUUAAAAUAUAAGUUUAAGUAUAAGCCUAAAAGAAAAGAAUUUAAAAUAAGUUAAAAUAUAAGUUUAAGUAUAAGCCUAAAAUUUUUUUUUUAAAAAUAAAUUAAAAUAUAAGUUUAAGUAUUUUAUAUUUAUAGGCUAUAUACUAUUACGUCAUUAUGUUUUGUUGGCUUAUUGACACAUUUAUAUUUUUAUUUUUUAAACUCCUUGAAAAAAUUUCUGCAUCUGCAACUGACUAUUUGCUGUAAAUCUUCGACAAAGGCAUCAAAAUAAAACUUUUCAGAGUACUUCGCUAGUCAAAGAUGGUAUAGUCAAAUUUAUUAUCUCCACAUGGAUGGAUGCAAAUAAAAGCUCAACAAAACUUGGCAAGUACUACUAUUCAAGAAGAUAAUUCUUUAGAUUGAUGUUGUUAUAAACCACGAGUAAUCAAUUGAAAUUAUGAAGUAUUUAUUCACUGGAAACUGAGAGAUGAGUCUUCCUAAUUAAAAAAAGCCAGGAGGCCUCACUAAUAUGGAUAGGUGGGAGUUACCUACUUUUAGAACAAAACCAAAGAGGCCAUCCAAUAAUAUUGUAUAGGACCCCUCCUAAUUUGUUUUCCAUCAGUCCAGUUAGCCUUGUUCUAACAUGGACCCUAGUCCUGAUCAGUCCCAUAUUCAAAUUUCAGCUGAGACAAAAAAUACUAGAUAAUUUCUUCUCAUAUGUCCUAACGUAACAUUGAUUGACAAAAUUACCUAGUAGUACCUGUUGUUGACGGGAGGUGGCAGUUAUUCUGUGGAAUAAGUCGAGGUACGUGAGAACUAACUUUCAGAGUCUAGACAUGCGCAAGAGAAGUAAGUCGAGGUGAGCGAGAACAAAGUUUCAGAGUUCAGACAUGCGCAAGAGAAGUAAUUAAGUCGAGGUGCGUGAAAAUAAAGUUUCAGAGUUCAGACAUGCGCAAGAGAAGUAAGUCGAGGUGCGCGAAAACAAAGUUUCAGAGUUCAGACAUGCGCAAGAGAAGUAUCAGGAUCCAACUAUGUUCAGAGUUCAUAUCUAAGGUUUCAUUGAUUCUCGUAAAUUCAACAACUAGUAUUUUUUUGAUAACUAUGGUGUCCGGACAACAGGUACUAGGUAACUCUGUCUAUCAAGACAAUUAGCAUAUUUUGAAUGAACUUAAAUUUCAAAACACACAAAGAACAUUUGCAAAAUACAUGCUAAAUAGAUUUGGUUUAAAGAAAACAUCUCAAAUAUUUUUCUUUGAUUUAAAGAAAAACUUAAGCAGCUCUUUCAAUUAAUACUAACAAGAAGCGCUACUCCAAACCCUAAUAUGAUACAUAAUAUUCAAGAAAAUAUAUGAUUCGAUUUCGAUCAAACUAAAAUAAUGAAUAAAUUCCAUUAUUUUAAUAAUAGAUCAUAGAAUCAAAUUCAGAAUUAAAUUCCAAAACACCAUAUCUGUAAAAACCAACGAGAACUACACCAGAAUAUAAAGAGUCUGUCAAAGUUGUAUUAAGUACUUCUUCUGUUUCGGAAUAAGUGAAUUGUUGGGGUAUUUAUUAGUGUUUCAAAAUAAGUGAAUCAUUAAUUUUUUUUUUUCAAAUUUACCCUUAUGAUUUGACAAUCAAUUAACUUUUGAAAAGAUAUUACAUGGUCAACUUUUUUCUUUUUGGGGUAAAAAUGAAAAGUUAUGUUAAAUUUAUAUCUUUAAUGCUUUUUUCUUAAUUUAUGUGUCAAAAUUCAAUAAUUUAUUUAUUAUGAAACAGAGGAAGUAUUAUUUUUGUAGGACAUUUGGGCCUGCCUUGUACGAACUGACUAUUAAUAGUGGACCUAUUAAGUCAUUAUGGUAGACAAACUAGUAAUUAUAUGUCAUAAGAAGCCAACUGCCAAUGUCUGCAAAUUCUCCUUAUUUCUUUUUCUGAUUAGGAUUGGCCACUUAUUGGAAUGUGAUUAUUUAAUAAACAAGUCCCGGUGAUUUGAUUUAAUAGCCUUUUGUAAGCUUCUUUUUAUAUUUAAUUUCUUUUUAUUACUCCCUCCAUUUCUGGUCUUCAAAUAAACAAAAUCAUUGAAGAAAUUAAACUGCAAACAAAUAUGCUUAGUCGAGUGUCAAGUCAAACAUUGCUAUAGGAAAGUCAAUCAACUGUGUGUUUUUGAAUUAAUUAUUCAAUCAUUAUAACAAAUUAUUUUUCUCUUCAAGUUAAACAUAAUAAUCCCAAAAAACUAUAAACGUGCUUAGCCAAAUGAGUGACAAGUCAAAUAUUGCUACAGUAAGGCCAAUCUACUAGCAAAUUGGUUGGGAAAAUGGCAAUAAACUCACAGGCAAGCAGCAUUAUCUCACAGGCCGUGGGGCCUCUCCUUACUGUUAAAAGCCAAAUCCCUAGUAUUAUAAAUCAUAAUUUACGAAGGACAAUUUUUUUGUUAGUCACAUUUAUUAUUAUGUAAAGAAGUUAUAUGGACAAUAAGCUAAUUUUUGCUGGUGGUCCAUAUUUUUUGAAAGGAUAGCUUCUAUCUUUGUGUUGUAAUUUUCACCUUUAUCUUUAUGGAAUGAAAUACAGCAUCAAGUCCCAGGUUAAUGUUUGAAAGAUACAGAAAAUAAUGGAAAUUCUCGUAAUUUAUGGCGUGACUAUGAAAUUAUUUUUAAUAAUAUUUCAUUCGGUAUAAGAUAUUUAAUCCAUGUUAAAUAAUAGCAAAUGUAUGAUUGAGCCAAUUUAGUAGCAAAAAAAAUAUAGCAAUUAUUUAAAAAUUGAUGUGGUGCGGUUUGCAUGUGUGUGUGCAAAUUUAUGCUGGUUCAAAUAUAAUUUAAACAUUUUUUUUUUUGGUUUGAAUCACAAAUUUUAAUAGAUGAAAAUACGAUAUAUGUAUAACUAGGGGUGGACAUUCGGUUUGUUCGAUUUGAUUGUUGAAUAUCGGUUUGAUUUUUUGAUUUUUGAAUAGACGAAAAUGACAACCAUAACCAAACAAAAAUUAUUUCAGUUUGGUUCUGUUUUUACAAAUUCAGUUCGGUUAUUUUGAGUUUUUAUUUCGAUUUUAAAGAUUAAAGUAGUGAGCAUUUAAAAUUGGUGAUUUUUCUAGAAAAAUAAUCUUCUUUUCAAACCUAUUUUUCAUUCACAAAUAUAAUUCAUUCAACACGCAUGAAAUAACCAUAAAUAUCGACCUCGCUGAAUCGUCGUCGUUGGUGUGAUGACAGUAACCGCACUCGGCAGCGACUGCCGACGGCAGUGACAAACUGAGAAAAUAACUGCCGACUGCCUUUAGCGAUGUUGAAAUUUCAAAUGAACUGAGGAUGACUGAGCCUUCAUGUUAAUGUUAGGACCCAAAGCAAAGCAGUAUAUUAGGAUUCAGGGUUGCUAAAAAAUUAUAAUUUAUAUAUUUAUAUGUUAUAUCAGAUUAUAUUUUUGGUUUAUUUACAUAUAUAAUAAUAUAUAUAUAUAUAUAUUAUUUAUAUAUAAUAUAUAAAUUAUAAUAUAUUAUUUAUAUAACUUCGAUUUUUUGAUUUAUCUAUUUUUUUUAAAUCCCAAAACCAAACCAUUUAAUCGAAGUUCUAAAAUUUAAAACCGAAACCAAUCCGAAAAAUCAAACCAAAAUUAAAUUUUGGUUCGAUUUUUCAGUUUUUUUUGGUUUAAACCAAAAUAUGCCCAACUCUAUAUAUAAUUACGAACUAUUUCGUAUACCAAAUCCAAGAAUAAUAUUUAUUAUUGCUUUAACUACCAAUUAGAUAUAUUUAAAUUUUAUACCCAGUAAAGAUUUGAAAAAACAAAUUAAAAUAAAAAAUUCUAUUUUCUUCAUUAACUACAGAAUUAAGAAUAUUUCUGUUAGGUAAGGAGGUGUCGAAAGCUCUUCACUCCCCUCAUAAAUUCAUUGAGAAAAAAAAUGUACUCACCAACUGUCUUCAAACUUAGAAGUAGUUGCAGAAUAUUUAAUAAAUACUGUAUAGUAACAGUUUUACAAGUUUUCUGUUUGACGAAUUUACACAACUAAUAAUGUGUCAUGGAGAUUUUUUAUUAAUAAUAAAAGUAAUUAAAUACAUGAAUAUAAUAGGAAUAUAAGUAAAAAUAAGGGAAUAGCCUAGCCUAAUGAGCUAAUAAGGUAACGACCUCCGGUAAUAAAUAACCCUGAAGAAAAUAAGAGCUAGAAAGAUACUAGAUACUUUAUGACUAUCACAAAAUUUAUAUUCGUUUUGUUUAAAAACGAAUGGUUUAUUUUGACUUGACACCGAGUUUAAGAAAAAUAAAGAAUACUUUUGCAUCUUGUGGUGUUAAAUUAAAGUUAUGUCAAAUAUAUCAAAAUAUUCUUGUUGAUGGAUUAUCUUUUUCGUUGGAGCGAUGGUAGUAAUUACGAGCUUCAUGAUUAGUUUUACCACAUAUUUGACAUAGCACAUGAUGCUUGGGUUGACGAUUAUUGGACCGAGAGAAUGAGGAAUAGGAAUACUGUUGAGGUACCAUAGAUUGAGCAUGAUUAUGAGAAUUGUGGGCAACGAAAUUAGAGAGUGGGGGUGGUCCAAGAAUAGAUGACUGGUUGGUAUUAAGGGGUGGAGAGGGUGGAAGAUAAGACGAAUUGAUACUGAUCAUGACCAUGGACAUUUUUUGAGCAUUUUUUAAGACCACUUAAAGGAGUGCACAAACUCAAGUGUAAAAGAGGCCCAAAGCCAUCCUUUUGGUACACUUAAGGGGUUUUUUGGAGCCCGUUUAUGGGAGGGCUCUUUUGUCAUUUCUCUAUUUGUUUGUAAUGUUGUAUAAAUAGAACAACGUAGAUUUUAUUUACUUAGUUUAUGUUUGAGAUUGUAAGAACACUCCUCUUGUGAGAGAGAGCUCUCCAAAACCGAAAUUAGGGCAUAGCAUAAGGGUGGAUUGUCUUGUGUGUUGCAAAGCUUGAUACCUUGGUGCUUGAGAGGUGGACGCCCUCUUGUGUUAUUGUAAGAGUUAGGUGCAUGUUGAGUGUGGUGUUAAGGGUCCGUGAGUGACCAUUCUUGGGUUCUUAAGAUUACAACUUCAUUGUGUCGAACUACCUAUCUGUGUUUCUUGUUCUAGUUUCAAAUUUCCCUUGUAUUGUUGUAAAACCCGUAGGUUCUAGUUGUUGUAGCCUUUUUAUUCUUCAUUGUAUUGUGCUAAUAUAACGUUGGUUGACUGUUUUGAGGGGUUAACACUCGUUUUUCUCUCUAUUCUUGUUAUGAGUAGCGAAUCUGAGAGUGGUCACCAAAAUAGUCUCGAGUUUCCUCAACUUGUGAACUAUUUUGGUGUAUGUUUUCUUGUGUUCUUGGUCAUCCUUGUAUCAUUUGGUAUAAAAGCCGAGUUUUAUUUCGUUCCUAUGAAGUCAAUCUUGGGUUUGUUACUUAGAAAAUAAAAAAAAAGGGUGAAAACUGAAAAUACAAAAAUUCCAGAAAAGUUGAAAACUGUCCAUCUUGUUCUUGGCCGAGAUUUGUGUUUGUUUGUCUAGAUCUUAGUAGCAAUUUGUUUGUUUAGAGUGUUUCAAGUGUUGGUUUCUUUCUCACCAACACUAAAAGUGUCCAAAUCUAAGCUUGAACUUGAAUUUGUUGAAGUUGUUGAUGUGAACAAGGGGUGGCCGUGGUUGGUGUUGUUAUUCUAACCUUGGCCUUGUUGUUGUGGACUUGUUGCGUUCUUGGAGAAUUUUUGUUGGAUGUUCUUGAUGUUGUUGUUGUGUUCUUGGAGUUCUUCACCACAUUCAUCAUCUUGUUAAGCUUUAAAUUGCAAAAUAGAUCUAAAAAGGUGAAAGACAAAUUUGUAGUACUUGUUGGUAAAAGUCUUGUUCACAUCACUUCAAAGACUUUAACAACCAUUUACCAACAACUUUCUAUCAUUCAAAACCCAUGUUAUAAGGAGGAAUACAAGAAAGUCCAAGUCUUGUUUUGAAUUUGAAAAGGAAGCUCCAAGACUACAAUUUUCUCAAUUAACCAAAUCCACCAAGUCCAAAUUGUGAAAUGGUCAAGACUUGAAAUUGGCAAGUAAAUUUUUGACAAACCCGAGGCCAAUAGUGGACUGCCACAUCAUCAAAUAACUGUUCACACGACCAUUUUAAGCUCAAAAUCUGAUCUUCUAGUUUUGUUUUUGUUGUUUCCUUUGUUGAUUCCAUUACUAACUUACAAGCUAGUACUAGAUUGUAAGUUAGUUUUGUAGCUGUUCUACGCGUUUACGAUCCUUCAUGUGUCCUUUUGUUAUUGUUUCCUUGAGUCAUUGUAGAGGUUUGGUUCACCUCUCAAGCACGGAAUACAAUCAAGCUUGACACACUUGUGUGAUUGAGUGAAGAAACCCGAGAGGCAAAAAAAAAAAACUAGCGAGAGAGUGUGAUGACCUUUAUUUUACAACUAACUUAUUUAUUGUCUUAUAGGUGUUUUUCUUAGGUACAUUGCAAUGGAGGGAAUGUUCUUCCAAACCGUGGGCAACAAUGAUACCAAUAUCCUCAUGGCUUCUAUUGAAGGCCUCAACCUCACUUUAGAAAGAAUGCAAGUGAGUCUUGGGAAGUUAAAAACGGAUGUAACAUCGUUGAAAGGGGAUAUAUCUACUAUGAGUGGGAGAUUGGAAUGAGUGGAAAGCCAAAUGACACUCCCCUCUACUUCUUAAUACUAUUAUGUGUCCUCGAGUGGACAUGAUCAAAACAAUUUUCCUACCCCCCUCGAAAUAUUAUACCAAAUGAUCAGUUCACCGAGACAACCACCAAAUGCUUCCCAAAGCUGAGAGUUUGAUAGACCAACCUACCCUCCACUUCACCAAGUCCAACAAGAAGCAUUUGGAACCCAAAUACCAACACCAAACCCGGGCCCUCCACUUAACCAAAGGCCUCACAUUCCAAUUCAAGCUCCAUUAGACUAAAGAACUUAUUUUCCACCCAAUCCAAACCCACCUAACCCGAACCAACCAAAUCGUGUGGAAGGAUAUGGUGGGGAAGAAUGACAUAGAGGUUAUGGAGUCUAUGGUAAUGCUUACUUUAGGGAAGAAAGAAUGAGGGAUAAACAUGGGGAGCUAGGCCGAGAGGUGAGGGAAGCCACCAAAACUGAGACUUGGGCAUAAACUCCAUCAAAGUUAGUCUCCCAAUCUUCAAGGGUGAGAGUGAUCCCGAAGCGUAUCUUGCUUGGGAGUCUUCGUGUGAAAAGAUAUUCCAACUUAAUGACCUCACAAAGGAAAAUAAGAGUUACUAUGCGAUAGCUCAUUUUGAGGGGUAUGAUAAUACGUGGUGGGAGUAUGUUAAGCGGUUCGGGAAUAAGGUGAUCGUGGGACAAUCUCCUCCUUGAUUUUGAUUGAAGAACCUUAGGCGGUAAAGGUACUUGCCCGAAACUUAUAGGCAUGAGAUCCUUGCCAAAUUGUACAAUUUGAGGCAAGGGAGCAAGAGUGUCAUGGCUUACUACGAUAAAUUUCAACAAUUGAACAUGAAAAUUAACCCCCGGGAAGAGCAAGUAAUUUAUGACAUUGUGCACUUCCAGGUGAUAACGCUCAACUUACUCUUCAAUUUAGUGCAAGGCGGUCGUCGUCAAUAUAUUUACCCAACUUUGGAGUCGGGGUCGAAUCCGCAGGGAACAAUGUGAGUGGCGAUUAAACUAUUUUGAAACUAAAGCUACAAGUUAAAUUCAAACAAAUGAUACAAGAAGAUAAAAUGGGGGUUUUUGAUGAUCAACAAAGAAUUGUUGGUCACUUUAGUUUCAGUGUUUGUAAUCAAGAAUUUAUGAAAUAACUAUAAUUAUGUUCACUAGGGCUUCCGGUAAAUGACAGAUGCUAAAAAUGGUUCAAGAUUCUCACGAUGGGUAGGAUAACACGUUAUCUUUAUCGAUGUUAUGCAUAAAUGUCUCUCGACCUACUUAAGAGUUUAAUUCCCUAAUCCUCUCGGACUUAGGAAAUUUCUAUUUACUUCCCAGAUUUUACCUCAGGUUAACCAACCUUGUUAUAUCACUGAUUAUUAAACGAAGUAUUUUCGAGUCCCUGUUGAUAAUUCACUUCCUACUAUAUUUGAUUUCUUUCUCAAGAAAAUCAAAGCAGGUGUGUCUACUGUUUGCAACCAAUAGACGUUAAUUAAAACUUUAGAAUUAUAAGGAAAUCCUACCACCUUUUGAAUCUUGAACACUUAGCACCUUAUCAAGACCUAACCCUAGAUCCCAGAAUUCAGGUUAAAGGAAUUUAGCUGCUCAUGAUGUAAUAAUCGAAGCAACUAGUUGAAUUCAUGAUUUGAAAGAUAAAUUUACCACACGAUGAAUAGAAACUAGAGAUUCUCAGAUUGAAUCGCUAUGAAAAUCCCAAAAUAAUGAUAAUAAUCCCUUCAAAGUAUUUGUUUUUUCAAGCCAAGAAACUCGAGAGAGAAAAUAUCAAAUUACGUCUCUUAAAACUCAAGUUCCAACCCCUAAAAAAACCCUAAACAAUCUUUUUAUAGUUAAUCCUAAAUAAGGAAAUAAAAUCAAGGUUAUAGCCUUUUCUCGGAAUAGACGACGACUAUUGGUGAUGCCUUAUUAGGAUCCUGACAACUUAUCAAGAAUGUCGUCAGGUCUUCUUCAAAUUUGCACUAGUCCUGUCUUAGGUUGAUGAUAACUUCUGACGGCUUAUCAGGACUAUGACGACUUAUUAGAAAUGUCAUCACACCUUUUCUCUAAUUCUCAUGUCCUUCUUAAGUGUGAUGGUAUUCCUGAUGACUUAUCACCAUUAUGAUGGCCUAUCACAAAAUGUCGUCACAACUUCCACUUUAGGCCAAUUUUUUGUCUACUGAUGACGACCAACUUAAUAGCUUAUCACAGGGCUGACAACUUAUCACAAAUGUCGUCAACCAUAUUUUUCUUCAGAUUUCUUUAAAUUUCAACUUUUUUGCUUCAUUUAAUGUCGGUUCUCUAUCAUAUCAGCUUAAACUGUAAUAUCAAAGUAAAAUAAUCAAAAAUAACAAAAGUUGCUUAAGACUUCACAAUUAUUCUCAGUUAAAAGCCUUAAAUGUGUUAGCGUCUGCUCACAUAUCAAAACCCUCAACUUAAAACAAUUUCUUAUCCUUAAGAAACCAAAACAUAACUAAGAGAAUACAAAGUACAAUUUGGCAGUCAAUUUUCUAUAUCAUCCCAACACAACUUCACCUUUUCCCAGGUCAAUCAAUUCAAACUCAACUGUGUAUACUAUUGAAAAACAAUAAUGCAACACACAAGAAUCAAGAAAUGGCAUAAAUUCAGCAAUAGCAACCAUGCAUGUACCAAGAUUACACUAUCCGUACAAGUUAGCAACUAGAAACAUAACCUGUGUGCCCUCACAGCAAAGAAAUCCCUUUUUCACUCAUAUCAGAAAUAACAUAUAUACACUUAGGGAUAAUCACGAGACUCACUCUCAGUAUGAAGUUCCACUCAAUGUACGUCAAAUGCUAUAGGCUUGCCCUUAUAGUUAGUACCAAGGUUUUCAGAUAGGUCAUCUAGGAUCACUAUAGGUCUUUUUCUUGGCUUGUAAUGUAGGCUAGUGGCUGGUAUGAUAUUCAAGGGUAUUUAAAGUAACUACGCUUCCUUGAAACUACGCUAACCUCUUGGGGUUUCACUUCUUAACCUUUUUAUCUUCCUGUCUUUUAUUGAUCACACAUGCUCAAGGUGGGUGCUAGUUUUUCAAAAACCAAAUUAUCUUUUUCUCAUCUUUUACACAACUUUUUCUUUUUUUUUUUUUGCACCACACACGACUUUUUAUUCUUUUAUCUUAUUCUACCCCUCUUCAUACUCAUUUUACAUCACGCACCCCUAUGAUAUCCACCCUCAACUUAGGCUAUUUGCCUAAGUUAAGGUACACAGUGUCCAAGGAGGACCAGGGCCAAAACAGGUUCAUUAUGAUAUAAAUGGAAAGGUGAGAGGUUUCACAGAAAGAAACAGGCAUAUAGGCUCAAAUCAGGGAUCAAGGGAUAUUAUUCACAUUGGGAAGGUCAUUUAGGCUGAAAGUGGGUUACAAUAAAAAAUAGCCUAUGAUCCUUUCCUAAUCCCUAUCCUACAACCAAGACAAGACUAACCGGGCAAGUUCUGAAUUUACACACAAAGAGAACUGAGUAAGACCUCACACACAUAUGGAACACAAAUAUAUCGCACAUCACUACUUAUCCGAUUUGUGUAGUUGUUUAGCACUGAUUAUUAAGUUACCAGAACUAAUGCCACCAAAAGAUUCUAUGUGGUCACAAAUGAAUGCAAUUCACACAGUAUUACAAAUAGACACUUGGAGAGGUGCUUAAAAAUCACAAAAUAUAUUAAAUGCCUCAUUACUUGUAUUUCUCCUAGUUAACCACAACACAUCACAAAACAAAACACAAUACGCCUAAACAUGCCGGCUCUACUAGGAACAAGACUCCGAGGAAAAGAGGCACCACAACAAAAACCCACGGAGGACAUCAACACCCACAAGUAGCCCCAUCCUCAACUUAAAAUUAUGCAAUGUCUCCAAUGCAUCAAACCAAAACAAGAGAGUUAGAAACAUACCUGUGGCACCACGGGUGCGAAGAGCUGAUGUCAAUCACAUAAUACAAAUACAAACAAUAAAACACCUUGGGUUACCUCCCAAGAAAUGCCUAAUUUAGUGUUGCGGCAUGACUCAGUUAUCUUGACUACUAAGACUUCAUCAAGAUACCUUGUUGAUAAUUAUUUAUUUCUCCACUUGGAGGAUUUGAAACUUCGACCUAACUUUUGAUCAAUACAUCUUCGGGGUGUGUUGGGUAAAUGUGAGGGCAUGAUGAGGAAUGUUCUAUCACGCCCCUUUGAAGACUAGAACUUCUUGCCCAAUUUUGCAUCGAACUUUCAUGUGGGCUCAUUUGGCAACGGUGAAAAUCUUAAAUAGCCACUAAAUGGACAUCGAUCUUUAAGCUUCUUGGACUUUAAGAUUGGGGUUGUAGUAUACCCUUUCGGCAGGACAAACUCCAAAAUGUAAGAAUCUUCCUCCUCAUUUUCAAAAUUCAUCAUUUGCUUGGGUGAUUCGACUUUCAUCACAUUCACCAAGCAUAAUAUUGAAAAGUGGUUCGAGUGAGGACUAACUCUCAAUUUUGGAGCAGCAUCCCUAUUUGUAUUUUUACCCCAAAAUGGACUAGAGUCUUUACAAGGAUUGUACUUGAUUUCUUCUUUUGACUCUAGUACCAUUUCCUUGUCUUUGGCAUCUUUAUUCAUAAAUAGUUUGGUUGGUUGGGAAAUCACCGAGGGUUGAUCAAUAUCAAUCUCAUCAUCAACAUUGGAUUCUUGCUCCUCAUCUUUACAUUCGUCCAUUAUAUUAAAUAAUUCCACAGACAAGAUAUCAUCUAAACAUAAUGUGGAAAAGUGCUCUGAAUGCUUGACCUCUAUAUCCAUAUCCUCUAUCAUUCUUCUUUCCUCAUUAUUUGCCCUUAUGUCUUGAUGUAUAUCACGUAUGAUAUCAUUCAUUGUGUCCACACACUCCAACAUUAGUUGAAGCAUAGCUUCAAUAACACUCUUUAACUCUUUCCGGUGCUUCGUUCUUCCUGUUCUUAACCAUAAGACCUAUCAAAAUCAUAAGAAGAAUUAAAAUUUAGGUUAGCAUACCGGGGAGAAGGGGUAUUUGGGCAAUCACUUCAAUGUCCAUCUUAAAAACCACAUAAUGAAGAAUCGUACUCCCGGUAGGAUGGAGAUCGUGCACACAUCUCUGUUCGAGGAGCAUAUCCACAAUCUUGCCAAAAGUGAGGUCCAUCACAAUAUGGACAUGGAUUAUCAAGAUAAGAUUUCCAACCACCAAGCUCAUGUUCAUUCCACGAUGCCAUAGUAAUAAGUAAACUAAAAUAAAAAUAUUCCUAACACAAGAAAUAAAAGAAAAUUAAAAACAAAUAUUUACAAGUUUGAAUUCAAGCAAGCAGGCUAAUAUUCCAAACCAACUUAAUACGCCAAAUUGUUCUCCAGAAAUGAUGCCAUUUUUGAUAAAAAUCAACUUACAAUUUAAUUUAGUGCAAGGCGGUCAUCAUUAAUAUAUUUACCCAACUUUGGAGUCGGGGUCGAAUCCACAGGGAACAAUGUGAGUGGCGAUUAAACUAGUUUGACACUAAAGAAACAAGUUAAAUUCAAAUAAAUGAUACGAAAAUAUAAAAUGGGGAUUUUGAUGAUCACCAAAUAAUUGUUGGUCACUUUAGUUUCAGUGUUUGUAAUUAAGAGUUUAUGAAAUAACUAGAAUUAUGUUCACUAGGGCUUCCGGUAAAUGACAGAUGCUAAAAGUGGUUCAAGAUUCUCACGGUGGGUAAGAUAACAAGAUAUCUUUAUCGAUGUUAUGCUUAAAUGUCUCUCGACCUACUUAAGAGUUUUAUUCCCUAAUCCUCUCGGACUUAGGGAAUUUCUAUUUACUACCCAGAUUUUACCCCAGGUUAACCAACCUUGUUACGGUACUGAUCAUUAAAUGAAGUAUUUUCUUUCUCAAUAAAAUCAAAGAAGGUGUGUCUACUGUUUGCAACCAACAGACGUUAAUUAAAACUUUAGAAUUAUAAAGAAAUCCUACCACCUUUUGAAUCUUGAACACUUCACACCUUAUCAAGACCUAACCCUAGAUCCCAUAAUUUAGGUUAAAGGAAUUUAGCCGCUCAUGAUGUAAUAAUGGAAGCAACUAGUUAAAUUCAUGAGUUGAAAGAUAAACUUACCACAAGAUGAAUAGAAACUAGAGAUUCUCAGAUUAAAUCACAAUGGAAAACCCAAAAUAAUGAUAAUAAUCUCUUCAAAGUAUUUGCUUUUUCAAUUCAAGAAACUCGAGAGAGAAAAUAUCAAAUUACGUCUCUUAAAACUCAAGUGCCAACCCUUAGAAAAACCCUAAACAAUGAUUUUUAUUGUUAAUCCUAAAUAAGGAAAUAAAAUCAAGGUUACAAUUUUUUUUCACAAUAGACGACGACUAUUGGUGACUCCUUAUCAGGAUCCUGAUGACUUAUCAAUAAUGUCGUCAGGUCUUCUUCAAAUUUGCACUAGUCCUGUCUUAGUUUGAUGGAAACUUCUGACGGCUUAUUAGGACUGUGACGACUUAUCAGAAAUGUCGUCACACUUUUGCUCCAAUUCUUAUGUCCUGCUUAAGUCUGAUAAAAUCCUGAUGACUUAUCACCAUUAUGACGGCCUAUCACAAAAUGUCAUCACAACUUCCACUUCAGGCCAAUUCUCUAUCUACUGAUGACGACCAACCUGAUAGCUUAUAACAGGGCUGACGACUUAUCACAAAUGUCAUCAGCCAUACUUGUCUUUAAAUUUCUUCAAAUUUUAACUUCUUUACUUUAUUUUAUGUUGGUUCUCUAUCAUAUUAGCUUAAACUAUAAUAUCAAAGUAAAAUAAUCAAAAACGACAAAAGUUGCUUAAGACUUUGCAAUUAUUAUCAGUUAAAAGUCUUAAAUGUGCUAGCCUCUGCUCACACAUCAUAAGGUUGGGUUAAACAAGGACAUCUCCACUCGCAUGACGCUUCACAAAUUCGACACCAUAGAGGGUAUUUUCCAAGCAUCUUUAGAGGUGGAGAGGGCGUUCAAAGAGAACUCUUUCGUGGCUUCCUAACCCAAGAUCCCCAAGGCUGUCCAAAAACAUCCUCUAAGGUAUAAAGGUAAAUUGAAUUCUACCUCCAAUCCCAAGGGGUUUCAAUACUUCAAUUCUCAAGGGUAGGGGCACAAGGCUAGUGAGUGUCUAAAUCGAAGGAAUGUGAUCCUAAGAGAGGGGAAGUUAUACUACCUAGGAGAGGAAGUAGUGAUUGAAUAGGAUAAGGUUGAUGACAAGCCUCAAGAUGGAGAGAACGAAGAGGUUGGGAUUCAAGUUGAGGAGGAAGUAGAAGAUGUGUGGCUGUGUAAAGGGUCGUGUGAGAUACCUCUCUAAAAGAGGGGAGGUCGUAAAUAUGUGGGAAAAUUCCUCUAGAUAUGAAGAGGAUGAUACAAGUAUGAUCAUGACCAUGGACACUUUUUGAGCAUUUUUGAAGACCACUUAAAGGAGUACACAAGACCAAGUGUAAAGGAGGCCCAAAGCCAUCCUUUUGGUACACUUAAGGAGGGGGGGGAGGGGGCUUGGAGCCCAUUUAUGGGAGGGCUCUUUUAUCAUUUCUCUAUUUGUUUGUAAUAUUGUAUAAAUAUAACAAUGUAGGUUUUAUUUACUUAGUUUAUGUUUGAGAUUUUAAGAACACCCCUCUUGUGAGAGAGAGCUUCAAAAUCGAAAUUAGGGCAUAACAUAAGGGUGGAUUGUCUUGUGUGUUGCAAAGCUUGAUACCUUGGUGAUUGAGAGGUGGAAGCCCUCUUAUGUAAUUAUAUGAGAUAGGUGCGUGUUGAGUAUGGUGUUAAGGGUCCAAGAGUGGCCAUUCUUGGGUUCUUAAUAUUACAACUUCAUUGUGUCUAACUAUCUAUCUUUGUUUCUUGUUCUAGUUUCAGAUUUCCCUUGUAUUGUUGUAAAAACCGUAGGUUAUAGUUGUUUUAACCUUGUUUUUAUUCAUUUUAUUGUGCUAAUAUAACUUGUUGGUUGUCUAUUUUGAGGUGUUAACACUAGUUUUUCUCUCUAUUCUUGUUAUAAGUAGCUAAUCCGAGAGUGGUCACCAAAAUAGUCUCGGGUUUCCUUAACUUGUGGGCUAUUUUGGUGUAUGUUUUCUUGUGUUCUUGGUCAUCCUUGUAUCAUGAAUUUUGAGUGAAGAGGGAAUGAGAAGGAGUAGAUCCAAAUUGACUAUUAAUGGCGGUAGAACGGAGUUCUUCAACUAAGCGUUCUUUUUUCCGAAGGAGGAGUUCAAACAGUUCUUCGAGAUUGAUAGGACUAGAAUGCAUAUUAAGUGAAGCCUUGAAAAUUUGAAUGAAGAAUAAAGACCAUUAAGAAUAAAUGAUAUGAAGUCAUCAUCUUGAACAAUGUAUAAGCUUUCUGCCAAAGAGUCGGUAAUUGUACGUUUCUUCUCAAAGUACUCUAUGAUGGAAAGAUUGUCUUUAGGAAGAUUUUGAAGUUUAGAUUUUAAUUUCAUAACGUAAGCACAUGUAUGUGAUUGAAACAUACGCUCGAUUUAAGUCCAAACAUCAUAGGAAGAGGUGGCUCGAGUUAGGUGACCAAGAAGAGGAUUAGAAAUUAUUUGACGAAGUCAAACAAGAAUAAGAGAAUCGUUGUGUCUCUAUUCAUCAUAAAUAAGAUUAGAAGUAACCACUGAUUGUGCUUAGCUGGUAGAGGACUCUGUAGCAGGGGAGGUGACAUUAAUGGUUUUUGGAGGAGGAUUAAUUGAACGAAGAACAAAAAAGUCAAGAGAAAAGGGUCUGAGUAUGUCCAAGAUAUUUUCUUUCCAAAGACGAUGGUUGUUUCUAUCAAGUUUGAGAGAGAGGUUUGGUAGUUGAAUAAUGGUGGAAGAACUGGACCCUUUUGCAAGUGACAACAGGUUGCUGGAUUUUUGAGAAUUGGCCAUAGGAUCGAUAGUCUCUGAUACCAUAAUGAGGUUAAAGAUGAGAAGAGUUUGAGAUAUUAAGUACAAAUUGAUAUUUUGUUGAUUGUAUCUCUGUAUAUAAACUUUGUACAUAUUGAAGAUAAUUAUAAGAUUCCUUAUCUAAUACCUAUUCUACUGGAAGAGUAAUCUUUUUGUUACAGGACAAGCUAUAAUAAUUUUUUUAAGCUACAAUAAUUUUUCUGUAAUCUUUUUGUUACAGAACAAGCUACAAUAAUUCGAAUUCAAAAUAAACUCUAAUAGAAAGAUACUAGUUAUUUUAUGAUUAUCACAAAUUUUAUACUUUCUUUGUUUUAAAAAGAACGAUCUAUUUAGACUUGACAUGAAGUUUGUGAAAAUAAAGAAGACUUUUGCAUAUUGUGGUGUUAAAUUAAAAGUAUGUCAAAUGUAUCAAAAUAUUCUUUAAUCUUGUGGUAUGAAAUAUGUCACGUGGAAAGUUGAAAUUAAAGUGUUUCCAAAAAAUGAAAUAAGACAUUCUUUUUCAAAUGAACUAAAAUAAAGUAGGUCAUUAUUUUUAAAACGGAGGGAGUAAUAUGUUCCAAUGCUCUGUGUUGAUAUUGAAUAUGAGGCUUAAAUAACGCAAAAUUAUAAAAGUAAAAAAAAGGUUGAGUUAUCAACCUCAAACUUUCUUUUACAAAAUGUAUAAAAACUAAAAGAGAUAGAUUUCCCUUUUAAAGUAUUCAAAAGUUUUUGUUUGCUUUUCUCUUCUUCUUUAAAUUUGUCGAACAACACUUGAUAGUUCAUCAUUUUUUUCUUGAAUUUAUUUAUUGGAUCUUGUUGAAAUUAUUGACAUGUCAUGUAAUUGUUGUUAGGGUUUUUGCCCUAAUUUUCAUACCUAUUUUAAGUUUUACUUUUCGUAGAAGGAAAAUAAAAAUAAUACCAUAAUUAUUUUUCUUUUUUUGAAAGAAAAAUAUGAUUAUUUUUCAUAUUUGGCUAACCUCUUUCAUGGAGGAAUAAUUUUGGAACUCUAUAAAUAGAAGACCCUCUUCUCAUACAACAACACAAUAUUAUCCACAAUCACUACUAAAAAAAUAUAGAUUUCCGACCACAGAUUGUGGUUGGAAAAAAUCGACCACAGAUUGUGGUCGAAAAAAACCGACCACAUGUGGUUGAUUUUUUAUUAUUUAAAAAAAACCUGACCACUUUUAUAUUUUAAAAUUUCAAAAUAAUCAGUUCAAUAAUUUUUAUAUUAAUUAAUAUUUCUUUUACAAACCGAUCACUUGUUGUCGGUUUUUAAUUAAAAUAAAAAAAAGAAAAUAAUUUUAAAAAACCGACCAAGUGGUCGGUUUUGGAAUUUAAAAAAUAAAAAAAGUAAAUAAUUUUUAGGAAAGUGGUCGGUUUUAAUUAAAAAAUAAUUAUAUAUAUAAUCUAAUAUAUUAUUUUUUGAAAUUACACUGAUCACACAUAGUCAGCAAUCAAUAUAAUAAUAAUAAAAAUCAAUCAAUCUUAGAUUUUGUGAAAAAAUUACAUUAAGAAAUAUAUCAAAUAACAUAAACAAAUUACGUUAAACAUAAUCUUUAUCUUUUACUUAUGAAAUAUAUAAAAUAAAUAUUUUUCUUUGUAUAUAUGUUAAAUAAUGUUAAACAUGUAUAAUCUUUGUAUAAUGAAUAUGUGUGUGUAUAUAUAUAUCAUAUAUAUCGUUGGGAUAAUGAUAUUAUGCUACUAUUGCAGUCAUAAUAAUGUAAUAUAUAAUCGAUAAUUCAUCAGAAUAUAAUGAACGUGUUCUAUUAUAAGGUAAUAUACUUGUGGAUGUGAUAUAUAUAUAUAGCACACAUUCAAGAGUUCAUAUAUAUAUAUAUAUGAUGUAGUGAUCGAUUGAUGAACGAUGUAGUCAAAACCUAGUAGAAUCUAUCCAAAUAUAUUGAAUACCUUGAUUUGAAAUGACAGAAGUAAUAAUAUAUACUGUACGUUGAAGUUAUAUUAAUGUAAGCUAAUCAAAUUAAUCGAUCACUCAUCAGAGUAUGUAGAUGAAAUACGUCGCAUUAUAUUAUUGGAUAAUAUACUCGUGUACGUAUGUGAUGUAUAUUGUACGUAUUUAGAACUUGAUAUAGUCGAUAGUGUGUAUAUGUGUGUGAAUGUAUAGGUAUAUAUAUAUAGUAUAUACAUAUUAUAUAGUGAAGGUAUAUUAAUGACAUAAGAUAAACUAACUGAUAAUUCAUCUGAGUAUAUGUGAAAUACGUUGUAUAUUAUUAUGGGGUAGUAAAAUCAUGUAUGUGAUGUUUAUAGUAUGUAUUUGAAAGUUGAUAGACAAUUGAAUAAAUGUAUAUAUACAUAUAUCUCGUGUAGUGACGUAUGCAGUAAUCAAAAGCUAGACAACUGAAUCUAUAUAUCAAAAUAUUUUGAAUAAUACAUUGAUAUAUAUCAUACUAUUGAGAAAACAGAUAUACUAUUUUGUGUCAAUGUAGACACGCAUAUGUUGUUAAAUUUGUAAUAACGUAAGACAAGUAUUAUGAGGUGUGUGUGUGUAUAUAUAUAUAUAUAUAUCGUAUUUAAAAGGUAAUUAACCAAAAAUUUAUCGUAAUUUGCAAAAUUCAUUGAUAUUAUUAUACGAUUGAGGAAAUAUACUACUCGUGUUGAUAUGAUGAUAAAAUAACUAAUUAUUUGAUUUAUACAUAUACGCAUUGCGUUAAAUUAUUUGGAUGUUGGUAUAAAUAUUAUAUGCGUAUUUUGGUAUUAUACGAUUAAGAAAAUAUACUGCUCGUGUUAAUAUGAUGAUAAAAUAACAAAUUAUAUGAUUUAACUUUUUUAUUAAGAUUGACCACAUGUGAUUGUUUUAUGAUAAUAACCAUUUUAAAAUUAAAUCGAACACUUAUAAUUUAUUUUGUGAACCAAUUUAUUAAAACCGACCACAUGUGGUCGUUUUUUUAGAAAUUAAUAAAAAAAAUUAUUUUAUAAAAUAAGUCCUACCCGACCCCACCCCCACACAACCCGAUCCGACCCGACCGGAUUUAACACACACACAAAAACGACAUACACACACAAAAUACACACUAUCGCCGACCGUUUGCCGCCAACGACUAGAUUCCUGGCACCGAGGUAUUUUUUUAUAUUUAUUUAGCCUUUUUAAAGCUCAAAAUUAUUUCUUUUUGAUAAUUUUUUUGUGGGGUUGUGUUAUUUUUCAUCAAUCUUUUUUAUAUUGUCAUAGUGUGUGCGUUUUUUCACUUGGGGUUUAUCAAGAUUCAUUUUUUUGCUCAUUCUAAGUUUGUGAGUGUGUGUGUUUUGUGAGUUCAGAUUUCAAUCUUUUUACUAUAUAUUCACAUUGUGUGUAGUGUGUGUGUGUUUUUUCAACUAGGAGCUUAUCAAGAUUCAAUUUUUUUCUUCAUUUUCAUAUUUUUGCAUUUGUGUGUAUUUUUGGUCACUUGGGGUUUAUCAAGAUUCCAUUGUUUCUUCAUUUUGAUACUCUGUGUGUAUUUUGUCAAGUGAAGCUUAUCAAGAUCCCUCCGGUGUGUGUUCUUGCAAGUAAAUUCGGGUUUAUUUUUCUUGAUACUCCAUUAUAAUUUUAAUAUUUUGGUGGUUUGUUUAUGGUGAUUUUAAGCUUAGAAUAUGAGAAAAUAAGGAUGUUAAGAUUUUUGUUAUUUUGCCUAAUGAUCAAGAUUUUUUUAUUCUACUUGCCUAAUGGGUUGCUUGGAAUUUGAUGUUACAGUUUAAUAGAAGCUGAAUUCGAAAAAAGGAUUGCUUUGCUAUUUUUCUGGUGACCGCUUAUCUCUUUCUCUUUAAUUUAGGCCAAACAGCGAUAAGUUGAUUUCUCUCUAUUUUCUUAUAACGAAGUCUUUAAAUGUAUUUUAGUUUGAGAUUGUUUGCUGUAGAAGGCUUUGAAAGUCAUAUGAAUUUUGUGAUGAUUAUAUGUUGUGAGAGGGACUUGCGAUGCCUCUACUUAUUUGCGUUGUUACACUUGUUCAGUUGUUUGACUUAUUAUACUAUAAAUGAAUAUGUUGCUUGAUAGUGAAUAAGUGUAGUUACUUGAAGGUGAACUUUUAUUUUAAAUUUUUUUGAAGUGUAGGUACUUGAAAUGUGAACUUCUUAUUGCGAAUUUUGUGAUGCUUGGUAAUUUGGGAGGAGACUUAGUGACUUGAAAAUAUUGAAGUUUAGGUACUUGAAAUGGAAAUUUUUGUUUUCAAUGUAGUUAAGUUUGGUGACUUGGUAGGUUACUUAGUCACUUGAAAUUGAUUAAGUGUAGGUACUUGAAAUGGAAUUUUUUUUGUAUUGAAUGUAUUUUGGUUUGGUGACUUAGUGGCUUGAAAUUUACUAAAUGUAGGUACUUUAAAGGUAAAUUUUUUUUGAAUGUAGUUAAAUUUCGUGACUUGGUAGGUGACUUAGUCACUUGUAAUUGAUUAAGUGUAGGUACUUGAAAUGAGAUUUUUUGUAUUGAAUGUACUUUGGUUUUGUGACUUGGGAGGUGACUUAGUGACUUGAAAUUUACUAAGUGUAGGUACUUUAAAGGUGAAUUUUUUAUUUUGAAUGUAGUUAAGUUUGGUGACUUGGUAGGUGUAACGCCACGAAAUCGGGUCUCGAGACGUCACACGGUGCUUAGGGUCACAAGUGACCCCAAGCUAACCCUUCUACUGGCAUAACUCAUAAGCAACUGAAUAAAAAUACAAAUCCAUACAAAGCAACAGAAAUUAACUCUUUCCUGAAUCUGAUCGAUACAAAAAUGGAAUUUUACAGGAUUACAAUUCUGCCUUUACAACCAGAAUUGAAACAAAAUACAUCAACUUCUACUGACUGUCUAUGAAGCUUCUACUAAAACUGAUUGUAGGUAGCCGGGUCAUGACUCCCGACUACCCCAACUCAAUACGACUGAAUAAAGAAAAUACAACACUAUAAACUCUGCAUAACUAACCCAAACCCUUGAAUCAAAAGGACUCAUCACCUGCUGAAUGGAUACCACCAACUGACUGGAUCCGAAGGUGCAACUAUACCUUGUACCUACAUUCUGAGAAAAUGUAGCCCACAUACGAAUAUGUGGGUCAGUACCAUGGAAAAAUACCGAGCCUAUGAGGUGUAUGCAGUUGUAUAAACAUCAUCAUCAUAAAUAUUUAUAAGAAAUAUGCAGGAUGUAUGAAAGACUCACAUAGCCCGAAGAAAAUCAUCAUAAUCAUGAGAGGAUAAAAUAAGUACAAUAACACAUGUGAGUCAUCAUAUAAUUUGUCAAUCACUUUCAGUUCAUCAAGAAUAUCAAUUCUCAUAAUGUAAAUAUCAUUUAAAUCUUUCGAAAGAAUAACUUUCACAAUUCCACUUUCAAAUCACUUCACCAUUCACCAUAGACACAAGGAAACACACACACACUGAAAGAUCCUAUAACUAACAUAAACCAUAUGAGCUACAUGGAGUCCAACAUACAACCCACGUUGGGGAGAGCCAUCCUAUCCUUGCCAUCAAAAAAUAGGGAAGUAAGGUCACUUUAUACCUCCCACUCGGUGCUAAAUAUUACUCCCGGACUUAGCUCAGAAAUUUAAAUCAGCCUCAGGCUCACAUUAAAGAAAAUCCACGAUAAACACUUCAAUAAUUUUCUUCGGGAACCAAUUUACUACCCCUUUAUCAUAAUCAAUAAAAACAUGGAUUUCUUUCACAGUCGAGUUCAAAAUAACUCAUUCACGACCAGAAGGUCAAAUCAUUCAAAACAUCUCAAAUAAUCAACAUCAACGUGCUUAUAACACACAUUUUCUCAAGAACACAAUUUCAAAUGGGGUUCGCGACCCAAAUAUCAAAAUCAUGAUAAAUAUCAUUCAAGAUUCAAUCUUUAUAUCACCACAAAUGUAAAUUCAUCUUUCAAAAUCAUAAACAUCAAGAUUUCAGAAUAAUCAUCAUAAGAUAUGGGUUCAUGCUUCAAAUUCAUAAAAAUCAAAUAAAAAUCAUGCCUUUGUAAAAAAAUUACUUUUGGACACAAGAACGAAAGAGAGUUCUUGUUGAAAAACCCCACAUACCUUGAAUGAUGAACUAUAGAUCAAUACUCAUUUUUGAGAUGUUAAUCGUGCCUUUGAAUGAUGGUUCUUGGAGUUCUUGAACUAGGAACUUGGAAUCUUGAAUAAAUUUACAGAAUUAAUGGUGAACUUUGGAGGUUCUUGAAGUUGGAUGUAGGAGCUUAGGGUUUUCUUUUUGAGGGAAUUUGAUGAAAUAUAACAUAUAAUGCUUCUAAUAGGCUUUAAUAUAGGGUUUGGAUGGAUUUUGGGUGAGGGGAAAUGACCAAAACGCCCCUAAAAAUCAAAUAAUUCUCGCAUCUGUUCUUUGAUAGACUGUUUUGAUAGUCUGAAGUAGAUCAACCAUAACAUUUUACUCUGAUAUCCAAAUUAGAUGAAACCAAUUUUAGAAAGAGGACUCUCAUAUAUUUCUGUUGAUGUAUAGUAUCUCACCCAAAUCAUUGUGUACGAGGAGUUAUGAUUGUUUGAAGUUGACCCAAAAAUUUACUUUUGAUAGGCUGAAGUAGAUCAACCAUAACUUUUUGCUUCGAUAGAAAAAAUUAGAUGAAACCAAUUUCAUCGGAAAGAGGACUCACAGAGCUUUCUGUUGAUAUAUAGAAGAUCACCCAGAUCAUUAUGUACAAGGAGUUAUGAUUGUUUGAAGUUGGAGAAAAAAUACGCCAGGCCUCAGUACUUUUUUUUCUGCACGUUUUACUGUUCACUACUAUUCAUAGUUCGACGAAAUGUUCAUAACUCGUCGCUUGGGUGUAUGUUUUGGAUGAUACACAUAUAGUUGGAAAGAUUAUUUGAUACUCUACGCAAUAGUGGUUCAUAAUCUAAGACAUUAUGCACGAAAAAUUUAUAAUUCAUUCUUGAAGAUAGAACCCAACAUGUUUACGCACAAAAUUUCAACAAAAAAUUUCCCGAGGUAUUACAUCAUCUCCCACUUGGAAACAUUCGUCCUCUAAUGUCGAUGAAUAAGUACAGAAUACCAUGGAAAUAAGGACAAAAGGCUGGGAUAACAAAGUCAAUCCACUUACUUCACUCCAAACUUUCGAAUACUUCAUAGAACAUGUGAUUCAUAAUGAGAAUGGUCACAUAGUUGGAUGUUAAACAAAGGAGUCUGAUUUUAAGGAAUCGAUAUCUUUGGUUUAUUCAGAGAUUGAGAAUAAAAGGUCUCGAGGGGAUCUCAUCAAAAGAAGGACCACUUGCGCCCAAAUGAAACAUCCCUCAACACUCCCUCUAAAAGAUUCAAAUGACAUUGCUCGGCCUAUCAUAUGGGAACAAGGACCCAUAUGGCAUAAAUUAAGAUAGGAAUUUCUAGGUCUUGGGAAACAUAACUCCUUGUUUCCAAACUUAGAAACACUUCCCAACUACUCCCUCGACUAUGUUCAAGCCUAACUCCAACUACUCAUGAGAUACGCCACAUAACACUAUAAUAUUAAUCUAUAUCAUGAACCUCAAUACACACUGGGCCUCACAGCUCCUCAUUUCAAACAUAACUCUUAUUGCUACUCCAACAACCACAUACAAUCUUAUACUAGGGAUCCGCUAACUUGUGGUGCAUUAUUUUAGAUAUACAACCAUAACAUUCAAGCCUAUACUCAUAACCACAUACGCACUUCGCACAUGUAACUCUAAACGAACACUCAUAAACCAUCUUCCUCGCUUUCUUUAAGAUUCCAUCAACUACAUCAUUCACACAUACUGGUCAAUUCUUUAAACGACACACAUAACAUUUUCUCAACCAAUUGAACUAUACACAAAAACUCUGUAUUACUAUUCCUACAACCUCAUAGAAGUGCAUAAAACCAACGCACAACAAUCUUUCCAAAUAAACAUUUAAAACUUCAACUAACCACGGCAUGUAUCAAGGACUUAGCCUCAAUCUAACUUCACUUCACCGCUGUGAGCACACCACCUUCUAUCAUAGAUAAGGAAGUAUCUUCUCUCCCUUCUAGACAACUGCUCAACACCAUUAUCUUGACUUAAUGAAAAGGUCACAAAAUUUUAAAACAUGAAGGGAUAAUGUAAAUAACUUGACUCUCUCUAUUGAGGCCUUAGGAAUAAAAUAUCAAAUACAAUUGGUUCAUUAAGGUAUCAACACUGAAGACACCCAUAAGGAAAAUUGAAUCUCACUAAUCAAUAAGAGUAUUGCCUGAGUACUGGAACUGAACGUACUGUAAAACUUGAGUAUAUGAGUCAUGGGCGACAUGCCCUGAAUUUAAAGCUCAUAACUUAUGGAAUGUGAUUCCAAUUGCUAGAAGAACUGGAAUUUCUCAUUUUUGGAAACUAGAAGAGUAUGUAAUUCUCCAUCACGUGUAUGAACAUGAAUUAAGAUCAUGGAACUGAAAUGUAAAGCAUGAGUAGGUUUUGGGACAGCUGAAAAUACUGAAAUAACAUUGGGUCAAGCACCGAUCUUUCUCAAAGCAAAUUUACAACUUACUGGUACUUCUACUUAAACAUAAAAGAUUGACUUGACUACUUGUUCUAUCAUCUCCCCCUUAGCUUUAAGCCACCACUCAAAUUCUCAAAUGCUUACUAAUUUUGAAUCUCCACUAACAUCUCUAUCGUCGGAAUGUACACCAUCUAGUGCUUCAACUCUUAUUUCUAUUAGCUCAACUUGAAUACUUUCUAACCUUUUAAUAGACCAUGCUACUUCUGUCUUCUCCCUCUAAUACCAUGCCUAUGAAAUGUUUCUAACCCUUAAGAAUCAAAAUCACACUUAAGAGGCUCAACAUUUCCAAUCAUACGCCUCACCUUAACUUAGCCAUCAAAACAUCAUCCAUCGUCUAACUAGUAUUUAUCCAUCUAAUAAUCCCAUGGCACGACUCACUACACCACAUACACUAAUCCUCGAAAUUAAAGCAGUCCCAUAAUAUCUUGGGUGAACUUUUUCAUCAUAAUAUAAUAUUAAACUUAAUUACAAGUUAACUACACUUAAAAUCUUGUGUACACUGUUCAAGCCUAUUAGGUCACUUCCGGCAACUAAUACCAUUAAUCCGAAAACCGUCACAUUCGACUUCAUGGUCACCAAUCGUUCAAACUUAAGGUCUCACACUUUACAUAAUUUACAACUCCAUCUCACGCAUAACUACCACGUGAAGAUUAUAAAACAACACAUCCAUGAACACUAGCCCACUUAAACUUUAUAACAAUAAUAAUUGGUCCUAAUCUAUAGCCUAUCUUAUUCACAAUCCAUUAACACAUCCUUCUUUCACCUGUCACUACUAUCUAUCCUUCAUACAUAACUUAACAUAGUUCAUAGCUCUCUACGUCUUAACUUAUCUUCCUCUUGCAAUCUGGAGAGCGCCUAGAUUAACAACACUUACCCACCGAGUACUUCCAUCACUAACCUAUACUCUCUGUUAUACAAAUACCGUCAACACCCGUUUCAUACCUCGAACAAACUAUAUCACUUCCUAUUAACCCAAUUGCAUGCAAAAAUGGAUUUAUCUAUACUUAUGCUCAACAAAUUACACUUACCAUCCUUCUUACUACUACACUUCCACAUCCCACAUUUUCAUCCAGCACAAGGAACAAGAUGAACUACAAGUUGCUAGUGGAUUGAAAUAGGCCUCACAUGGCUUGACUAGACUUUGGUUUUGUGUUUUGAUCAAGAAAGUUAUAUGAAUAACAAAGUAAGUAUGCUAGUGAAUCGAAAUAGGCCCCACACGGCUUCACUAGACUUUGGUUUGUAUUUUGAACAAGAAAAUGAGAUGAAUAACAAAGAAGCUAUGCUAGUGAAUCGAAAGAGCCCCACACGGCUUUACUAGACUUUGAUUUUUCACAAACAUAAUGAUAAUAAGAUUACAUAAUACAAGAGACAGAAACUUGACACACAAUAUUCAAUGAUAUAAGAAUACUCCUUACUCUAUCUUAAUUAAAUAACUCAUAAGAAUGAGGGCAUAACUUUCAACUUAAGGAACUUAACACACUAGAGAGCUCUUCUCAAGCCCUUUGUGUAACUUUUGAAAUAUCUUCUAGAAAAUAUAGUAGCAUUACCUGGGGAAGAACUGGAGCUUGCGAAUCAUGUUAUCUCAAAAGUAAUAUAUAGAGGGAGAAGUAUAGAUUUACAUUAUAGAUUCCGAGGAGGAAUCUGAAAGCACAUCUAACCUAGGCUUAGUUCACGACUUUUAUGAAAAUGAAUAAAGUACUUCAAUCUUUGGAACUCAAAAAGCACUGACAGGAUACUUUCUAGCUCUCUUACAAUCCCAUAACUAUCUACGGAGAAUUAAGCAUAACUAUUUCAGAUACCUUGAAAAUGAGGCAGAGUUGGCCAGAAUAGAGUAAGAUGAGAAUCUAUAUAAGCUUCUCGGAGAACCUUUUUAUAGCACGAUCUUAGACCUGAAAGAAGGGAAAUAUUUCCUAAAUUCCCUGUAGCCUCUCAAAGAAAAGUACAAACAUUUCCAUACCGUUCCGCAAGAAUCUACUAGAUACGAUUUCAUAGACACCCUAGGACACUUGAACUCUGUGCUCUGAUACCAAGUUUGUAACGCCCCAAAAUCGGGUCCCGAGAUGUCACAUGAUGCUUAGGGUCAUAAGUGACCCCAAGCUAACCCUUCUACUAGCAUAACACAUAAGCAACUGAAUAAAAAUAUAAAUCCAUACAUAUCAGUAGAAAUUAACUCUUUCCUGAAUCUGAUCGAUACAAAAAUGGAAUUUUACAGGAUUACAAUUCUUCCUUUACAACCAGAAUUGAAACAAAAUACAUCAACUUCUACUGACUGUCUAUGAAGCCUCUACUAGAACUGAUUGUAAGUAGCCGGGUCAUGACUCCCGACUACCCCAACUCAAUACGACUGAAUAAAGAAAAUACAACAUUAUAAACUCUGCAUAACUAACCCAAACCCUUGAAUCAAAAGGAUUCAUUACCUGCUGACUGGAUACCAUGAACUGACUGGAUCCGAAGGUGCAACUAUACCUUGUACCUAUAUUUAGAGAAAAUGUAGCCCACAUACGAAUAUGUGGGUCAGUACUAUGGAAAAAUACCGAGCAUAUGGGGGAGUAUGCAGUUGUAUAAACAUCAUCAUCAUAAAUAUUUAUAAGAAAUAUGCAGGAUGUAUGAAAGACUCACAUAGCCCGAAGAAAAUCAUCAUAAUCAUGAGAGGACGAAAUAAGUAUAAUAACAUAUGAGUCAUCAUAUAAUUUGUCAAUCACUUUCAGUUCAUCAAGAAUAUCAAUUCUCAUAAUGUAAAUAUCAUUUAAAUCUUUCAAAAGAAUAACUUUCACAAUUCUACUUUCAAAUCACUUCACCGUUCACCACAGACAUAAGGAAACACACACAUACUUUGGGAGAUCCUAUAACCGACAUAAAUCAUGUGAGCUACAUGGAGUCCAAUGUACAACUCACGUUGGGGAGAGCCUUCCUAUCCUUUCCAUCGAAGUAGGACUUCCAAUAUCAAUCCAAAAACACUAGUGAUCACUAUAUAAAUCAACCUCAGGCUUACAUCCUACGGGGGAACAUAGUUCUAGGGAAGUAAGGUCACUUUAUACCUCCUACUCGGUGCUAAAGAUUAAUCCCAGACUUAGCUUAGAAAUUUAAAUCAGCCUCAGGCUCACAUUAAAGAAAAUCUACAAUAAACACUACAACAAUUUUCAUCGGGAGCCAAUUUACUACCCCUUUAUCAUAAUCAAUAAAAACAUAGAUUUCUUUCACGGUCGAGUUCAAAAUAACUCAUUCACGACCAAAAGGUCAAAUCAUUCAAAACAUCUCAAAUAUUCAACAUCAACGUGCUUAUAACACACAUUUUCUCAAGAACACAACUUCAAAUGGGGUUCGCUACCCAAAUAUCAAAAUCAUGAUAAAUAUCAUUCAAGGUUCAUGCUUUAUAUCACCACACAUGUAAAUUCAUCUUUCAAAAUCAUAAAUAUCAAGAUUUCAUAAUAAUCAUCAUAAGAUAUGGGUUCAUACUUCAAAUUCAUAAAAAUCAAAUAAAAAUCAUGCCUUUGUAAAGAAAAUUACUUUUGGGCACAAGAACAAAAGACAUUUCUUGUUGAAAAACCCCACAUACCUUGAUUGAUGACCUUUAGAUCGAUACUCAUUUUUGAGAUGCUAAUCGUGCCUUUGAAUGAUGGUUCUUGGAGUUCUUGAACUAGGAACGUGGAAUCUUGAAUAAAUUUGCAGAAUUAAUGGUGAACUUUGGAGGUUCUUGAAGUUUGAUGUAGGAGUUUAGGGUUUUCUGUUUGACGGAAUUUGAUGAAAUAUAACAUAUAAUUCUUCUAAUAGGCCUUAAUAUAGGGUUUGUAUGGAUUUUGGGUGAGGGGGAAUGACCAAAACGCCACUAAAAAUCAAAUAAUUCUCGCAUCUGUCCUUUGGUGGACUGUUUUGAUAGUCUGAAGUAGAUCAACCAUAAAGUUUUACUCCGAUAUCCAAAUUGGAUGAAACCAAUUUCAUUAGAAAGAGGGAUCUCAUAUCUUUCCGUUGAUAUGUAGUAUCUCACCCAGAUCAUUGUGUAUGAGGAGUUAAAAUCAUUUGAAGUUGACCAAAAAAUUUACUUUUGAUAGGCUGAAGUAGAUCGACCAUAACUUUUCGCUCCGAUAGACAAAUUGGAUGAAACCAAUUUCAUCGGAAAGAGAACUCACAGAUGUUUCCGUUGAUAUAUAGUAGAUCACCCAGAUCAUUAUGUACAAGGAGUUAUGAUAAUUUAAAGUUGAAGCAAAAAUACGCCAGGCCUCAGUACUUUUUUCCUGCACGUUUUACUGUUCACUACUAUUCACGGUUAGAUCAGAAUUUUCAUAACUCGUCGCUCGGUUGUCCAUUUUGGAUGAUCCAUAUAUCUUUUGAAAACUCAUUCAAUACUCUACGCAAUGGUGGGUCAUAAUCUAAGAUAUUCCACACGGAAAAUUUAUAAUUCAUUCUAGAAGAUAGAACCCAACACAUUUACGCACAAAAUUUCAACAAAAUUUCUUUUGGGGUAUUACAGUAGGUGUUUUAGUCACUUGAAAUUGAUUAAGUGUAGGUACGUGAAUUUUUGUUUUCAAUGCAGUUUAUUCUACUAACACGUGAUAUGAUUUAGUCACUUGAAAUUGAUUAAGUGUAAGUAGUUGAAAUGUGAAUUUUUUGUUGUGAAUGUGGUUUAGUUUUGCGACUUGUGUGGUAACUUAUAGAGUUGAAACUGAUUAAGUGUAGGCACUUCAAAUGUGAAUUUAUCAUUUUGAAGGUAGUUUAGUUUGUUGUUUUAGGAUGUGACUUAGUGACUUGAAAAUGUUGAAGUUUAGAAACUUGAAAUGAAAUUUUUUAUUUUGAAUGUGGUUUAGUUUUGUAACUUGGGAGGUAACUAUUCACUUGAUGAAAUUGAUUAAGUGUAAGUAGUUGAAAUGUGAAUUUUUAUUUUCAAUGUUGUUUAGUUUGGUAACUUGGGAGGUGACUUAGUCACUUGAAAUUGAUUAAGUGUAGAUAGUUGAAAGGUGAAUUUUUCUUUUGAAAGUGGUUUAUUCUACUAACACGUGAGAUGACUUAGUCACUUGAAAUUGAUUAAGUGUAGGUACUUGAAAUGUGAAUUUUUAUUUUCAAUGUUGUUUACUUUGGUAACAUGUGAGGUGACUUCGUCACUUAAAAUUUAUUAAGUGUAGAUAGUUGAAAGGUGAAUUUUCGUUUUGAAAGUGGUUUAGUUUGGUAACUUGGGAGGUGACUUAGUGACUUGAAAUUGAUUAAGUGUAGGUGCUUAAAAUGUGAGUUUUUUUUUUGAAUGUGGUUUAGUUUGGUGACUUGGAUGGUGACUUAGUGAGUUAAAAUUGAUGAAAUGUAGGUACUUGAAAGGUGAAUUUAUCAUUUUGAAGGUAGUUUAGUUUGGUCACUUGGGAGGUAACUAAGUGACUUGAAAUUGAUUAAGUGUAGGUACUUGAAAGGUGAAUUUUUGUUUUCAAUGUGAUUUAGUUUGGUGACUUGGGAGGUAAGUAAGUGACUUGAAAUUGAUUAAAUGUAGGUACUUGAAAUGUGAAUUUUUGUUUUCAUUGUGGUUUAGUUUGGUAACUUGAAUUUAGGUACUUUUUCAUUUUGAACUUAGGUACUUGAAAUAUGAGCCUUUGUGAUUGAAUUAAUUAGUUGAAUCUGAUUGAUUGUGUAGAUGGAUAUAUCAACAGAAUAAUGAUAAUAGAAUAGGUCUUAGGGUGAAAUUUGUUGAAUGUGUCAGACGAUUUAUUGAACAUGCUAAGACACUUGAUGUUUGGUCACGUUUUUGGGCUAUUCAUUGUCCUUGUGUUAGAUAUGAUGGUAUAAAUCUUUUAAAAGAAGAAGUUGUGAAGGAGCAUCUUUAUAGAAGGGGGUUUUAUGAGGACUUUUUAAGAUUGCCUACUAUUGAUGGUGAUGUUGAGCAAAAUAACUUUGUUGUUGGUAAAAGUAGUAGGUCUGCAGGGCAUAAUGAAUAUUAAGAUACUAGGAUGACAGAAAUGGUAAAUGAUGCUUUUGGGAUGCAACACAAGGGUGACUUUAGGGAAAAUGUUGAAGAUGUUCCUAAUAGAGAAGCAGGCCAUUUUUACGAACAACUGGAUGCUGCUAGUCAUCCUUUGUUUGACGGGUGUUUGCACUCUCAUUUGUCUGCUGUUAGAUUAUUAAGUAUUAAAUUUGACUGGAAUAUUGCUGAAGGAGGAAUGGACUCAAUGAUAGACCUUAUUAAAGAGUUACUUGACCCCGGCUUAGAGGUUCCUGAUUCUUUCUAUAAGGCGAUGGAUUAUUUACCUCUAAUACCAAGGUUGAAGAGGUUGUAUGCUUCAAACAACUUAGCUCCUCAUAUGAGAUGGCAUAGUGAAAAUAGAAGUCCCAUUGGUGCUAUAUAUCAUUCAUCUGAUAGAGAGGCUUAAAAGUAUUUUGAUGCAACUUAUCUAGAUUUUGUAGCUGAGCCACGAAAUAUUUAUUUGGGAUUAUGUGCGGAUGGCUUCUCCCCCUUUUCAGUUGGUGCUGUGCCAUAUUCAUGUUGGCCUGUAUUUAUCACCCCAUAUAAUCUUCCUCCUGAAGUGUUGAUAACUAGUCCCUAUAUAUUUCUGAAUUGUGUUGUUGCUGGCCCGCGUAAUCCAAAAAGCAAAAUAGAUGUCUACUUCCAACCUUUGAUUGAUGAACUUAAAAUUUUAUGGCAUGAGGGGGUUGAAACUUAGAAUAUCUCACUUAAAAAGAAUUUUAAUCAGCGUGUAUAUCUAAUAUGGAUUGUUAAUGAUUUUCCUUCUUAUGAAAUGUUGUCUCGGUGGAUGACAGCUGGAAAGUUGGCUUGUCCAUACUGCAUGAAAAAAUAAAAUCUUUCACAUUGAGACAUGGUAGGAAAAACUCAUGGUUUGAUUGUCAUAGUUGUUUCUUGCCACCUAAUCACGAAUUUAGGAGGCUCGGGAAUGCAUUCAGAAGGUCUAGAAUGGAACAUGAUGGUCUACCUCCAAGGUUAUCUGGUCUUGACAUCUGGGAGAUAGUUCAGUAUUUUUCUAAAGUUAGUGAGGAACCAUUGUAUAGGAUGGAUGGAUAUGGCAUUUCGCAUAACUAGAAUAAGUAAAGUAUAUUUUGGGAUUUAGAAUAUUUGCCAGAUAAUUUACUUAGACAUAAUGUUGAUGUCAUGCAUACUGAUAAGAACUAUUUUGACAACUUGUUCAACACAGUUAUGGAUGUCACCGGUAAGACAAAGGAUAAUCCUAAGGCCAGACUUGACUUACCAGAAUAUUGUAAAUGCAGAGAAUUACACUUACAGGAGGGGCCCAAUGUUAAUGUUCUUAAGCUCAAGGCUAGUUUUACAUUCAAGUUGGACCAAAAGUGUCAAAUAUGUGAGUGGGUCCAAAUUUUGAAGAUGCCUAAUGGAUAUAUCUCAAAUUUGGAAAAGAGGGUUGAUAUGGCACAAGGAAUCUUGCAUGGAAUGAAAAACCAUGAUUGUCAUAUUUUCAUGGAAUAAUUACUUCCAAUUUCUUUUAUUAGUUUACCUUAAAACAUAUGGAAAUCAAUAGCAGAGAUUAGUUUGUUUUUCAAAGACUUAUGUGCCACCAUAUUAAAGAAGAAAAUCAGGCUCGAAUGGAAAGUAAUAUUGUUGUUAUCACCAACAAGUUGGAGAAGAUUUUUCUACUAGGGUUCUUCGAUGUGUUGGAACAUCUUCCUAUUUACCUUAUGCAUGAAGCUCAGCUAGGUGGUCUAGUUCAAACUACGUGAAUGUAUCCAUUUGAACGGUAAUCAAUUGCAACAUAUUUAAAUUCAUACAUAGCUUUUUAAAUAUAGUAAACAUCUAAUCUUAAGAUUGUACAGGGCAAUUGAAAAAUUAAAAAGAGGUCCCAAAAAUAAACAUAGGGUGGAAGGCUCUAUAUUUGAGGCAUAUCUUGCUAGAGAAAUAUCUAAAUUUUGUUCAUACUACUUUGGUGAUGAAUUUGCUUAUUCAAGAAACAGAUCGAAUCGUCAUUAGGACAAGGAGAAUGAGCCUUAUUUGCAACCGAUAUCAAUUUUCAAUCAAUCUGGUAAUGAUAUAAGUAUGAUCAUGUAGAUGGACUUAUGAGGGCGUAUGUUAGACCUAAGACUUAGUGUAUGUAAAUAAAGUGUAAAGGAGAACCUGAAUGGACACCAAAAUCGUCCAUACAUAGCACUCCAAAGGCGCCUAUUAAAGCAUUUGACUAAGGGGUCAUUUUGGAAAUUUCACACUUUAUUUUGUAAACUACUAUAAAUAGAAUAAUGUUGGGUUUUAGUCAUUAGUUUUGAUGAAUAUUGAAAGUUGUAACAUUUGAAACACUCUCUCUUGUGAGAAAGGCCCCAUGGCCGAAACCUAGUAACUAUGGAUUUCAGCUUGAGUAUGGAAUCACUUAUGUUGGAUUCAAGCUUGGAAACAGUAGAUGCUUGGGAGAUCGAGGUCACUCUUGUUCCAAAGUAAGAGAUAGAUGAAUUUUUGUGCAUAGCGUUAAGGGUCCAAGAGUGGAAUAGGCUCUUGGGUUCUUAAGAUUAUGACUUCAUGUAGUCUAUCUAUCUAUCUCUUUAUUUUAUUGUAAUCGUGUAGUUGUGUUCUUGUUAUAACUAUUUGUAGUUUGUAUUGUGAUAGUGAACCCGUGACUUUUUGUUGUUAUAAUAUUAUUCUUGUUUCUUCAUCUUAUUGUUGUAACUUAGUUUGGUUGGAUCUAAUUGGUUCAAGAAUCCCUUUGAUUAGUGGACUAUUUUGGAGUGUGUUUCAUAUUCUCCUUGUUUGUAGUGUAUCAUUUGGUAUCAGAGCAUGGCUUGAUAUUAUUCUUACAAGAUCAAUCUUGGGCUUACUUGUUAGAAAAUAAAAAAAAUUAUUGAAAGGCUGAAAAAUAAAAAAGAAGCAAAUCUGUCCAUUUGUGUUCUUGGCCGAAAAUGUGUUAUUUUUAUGUCUUGGAUGAUAUUUUUACUUAUUUUAUUGUUUUUAGUGUUAGUUUUUAUCAUAUCUAAUACUCUUGAGUCUAAAUCUAAGUUUGAGCUUACAUUGUUGGUGUUGGUGUUGUGAACAUAAGGGUUGGCCGAAUUAUUGUUGAAACAUUAUUAUGGUGGACUGUUUUGGCCUCGUGGUCUUUAGCUUGUUAUUGUUAUAAGCUUGGCCACAUGAUAUUGUUGCUCAUUGGUGGCCUAAGAACCAUUUUAUUGAAGUUGUUGUUGUCUUGGCCAAUUUUUGAAGAUAUUGUAUUAUGAAAAUUGGAAGUUGGCCAUGUGAAAAUUGUUGGUGUUCUUGGAGAUUGUUGUUGGUUGUUCUUGGUGAUUGUUGAUGUUGUUCUUGAAGUUCUUCACAACCUUCAUAGCUUAUUAAAAUAAAGUGAACAUUAGAUCUAUAAAUGUGACGGGAAAAAGGUGAAGCUUUGUUAGUCUUGAAAGACUAACCAUCACUCAUCAACUAGUCAAUCACAUCUCAACCACUUUCCAACAAAUUUUCAUGAUUUAAGGACUCAUUACACGUAAAGUCAAAGUCUUGAAACUUGCAAUUGAAAAGGGCUCCAUGACUUGUUUGAAUUUCCCUCCUUAAACAAAUUCCACCAAAGUCCAAAUUGAAAAAUUGACCAAGACUUGAAAUUGGACAACAAAAUUGUGUGGGACCGUGACCAAUUAUGUGGUUGCCAUGUCAUCACAUUUUUAAUGUUCAUGCAACAUAAUUAAGCUCAAAUUUUAGAAUUCUUAGUUUCAUUUUAUUGUUUCUUAGUUUCAUUUGUUGGUUCGAACACUAAUUGACAAGCUAGUAAACUCAUACUAGAUUGUAUAUUAGUUUUGUGCCCGUUUGUUCAUGUUAACAUUCUUUGUAUACUUUUCUCUUUUAUGAAUUCAUUGUAAGAUCUUGACUCAAGUACUAUAAGAUUUAGUUUGAUUUUCAAAUAAAAAUCUAUUCCAGACAAGAGUAGACUCGACCCUCAAUCACUCACGAAGUACAAGUCGGUUUUCAACAGUUGUGAAACCAAGUGUGAGGUAAAAAUCGAGAGUGAGAGUGUGGUGAGGCCUUUUUUGAUCUAACAAGUUUUGUUGUUUUCUUUUGUUUGUUGUGACUUUUCUUUUAGGUACCAUGGCUGCCUAUAAUCUCGAUGCCACGUUUGAUCGCAUCAAUGACAAUAUUGAAGACAUGGAAUGGAAAGUUGAAAGGCUACGCCAAUUGCUACCUAAAAUUAUCCCACCAAAUCCAAUUCCUCGUGUAUAAACACCUUAUGAUAAGAGCGUCUCAAAGGAAGAAGUGCGCUGCCAUGACCCUCACUAAGGUGACGACCAUAUCUCAUGUGAGCUACGAGGUAAAAACGCUAUCCCCUACACUUGUCUAAGCUUAUAAUGUUAUGAUGUGGCUAGUAGUGGACAAUUGGAUGUAGUUGUAAAUUUACCUAGAGUAGAGGUGUUUGAGUUUCCGUAUUGGUGAAUUUAGGUCACGUGAGGACCAAUAUCUUGUUGUAAGUACACAAUCACUAGUUGAUCCUUUAGAUGACGAAAUUGAUUCUUUUUGUAAGAAUGAUUUAUGUCCUUCUAGUGCUAGCCUUUAUAACUUAAAUAAGGUUCCAUUACCAAUUGACAAGAGUACUCACACACUAGUGGACCCUUGUAAAAACCAAGGUGAGUCUAUAUUGCUAUACGAGUUGCCAACAACUAGUGAAGGCAUGCAAAAUGAUCAAUCGGGUGAAGAUGACCUUGAUUUAUUUGAAAGUAUAGGAAACCCAAAUUGUUAUUGUGAUUGUGAAAGUGAUUUUGGUCAUAACCCCUUGGAUGACCAUGAUGGUGUGAAGCUAAGUGGGGUUUACCCUUUUAAAAUGGAGUAUGACCGAAACCCAUGCCCCUGGCUACUUCUCCCAUUUGACCCUGGUGCCAUCUUAGAGUAUGGUAGGAGUAGUCUCGGCCCUUAUUCUUUAAUUAUUGAGUGUGAUCCCUUUGCUUCCCAAGAUAGUUUAUGUCUAUGUAGGGACCACACUCUUGAAAUAAAAAGUGUUGCAUGCCUAGAAAUGCUAUCUACUCUUUCUUCGUGUGUUUCCUAUGUUGAGCAUACUAAUGGCGGUGAACUUGAAACUAGUAAGUACUUGCAUAGGGUCACCAUAGUUGGAGUUGAAUUGUGUGACACCUUUCUCUACCCUAUUUGUGCUCAGGAUAUUUUCCUAGUGAUAUAUAGGGUAUGCCUAAUUUUGAGGCGCCGCCAAGUGAUCUUGGCCGAGGCCUAAGCCCUUGGUUACGACUACCAUUUGAUCCUGGUGCCAACUUGGGAUGAAAAAGGGUUAUUUUUGGUUUAGGCUAGUUUAGUUUUGGUGUUUAUCCAAGCCACUUCCUUUGUCACAUUUGUACUAAUCUCUUCAUGUUUAAUACAAAGGACCCGUGGAUAUACUUCAAAUUUUUUCCCCCCUCGGCAUGACAUAUUGAUGUGUUUAUUUUUGCUAACCCUAACCCUUGUGUCAUGAGGAUGUGUGCUUGUUUGUAUUCUCUUGAUUUUUCAAGGUAUGGAUUCGAGGUCGAAUCAUUUUCAAGAAGGAGAGGAUGAUACAAGUAUGAUCACGUAGAUGGACUUAUGAGGGAAUAUAUUAGACCUGAGACUUGGCGUGUGCAAAUAAAGUGCAAAGGAGCACCUAAAUGGACACCAAAAUCGUCCAUACACAGCAGUCCAUAGGCGCCUAUUGAAGCAUUUGACAAAGGAGUCAUUUUGGACAUUUCACACUUUAUUUUGUAACCUACUAUAAAUAGAAUAAUGUAGGGUUUUAGUCAUUAGUUUUGAUGAAUAUUGAAAGUUGUAACAUUUAAAACACUCUCUCUUGUGAGAAAGACCCCAUGGCCCAAACCUAGUAACAAGGGAUUUCAACUUGAGUGUGGAAUUACUCGUAUUGGAUUCAAGCUUUGAAACGUUGGAUGCUUGGGAGAUCGAGGUCACUCUUGUUCCAACGUAAGAGAUAGGUGAAUUGUUGUGCGUAGUGCUAAGGGUCCAAGAAUGGAAUAGGCUGUUGGGUUCUUAAGGUUAUGACUCUUGAAACCCAAUUUUGGCUCACCAUACUUAAAAUUAGCACUUUUUAGGUUUUAUGAUUGUUAAAUUGCACAAUAUGCAAUUUUUCACAUAUUUUUUUGCAAUUGUUGAUAAAUUAUUGAUAAUCUGAUUUAGUUUAAGAUUUUAUUCAUUUAGUGUCAUAUUUUAAUUUUAUAUAAUUUAUUGAUAAUUAUUUUUAAAUUCAUAAAUUUUAGAAUUUUUAUCAGUUUAUUAUUAUUAUUUUAAUAUUUUUGCACAGCCAUUUGCAUAUGUACACAACACAACACUAUAAUUUUUUACUGCAUAGUAUAAUUUUAAUUAUUUAUAACAUAAUAUAUUUUUUCAAUAUAAUUAUAUUUGUAUUUACUGUUUAUAUUUUUCUGUAAUUAUACAUCGGCAUACAUUAUUUUGUACGUUAUUUAAUACGACCUAUAAAGGUGAGUCGAUUUAAUUAUUUUAAUACAUAGAACAAUAAAUUGGUCAAAUCAAAGACUUCACUUUUAAAUUUUUUUGACUUUUUUGCACCUAUUAUCCCAAAUUUAAGGGAUAUGUUGGGUAAAAGUAAGUUUAAUAUUUUUUUUAUAUUAUUAUUUUCCUUUUUAAUACUCCACACACACACACUAACACACAAACAUAUGCAUAACACACACAGUCAGAUCCCUUCUUUCUCUCUUAAUUCACUCUCAUCUCACGCUUUUUUAUCUCUCUAUCACUUCCACCGCCAGAAUUGAUUACCGGACGACCAACGAUGAUGAUGCUGCCUGUCAUUGCUCCUUCCUCCUCCAACAGCCGUCCCACUUCCCUCUCCCUUCUUUCCCAUCACCCAACCAGUACUAGCCGAUGCAGAUUCUAGCCACCACCAUGCUCCCCUCUCCCUUUCCUCUCUUUUCACUGCUGGCUUGCCGAAAGUGAUGACCGGUGAGAUCUAUCCUAAAAACCCACCAGCCACCCCUUUUCCCCUCUCACCCGCCGCCGCUGCUUCGCCGAAAUUUACCACCGGUGGGCUGUCCUGCCGGCAAUACGCACCAACACUACCCCUCCCAUUCUUUUCCACCAUAACAUUGAGAAUCAUAUCAUUUGGUGGGAUUUUGCAAUUUUGGUGAUAUGUUUUAGUCGAAAUUUCAAAACUCAGGCAAACCUUGCUUUUUCUCCGUUAAGGGCUGCUUCUUUGGCUUAUUUUUUUGCUACUGAUUGUUAUUGUUUGAUGUAUUUAACUUUGAAUUUGUUCACUGUUGGUCCUAUCCGUGUGGUUGUUCUUGACGAUUUUGCUUUUACUAAUAUCAAAUAAAAUACCAUAUUACAAUACUUGGCCAAUGAAAUUAUCUCUCCAUUUAGAUAUUUGAGGCCACCCCAUUAUAAAUGACGGACUUUAUUUUAUCAAAGUUAUUAUUUUUAUAAUAAGGGCCCACACUUGGCCGAUGAAGAAAUUCUCCAUCGAUUUUUGAGGCCUGCACAAAUAAAAAGACGGAUAUUACGUAAAUAAUUAUGUAAUAAAAUAAAUAAAUUUGGGCGAUGAUGAAACUUUUAUAACAACACAAAAGAUUUUGCAAUUCGUAUUUUGGCAAGACGAUUUAGGACGGCCAAUCAAUUGAGCAAUCACUUCGUAGCCAUAGUGUAUUUAAAAUUUAAUCUGAGCCUACCUUUUAACGAAAAUCAUAUUUUUAUAUACCUUUUCAAUUUAUUUUGAUAAUUAUUUAUUUGUUACUAACAUUUUAUUACAAGUGUUUAUACAGGUUAUUGAGAAUACUCGUUGGGAGUAACAUUCAAGGAAGACUUUAAAUUUUAUGUUGUAUUUAUAUUCUUAUACUUGUACAAAUAUUAUUAUAGUGAAAACUUUAUUUUUGGGGUGUUGGGCGGAAUUUUCUUUAUUCAUAAAAACUUCACCACGCGUUAGGCAAAUUUAGGUCGUUAAUAUUUACAUUAAAAUUGAUUUAGAUAUUUAAUCCACAAAUAAUUCACUCUAAAAAUAUUACGUAAUCUUUUUCUCUAAAUAGAUCUUUCAUUAUUCAAUCUUUUUAUUUUAAUAUGCACAUUCUCAUGUAUUUUUGUUUAUCUUAAUACACUUUUUAUACACAUGCAUAUUUUUUACAAUAAUAUAAUCAAUUUACACAUUCUUUAUAUAUAUAUAUAUUGUCUAUAUCAUUUUAAUACACAUUUUAUAUUAUGUAUUUAUAAACAUAAAUUUUUUCUUCCAUUUUUAAUAAACCUAAGUCUGACCGGGAACCACAUUUGUGGAUUCUGAAGGGUGCCUAACCUCUUUCUUCGAAAUAAUUUGAACCCUUACCUAGAAUUUAAAUUCGUUCGUAGAUUAAAUAAAGUCAUACUCGUUAAUAAAUAAAUAGGUUUUCUAUUUUUCCUUAAAAAUUAGGUGGCGACUCUGUAUAUAAUUAAUUCUUUUAGAGUCUAUAAUGUCAUUCUCGUUUUGAACUUAGGUAAAAAUCGGGUAUGAAAGUUUGGCGACUCUGCUGGGGAUGCAAGAUUCUUACCAUUACAGAUUUAGGUAAAUAUUUACGUUUUUAUACAUUGUUAUUUAUUUCAUACUAAUUGUUUUGAUUUAUCACGUUUAUAUGGCUUAAAUUAUUUAUUUGUUAAUCGUUUUAUAUAAAUUGUCAUUCUGUUCAUAUUUCCUCUAUUUUGGAAAACUAACACUCACACACAUUGUACACGCAGAUUGUACAUUGUACUUUACCAAAAAAUUUUCAAAUCACCUUAUUUUAGAGAGUUGGCGUAUACGUGGUGAGCGGGAGUUUUACUGCCAUGGGACCCCAUGUCUUCUCAUAUAGGAAAUCCCAAUCCGUGUCUACCCACUCUUAUUCAGCAUCGGAUAAGAACUAAAACAACACCCUUUAGGUACAUUCAUAUUAGUCAAUUUUGUUCAAGUGUCCAAAGGAUUCACAAUCCAAGUGACACAAUAUUAUUUCUUUGUACAUAUUUGAAGAAUUAUUGUGUUUGUACAUAUUUAUUUGCUCUAAAUUGAUCAUUCUUUAGUGGGAAGGUGUAAUCUAACAUUAGCCGCGUAUAGGUUUGAACUACGUUUUGACCUGAUUCUUGUCUUGGCAAGAUACGUAGGCAACCCUAUAGUAGGGUUAGAUCUCUUCACUGUUUUAGAAUAAUUUCUCCUGUAUUUAAAAAUGGGGAAAUUUUCUGAAACAGUUCAAAAAUACUUUUCAAAUUCUUCAAGAGCAAAACCAAUAGAUCCUCAAAUCCAAAUCUUAAUACAUUAGUGCUUAGUCGGCCUACCUUCAAUUCUUCACUCAAAUUUGAUUCAUGGUAUACAUAGAUUUUUCUUUCGAAUGUCAUAAACCAUUAAAUUUAUGGCGUAUCGAUCUUUGCUUUUAAAAGCAAGGGUUAUAUUUUUCAGUAAUAAUAAUCCUGCUAACUGCGGUGAAAUAAUGUCAUAAUUCUUUCAAUGUCUGACUUUUUCAAUCUUGUCAGUAUACUAAAAUUUCGUCAAAACUCUCCCCAUGCAUGACAUCCAUUCUCUCGAUCAUUUGAUCAAAACAGUUUUAAUGUUAAAAACAGUUUUUUCCUGGUCGUCUUUCGUAUUAUUUCUAAGGAUGACCAUUAUUUUUUACAAUUACACCAUAUUACAUAUAAAUUCGCAAAUUUACCUGAACUACACAGACCUGAUUCUUGUUUUCACAAGUACGUAGGCAACCCUCAAUUGGGUUCGGUCCCAUUCUUUUAGAAAAAUAAUAAAAUUUUGACUUUGUUUGUACCAAUACAGUUAGGAGUGUGCAUGAGAAAGAACAAAUUGUUAUGAUGAAAAGGACCGACUUUAUGGUAAAUCAUAAAUUCUUUUUGUACCUUUUAUCACACCUAAGUAAUGCUUGAAAAUUCUCUUCCAUACAUCUAAAACAAGAACGAAAUCAACCUCAUCGUUCUAUGUGCAUUGUGUGGUGAGCUUUAGUUUAAUUCAUUGGAUUGCAUUGUUGAUCUAGAACUUGGCCUUAAUGUCUGUUGAGGCAAAAUUCUGAGUUGCACUUGAUUUAGGAAAGGAUUUUAGGCCUUCUUUGGACCGAUUGAGCCUUUUACAGCCUUUCAAAUUACAUUGAUCCCUAGCAUUCCUCCUUUUGAGCCUAAAACUUUUUUGGACAACCACAUUUGUGUCUAUACCUUUUUGAGUGCUACAUGCACCUUAGCCCUACCUCCUUGAGCGCACUAAAUACGUGCAAAUUGCAGACAAAGAUUCAAGAUCAGAGAUGCAAAAUGCAAAGAAUAUGUUAUUCAGAUGAACAGAAAUGAUAAAACCGGACUACAAAAGGAGCAAAACCCCCAAAAAAGAGAAAAAAAAUAAAAAAAUAUAGUUUCUUGAAAAAAAAAGAAAAAAAAAAUCCAAUGCUAGAUUCAAAAGAAGUCAAAGAAAAUUCAAAAUGAGGGGCGACACAUCACAACAAAGAAGAUCACACGUCAAAGCACAACAGAUGUUGAAAGCACAAACACAGUGCAAUGGUCAUUUAGGAAUUAGUUACUUUUAUUUCAAAUAUUAUCCUACCCGUCUCCAAGCCUACAUUACAAGCCAAUAGUAAGUUCUAUGAGAGCCUAUUUCAAGUGUGCUCAUAUUAGUGGAUACUUACAUGAAGGUCAAGCCUAUGGUAUCACAAUUGCAUGCAUUGAAUUUCUUUCUGAGUAUAAGUGUAUUUCUCUAUAUGUACCCAAAUUCAAAAAGGAAAAUUACUCAAUUAUGUGCAAAAUAGGACUUUCUUUUACUCAAAUAUGUGUGAAAUGAGACAUUGUUUCUGGAGAAGGAACUUGAAGCAUGAGGAUAGACAUAGCUCAAAACUUUGUUUGAAGCAAGAAGAAUAAAUCUUGUCGAUACUUAGGUGUGUCUAAGGUACCACUUGAAACUAUAGGAUUUACCCUAUAGUCGAUCUCAGUUAGAUGGGAAAGAGAUGGGGGAAUUCUUAUGCAUACUACUAAUUAUUGAUACCAGCUGAAGUCAAGACCUGAUCGCGUCUUCUUCAUCUUUCAGCACUUUUUACCAAGAAAAUGCAAAAUUCUUUCUUUCUUUUUUCAAGACGCCCAAUUUCAUAUGCGGCCAUUUGUUUUAUCUUUCAUUCAAAGUGACCAUUUUCACAUACAUGAAUUUUAACUUUUUUAUUAAAGGAGCCUAAUUUUGAAAUACGAGAAUUUUUUUUACUUUCCAUUCAAGAUGCCCAUUACAUGCAGGGCAUUUUUUUACUUUUUAUUCAAGGUACGCAAUUUUAAAAUAUGGCAUUUGAAUUUUCCUUUCAAGAACAUAUCUUUAAAUAUUAACAUUUUAUUUUUUAGUUAAGCGUCCAUCUUUGAGUUAUUUUUUUUAUAUUUUUUGAAGUCCUGCUAAUUGAGGGGCUAUAAAUUUCAGUCACCUCACUAGUUGAGGGCCUCAGUUGUCGUAGACAAUCGAAGAUGACAAUCUACAUCAGUCUCUUUAGACAAUCAGAGAUAUCAUGCAACAAUCAACAUAGUCUUCGUAGACAAUCGAAGAUGACAUUCAAUAUCAGUCUCCAUAGACAAUUGGAGAUAUCAUUCGUAAGUCUUUAUAUACAAUUGAAGAUGAUAAUCAACAUUAGUCUCCAUAGAUAAUUAGAUAUAUCAACAUCAGUCUUCGUAGACAAUCGAAGAAGACAAUCAACAUCAGUAUCCAUAGAUAAUUGGAGAUGUCAUUAGGUAUUCGUAUACUAUCGAAGACAUCAUCAUAUCAACUUAAGUCUCCAUAGAAAAUUAAAGAUAUAAUACAUCAGUCUUCAUAGACAAUUGAAGACAACAAUCAUCAUCAGUCUUCAUAGAUAAUCAAAGGCAACAAUCAACAUCAAUCUCUAUAGAAAAUUAGAGAUGUCAUACAUCAGUCUCCAUAGAUAAUUAAAGAUAUCAUCCGAUAGCGACCCAAGACUACCCCCUAGUUGUCACACGGUUUUUACGACCCCGAAGGACCACAAGCUAACCCAUGAAUGAUAUUUGUUAUGAGCACUGAAUAAUAAUACUAUAAUUAAUGCAGAAAAUGGGAUGAAAUGCCAUAAUGUUUAAAGCAUCUAAAAUACUGAUAAAUAACAACAUUUGAUAAAAAUUAAACACUAUCUGAAAACUAGUAUGAAAAGCCUCUAACUGAAUCUGUUUAAAAGUGGAGUUGAUGGGACAAUCCCCCAACUAACUCCGACUAUUGAGCUACUGCUAAACUGUGAUACUAAAAUAAAAAACAUAUCAUUAAAAGAUGAGGACUCACUGCUAAAUAUACUGCUGCUAGCUGAAUCUGAAUCUACUAUGCGUUGUCGGGAACCUGAGCGUCCGAACAUAUGAUAUAAAGCAUCAUAGUAUAGGAAAGUAUGCGUCAGUACGUGGUAAUGCACUGGUAUGCUAGAUGAGGUAAGGCUAAAUGUAAGGGUUCAUAUGCAUGAACAAUAACUAACUAAAUAAGAGUAACUAAACAUGGGAGUACAUGGAGAAUCUGAGAAUACUGUAAAUGUUGAGAGUGCAAUCAUACAUAUACAUAAAUAUGUAAACGGUAUCUGACAGUCCUGAUUCUAUAGAACUGGAAUAAGUUCUAAACUAAAGACUAAAACUAAAAUUGAAACUGUAGGAGGUAAUUAUCUAACCGACGUGUCCCUUGCUGAACUAAUUGGCGUCGAACUUAUAACCCCAGAUGGAAGGGUACUAAUAUCGUGCCAUGGCUACUAACACUAGAAAACCUGGAUGCCAAGCCUAACUAAUGGGUGACAUCUGGGCGGAGCCAAGCCUAAUCUGACGGUGACCCCUGGGAGGUAGUCAAGCCUAGUCUGAUGGGUGACUCCUCAUCCUGUGCUGGAUACACAGUUCUGGAGUACAGGGAUUGCUACUAACGACUCUACCCAUAUGAUGGGGAAGCCAUCAUCCUUGCUCUCGCUCGGUCUGAAUCCUACACCCAACUGAAAGAUACUGAAUUGAGUAUACUGGACUUGACUGGACUGGACUGAGAUUGAGUUUACUGAGUUUUUUUAAGUUCUAUAAUUAACUGAGUUCUACAGAGUUCUAUAAUAAAUUGAGAGUACUGAUUGUGACAUGACUGAUAGUAUUCUGUAAAUGACACUGGCUCUAGGUAAAUAGCUAAAUUGUCGAGUAUUAAAUACCCCCAAGACUCAAUAGCAUGAAAAGUAAAGCAAAUCAUAAUCUUGAAUAACACAACAAUGUUCACUUGGUCAUGAUUCAUUCAUAGAAAUAUUUCAUCAAACACUUGUAAUGCAUUAACUUGUACAUGAAUGGAAUCACAUAAUAACAUGUCAUGCCUACACUAGUCAAUUCACAUAAGCAUUUUAUCAAACACUUGUAGGGCAUAAGCUUGUACAUGAUUAAGAUCUAUUAAUAACAUCUCAUGAUUACUCUAUCUACUUUACAUAGGCAUUUUAGCAAAUACUUGGGGAGCAUGAGUAUUUCACAUAAUAAUGUUCAUUACAUAAACAUCAUGAAUACAAUACUUAAUUGUUGUAACACCCUAAUUUUUUGAACCAGAAUGCUACACGGUGCCUAUGACCACGAAGGACCACAAGCUAACCCAUGACUAAUAUUUGUACCUGUACACUGCAUAAUAUACAUGAUGAAUGCGAAAAACAUGAACAAUAGCCCAUAAGGUUCAACUAAAUAAAGAAUCUAUCAAAAUAUAACAUCCAUGUGGGGUAAUGAAUACCCAAAACAAUUGAAUCUAAAUCAAAAUUGAAUACAAACCUGAACUAAAUCUGAAAGCCUAUAAGUACUCUCUAAAUAAGGAGAUAAAGGAACAUGUCUCCAACUAACUCCGUAAAACUAAAAGCUAACUGAGACAAUAACUGAAUCAAAUCAUAUCAUCCUCGAAUGAAGAGGACUCACUAUAACUCUGUAUACUGGAAUGCUACUACUAUUGCGGAUCUGGAGCUCAUGUCUCUUGACCUAUGGUGUAACAUAAAAAUAAAGCACCAUAGCAAAAAUACGUCUGUACAUGGGGAUGUACUGAGAAUACAAGUGAGGUAGGCUAAAUGUCAAAGGGUUUACAUGCAUGAGCAAUGCUAACUAAUUGACUGAUAUGAAUGUGACAGUGCAAACAUGAAUGCAUAGUAAUUGAGAUUGUGAAUAUGUGAUAGAUAAAUCUGUACACUAAUACAUGGUUUACUGAUAACUAAUCAGGACUGAUACUGUAGUUAUGAUAGCAUGGGUGAUUGUAUCUGACAAUCCAGAAUCUGAUGGAACUAUUUGAGUUCCACACUGUAAUUAAAUUGACUGUAUGUGAUAGUCCUGAUGUACUAAAAUCUGAAGAACUAUCUUUUUUUACUGAGACUGAUGCUGAAACUGUGGGAGGUAGUUGUUUAACUGACAUGCCCCAUAUGUGCCAUUAUGGCUAAGUUUAGGGUCCAAUCUCUGCCCUGAUUGGAAGGGUGUCAAUACUGUGCCAUUGAUAAGAACAACGUGUGAGUAACCCUCAUAUAACAGGUAACUCUAGUGAGAAUGGUGAGAACCCUCGUAUAAUAGGUUAAGCCACCUCAUCUACCCUCAUAUAAUAGGUUGCGAUGUCUCAACCUAUGCUGGCUACAUAGUUCUGGAAUGCAAGGAUGACUGCUAGGAAUCACAACCUCAUAUAAUAGGUGUGUUCCCAUCCUUGGGUUCGCUCGGUGCUAACUUCUACUCCCAUCUGAAGAGACUGAACAUGAGUAACUGACUGUAUGUAGACUGAACUUACUGAAUUUCAUUAACUGAUGGAAUACUUUUGAUAUCUGAUAACUGACUAAGAUCAUGAGGUUUUCCUGAGUCACAUGACUGACUGAUUUCUAUUAAUUCAUGGCUUGAUUUUGGAGAUAGUGAAGCAUGACAAGGCUCUAGGCAUACAUCUAUAUUUUUUGGGUACAAGUACCUCCUAGACUCGAUGGAAGAAAACUGACACACAUGACUGACUUGAGUACGUGACCAACAUCAAUAAUCCAUAAUAUCAUAACUUAGGGAAUUGCAUGAAGUGCAUGGAUAUCAUACAUUUUGUACAUAAGUAGGAUUUGCAAGUAAGUAUGGCAUAAUCUCAUAAUACUAGUUUAUGAACAUCCCAACAACAUUUACAAGACACAAUAUCAACAUGAAAAUCAUUGGAACAUAGGGGCAUAUCAUGAAUCCUUCACUUAGUCACAAUUUAGCUAUAUUGCAUGAUUUCCAGUUCCUUAGGAAUUUUAUCAAACACCUUGCAUGCACUCUUUUAAGGCAUAGGUAUAUUUAUCUAUUCGACCAUCUUAAUCCAUCCAAAAUUUAUGGGUUUCAACUAACCUAUUCACAUGCUUCAUGAAAACACAUCAAGAUACAACCUUGAAUCCAAACAACAAUCAUCAAUAUGAAUAUAGUCAUAAUACGACAAGGAAAUCACAAUUUAUAAUUUAAAACAUGAUUCUUUAGCUGUAUGGAUGAAAGGGACCCAUGGAUGAACACUAUGCAUACUUUAGUGAUUGAAUCUUAAAAGAUAUCUAAUGUUUCUGAAGGUUCUCGAAGAAUUCCUUAGGCUUGCUCUUGAGGAGAUGAUCUUGAGAGAAAACCCUAAUCUUGUGGUUGAGAGUGUAUGAGAGAGCUUUUUGAGAUGUUUAACUAAAGAGAAUGGAAGAUAAUAUGCUCCUUGAGGGUUAUAAGUUAUGGGAAGGGAAGGGAAAAUACCAAAAUACCCUUAAUAAAAUGUCCCUCAAUUGUUGUAAAAAAUAGCUGAAAACAUUCGGGACAAGCCGUCAUACUGGUGAUAAGUCGUUACGAAUUGUCGUCACAAAAAGGUAAAAUUUUAUUUUUCUGGUUAAGGUUGACGACAUUGGUGAUAGGCCAUCACGGGCGGGAUGGCUUGUCAUAAAAUGUUGUCUCUGGGGGUGAAAUAUUCCCAGUGAUGACGACAUUGGUGAUAGGCCGUCACGGGCGUGACGGCUUGUCACGAAUGUCGUCACUCAGUUUCCCAGUCUGACAUGCCGGAGUAAAAUGGACAUAACUCCUUGAUCCGAUAUCGGAUUUAGGCAAAAUUGAUAUAGUUGGAAAGAUAAUUAAAUUAUCAACCUGUUAGUGGGUCAUGAGCUCAGAGAUUCAUAACAUAAUGAGAGAUAUUCUCAUUUGAAGUUUACUAUACCAAUAUCCUUCUGAAGAAUUCAAUCAGUAAGGAAAUAUUUUGAUUCGUCUAUUAGCUAGGACAGUUUUGAGGCCUUAAUAUGCAUCAAACUUGAUCAUAUAAAUACCAAAUAAAUAAAAUUUAUUACUCAUAAGUUCAAAGAAUAAUUCUAAAAAUUUCUAAACUUUUGGGGUAUUACAAUAUCUCUCCCUUGGGAACAUUUGUCCUUAAAUGAGAAUCAACUAAGAGGGGAUAAAAGACAAACUCAACAUGACUUAACCUGAAUAACUAAAAUCUAAUCUCAUGACUGACAUGAUAAAUAUACUAAACUCGUGCAUAUCUAAUACAUGGAUAACUGAUACAUGAAUGCAUAACUGAGUAAUUUGAUAAACUGAGUUUCUCAAGAUGAGAAUGCAUAGCUAAUGGAUGAUCUUAUAACUGAACUGAUACAUGAAUUCAUGAUUGAGUAUGCAAUGGUAUUAGGUACCAAGUUUUAUGAUGGGAACAUGAACAUAAAACUGAAUAAGCUUAAGGAGAACUAUUAGCUUGAGCUUGAUCUGAAUUGGCAGAGAAGAGGUGAGGAUACUUGGUAUGCAUAUCUGCUUCUGCUUCCCAAGUAACUCUCUCAUGAGACUGAUUUUACCAAAGAACCUUGACUAAAGGGACUUCUUUGUUCCUCAAUCUAUGAGUCUGAUAGUCUAAGAUUUUGACUGGAAUCUCUUCAUAAGAGAGGCUGUUCUGAAUGUCAAUGCUCUGAAUAGGGACUACAACUUCUAGGUCAUCUAUGCACUUCUUGAGCAAAGAGACAUAGAAGACUGGAUGAACUGAGGCUAGGUCUGAAGGCAAUUCGAGCUCAUAAGCUACCUUGCCGAAGCGACUGUAAAUCCUCUAGGGACCGAUAUAUUGGGGACUGAGUUUCCCUUUUUUGUCGAACCUCUUCACUCCCUUCAUGGGACAGAUCUUAAGAUAGACAUAAUCAUUGACCUCGAAUUCGAGAUACUUUCUACGAACAUCUGCAUAAGACUUCUGUCGGCUCUGAUCAGCCCGAAGUCUCUCUUUGAUAAACUGAACCUUCUAUAAGGCGUUGAAUAGCAAGUCAGGACCUAUGACUGAGGCCUCACUAACUUCGAACCAACCAAUUGGAGAUGUACAUCUCCUACCAUAGAGAGCUUCAAAUGAAGCCAUUUGAAUACUAGAAUGAUAGCUAUUAUUGUAUGCAAAUUUAAUCAAAGGUAAGCGGUCAUCCCAACUACCCUUGAAAUCAAUUACACACGCUCUUAGGAUAUCUUUAAGAUUCUGAAUUGUCCUUUCUGCCUGACCAUCUGUCUAAGGAUGAAAUGUUGUACUGAGAUGAACACGGGUACCAAAACCCUUUUGGAAUGCUUUCUAAAAGUGAGAGGUGAAUUGGGUACCUCUGUCUUAGAUGAUAAAUAAUGGAACACUGUGUAAUCUAAUCAACUCCCUGAUAUAGAGUUUGGCAUAAUCUUCGGUUAAAUAAGAAGUAAAAAUUGGAAGGAAGUAAGCUGACUUGGUCAUUCUAUGUACAAUGACCCAAACUGAAUCAUGCUAAUGACGAGUGAUAGAAAAACCUGUCACGAAGUCCAUGUUCACUUCUUCGCACUUUCAAGUAGGAAUGGUAAACUGCUGCAUGGAGCCACUAGGUUUUUGAUGCUCUAUCUUAACCUGCUGACAUGUAGAGCACUUAGCCACAAAUUCUAUAACAUCUCUCUUCAUCCUACUCCACCAAUAGAUCUCCCGCAAGUCACGAUACAUCUUAGUGGCCCCUAUAUGAAUAAAGUAUCGCGCACCAUGCCCUUCUGCAAGAAUUCACUGCCUUAAGUCAUCUACACCUGGAAUACACAGACGACCCUGACGACGAAGAACACCAUUUCCCCCUUAGGAGAAAAGCUCUACUUUCUGAUUCUGAACAGACUCUUUUAGCUUGACAAGGCUAGGAUCCCUGUCUUACUUCUCUUUAACCUCGGAAACUAGAGAUGAGUCUAAACUACUCUAAACACAUACACCACCCUCUGAAGAGUUGACUAAGCGAACGCCUAGUCUAGCAAGCUUAUGGAUAUCUUGAGCUAUCUUCUUUUUGCUAUCCUCAACGUGAUAAAUACUACCCAUGGAGAGUAUACUGAGAGCGUCGGACACAAUGUUGGCCUUUUCUGAAUGGUAAAGUACACUCAUGUCAUAAUCUUUCAAAAGCUCUAACCACUUUCUCUGACAAAGAUUGAGAUUUUCUGAGAAAAUACGUACUGGAGACUCUUGUGAGCUGUGAAGACAUCAACAUGAACUCCGUAUAAAUAAUGCCUCCAAAUACCAUGGAUGCUAACUCAAGAUCAUGAGUAGGAUAAUUCUUCUCAUAGAGAUUUAAUUGUCUGGAGGCUUAGGCUAUGACCUUACCAUGCUACAUGAGGACACAACCUAAACCUACUCUGGAUGCAUCACAAUAUACUACAAACCCAUCUAAACCAUCUGGAGGAGCUAAGAUUGGAGCUGAGGUAAGUCGAGUCUUUAAUUCCUGAAAACCCUUCUCGUAUUAAUCUGAUCACUUAAACUUGACAUUCUUCUGAGUCAAUAUGGACAUGGGAGACACAAUAGAAUAAAAUCCCUCGACAAAACGUCUUUAAUAGCCAGCCAAAUCCAAGAAACUCCUGAUAUCUGAUGGAGAUACUGGGCGAGGCCAGUUUCUCACCGCUUCAGUUUUUUGAGGAUCUACUCUAAUUCCAUCACCGGAAAUAAUAUGGCCAAGGAAUGCUACUGAUCUUAGCCAAAAUCUUAGCCAAAAUUCAUACUUACUGAACUUGGUGAAUAACUGAUGAUCUCUGAGAGUCUGAAGAAUAAUUCUGAGAUGAUCUGAAUGAUCAUGCUCUGUGCGAGAAUAGACCAGGAUAUCAUCUAUUAAGACUAUGAAGAACACGUUCAAAUACAACUUGAACACACAGUUUAUCAAGUCCAUAAAAGAGGAUGGAGCAUUGGUAAGACCAAAGGACAUGACUAGAAAUUUAAAGUGACCAUACCGAGUAUGAAAAACUAUCUUCGAGAUGUCAUAUUCCUUAACUCUGAGAUGAUAGUAGCUUGAUUUGAGGUCUAUCUUGGAAAAAUAACUGGCACCCUAAAGUUGGUUAAACAGGUCAUCUAUUUUGGGAAGUGGAUACCUGUUCUUGACAGUAACUUUGUUGAGCUGGCGGUAAUCAACACACAUCCUAAGAGAGCCGUCUUUUUUGUACAUGAAUAAAACUGGUGCACCCCAUGGGGAUAUACUGGGACUGAUGAAUCUCUUAUCUAAGAGAUCCUUCAACUGAUCCUUUAGUUCCUUGAGUUCUGCUGGAGCCAUUUUGUGUAGUAGAAUAGAAAUAGGCUGACUGUAUGGAAGUAGAUCAAUGCCAAAGUCUAUUUCCCUUUCGGGAGGAAUGCCUGGAAGGUGUUUAGGAAAGACAUCUGAAUAUUCAUUAACCACUGAGACUGAUUCUAAGCUAGGAGAUUUGGAACAGGAAUCCUUAACAUGUACGAGAUGAUACACGCACCCCUUAGAAAUUAUUUUCCUUGCCCGAAGGUAGGAAACAAGCUGACCCCAGAUUGGUGAAGUACUACCCCUCCACUCUAAGAUGGGUUUAUUCGGGAACUGAAACUAAACUAUCCUAUUUCUGCAGUCGACUAUGGGAUAGUAGGAAUGAAGCCAAUCUAUUCUGUGAAUGACAUCAAAAUUAGUCAUCUCUAAUUCGACUAAACCUGCUGACGUGGAUCUCUGAAAUAUCAUAAUCGGGCAGUUCCUAUAUACCCACCGAGCUAUAAUGGUUUUACCUACUGGGGUAGAAACUAAAAAGGGCUCUGUUAAAAUUUUAGAACUGAUUCCAAAGUCGCCUGCUAUGUAUGGAGUAAAAAAAGACAAGGAUGCACCUGGGUCUAGAAAAGCAUAAACAUGAACAUAGAAAAUCUGUAACGUAACAGUAAUGAUAUCAGGAGAAUUUUUCUGAUCUUGUCGAGUCUGAAGAGCAUAGUGUCUGUUUGGGCGUUGCCCACUAGUAGCACUAGAAGCAGCACCGUGCUAGUUUGGACACCUGGACUGAGCUGUGGAAUGAUUCUGCUGACCCUGAGGACCUUGCUGAGGAAAGUCUCUAAAUUUGUAGCCUAGCUUUCCAUAACUAAAACAAAUGCCACUACCCGCUCUAUACACACCCUGAUGGUGCUUACCGCAAGUUUGACACUGAGGAUAAGUGCGGGUACUUCUAAAACUUCCCUGAGAUUUAGAGCCUGGUGCUCUAUCUCUGUUGCCAUCUCUAAAUUUUGGCACUAAGGCACUAGCGAAGGAAGGGGCUGGAACUGCUGACUUAGGAUGAAACUGUGAACGGUUUUCUCCCUCUGAUUUGGGCUGAGCAAAACUGAAACUACCUGAUCUUUCUCUCUUGUUCUACCUCUCCCAAGUCUUAAACUUCUGCUCCUCUAUUUGCUGGGCAGGGGUCAUGAGUCUGGCUAAAGUCAUAUUACUGUUCAGCAUCGCCGACCUACACUUAUUUACCACGCUAUCAUUCACCCCUAACACAAAGUUGCUCAUUUUAACCCUGCUAUCUGCAACCACAUGAGGGGCAUAUCUAGCUAACUAAAUAUAUUUGAGAGAAUACUCUUUAACCGUUAUAUUUCCUUGUCUGAGGUUGAUGAACUCAAGAACUUUGGCCUUCCUCAGCUUUUGGGGAAAGAAUCUAUCUAAGAAAUCCAUGAAAAAUUCUUCCCACUCAAUAGAACCUCCAUCCUCUACCCUCUUAGACUUCCACUAUUUGUACUAAGUAUGAGCCACAUCUUGCAACUGGUAUGCGGCUAACUCAGCACUCUCAACAGAAGUAAUACCCAUGAUGUCAAUGACCUUCUGGACUUGGUCAAUGAAUUCCUGAGGGUUUUCAUCAGACUUAGACCCAAAGAAAGAUGGAGGGUUCAUUCGGGUGAAGUCCCAAAUCCUAGCUACGGCUGAGUUGACCAUUGGUUUAGCCAAAAUAACUGGUGGCUGUUCAUUCUGAGCAGCCACAGACUGAGCAAGUGUGGUGAAUGCAACCCUAAACUCUACAUGAGAAACAUGUUUGCCCAAAGGAUCUUCGGGAUGAGAAGCUGGUUGGUUUCUGCUCUUUGGAGGCAUAUUCUGAAAUAAGAGGAGAAUGGCUUAGACUGAAAGUUUAACUUGAGAUUAUUCUCACUAGCAUGACAUGAAUACUGAAAGAAAGGAAACUGUUCCUAAAAUAUCUCAUAGCCUCCGGCAUAUAAAUAUGGUGCGUAACACACCCAUGUACAAGACCUUACUAGAUGUGGCUUUUGAACUUCCUACGACUCUAUUGAACCUUAGGCUCUGAUACCAACUUUGGAGCACCCCAACUUUCUAAACUGGAAUGUUACACGAUACCUAUGACCCCGAAGGACCACAAGCUAACCCAUGACUGAUAUCUAUACCUGUACACUCCAUAAUAUACAUGAAGAAUGCAGAAAACAUGAAAAAUAGUCCAUAAGGUUCAACUGACUAAAGAAUCUGACAAAACAUAACAUCUAUGUGCGGUAAUGAAUACCCAAAAUAACUAAAUCUGAAUCAAAAUUGAAUACAAAUCUAAACUAAAUCUGAAAGCCUCUAAGUACUAUCUGAAUAAGAGGAUGAAGGAAUAUGUCUCCAACUAACUCCAUAAAACUAAAAGGUAACUGAGAUAAUAAAUGAAUCAAAUCAUAUCAUCCUCAAAUGAAGAGGACUCACUGCAACUUUGUAUAUUGGAAUACUACUGCUACUGUGGAUUUGGAGCUCGUGUCUCUGGACCUAUGGUGUAACAAGAAAAGAAAGUACCAUAGCGUAAAUGAGUCAGUACGUGGUGAUGUACUGAGUAUACGAGUGAGGUAGACUGAAUGUAAAAUGGUUUACAUGCAUGAGCAAUGCUAACUAACAGAUUGAUAUGAAUGUGAGAGUGCAAAUAUGUAUGCAUAGAAAACUGAGAUUGUGAAUGUAUGAUAGCUAAAUUUGUACGCUAAUACAUGGUUUACUGAUAACUGAUCAUGACUGAUAUUGUAGUUUUGAUAACAUGGGUGACUGUAUCUGACAGUCUUGAAUCUGAUAGAACUAUGAGUUUUGUACUAUUAUUAAAUUAACUGUAUCUGACACUCCUAAUAUACUAAAAUCUGAAGAACUAUCAAAGUUCUUUUACUGAGACUGAUGCUGAAACUGUGGGAGGUAGUUGUUUAACCGACAUGCCCCAUAUAUACCAUUAUGUCUAAGCCAGGGUCCAAUCUUUGCCCUGACUGGAAGGGUGUCAAUACCGCACCACAGAUAAGGACAACGUGUGAGGAACCCUCAUAUAACAGGUAACUCUAGUGAGAAUGGUGGGAACCCUCAUAUAACAGGUUAAGACACCUUAUCUACCCUCAUAUAAAUGGCUGCGAUAUCUCAACCUAUGCUGGAUACAUAGUUCUGGAAUGUAAGGAUUACUGCUAAGAAUCACACCCUCAUAUAACAGGUGCAUUCCCAUCCUUGGGUUCGCUCGGUGCUAACUUCUACUCCCAUCUGAAGAGAUUGAACAUGAUUAACUGACUGUACGUGGACUGAACUUACUGAAUUUCAUCAACUGAUGAAAUACUUCUGAUAUCUGAUAACUGACUGAGAUCAUGAAGUUUUCCUGAGUCAUAUGACUUACUGAUUUCUAUUGAUUCGUGGCUUGAUUUUGAAGAUCGUGAAACAUGACAAGGCUCUAGGCAUACAUCUAUAUUUUUUGGGUACAAGUACCUCCUGGACUCGAUGGAAGGAAAUUGAUGCACAUGACUGACUUGAGUACGUGAUCAACAUCAAUAAUCCAUAAUAUCAUAACUUGGGGAAUUCUAUGAAGUGCAUGGAUAUCAUAGAUUUUGUACAUAAGUAGGAUUUGCAAGUAAGCAUGGCAUAAUCUCAUAAGACUAGUUCAUGAACAUCCCAACAAAAUUUACAAGACACAAUAUCAACAUGAAAAUCAUUGGAACAUAGGGGCAUAUCAUGAAUCUUUCACUUAGUCACAAUUUAGCUAUAUUGCAUGAUUUCUAGUUCCUUAGGCAUUUUAUCAAACACCUUGCAUGCACUCUUUUAAAGCAUAGGUAUAUUUAUCAAUUCGACUAUCUUAAUCCAUCCAAAAUUUAUGGGUUUCAACUAACCUAUUCACAUGCUUCAUGAAAACACAUCAAGAUACAACCUUGAAUCCAAACAAUAAUUGUCAACAUGAAUAUAGUCAUAAUACGACAAGGAAAUCAUAAUUUAUAAUUUAAAACAUGAUUCUUGAUCUCUAUAGAUGAAAGGGACCCAUGGAUGAACAAUACGCAUACCUUAGUGAUUGAAUCUUGAAAGAGAUCUAUUGAUUCUGAAGGUUAUUGAAGAAUUCCUUAGGCUUGCUCUUGAGGAGAUUGUCUUGAGAGAAAACCCUAAUCUUGUGGUUGAGAGUGUAUGAGAGAGAUUUUUGAGAUGCUAAACUAAAAAGAAUGGAAGAUAAUACACUCCUUGAUGGUUAUAAGUUGUGGGAAGUGAAGGGAAAAGACCAAAAUACCAUUAAUAAAACAUCCCUCAAUUGCUGGGAAAAAUAGUUGAUGACAUUCGUGACAAGCCAUCAUACUGGUGAUAGGUGGUCAUGAAUUGUCGUCACAAAAAGGUGAAAUCUUAGUUUUCUGGUUAAGGUUGACGACAUUGGUAAUAGGCCGUCAUAGGCGUGAUGGCUUUUCAAAAAAUGUCAUCACUGGGGGUGAAAAUCUGCCAAGGCUGACGACAUUGGUGAUAGGCCGUCACGGGCGUGACGGCUUGUCACGAAUAUCGUCACUCUGUUUCCCAGCCUGACAUGCCGGAGUAAAAUAGGCAUAACUCCGUUCUCCGAUAUUAGAUUCAAGCGAAAUUGAUAUCAUUGGAAAGAUAAUUAAAUUAUAUAUAUGUUGGUGGGUCAUGAGCUCAAAGAUUAAUAGGACAAAGAGAAAUAUACUCGUUUGAAGAUGACUAUACCAAUAUCCUUCUCAAGAAUUCAAUCGGUAAGGAAAUUUUUUGAUCUUCUAUUAAAUAAGACACUUUUGAGGCCUUAAUAUUCAUCAACCUUGAUCAUAGAACUAACAAGGAACUAAAAUUUAUUACUCAUAAGUUCGGAGAAUAAUCCUAAAAAUAUAUGAACUUUUGGGGUAUUACAAUUGCAAAUUCAAGAGUUUAUCAUGUAAUUCAGAUAAUUCCCCCUAAAUACUAUUCUAUUUUUCAUGAAUCUUAUCAUAAUCAUAGAUUGAAAACCAAAUCAACAUCAUAGAUGUAUUAUUCACUUUAUAAAUUUAAGGUUCUAUCAAGAUAAUCACAUAUUUGUUAUGUACUUGUUAUUUAAUUUCAUGAAACUUGCAUUUAAAUCAUGGAUUGGAACCUAACUAAUAUUAUAAACACGAAUUCAAACAUGGAAAUCAUAAAUACAUCAUCUUUGUACUUUAAAAAAAAGAUUCUUGGACUUCAUGGGUGAAAGGGACCCAUGAAUGAACAUCUAACAUACCUUAAUAUGUGAGAUUCUUGAAGUUCUUGUAGGAGUUCUUGAGUUUGACCUUGAUUCUUGAACUAGGGUUUUGCCCUUUGAGAGAGAGUGGCUUGCUUCUUGAAAAAAUAGUGAAUUAAUGAGCAAUUUGUGCUCUUUUAGGGCUUGAUUGCGUGUUUGGGUUGACUGGGAUUGAGGGAAAAAUACCCUAGUACCCUCAAAAUUAAAACUCAGAAUUAACUGAAAAUCCCAAUUUUGUAUGCUGGCGCGACACGGUGAGAUCGUGCCAGCUCACUGGAUACUAGAGAACUCAAAACUGGAGAUUUGACACGACGUGGCACCAUUACGCCAACCCACUGCAUGGGAAUUUACUCCUUGGCAGGACGUGCCAUUAUCGCUAAGUCACAGUGGAAGUGACAAUUGUGAAAAAGUCUAGUGGCGCGUUGUGGUGGUACCGCAUUGUCUCAUUGGAAAAUGACAAAUUCCAUUUGGACUGCCUCCGCGAUACGCUGGAGUACCAGGUGGUACACUAUCUUACUAAAAUGGCUCUAACUCUUUGGCCGGGUGUCAGAUUUGGGCAAAUUUGGUAUCGAUGGAAAGCUUAUUCAAUUUCCCACAUGAUGAAAAUUCAAAAUAUUGAAAGUUACAUAUGUAUAAAAGUUUAUUCAUAUUUAAAGAAAGUCUUUGAUAUUUUUGGGAUGAAUUAAAGCUAAGCAAAAGUACAGGGUGUUACAAUAUCAUCCCCGUGGGAACAUUCGUCCUCAAAUCAGACUGAUUAAGUUGAGGACUGCUGAUAGACUGAGCUGAGACAUUGAACAUGUACAGUGAAACAUGACUACAUGGCUGAACUACUGACAAACUUAGUUUCCAUACUGAACGUGCAUAUCUGAUGCAUGGAAUAAUGACUAAACCGAGUAAUGAAUGCGUGACUGAAUUUACAAUGAUAACUGAUACUAAGAUUAUAGUUGUAGCUGAACAUGGAAUUGAGAAGAUCUAAGGAAGACUGUUACCUUAGGAUAGGAACACUAAUAAGCCUAAGAUUAUUUACUGAACAUGUAUGAACAGGAACAUGAGAACAUGCAUGAGUCUGAAAUAUGAUACACAAACUAAAUAUUGUGAACUGAACUGAACCCUUAAGCACAUAGAUUACGGCUGAGAUUAGAACUAGAGGUUCAACUGUGAGGACCCAUUACUCCAACUGUAUUAGUUACAUAAAGAGAAAAUGGUCGUUACAUAAAGGAUGUUAUAGUGCAUCUCCCCCUUGGGACACUAUGUCCCUCGAAGAAUGUUGACUUAACUGAGAUACUGAGGAAAAACUGAGACGAUGCACGGGGCACCUAUGAACUGAAUCAUAACUGAAUAUCUGGGAUCUAAAACUGAGACAUGAAAUAUGAACUAGGAUGAAAUUGUUACUACUAGGAUGCUCUAUCUUGGAAUGGUCAUACGCAUGAAACUUUGGAUAGUAUAACUAAAUGGAAAGAUUGGCAAGCAUACGAACUUAUCUGCCUGACUGCUAACCUGUAGUACUGGCUUUACGGACUAACUCAUACUAAAAACUUAUACUCAACUAGAGCAGUUCUUGACACUGUUUCUAUAGUGUUCUACUAACUUUAGGGAGCAAGGAAAUCUUGGCACGGUCUAAAUAAGACAUCUGAACAAGAAAUCAUAACAUGGCUAUAAUUUUGUAACAUGGAGUAAGGCCUAAAAAAACACCUUCUAAGAUAGAUUUACUAAGACUUGUGCACUGCAGCUACCAAUUUUCAAGCUUAGCACAUUUUUUGAAUACUUUCUCAACUAUACUCUCCUUCUUAGCACAACACUUCGCCUGAAACUGGUGAAAAGAUUUACACGAGUGCUAAGCACGAAUGCAUAAACAUACUAGCUUAUCUGUUUGAUUAAACUUCUGAUGGUUGAAUACUGGCCACUUAAGAUUGAACUAUUCAUAGCCUAAAUAACUGGAUUGAAACUGUAGAGUACUAUGCAUAUGAGGUAAGGACUGACUGAGGAACGUAAGGUAACUGAAUAUGAAUUCAUGGAAACUAUUCUUAUUUAAGAAUGCAAGACUGAGCGUAUAACCUAAUUCUGAAAUGGUCAAUAAGCUAAAGUAUUGAAAUACUGAUAGCUGAAUAACUAGUGACUAUACGUUAGGGUCAAGCAAACCUGAAACUGAACUGAGCCACUGAGCUGACUGCUGAAUUGGGACUGUGACUGAGAUUCAUAUUGGAACUAAAGGUUGGGAUAUGAUCAAACAUGGAUAUUGAAUGAAUACUGGAUCUGAAUCUGCGUGAGGGAGACUGUCAUAAAUUGAGGAUCUGAAUAUACAACCACACUCUGCCUUCUCUUAUUUUCUUCUCUUCUUUCAACAACUAAAUACAUCCUCCUUCUAGCCAUUCACUUACGUACAAACAUGACAUUCACACCUAUCUUUAUGACUAUAUCCUUGGGUAAAAUGAGCGCGCACUAAUCUUACUUAACACAAAACAUUUACCCUACUCUCUUUCUUUUAAGCAAUCACUCAUCACUACCUCCUCUCAUAAGAAGAGUUCACUGAAAGGCUAAAACAUCAGAACAUAAAACAUGAAUGGACACUACACCAAACUUGAAACUUAACUGAGGCCUGAUAAAUAGAAUAUCAACAUCAUGGAUUUAUCAAGAGGUCUAACUAAGGGUAUACAUGACCUAAUCUAAAUUUAGCUGAUUAUUAGGAGAGUAACAUGAGUACUAGAAUUAAACAUACUAUAAAACAUGAGUACAUGAGUCAUGAGCGACAUGACCUGUGUUUUGAGUUUCUAUAUUCAUGGAACAUGAUUCGUAACACUAAGUGAUCUAGAAUCCCUUAUACUUGGAAUUGUAAACGUGUAUGAUUUUCGUUAAUAUGCAUGAAUAUGAACUAUGAUCAUAGAGCUAAUAUGUAAGGAAUGAGUACUGCCAUUACUGACAUUACUAGUAGAAUCUAAAGCCUAACUUGGUUACUUAUUCUACUAUCUCCCCGUUAGCUUAAAGUCGUCAUUUUAAGUUUGUGAAUAACUUAAUAAACUCUAAAUCAUACUGAAACCACUUUGCUCUGGAGUCUGAGAUACAAUAGUACUCAUAAACUCUGAACUCAUACUGAAGGACUACUCUUGAUAACGUAAAGUCCCCCACUUAGUACUUUCUUCUGAUACACAAUUCUUAGAUUUCCAUAGCCCCAACAAUCAUCAUAUAGCAAUAUCAACACCGACAAACCUUAGAAUUCUCACUCUUCUUUCUACUAGUUCAAUCUAGAGAUUCAACUUAGAUUAACUAAAACUAAGGUAAUACUCCCCCAUUCAUUCAAUGAUUAGUCUGUUAGAAAACUGGAACAUAAAGACUCUAUUAUUAAAAUCAACUGAAGGGAUCUUCUAGAAUACUGUAACUGAGCAAUUUCUACAUACUCGCCUGGAUGGAAUGGGUUGACUUACUGAGGUAGGAACUAAGAAAGGUUUUGUUAAGGUUUCUAGUUUGACUUUAAAGUUGACUGCUACGUAAGGAGUUACAUGAUUCAAAGAAGCUCCUAGAUCUAAUAAGGCGUAGACAUGUGAAUGGGGGAUCUGUAACAUAUUAGUGACCACAUCAAGAGAAUUUUCCUAAUAUUUUCUAGACCAAAGUGCAUAAAUCCUUCUUUGGCAUUGCCCACUGGUGGCACUGGAAAUGGCACCCUGUUGAUUCGGGCGAUCGAACUAAGCUGAAGGACGGCUGGACGGACCUUGUUAGCGCAAAUCUUUUCCCUUCUGAGCCAUUACUCUACACUCCCACAUCCUGUGGCCUAGCUUGUAACAUGCGAAACAUACAUCGCUGCCAGCUCUAUACACACCCUGAUAGUUUUUACCACAUCCUUUGCAAGGUGGGUAGGGAUGACCUCUUUUCAUGCCUGAGGCAUAGAUCCUAACGUGCUACCUCGAGUGUCAUUUCAAAACUUUGGCACUGGUGCACUAGCUACAAAAGGAUUUAGGGCUGAGAAUUUUUGGCAAAACUGGAAGUGGUUACCACCCUCUGACUUUGGCCUGAAACCACUUGUUCUGACUCUCUUAUUGUCUCUAUCAUCCCUCUUACGCUUCUCCCUCUUGCUUUGCUGAGUAUUUACCCCAAGCAUAGAUAGGACAAUAGCCUAUAGGUUGUUCUAAGAAACUACUAAAUAGGCUAAAGUAGUGAAAGCAACUCUGAAUUCUGCAUGAGAGACAUAGACAUGCUCAUCCAGGGGAUCUUCCUGAGCGGGCUGAGGUGCUGAUUGAUUUUUGGCCCUUCUUUUAUUAGUCGUUUAGGGAGAAAUGUUCUGUAAACAAAAAAGAGAGAAUGGAUUAUACUGAGAGUUUUACUUGAGCUUAUUCUCAAUCGCACGACAUGAAUACUAAAAGAAGGGAAAGUUUUCCUAAAUGCCUUGUAGCCACUCGUCCUAAGUGUGGCGUGCUAAACACCCAAGCACAAGACUCUACUCAAUGCAGUUUUCAGACUCCCUAGGAAUUUGUUGAACCUUAGGCUCUGAUACCAAUUUUGUAAUGACUCGAGACUACCCCCUAGUCGUCACAUGGUGCUUGUGACCCCGAAGGACUACAAGCUAACCCAUGAAUGAUAUCUGCUGUGAGAAUUGAAUAAUGAUACUGCAAUUAAUGCAAAAAAUGAAGUUGAUGGGACAAUCCCCCAACUAUCCUGAAAAGCCUCUAACUGAAUCUAUCUGAAAAUGGAGUUGAUGGGACAAUCCCCCAACUAACUCCGACUAUUAAGCUACUGCUAAAAUGUGAUACUGAAAUAAAAAGAAUUUCUUCGAUAGAUGAGGACUCACUACUAAAUAUACUGCUGCUGGUUAAAUCUGAAUCUACUAUGCAUGGUUGGGAAUCGGAGUGUCCAAACCUAUGAUAUGAAACAUCAUACCGCAGGAAAAUAUGUGUUAGUAUGUGGGAAUGUGCUGGUAUGCUAAAUGAGGUAAGGCUAAAUACAGGGGUUCAUAUGCAUGAACAAUAAAUGACUACAUAAGAGUAACUGAACAUAGGAGUACAUGGAGAAUCUGAGAAUAUGUAAAUGCUGAGAGUGCAAUCUGUGCAUAUACAUAAAUAUGUAAAUUAUAAUCGAUCUUUUCUGAAGCUAAGUAUUUAAUUCUAAUAACUGAUUAACUAAUACUGAUUGACUGUAUCUAAGAGUCCUAAUUUUGUAGAACUGGACUGAGUUCUGAACUAAAGAAUGGAACUAAAACUAAAACUGUGGGAGGUAAUUAUCUAACCGACAUGCCUCUCUUUGAACUAAUUGGGGUCCAACCUGUAAUCCCAACUGGAAGGGUGAAAAUACCAUGCCUGGGUACUAACACUAGAAAACGAGGAUGCCAAGCCUAACUGACGCGUGACACCUAGGCGGAGCCAAGCCUAAUAUGAUGGGUGAUCCUUAGGAGGUAGUCAAGCCGAGUCAGACAGGUGACUCCUCAUACUAUGCUAGCUAUUCAAUUCAUGAGUACAGGGAUUGCUAUUAACGACUCUACCUAUCUGACGGGGAAGCCAUUAUCCCUGCUCUCGCUCGGUGCUAAAUCCUGCUCCCAACUAAAAUACACUGAAUUGAGUAUAUUGAACUUGACUAGACUAGAUUGAGAUUGAGUUUACGGAGUUUUCCUAAGUUCUGUAAUUGACUGAGUUCUAUUGAGUUCUAUAACGGACUGAGAGUAUUGAUCAUGACAUGAAUGAUACUAUUCUAUAACUGACACUAGCUCUAGGUAAACAGCUAAAUUGUUGGGUAUUAAAUACCCCCAGGACUCGAUAGCAUGAAAAGUAAAGCAAAGCAUAAUCUUGAAUAUCAUAACAAUGUUCACUUGGUCAUAAUUCAUUCAUAGAGACUUUUCAUCAAAAACUUGUAAUACAUUAACUUGUACAUAAAUGGGAUCACAUAAUAGCAUAUCAUGCCUGCACUAGUCAAUUCACAAAAGCAUUUUAUCAAAUACUUACAGGGCAUAAGCUUGUACAUGAUUAAGAUCUCAUAAUAACAACUCAUGAUUCCUCUAUCUACUUCACAUAGGCAUUUUAGCAAAUACUUGGGGAGCAUGAGUAUUUCACAUGAUAAUGGUCAUUGCAUAAACCUCAUAAAUAAAAUACUUAAUUGCAAAUUCAAGAGUUUAGCAUGUAAUUCAGAUAAUUCCCCUAAAUACUAUUCUAUUUUUCAUAAAACUUAUCAUAAUCAAGGAUUGAAAACCAAAUCAACAUCAUAGAUGCAUUAAUCACUUUAUAAAUUUAAGGGUCUAUCAAGAUAAUCACAUAUUUGUUAUACAUGCUAUUUAAUUUAAUGAAGCUUGCAUUUAAAUUAUGGAUUGGAACCCAACUAAUAUUAUAAGCACAAAUUCAAUCUAAUUCAAACAUGAAAAUCAUAAAUACAUCAUCUUUGUACUUUGAAAAAAUUUAUUCUUGGACUUCAUGGGUGAAAGGGACCCAUGAAUGAACAUCUAACAUACCUUAAUAUGUGAGAUUCUUGAAGUUCAUGAAUGAUUUCUUGAGCUUGACCUUGAUUCUUGAACUAGGAUUUUGCCCUUUGAGAGAGAGUGGCUUGCUUCAUGAGAAAAUAGUGAAUUAAUGAGCAAUUUGUGCUCUUUUAGGGUUUAAUUGCGUGUUUAGGCUGACUGGGGCUGAGGAAAAAAGACCUAAGUUCCUUCAAAAUUAAAUCUCGCAACUGACUAAAAAUCCCAAUUUUGUGCGCUAGCGCAAUGGGGUGAGAUCACGCCUUGAGAACUCGGAACUGGAGGUUUGGCGCGAAUCGGCGCCAUCACGCCGACUCACUGCAUGGGAAUUUACUCCUUCGCACGAUGCGCCAUUAUCAUAGAGUCACACUGAAAAGUGACAAUUGGGAAAAAAACUAGUGGCACAAUGCGGUGGUAUCACGUUAUCUCAUUAGUAAAUGACAAAUGCCAUUUGGACAGCCUCCGCGACGUGCUGGAGUACCAAGUGGUACACUGUCUUACUAAAAUGGCUCUAACUCUUUACUCGAGUGUCAGAUUUGGGCGAAUUUGAUAUUGAUGGAAAGAUUAUUCAAUUUCCCACAUGAUGAAAAGUCAAACUCUUUAAAAUUACAUAUGUAUAAAAAUGUAUUCGUCUUUAAAGUAAGUCUUUGACAUUUUUGGGACGAAUUCAAGCUAAGCAAAAGUACGGGGUGUUACACAUCCAUUAGAACUUUGUAGAGAAUCGGAGACAUCCUUCAUUCACAUAGUCUUCGUAAACAAUCAAAGAGGAUAAUCAACAUCAGUCUCCAUAGACAAAUGGAGAUGUCAAUAUCAGUAUCCAUAAACAAUUGGAGAAAUAAUCCAUCAAGUCUUCGUAGACAAUCAGAGACACCUUUUAUUCAUCACAUAGUCUUCGUAGACAAUCAAAGACAUCUUUGAUUCAUCACUUAGUCCAUCGACAAUCGGAGACAUCUUUCAUUCUUAAGUCUCCGUAGACAAUUGGAGACGUCAUGCAUCUUUUCAGUCAAAAAUACAAUCCACGAAAAUACAUUUCUUUUAUUUCCUAGAAGACAGUGUUAACCAUAAAUCAUAAACUGGGCAAAUUUUGAGAAUCACCUAAAAAACUUAGCCUAUUUUCUCAUUUCGAACUACAUUGACCUGAUUCUCGUAACAUUCGAGAUAUGUAGGAAGCUCUAUGAAGAAUUCGGUCGUCACUGCUUCACAAUUAUUCUUUCACCCUAUUGCAUCCCCAGCAUCUCACAGCUCGAUACUCGAGCAAUUUUGAAUGGAACAUCAGGAAUAGAUGAACACUUCUGUUCCCAAAUAGUCCAUGUUUCAUAAAUUACUUCACACAGUCUUUCACCCUUAAUAACAGAGAAAUUUUCCUAAUUUUAAAAUUACACCCGACCUGAUCCUCAAGCAAAUCGAGGUGUAUAAGCAACUCUAAAUUGGAGUUCGCUUGAAUUUUUUAUCAAAAAUAAUUUUUUAUUGAAAAAAAUUAGCUACACGUCAACGUUUUUGUUUGAAGAGUUCUACAUUAUCUUCAAAUGAAAAGGGACAAACUAUUGACACCCAAUUUUGGAUCUCCAUACUUAAAAUUAGCACUUUUUAGGCUUUAAGAUUGUUAAAUGGAAUAAUAUGCAAUUUUUGACAUAUUUUUUGUAAUUGUUAAUAAAUGAUUGAUAUUCAUCAUUCAUUUAGGAUUUUUACGCAUUUAUUGUCAUAUUUUAAUUUUACAUAAUUUAUUGAUAAUUAUUUUUAAUUUCAUAAAUUUUAGAAUUUUUAUCAGUUUAUUAGUAUUUUAAUAUUUUUGCACAAUCAUUUGCAUACGUACACAACACAACACUGUAAUUUUUUAAUGGAAAGUAUAAUUUUAGUUAUUUAUAGCAUAAUAUAUUUUUUUAAAUAUAAUUAUAUUUUUAUUUGUUGUUUAUAUUUUUCUGUAAUUAUAUAUCGACAUUCAUUAUUUUGUACGUUAUUUAAUACGACCUGCAAAGCUGAGUCGAUUUAAUUAUUUUAAUACACAGAACAAUAAAUUGGUCAAAAUAAAGUCUCUUUACUUAUUAAUUUUCUUGACUUUUUUGCACCUACUAUCCCAAAUUUAAGGGAUAUGUUGGGGAAAAUUAAAUUUAAUAUCUUUUUUUAUAUUAUCAUUUUCCCUUUUAAUACUCCACACAUACACACACAACAUACAUAAACACACUCAUAACACACACAGUCAGAUCCCUCCUUUCUCUCUUAAUUCACUCUCAUCUCAGGCUUUUUUUCUCUCUGUCACUUCCACCGCUGGAAUUGAUUACCGAUUGGCCGAUGAUGAUGAUGCCGCGUGCCACUACUCUUUCCUCCUCCAACUACCACCCCUCUUCCCUCUCCCUCUUUUCUUGUCGCCCAACCAGCACUAGUCGGUGUAGAUUCUGGCCACCACCAUGCUCCCCUCUCCCUUUCCCUCUCUUUUCACUACUGGCUCGCCGGAAUUGGUGAUCAGCGAGAUCCAACCCAAAAACCCACCAGCCGCCCCCUUUCCUAUCUCACUCUCCGCCACUGCUUCGCCGAAAUUUACCACCAAUGAGCUGUCCAAACGCCAAUAUGCACCAACACUGACCCUCCCAUUCUCUUCUACCAUAACAUUGAUAAUCAUAUCGUUUGGUGGUAUUUUACAAUUUUGGUGAUAUGUUUUAGUCAGAAUUUCGAAACUCAGGCAAACCUUGCUUUUACUCCGAUAAGGGUUUCUUCUUUGGCUUAUUUUUUGCUACUGAUUGUUAUUGUUUGAUGUGUUUAACUUUGAAUUUGUUAACAGUUGGUCCUAUCCAUGUUGUUGUUCUUGAUGAUUUUUCUUUUACUAAUAACGAAUAAAAUACCAUAUUACAAUACUUGACCAAUGAAAUUAUCUCUCCAUCUGGAUAUUUGAGGCCACACUAUUAUAAAUGAUGAACUUUAUUUUAUCAAAGUUAUUAUUUUAUAAUAAGGGCCGACACUUGGUCGAUGAAGAAAUUCUUUGUCAAUUUUCGAGGCCGACACAAAUAAAAAUACUGAUGUUACGUAUAUAAAUACGUAAUAAAAUAAAUAAAUUUGGGUGAUGACGAAACUUUAUAACAGCACAAAAGAUUUUAUAAUUUUUAUUUUGGCAAGUCAAUUUAGGACGGCCAAUCAAUUGAGCAACCACUUCGUAGCCAUAGCGUAUUUAGAAUUUAAUCUAAGCCUAUAUUUUAAUGAAAAUCAUAUUUUUAUAUACCUUUUCAAUUUAUUUUGAUAAUUAUUUAUUUUGUUACUAACAUUUAAUUACAUGUGUUUAUACAGGUUAUUGAUAACACUCACCGGGAGUGACAUUCAAGGAAGACUUUACAUUUUAUGUUGUAUUUUAUAUUCUUAUACAUGUACAAAUAUUAUUAUAGUGAAAACUUUAAUUUUGGGGUGUUGGGCGGGAUUUUCUUUAUUCAUACAAACUUCACCACGCGUUAGGCAAAUUUAGGCCGUUAAUUUUUACAUUAAAAUUGAUUUAGAUAUUUAAUCCACAAAUAAUUCACUCUAAAUAUAUUACGUAAUCUUUUUCUCUAAACAGAUCUUUCAUUAUUCAAUCUUUUCAUUUUAAUAUGCACAUUAUCAUGUAUUUUUGUUUAUCUUAAUACACUUUUUAUACACAUGCAUAUUUUUUACAAUAAUAUAAUCAAUUUACACAUUCUUUAUAUAUAUAUAUAUUGUCUAUAUCAUUUUAAUACACAUUUUAUAUUAUGUAUUUAUAAACAUAAUUUUUUUCAUUUUUUAAUAAACCUAAAUCUAGCCGGGAACCACAUUUGUGGAUUCUAAAGGAUGCCUAACCUCUUUUCUUUGGAAUAAUUUGAACUCUUACCUAGAAUUAAAUUGGUUCGUAGAUUAAAUAAAGUCAUACUUGUUAAUAAAUAAAUAGGUUUUCUAUUUUUUCUUAAAAAUUAGGUGGCGACUCUGUAUAUAAUUAAUUCUUUUAGAUUCCAUAAUCUCGUACUCAUUUUGACCUUAGGUAAAAAUCGGGUAUGACAAUGACUUCAUGUAGUCUAUCUAUCUAUCCCUUUGUUUUAUUGUAAUUGUGUAGUUGUGUUCUUGUUAUAACUGUUUGUUGUUUGUCUUGUGAUAGUGAACCCGUGAUUUCUUAUUGUUAUCAUAUUAUUCACGUUUCUUCAUCUUAUUGUUGCAACUUAGUUUGGUUGGCUGUUAUGGUGUGAAGUCACACCCUUUGUUAUUUCGUUUAUUAGUGUAUUUGUUGAAUCCGAGUGUAGUCUCCAAUCAAUCCAAGAAUUCCUUUGAUUAGUGGACUAUUUUGGAGUGUGUUUUGUGUUCUCCUUGUUUGUAGUGUAUUAGGUAGUAAGGCUAAAAAGAUCAUAUUUUGCUGGCUCACUACCAUGGAGCACAAAUAAGCAACUUUGUAAAUCUUGCUGAAUUGCCCGGAAGUUGAGCCCUCUUUGAAGUAAGGAGAUUAAAUAUUAACAUAUGAUAUUUAUUUGGUCGUUCCCUUAAGGAAACUAAUUGUGUUUCGCAUGUUGGAUCUUCAGUUCAUUUAAGACUCAAUUCCAUGAAAAUCAAGUGUAUGCAUCCUUUGCAACAUGGUUUACAUAUGAGGUACAUAAGUGUACUAAUAUUUCUAGAAAUUUUAAACAUUUACACAUUCUUCAACUAACACACACACACACACACAUCUCUCUCUCUAUAUAUAUAUAUGUGUGUGUGUGUGUGUUUGUAUGUAUGUAUAAUAUAUUUAGGUACACCAGUCACCAAAUGCGACCGCAUACGAUCAGUUCUUGAGAGAUAUUUCUUUAGGACCAGUUGAAGCUCAUACAAUGUCCCAUUACAGAAUAAGUGGGUUUAAAUUUUCUACCGAAGAACACUGUAGAACAAGAAAAAAAAAUAAUAGUGGUGUUUGGGUUAACAACGAUGAUGAUGUUGAUUACUUUGGCAUCGUACAAGAGAUCUUAGAACUGGAGUAUGCUGGUUUUCUAAUAAAAAAAAAUUGUCCUCUUUCAAUGUAAGUGGUUUGAUCCAAGAUCAAAGGGCACAACAGUACAUAAGGAGCAUAACAUCAUUGAAGUGAAGCACAAUAGGUCGUAUCCUAUUUACGAUCCCUUUGUUCUUACGUGAAAUGCUAAAAAAGUUUAUUAUGCUCCUUAUCCGUUGUGUAGUGAUAAGUGUGAUUGGUGGGCUAUAAUCAAAAUAAAGCCUAUAGGAUGGGUGGAAGCUAAAAAUGUGUUAGAGACAGCGUAUCAAAAUGAAAUGCAGAUUAAUCACCAGCUAGUGGACAUUGACUUAUUGGAUACUUUUAAUCACCCGAAAAAUUUAUUUGAAGAAGUAAAUAUUGCAGAAGAAGAGGCUGAGUGGGUAGAAGAUGAGGAAACUUUCAAAGAGGGUAAAUGGUUUUGUGGAGAAUCUUCAGGAGAGAAGGAUUAGUUUGUGUAUGUUGUAUUUAUUAUGUAUUGAUGUCUUUAUGCUUUGUAUUAUUCACCUUUAUGUUUUUUUUUAUGAUUGAUAUGUAAUAUACUGUGUAAGAUUGUUGUUUUCUCUUUUCCAUAAUUUGUGUAGUAAUAGAAAUAUUCUUGUUCAUGUUGUGUUGUUAGAGCGAUUUGAAAUAUGAAUUAGUAACUUGAAAUUAGUUACUUGGAAUGUUUUCUUAUAUAUUCAUUUUGUAACAACUAACUACUUUUUAACUUAACUUAAUUUAGAUGGCAGGUAGAGGUGACAAAGGUAUACAAAAAGUUGAUCCUACAAAAAGAAGAAAAACAACCUUCGCCUUAUAUGCGACCGACAGGUAUUCAUAUAUUUGAGGGUCGAUUUGCUGAUGCGCCUGCAUGACCCUCAUAUUCUAGGUCGCUGCAACAUUCAGUUCCUACUCCUACGUAUGUGGGUUCACUUCAUGGGUCGACAAUGACUCAUUCUGCUACCAUCCCCGUGCCACCUCUAUCACAGUACUAUCAGACGAGCGCUGGUACAUCCAGGCAUCGACCAUCGUCUACACUAAUCUUCUAUAGCAGUCACCCAUAUUCUUACAGUGAUUCUGCUAGAUCUAUUGGGUUGACAGAUCUUCAUCUUGGAGGCACUACAUUCGAUACUUCAUAUCCGCCCACGCCAAUGCAUCCACCAUCACUUGUUUCGCAGCCCGGUGAUUGAGAUGAUUAUAGGAGGCAUUAUAUUAUUUCAUAUGGAAUAGGGUAAGAUUUAAAAAUAUAAUAACAUUAUUCAUUUUUCACUUACUAUAUUAUUAUGCUCUAUGAAAUUACUGUUUGAUCUUGUGUUGUAGGUUUAAACCGGAUACUGGAGUUGGAAAAAUUGUGAGUAAAUAUAUUUGUCGGAACUUCAACAGCUAUUGGACCAGUUGGCAAAAGGUUCCAGAAAAUGACAGAGAACAAAUGUUUAAAGAAUUCCAUGUAAGGAGUUAACUUAUCGACUACUUAACACAUUGUUAGAACAAAAGAUUGAAUAUUAUAUUUUUGUUUUUGUUGUAGAAGUAUUACUAGUGGGAUGACGCAAAUGAAUGUGCUAUAAGGAGGAAUUUUUAUAGAAGAGCUAGAUCCACAUUUAACAGUCUGUUGGAUUAUGUCAGAACCAACAGGGUACGACUAGGGUUUAUACUCAAACCCAUAUGGCAAGAGUAUCUUCGCUAUUGGAAUAGUGAAGAAUACCAAUUAUUGAGUGACAAAGAAAAGAAAGCCUGGGCAUCACCCAAGGGUGGCUCUCUACAUACUGCGAUUGCAGUUAGUAAGAUUGUUGUGGAGGAAAAAAUGGUAUGCAACUUUUACAGUUUAAAUUGUUAGUUCUAUUUAAAUUUUUAAUUAUUUGAAGAUUAAUAAUUUUUUCAUAUGCAGAAAAAAAUGGGUAGGAAGAUAACAUACGAUGAACUAUUCAAGAAGCUGCAUGUGAAGAAGAAAAAGAACCCAACUGAUAAAGAUGUUUGGGUUGAGCCUCGUGCAAAAGCUGCCCUUGUAAGAAUCAAAUUUUGAAUUUAUGAAUCUUUUUCUCAAAGUUGAUAUUAUUCAAGUACAAGUACUUUAAUUUUUUUUACUAUUAAUUUUAACUUUACUUUGAAUAUAGGAUAAAUAUAUGCAGCUCGUUAAUAAGUAUCAUAGUACUCAGCCCCCUGAAAGUCGAGGUGAUCCAAUACCUGAACAUGUAGAGGAAGAGUUAUGACAACAAACAGUGGGUCCUGCAAUUAGAGACCACUACUACAGAUAUCACAGAAAAUAUUUUGGCGAGAAUGUUAGGUCUUCAUCCAUCCCUACAUCCUAUACCUCAUCAAUUGAUAGAGCAAUCAUUGAAUCACUAAAAAAUACGGUUUUUAAACUCACUGAAGAGCUUACUGAACAGAGAGAGAGGGCAUAAAAGAAGGAGGAGGAAACAACAUAAAUAAUCAAGAUGCUACAAGAGCAGUUCAGCUCUUUUAUUCAAUCUGUAGGGAUUGUUCCUACAUGUCCUGGUGAUGCAAUUCGGGCUGCAAAAGGUCAAGGUCCACCGGAUGAUAUCAGCACAGAUGAUGAAUCAGAUCCUGCGUGUGCGGCUGAGGAUGUGGAAGACAAAGACGAUGAUGAUGAGUGGUAGCUUUUUGACUUUUGUAUGUGUUGUAGUUUGGAUUUGGAGAUGAGUUGUAGUUUUUACACUUUUGUAUGUUUUUAGACUAGUAUUUUAUGUUAGUUUUGUGGGAACACACUUGGUAUGUUGUUGUAUUAUAUGUUGGUUGUUUCAUUUGUUUGGUUGGUCAUUUUUCAUUUUUAAAAAAAUCCAGAAAAACCUACCAUAUGUGGUCGGUUUUUCUGAAAAUUUUACAAAAAGCCGACCACAAGUGGUCGGUUUUUUUCAAAUAAAUUAAUUAAUAAAUUUUAAAAGUGGUUGAUUUUAUUAAAAUUAAUUAAUUAAUUUUAAAACAAAACCAACCACUUGUGGUCAAUUUUAUUAAAAUUAAUUAAUGAAUUUUAAAAUAAAACCGACCACUUGUGCUCGGUUUAUUUUAAAUUUUUAAACUCAUUUUUUCUAUUUUUGUAAAAUAAUAAUGUAUUUUAAAUAUAUAUAUAUAUAUAUACAUAUUAAAACCGAGUUUUAAAAAAGCUACAACACUUUUACCGACCACGCAUUUUGGUCGAUUUUGUGAUCGGAAAUGAAUGUGAUCGGUUUUCCUAUUUUAGUAGUGAAUGUAUUCUUGUCUAGCGAGAGAUUUCUCCCAAUAGGUUUUAUGUUUUUCAAUAUUAAUUUUCAAUAUGUAGGUCGUUUGACCAACCAUCAAUAAUAUGUUUUCAGUAUUAUAUUUUUUUGUCAUCUGAAUUAUCAUCGUCUUAGUUUGUAAACUUUAUGCUUCCGCAUUAUGCCCUCUCAAUUUUGAACCCAACAAGUGGUAUCAGAGCAAAUGGUUCAGAUUAAGGAUAGGUUAAGAUCAAAGUUGCAACAAAUUUGAUGAUAAUGAAGAUAUAUGUCCAAAAACUACAUAUGGAGACGAUUGUCAAUAAUUCUGCUGCUACAUAUUUAAAAAUAAAGCUCAUUUUUAAUCCUAUAAAGGGCUCCAAUAUUUUUAAUCAGAAAAGGGCUCAUAUACUUUUAACCCAAAGCUCCAUUUUUAAGCAUGUCAAGCGGCAGUGAUAAAGACUAUAUGAAGAACAAAAAUCAAAGAUGUGAAGAAGACGGAUCAAGUAAAUAAAAUCAAGCCAAAACGGGGGGAUUUGUGAGGGGUUUUGCCAUGAUUUUCUUACCUAGUUUAAGUUUUACUUUUUGCAGAAGGAAAAUAACAGUAAUACCAUAAUUACUUUUAGUUUUUAUAAAAGGAAAAUAUAAUUAUUUUCCAUAUUUGGCUAACCUUUUUCUUGGAGGAAUGAUUUUGGAACUCUAUAAAUAGAAGAUCUCCCUCCCCCCUUCUAAUACAACAACACAGUGUUAUACACAAUGUAGUCUUGUCUAGUAGGAGAUUUCUCCCAGGUUUUAUGUUUUUUCAAUAUUAAUUUUCAAUAUGUAGGCCGUUUGACCAACCAUAUCAAUAAUAUAUUUUUAGUAUUAUAGUUUUUUCUUGUCAUCUGAAUUAUCAUCUUCUUGGUUUGUAAACUUUAAGCUUCUGCAUGUUGCCCUCUCAAUUUCGAACCCAACAAUUCUGCUUUAUUAGUUGCAUUAAUAAGUGCCUUAAAAAUUACAACAAACUUCUCAGUCAUCUUACCAUCUCAAUUAUUCUUUCUUUUUCAAUCUCAUGUCAUUAUCUAUUAAAUUUGUAUCUUACCAUCUCUAUUAUUAGUUGAACAUAUCAGGUAACAAAAAUCACUUUAACUCAGAGUGAUCGAUCGACGACUCUAGUUGAGAGAAACACAAUACCGUCUCAUCAUGCUAUUUCCAAAAGACUCAAUUGAAGUUGUAGUUGACCAUAUGAGAACUCACCCCUAGUCCUAGAUUAAUCAAUUAAGGUAUUAGUUGAACAUGUAAGGUAAUAAAGAAUCGCUUUAACUCAGAGUGAUUGAUCGAUGACUCUGGUUAGGAGCAACGCAAUACUGUCUCAUUAUGCAAUUGUCAAAAGACUCAAUUGAAGUUGUAGUUGACCCUAUGAGAACUCACCCUUAGUCCUAGAUUAAUCAAUUAAGGUAUUAGUUAAACAUAUAAGGUAUUAAGAAUUGCUUUAACUCAGAGUAAUCGAUGAACGACUCUGGUAGGGAAGAACGCAAUACCGUCUCAUCAUGAAAUUGCCAAAAGACUCAAUUAAAGUUGUAGUUGACCCUAUGAGAACUCACCCCUAGUCCUUGAUUAAUUAAUUAAGGUAUUAGUUGAACAUAUAAGGUAAUAAGAGUUGCUUUAACUCAGAGUGAUUGAUCGACGACUCUGGUCGGGAAGAACGCAAUACCAUUUUAUCAUGGAAUUACCAAAAAGCAUAAUUGAAGUUGUAGUUGACCCUAUGAUAACUCACCCCUAGUCCUAGAUUAAUCAAUUAAGGUAUUAGUUGAACAUAUGAACUCAAUUGAAAUUGUAUAAAAACAAAUGUUCAAUAUGUUGUAACAAAUGACUUAUCUGUUAAAAUUUAUCAAAAAAAUUAUGUCAUUUGUUGCAAUAGGUUACCCCUCUAUUGUAAAUUAUCAAAUAGGUGCUGUCAUCUGUUACGACGGAUGACCGAGCCGUUGAAAAUUUUCAAAUAGAAAUUGUCAUCUGUUGGAAAGUAUGAGUUAUAUGUUUUUAGAUUUUUUUAAUUAUUAUUUUAAAGCAAUUUAGGUAUUAGCUUAACAAUGAGGUAAUAAGAAUUUCUUCAAAUCAGAAUGAUCAAUCGACGACUCUAUGACUGAGGAGAAACGCAAUACCAACAUCAUACAUUGUCAAAAGACUCAAUUGAAGUUGUAGUUGACCCUAUGAACUCACCCCUAGUUCAAAAUUAAUCAGUUUAUAUAUUAGUUUGAUAAUGAGUUAGAAAGAAUCUUUUCAAAUCAGAGUGCUCGAUCGACGACUCAAGUCGGGAGGAACGCAAUACCAACAUCAUGCAAUUGCCAAAAGACUCAAUUGAAGAUGUAAUUGACCCCAUGAACUCACCUGUAGUUCUAGCUAAAUCAAUUGAAGCUGUAGUUGAACAUAUGAACUCAAUUGAAAUUAUAUAAAAAAAAAAUGUUCAACUUGUUGCAACAGAUGACUUAUCUAUUAAAAUUUAUUAAAAAGAUUAAGUCAUCUAUUUCAAUAGAUUAACUAUAUGUUCUAAAUUAUCAAAUAGGCAUUGCCAUAUGUUGCGACAGAUGACUAAGCCAUUGGAAAUUUUCAAAUAGGAAUUGUCAUCUAUUGCAAUAGAUGAUCAAGCCAUUGGAAAUUUUCAAACAGAAGUUUUCAUCUGUUGCAACAGAAGACUUAUAUGUUUUAAGAUCAUUUUUUUUAAUUUAAAGAAAUUUCCUAAUUUCCUGUCUAUGAUAAAAAAAAAUAUAAAAUACUAAGACGGUAAAAAUAUUACUUGGAUAACUCAAAAAUCUCCUUCUUGAGUAGUCUUAUCUUGUCUUUUAAAUGUCACCAUCUCCUCGUGCCACUCAAAAGUGAUUAAUGAAUAUGUAAAACCCAUUUCAAGAAUUCUCUGUUCUUUAACAAUAAAUUAACACAACUCAUCUCUCUUCUUUAUUCAGAUUCAAAAUUCUCUCUCUCCUCUUUAGGGUAAUCACAACCACCUCCUUUUUUUCUUUUUUUCUCUCCUCUUUUGCAUGAGGACCCUUUCAAAUCUCAACCAAUCCUCCCAAUAUCUUUGCUUGACUAAAAUAGGUGUUCUGAUCCCUUUCUUUUUUUAACAUUACAGGUAUGGUUCACUAUUGCUCUUUCCUUCACGUCUUCUUCUUUAUAUGUUAUUUAAAUUAAAUAUUUACAUCUGUUGUUAUUAUUAAUUUACCCAUUGCCAGUUUCCUAUUUAUUGAUAAAUGGGUAUUAGUAUUGUUGGAACAUGUGGUGUUUGUGUUGUUAAUGGUGUUAGAAUAUGUGGUAUUGUUUCUUUGUUGUUGAUGCUGUUGUUGAUGUUGUUAGUGGUGUUGCAAUAGUUUCCUCAGCUGUUGCAACUGAUAAAUCAGUUGUUGGAACAGAUGAAGCAACUAUUGAAAGAAAUCAAACUAGUAGCAAGGCUUGGUUGAUUUAGUCUAAUAAAUGACUCAUCUGUUGUAAUAUGUCAUCCAUCAGUUGCCACAGAUGCAUCACCUAUUACAAUGGAUGACUCAUACGCUGAACGAAUAGGGAAUUUAUUGCAUCAGAUGGGGCAUUUGUUGAUUUAUUCAAUUUUAUGUUACCCUUUUGUAAUAUUCUUUUUGUUCUUCUCUGGUUUGAUAUCAAAUAUUUUUCUCUUGUUUGUGUAUUAAAGGAAGUAAAACUAGGUAAACUUUUACUCAACUAGUAUUAAAGGCUAGAGUAAUAUGGGAUCGGAGGAAUAAGCUGCUUGCAGAUGGAACCACUUCAUAUUUGGGAGGUAUGUAUUACUGAUCAACCUUUUGUGAAAACACACAUACAAUACACUAAUUUUGUGAAUGUUGGUUCUUUACCUCUUAGGCGUUAAUCUUUCAAACAAGAUAUGACAUUUUACAGUUAAGAUUGUUAGGUUCAAACUGGUAAGGUUGAGGAACCAUGUAAGUGAUUUUGAUACCCUAUUACGGUUUAAUAAAGAUUUUGCUAAUGUUUAUGUGUCAAGUUUGGAUAAGGUUUCAAGUUUUUGGUGGCAGUGUAAACAUUCAAAUAGUGAUUGGACUGAUUUUAAGGGCUUAAUAGACUUUUGAAGGGCCUCUAAAGCCUCGCACUCCUGCAAAUAAGAAUUGAAAUGAAUAUAGUUAUUUUUGUGGUCCAAAUUUAUAUGGAUGGGUUGCUCGAGGAGGCUAUUAUACAAUCGAAGGUGAUUGGGAGAAUACCUUUGCGGGAAGGGGGAAGUGGAGAAGACCAUAUAUCAACUCAGACUUUAUUUAAGAAGAAACACGCGGUAGGAAGGAAAGUGUAACGAAACUAGCGGAUAAAAUUGACAUGAAAAAUGAAAAAAUUUAAUAAGCUGCAAAUGUGAAAGUGUAUCCAAAAAUGAAAACCCAUCAAUUCAUUUUGAAAAGAAAAAUGAUGAAGUGGACUUGAGCUAUGCACUUUGUUCGGGGACUGCAACUAGCUAGCGUGGCCUGAAUAAGGACCCAAAAAAUACAGGACUAGAACUCUAAGGAUGCAUCUUUGCAAGCAUCGAUGGUGGUAAGAUUGUCGGUCAGGAUUGAAAAAUAAACCAAUAACUCCUAAAGUAAAAAUAAGGGAUCAAGCUAAGCUGGCGAUUCUGAAGUUAAACUUGCAUCCCAUGCCUUCUGUUUAUGGCACUGGUCAGGUCAAAGGUAGUGGAAACAACAAGGCAUGGGAUUUCUGCCCAACUUUAGACCUUUUUGUUUCUACUUCCAUUGACCUGAUCAGAACCACAAACAGAAGGCAUGAGAUGCAAGCUAGACUUCAGAAAUUGACGUCUUCACUUCCCUUAUUUUUACUUCUAGGGUUGUUGGUUCAGGUUUCAUUCUUGACUGCAAAUCUUACCAAUCUUCUGUGCUCGCCAAGCUUUUUCCUUAGAGUUCUGGUCCUGCACUUUGUGGAUCUUUACUGAGGCCAUGCUUGCUAGUCGGAGUCCCUAGCAAAGUGUCUAGCUUAAGUCCUCUUGAGCAUUUUUGUUUUUCAAGAAUGAUCGAAAGAUUUUAAUAUUUGUAUACACUUUCACAUUUAAAGCUUAUUCAAUUUUUUCAUCUCUCAAGUCAAUUUAAUUGGCCAGAUUCACUAGAAGUUCCUUACUUGUUUCCCUGUGUUUUCUCUUAAACAAGGUCUAAGAUGAUAUAUGGUUUUCUCCUCCCCCCUUCCCGCACACGGAUUUUCCCAAGUACCUUUUAUUGUAUAAUAGUCUCCUCAAGUAACUCAUCCAUAUAAAUUUGGGCCAGGGGAAUUUCUAUUUGUUUUCCAUUCUUGUUUGUUGUAGUGUGAGGCUUUGGAGGCCUUUCAAAAGUCCACUACACCAUUAAAAUUGGUCUAGUCACUAUUGGAUAUUACACUACCGCCAAAAAAUUAAACCCUUCUCCAAACUUUACACAUAAAAAUAAGAAAAAUUGUCAUUAAAUUGGAACAGGGUAUAGACACCACCGUCUUGGAACCUUUCGACCUUAUCAGUUCAUACCUAUCAAAUUAAACUAUAAAAUGCAGAUCUUGUUUGAAGGAUCAAUGCCUAAUCGAGAAAAAACUGCAUUCACAAGAUCAUUGUACUUUAUGUGUGUCUAUCAUGAUAGCUUGAUCAAUAAUACAUAACUCCCACAUAUGGAAAUGGAUCUAUUCAUCUGCACGUACCUUAUUCUCCCUACCCGAUCAAUGUCAGACAAUGUUUGUUCAUCUGAUGGCUAUUAAAAAAGAGGUGAACAGUCGUGAUUUUUUGUCUAACACAUUCAAAACAGCUGAUGAAUCAAAUUCCCUAUCUAUUGCAACUGAUGAAUCAGCUGUUAGAAUAAAUCAAAACAUCUUAUCCAACAGAUGGUUCAUCUAUCGUAUCAAAUUAUCCAUAUGUUGAAAUAGAUAUCUAUUGUAUAAACAGACCAUCUAUUGCAACAGAUGGUAAAUCAUUCAAAAUAGCUGCUGAAUUAAAUUUUCCAUCUGUUGCAACUGAUAAACUAACUGUUAGAAAAAAUCAAAAUAUCUUCUUCAGCAGAUGUUCUAUCUGCCGCAAGAGAUAAUCCAUAUGUUGCAAUAGAUGUCUCAUCUAUUGCACAUACAGACCAUCUGUUUUAAUAGAUGGUAAAUCUGUUGCGAUAGUGGGUUAUCUGUUCUGACAGAUAGAUGAUCUAUUGUAACAACUCAAUAAUAACGGCUAUUAUUAAGUCUAAAACUAUUUUGAAAAGGUGAGAAGUUUGAAUGUAAAAGAAAAAGUCACGACUUUUGAUAGAAAACAAAAAACUAGUAGUUUAAAUUUAAUUAAUAUAAUGGAUCUGAAUAGUCGUGCCUUUUUUCCUAACACAUUCAUAUUCAAUCCUCUAUAAAUAGGUCCCUCCUUAAUCUUUAUUCUACUCUUGUUUUAUUUAUUUCUUACAUUUUCUCUUUUCGUAAUACAUUUUCAACCACUUAUAUUCAAAGAGAAUAUUCCUUCCUCGUUGAGGUAAGUUUUUUCUAUAUAAAUCUACCAGUUGGUAGUAUACGUUAUAUUCCAUUUGGACUCUUUUAUUUACUUUUGUGUUUAUGUUUUUUGUCAAUUCAUGUGUGUUUUAGAUAUGGUUGAUCUUGUUUGGGACAUUGCUAUUCUACGCAACACUGUGCGGGAACUUCAGAGGAAGGUUAACGACCUGCAGAAAAAGUUGAUCGCUCUGAGAGAUAGGAUAUUUCGAGAGAUGUAGAGGUUGAUAAGCCCCCUGCUACUGCUGGUUGAUUGGCCGGCUGACAAUAAUAAUGAUGAUGAUGAUAAUAAUAAUUAGAAUGUGUUUUUUCUUUUAGUGUAUGUAUUUUAAUUUUUCUAUAUCAGAUCUAUACCUAAUGUAUUUUAUUUUUCGUUUAAUGAAAAUUUUAUUUUUUGUCGACUUUGGAGUUUUAAUUCUUAUUCAAUUUUUAUUUUGUCUAUUUCUUGUUCUAAACAUACAUGUUAACAUGUCGACGAUUGGAGGUAGGGAGAAAUUUUGAAUCCAGUAGCAAUAGACAUUUUGGCUUUUGAGUUCUUUCAACAGAUGGACUAUGUGUUACAAUAAAUUGGUCAUCGGUUGGGUUUCUAUCAAUAUAUUAACCAUCUGUUGUGACAGAUUUGUCAUCUAUUGGAGGAAAACUUUCUAGUUUGAUGAUGAACAGUAUUAUGUUCUUCCAGUUAAUGUCCAUAUGUUGCAACAGAUGGGUAAUCUGUUGAAAAUAAUUAUGGUCUGUUGUAUUUAGUUCAUGUUUUGCCUCUUUUUAUUGAUGCACAAGUUAUUAAAAAAGAUAUUUUAUAUAUAAUAAAUGAUAACAUUACAUUCAAAACAAUGAGUUAAAUAUAUAAAAGUCCACAACAACCAAAAACACAAGUUUUUGCAAUUACAACGAUCAUGUGGAUUAUGAUCCGGACAUGUAGUUCUUUUGUGGCCAGUGCACUUACAUACGGGGCACUAAUUUUUUCUUGAUGGAAAUGAUUCUCUAACUCCAUGACUCCUAUUAUAUGGCUUUCUUCUCGAUUUGUUAGUGUUUGGGUCAAUAUAUGGAGGAGGUACUAAACUCUCCAAAAUCUCUGCAAGAACAAACCAAGAUUCUUCGGGAGGCACCAGAGUAAUAUGACCACUAUAUGCCAUUGUAUAUUUUCCCACCGAAUAAUAUGGAGAGGAGUGAUUGUAAAUUUUAGGUCUAUAUUUUGUACCAUAUUUAUCUUGAAGCACUGCCAUAGCAUGUGAAUAGGGUAUUUUGUCCAAUUCAAAAACUCUGCACGUAUAAGAUCUUAUUUGAAGAUUGACCGUGGCAACAUCACCAUCACUAGUGGUACCUUACGAUUUUAAUAGGAGUUGUGCAUAUAGCUAAUGACGAGUUCUUCUGGUUGACAAUUUAGUCCACAAUAGCUGAUGAGUAAGUUCACAAAAUCAUCAUACGAAACACCACUUUGGACUGUCACAACUAUCAUCUCUAGCAUUUCACCCUCCUUCCAAUGACAUAUAUAUCGAUUGUUCUUCUCGAUCCAUUGACCAUGACAAUCCACCCCUAUUGUUAUUGAUCCCUCCAUUAGUGGUACCUAAAUAAAGUCAUUUGUUAAAAAAAUUUAAUAGUGAUUUCAUAGUGCCAUAUAUAAAUCUCAACAGAUGUGUAAUCUAUUGCAAUAGGUGAAAAAAAUUGCAAUAGGUAAGUGAUCAGUCGCAACAUAUUACUUACCUAUUAGGAUUCAUGUUAAUCUCCUGAAGCUGAUUUCAAAAGACGAGUCAUCUAUUGAAAUAGGUGAAUCAUAGGUAGCAACAAAGUGUAUAUCUGUUACAAAAUAUGAAGCACCUGUUGGAAUACACAUUACAGUACUUGAGCACCUUUGAAGUUGAUUCCAACAAAUGAGUGACAUGUGGCAACAGAUAAUUAACCUAUUGUGACAGAUGACUUAUCUAUUGCAAUAGAUGAUACAUCUGUUGGAAUCGAGUUUCAGGUUCUAUUGCAAUAGGUUACUAAUUUGUUGUAUAGAUAUUUACCCUAUUGCAACAAAUGACACGUCUGUUAGAAUCGAGUUCAGAUUUUGUUGCAACAAGUUACUAAUCUGUUGCAACAAAUAUUUAUCAUGUUGCACCAAAUAAAUAAUCUAUUGCAAUAGAUGGGUCAUAUGUUGCAAUAGAUAACCAAUCUAUUCGAUUUAUGUUACAACACUAGAGAACCAUAAACAUGAAUCCAACAUAUAAGUCUUCCUUGAAAUAGAUCUCUCAUCUGUUGCAACAGAUGAUUCAUCUAUUUAAACAGAUGGUUCUUAUGUUGCAUUCAUGUUCGCAUGCUAUCUAUUGUUGAAAAAAUAGUACAAUAGUAGUUACCUAGAUGACAAAUUCAACUCAAAAUCGUAAUUUGACUUAGCAAAGUCUCCUAUGAAGUAAUGCCAAAGUGGAAAGUGAUAUUCGAAAUAAAAUUUGUCCUAAGAAAUUGAUCAAAUAGCAGUAGUAGCGGUUACAACAACAACAAUAAUUGUCAACAAGAAGAAGAUGAAGAUGAUAAUGAAUUAGAAGAUGAUGAUAAUGAAGCAAAAGAUGAUUAAUAAAGCAGCAGCAACAAUGAACAACACAAAUCGCUAAGAGAGAGAAAACAACAAUGGAUGAGAAGAGAGAGAAACACACCCUUUUCCCUCCAUUUUUUGUUAUAUUAGGUAAAUAUUUGGAUCAAAGUGUAAAUUUAAAACCUUGUGCACUAUUCUCAAACUGAUCCAACUUUCUUAAUCCAUAAUAAAGUAAUUAUCACAUCCACUCAAUUAUUAAGACUUGUGUCACCUACACCUCAUUUUCAAACUUUUUUGUUACCUACAGCUCAAAGCCCCUAGAGACUAGGUUAUAUUUCUUCUUUAUUUACUUUUUCUAAAUCUUCCUCUACAUUUGUAUUUGUUUACGUUGUCAUGUAUGUUAUCUCUUUUAUAAUCUAUUUGUUAAAGUUUACCUUUAUAAAUUUUCAAUUUGUUGUUUUCAAUUUUAGAGUUAUAUUUCUUUUUUACUAUAUAUAUGUUUGUAUUUGUUUAUGUUUUUGUGUAUCAUCCUCUUUACCGUAGUACAUCAAAUCUCUCUACGGUGGCAAUAUUUAUUAGAAAAUUUCACGGCAUUAUAAAAUGGUGUCAUUAUACAUGUAUACUGGUAUUUGACAUUCAGAUCUCAUUUAGCUGUUAUAAAUAAAAGUAUGCAAAAUUUGAAAGAAUAUAAGAAAGACGAACACUAAUAGGUCUUUCUUCGUGAAUUUAUUAAAUAACUUAUGUAAACUAUUUAAUGACAAGUUUUUCCUUUAAAUUAUAUAUUCACACUUGAAAUUUACUGUGUGCAUGACAUUAAUGAUGAUUACCAAAAAUAUUUUAAUAUUUUAUUUUGGACAUAAUAUAUAUUUUUAACUUUGAUCCAAAUGUUGACCUAAUAUAACUAGAAAUAAAGGAAAUAAAAACGCGUAUGUUUUCUCUCUUCUUAUUAUUGUUGUUUUCUCUCUCUUUGCCAUUUUUGUUUUUCAUAGUUGUUGUUGAUUUAUUCAUCAUCUUGUGCUUCAUUAUCAUCAUCUUCCACUUCAUUAUCAUCAUCACCUUCUUUUUGUUUACCAUUGUUGUUGUUGUUACAGCUACUGCUAUCACUUAACCAAUUUUUAAGGUCAAAUUUAGUUUCGUACAUCACUUUGGCAUUAAUUCAUAGGUGACGUUGGUAAGUAUAAUUAUUUAUUUUUAGUUAAAUUUAUUAGUUGAGUACACUACUACUGUUAUUUUUGAAACAGUGGAUAGAACCAUAAACAUGAGCCCAACAACAAUUUCAUCUAUUGUGAUAGAUGAGUCAUCUAUCUUAAUGGAAGACUCAUAUGUUGGAUUUAUGCUCAUGGUUCUAUAGUACUAUAACAUGAAUCUAAAAGAUGAGUCAUCUUUUUCAACAGAUGAGUUAUCUGUUACAACAGACGAGUCAUCUAUUGACACAGAUUACUCACCUGUUGUAAUAGAACUUGAACUCGAUUCUAACAGAAGAGUCUUUUAUUGCAACAGGUAACUAAUCUGUUGCACCAGGUUAUUUAUAUAUUGCAACAUGUCACUCAUCUGUUAGAAUCACCUUCAAAGAUUCUAUAGUACAUCCCAAUAAGUGAUUCAUCUGUUGUAAUAUAUGAGUUAAAUUUUCCAAUAGAUGACUCAUCUGUUGGAAUAAGCAUCAGAUCCUAUAGUAGUGUACCAUGAAUUACCAAUAGGUGAUUCAUCUAUUGCAACAUAUAAAUAAUCUAUUACAACAUAUUAUUCAUUGAUUACAAUAGAUUACUUAUCUGUAGGGGUUCAUGUAACGGCAUUAUAAAAUCACUAUUAAUUUUAUUAUGAUGUCAUUAUUAAUUUUUUUUAACAAAUGUAUUUAUUUAGGUACUACUAAUGAAGGGAUCAAUAACAAAUGUCUUUAUUUAGGUACGAUAAGUUGUAAUAGCAAAACUUUGUUGUUGUUUGUUAUGGACUUUGAUAUUUUUAAAUCAUUAUUGUGAACGUAAAUGUUAUUAUUUAUUAUAUAAAAUAUCUUUUUUAUUAACUUGUGCAUCAAUAAAAGAGGUAAAAUAUGAACUAAAUACAAUAGACCACAAAAUUGUUUUCAGUAGACUACCCAUCUAUUGCAAUAGAUAGACAUUUGAUGAAAGAACACAAUAUAGUUCAUCAAAUUGGAAUGUGUUCCGCCAAUAGAUGACCAAUCUGUUGCAACAGAUGGGUAAUCUUUUGGAGAAACACAAAACAAUUCCCACGACAAACCUAACAGAUGACCAAUCUGUUUAAAUAGAUGGUCCAUCUGUUGAAAUAACUCAAAACUCUUGUUAUUUCUACUUGAUUCAAAAUUGUUCCUUAUGUCCAAACGUCAGCAAGUUUGUUGAGAAGAAGAAAUAGAUAAAAUGAAAAUUAAAUAAUAAUUAAAAAGUCAAACUCGACCAAACAUAAAUUUUUCAUUAAACAAUAACAAAAUUCAUUAGGUAGGUAGAUCCGAUAUAGAAAAAAAAAAUACAUAUACUAAAAUAAAAAAACAUCACCUAAUUAUUAUUAUUAUUAUUAUUAUUAUUAUUAUUAUUAUUAUUAUUAUUAUUAUUAUUAUUAUUAUUAUUAUUAUUAUUAUUAUUAUUAUUAUUAUUAUUAUUAUUAUUAUUAUUAUUAUUAUUCUCAGUCGGUCAAUCGUCAACCGGCAGCAGCAGGGCACUUCUCAGCCUGAGUAUCUCUGGAAGCAUUCCAGGAUUAUCCAUAUCUAGAACAUGCAUGAAUUGACAAAAACAUAAACACAAAAGUAAAGAAAGGAGUCUUAAUGUAAUACAACAUAUACUAUUGAUAUGAUCCUAGCCAUGAGGACUCAAAUCAAAGUGUGGAAAGUAAAGAUAAUGGAUAGAUAGAUGAUAGAUAACUAGGUAGAUAUAAAGAAGAUGAAAGAAUCAAGAACUAAAGAGCAUAUUAAGCUCCAAAACCCUUAAUUCAAUAAUCCACGAGCACCUAACUCAUACGAUGACUGUAUGGGAAUUAAAUCUCUCCUAUAACCAUCAUUUAUAAAUGAGAUUCAACAUUCGCCUUUCCAGGCUAUCAAGACACUCUCAAAAGAGUUCAUCAUAAUCAAUAUUCAAAAACAAAACUAAGGAAAAAAAUACCUAAGGUUAUCUAUUUAUAGUAUCAAGCUAAACUAUUACAUUAGGACUAAAAGUGGCCUAUAAACUAAGUGGAAUAAGCUGGGAAUAAGACCAACAUAUAUGACCAAUUCUGUCCAAGUUUGACAGCACAGGCGAUGCACUAAGGUGACGGGUCAUAGCUUCUUUGGUGACUCUAUGGCAAUAACAUUUUUCUAUGUUUAGCCUCCCAAUAAAUCUUCAUCACUUGGAACUCUUUGGUAGCCAUCAAGGUAAGCCUCCAAGAAAUCUUCCAUACAUGGAUUUGCUCUAUUGUGUGCUCAAAAUGGGUCCUUUAUGCAUGUUCUUGUGCCCUCGAGGUGAUCAAGGAUUUAUUCUUUAUGUUUUGGCCUUAAAUGACAUUCUAAAAGGUGUUGAUACCAGUCAGGAUCGUAUCAUCCUCCCCUUAUUGAAAAGGAUUCAACUUUUAAUUCAAACCUUACAAAACCAAAGGAAGGACAAAUAAGCACAACAUCCUCAUGGCAUGAAGGUUAGGGUUAGUAUAAUAAAUAACAUCAUCAUGCCAAGGUGGUACACACUUGAAAUAUAACCAUGAAUCCUUUAUUUUAAUCAUGAAAAACUUAGUAAAAAUGGCACAAAGGGAGUGGCUAUGACAGUCACUAAGAGAUUGUAAUACCCCCUACUCUUCUUAUCUUAAAUUCGUCCUUAGAAUAUUAAGGGAUAGAUUCCAAACUGAAUAGCAUGUAUUUCAUAUGGAAUUCUUCAGAUUUAUACUUUUCAUGGUAUGGGAAAUUGAAUAAUCUUUCCAUCGAUACCAAAUUUACCCAAUUCCGGCACUCGGUAGAGGAGUUAAGAUGUUUUUAAGUUGAUAGUAUGCCACCUGGGCAGUCACCACAUCGCGAAGAUGGCUAAAUUCAUAAUUUUCAUUUCCCAGUGUACCUCCACGAUAUUGGCGCAUAACGGACAGGUCCAUUUUCCCAUUUUUCAAUUACCAGUAGUCCAACACUAUAGUGGUGCAUCGCGCCGAAGGCCAAAAUAGCAUUCCUAUAGGAAACCGCGAUGGUGGCACGUUGCAUUGAAGUUUUAGGUCCCAAUUGUCGAAAUCUAGUGGGACAAAUACGAUAGCUCUACAUUGCGGAGGCCCCCAAUUUUCCAGUCGUCAAAUAUAAGUGAGCCACUACAAUAGUGGCACGUUGCGGUGGACCAUUAAAUUGGGACCCAGUUAUAUUUUUUCAGCUUUGUUUAGGAGUUUAAAGAGGGUGUUUUGGACCUUUUCAAAGCUCCCAAUCCAUCUAAAACACAAGAUUUUUCAUACUCAAAGCAUUUGGUGCUCAUUAUUCAUCAUUCUCUUAAAAUAAAAACCCUAAUGUAAUACCUCGGGAAAUUUUUUGUUGAAAUUUUGGGCAUAAACGUGUUGAGUUCUAUCUUCUAGAAUGAAUUAUAAAUUUUCCAUGCGGAACGUCUUAGAUUAUGACCCACCAUUUUGUAGAGUAUCGAAUAAGCUUUCCAAUGAUAUGUGGAUCAUCCAAAACGUACACCCGAGUGAUGAGUUAUGAACAUUCCGAUCGAAUCGUGAAUAGUAGUGAACAGUAAAACGUGCAGGAAAAAAAAGUACGAAGGCCUGGCGUAUUUUUUCUUCAACUUUAAAUGAUCAUAACUCCCUUUUCAUAAUUAUCUGGGUGAUCUACUAUAUAUCAACGGAAAGCUCUACGAGUCCUCUUUCAGAUAAAAUUGGUUUCAUCCAAUUUGUCUAUCGGAGCAAAAAGUUAUGGUUGAUCUACUUCAGCUAUCAAAAGUGAAUUUUUGGAUCAACUUUAAAUGAUCAUAACUCCUUGUACACAAUCAUCUAGGUAAGAUACUAUAUAUCAACGGAAAGAUAUGAGAGUCUUCUUUCUAAUGAAAUUAGUUUCAUCCAAUUUGGAUAUCAGAGUAAAAUGUUAUGGUUGAUCUACUUCAGACUAUCAAAACAGUCCACCAAAGGACAAAUGCGAGAAUUAUCUAAUUUUUAGGGGCGUUUUGGUCAUUCCCCCCUCACCCAAAAUCCAUCCAAACCCUAUAUUAAGGCCUAUUAGAAGCAUUAUAUGUUAUAUUUCAUCAAAUUCCCUAAAAAAGAAAAUCCUAAGCUCCUACAUCCAACUUCAAGAACCUCCAAAGUUCACCAUUAAUUCUACAAAUUUAUUCAAGAUUCAAAGUUCCUAGUUCAAGAACUCCAAGAACCAUCAUUCAAAGGCACGAUUAANNNNNNNNNNNNNNNNNNNNNNNNNUAUGAUGAUUAUUAUGAAAUCUUGAUGUUUAUGAUUUUGAAAGAUGAAUUUACAUGUGUGGAGAUAUAAAGCAUGAAUUUGAACGAUAUUUAUCAUGAUUUUGAUACUUGGGUCGUGAACCCCAUUUGAAAUUGUGUUCUUAAGAAAAUGUGUGUUAUAAGCACGUUGAUGUUGAAUAUUUGAGAUGUUUUGAAUGAUUUGACCUUUUGAUCAUGAAUGAGUUAUUUUGAACUCGACUAUGAAAAAUCCACAUUUUUAUUAAAUAUGAUAAAGGGGUAGUAAAUUGGCUCCCGAUGAAAAUUGUUGAAGUGUUUACUGUGGAUUUUCUUUAAUGUGAGCAUGGGGCUGAUUUAAAUUUUUGAGCUAAUUCCUAGAGUAAUCUUUAUCACCGAGUGGGAGGUAUAAAGUGAUCUUACUUUCCUAGAACUACGUGUCCCCAUAGAAUAUGAGCCUGAGGCUGAUUUAUAUAGUGAUCACUAGUGUUUUUGGAUUGAUAUUGGAAGUACUACUCCGAUGGAAAGGAUAGGACGGCUCUCCCCAAUGUGGAUUAUACGUUGGACUCCAUGUAGCUCACAUUAUUAUGUCGGUUAUAGGAUCUCCCAAAGUGUGUGUGUGUUUCCUUGUGUCUAUGGUGAACGGUGAAGUGAUUUAAAAGUGGAAUUGUGAAAGUUAUUCUUUCGAAAGAUUUAAAUGAUAUUUACAUUAUGAGAAUUGAUAUUCUUGAUGAACUGAAAGUGAUUGACAAAUUAUAUGAUGACUCACAUGUGUGAUUAUACUUAUUUUCUUGAAAUGUAGGUACAAGGUAUAGUUGAACCUUCGGAUCCAGUCAGUUUGAGGUAUCCAGCCAGGUGAUGAGUCCUUUUGAUUCAAGGGCUUGGGUUAGUUGUGUAAAGUUUAUAGUGUUUUAUUUUCUUUAUUCAGUCAUAUUGAGUUGGGGUAGUCGGGAGUCAUGACCCAUCUACCUAUAGUCAGUACUAGUAGAGGCUUCAUAGAUAGACAGUAGAAGUUGAUGUAUUUUGUUUCAUUUCUGGUUGUAAAGGCAGAAUUGUAAUCCUGUAAAAUUCCAUUUUUGUUUCGAUCAGAUUCAGAAAAGAGUUAAUUUUUGCUGAUUUGUAUAGAUUUAUAUUUUUAUUCAGUUGCUUAUGAGUUAUGCCAGUAGAAGGGUUAGCUUGGGGUCACUUGUGACUCUAAGCACCGUGUGACAUCUCAGGACCCGAUUUCGGGGUGUUACACCUAAUCUCCAAAGCUUCUUCUCCAAGAAAUCAAAAUCCUCCAUUGAUUCUCUGAGAAAGCUUAAAAUUCAGGAUUUACAGGGCAAGAAAAUCAAGAACCCAUCAUCAAGAACCCAAUAGGAAUCCAAAAUUCAAGAUUCCUUCAUCUAAUCAUCCAACAAGGUAUGUGGGGCUUUUCAACAAGGAUCUUCUUUUAUCCUUGUGCCCAAAAUUAAUUUUUAACCAAAAAUUUACAUAAUUUUGAAUGCGAUUAGAUAAGAUUUGAAUUAGGGUCCAUACCCAUUAUUGCUAUUUGCAAAGUUUUGAGAUUUUGAGAUAUUUUGAAGAUGAAUCGUAUGUGUAUUUUCAUACUUUCUUGCCUAUUACAGUAAAUUACAUAUUUUGAGAUGAAUUAUCAUUGUUUUCAUUAUCAAGCAUGAUUAUUAUGAUGUUUUGAAAUGAUUUUGAUACAUGGGUUAUUAACUUAAGAUUGAAUAUUGUUAUUUUGAGAAAGAUGAUGCUUUAAGCAUCUUAUGAGCUUAUUAUAUCAGAUUUACAAUAAAGUUUUGAUCUUUUGAUCCUUAGAUGAGUUUUGGAAUCCACUUUACAGAUUUAUUAUAGAUUACAAAAAGCAAAAUUGCUUCAUUUAUAGAUUUACUAAGAUAAAUGCAUAACUAGUUUCAUAAUAAACCCUUAUACGAGUUUUAAAGUGGAUUUCCAUGAGAUGAGUGUAGCAAAUUAAAUGGAGUAGUAUUUAGCACCGAGUUGGGUAUGAUUCCAAGAUCUCAUGCCCCAGAACUACGUGCCAUCAUAGGAUUGCUAUUAAGAGCCCAUUAUGGGUAGAGUUAUGAUCACUUAAGCUAAGGUUAUACUCUAUGGCAAGAGUAUGACACGUCUCUCCAACGUGAGAUUUCUUCCUUAGGAGGGCGAGACAUUGGACUCCAUGUAGCUCGCAUGGUUUACGUCGGUUAAGAGAACCUCCCUUGCAGAACAAUUUCUCCCUAAAUGUUUAAAAAGCGUAACAACAAUGAUUUUAAGAUAAAGUAUUCUCCUUAAUAGUAAAAGAAGAACAUAAAAUCUUUUAGAAAACUAAGUGUAAAGGCUCACAAGUUACUCAGAUGAUACCUUACAGAAAAGAUAAUAGUUACAGAUUUUAACUUUCAUAUUUCAAAUUUAGUAGUGAGUCCUUCUACACUUAGACAAAAUGAUUUAAAGUUAUAAUACACGUAUAACUUUUAGAAUUAAAUGUUAUGGCUCACAAGAUUUAUAAAGUAUGUUUUGCUUCUUAUUGUUACAUAUUUUAGUAUUUUAGAUAUCCCAACUUAUGUGAUUCAUUUACAUUUAGCAUGCAUUAUUUUAUAAAUGAUGAUUAUGAGAUAAUAUUGUACUUAUGCAUAUCACCCCUAUAUACUCAGUACAUCCUUAAAUUACUGAUCCACAUAUACAUUUAUGUGCUACAUUGUCUCAUAAUGUAGGUUCAGGUGUUCAGUGUUAGUAGCGUGAGUAGUUCGAGCAUCUCCAUCUACAUCGACAGUUGGUGAGUCCUCAUAGUUUGGGGACUUAUUCAUUCAGAUUUUGAAGUUUAUCAGUUUAUGAAAUUUAGCAUUUCCUUUCAGAUAGUUCAAGUUAGCUAGGUGUUUGUCCCAGUGGCUCUCAAGUAUUAGUAGUAGAGGCUUGUCAGACUACUUGUUUGGAUAAAGAUUAUUCAGUUUUGAUGUCAUAUAUAAUAUGUUCAGAUUAUUCUUAGAUAUUAUAGACAAUUUCUACAUUCAGUAUGACUUUUAUGUUUAUAUUUCCUUUGUUAUAAGAUUUAGGCUCAGUAGCUGGCAUACAGGGUUAGCUUAAGGCUACUCGUAGUCUUGAGAACUGGGUGACGUCUCAGGAUCAGAUUUUGAGGUGUUACAAACUUGGUAUCAGAGCCUAAGGUUUUUAAGAGUCCUGGGGAGGCAGGCAAGCCACGUUAUGUAGAUUCUUAGUCAUGAGUGUGAAGCACGCCACAUUUAUGAAAAAUAGGUUAGGGAACUUUCUUAGGAAAUCAUCUCUUUCUUUCAUGAUCUGUAGUGCUUAAAGUAUUUCUAUCUGCUUUUAACUUAUGCUUUCAUGUGACAGUUGAAAAUGCCUCUUCAUUGAGCUAAUGCCCGCAAAAAUGAUAACCAGCUACCUCAGUCCAUUGAUCUUUUGAAUGAGAAUGUGUCACAUGUAGAGUUUCGGGAUGCCUUUUAGGUGCUAGCCCAAGUUAUGAUAGCUAAUAUUCAGUGAAACUGUUAGGCUGCAGUCCCACCUCAGCAAAAUAGGGACCUACCCAUAGCCAAAAUUUGGGAUUUUAUGAGAAUGAACCCGCCAGAGUUCUUUGGGUCGAAGGCAGGUGAGGAUAGGGGUGGGCAUGAUAUGGUAUAUGCCAAAUUACCAUAUUGAACCAAAAUUUUUGAUACCGUGGUUUUUGGUAUUAUGGUAUUUGAUAUGGUAUAUGGUUUACAUUUUAAACAUUUUUGGUAUAUGGUAUAUGGUAUUCGGUAUUUACAAAUGACAUACCGAAAUACCGAAUACCAUACCAAAGUAUAUAUAGUUACAUAAGUAACUUAUAUAUAUAUUUAUAUAUAUAUAUACACAAAAAAAAUACUUAGUAUUACUAUAAAAAUAUUUAGACAUUGAAACUUUCACUUCUCUAUCUUGAUUGAAAUGUCUUUUUGGUGUAAUUGACUAAUAAAAGGAAUUGUUUGUACUUCUUUUUCAAUAUUUCUAUAUGUGUAAUGGGUAUUUUUGGUACAAUUAAUACAUGCUUUUAAAAAUUCGACGUAAUAAUACUAUAGUAUACGAGUAUAUUUUGUCAAAGUUUAACUAACUAUAGUUACCGAUUACCAUACCGCAAAAUACCAAAACCAUACGUAAAAAUACCGAAACAUACAAAAUUAAUAUGGUAUGGUAGUGGCAUAAUGUUUUAAAAAACUGCAUACCAAAAUUAUCGUACUAAAUUUUCAAAUACCAUACCAUACCACACCAUGUGAACACAACAUCAAAUCUCCCUUGAAGCAAUUCAUCAUCAAAAUCCUCACUUGCAAUAAGGACCUGUGCUCAGUUGUCGUUUGAGUCUUAAGCUCUUAUUGUAUUUGAUUUUUUGUUUUGUAAUUUGUAAAUGUAUAGCCUACUGCUCUUGUUCGUUAAUAGUAUGUGUGUUUUAUUGUUAAUUGUGUCAUCUAGAGUUAAUUGACAUUGAAGCUAAAGUUAGCUUGAUAGUGAUUUAGUUAGAGUUAGUUGUGUCAGUUAGUGCAAUUAAGUUAUUACAUCGAUGUUUAUUGUAAUAGAGUUAUUACAAGAAGAAGUGGAUAUUAUCUUCCUUCUACGGGUACUAAAAUCUGUAUAUAAGCAAUAGAAACUUCAAAUAAAGUUCAAGUUCAAGACAAGACCUUAUGAAGUUUCUUAACACCUUCAAUACAAGAUUAUGAAUAAUCUAUCUUAGAAGUGUGUUAAUAUUCAGAAAAAAAUGAAACAAAAAUUUAGAUCAAGUCCCCCGACAUCACGGAGUGUCCUUAAGGAAUAAUUCCCCUCACUGUACCCGAGGUUAUGGAAUCUUCCUCCCAGGAUAAAAUGGCCUUCAAUUCGAACAAUAAUGGUAGCUCAAAUUGACGGAUUCUUCAAACUCACUCAACAGUUAGAUUGAUCACACAGAAUAGUUGAAGACAAGAAGAGUUUGUGUUUCAGAACUUUUUUCAUAUCUAAACCUCUGGAUAAAAGCAGGUUUAUAUAGCCAUAACAUGCCUCUUCUGAAAAGUGGCAAUGGUUCACUUAAAAAGGUGUAACCUUUCCUGAAAAAUCAUGUCUAUUCGUCCAAAUAGUGUGUCUUUUCUGAACAAACAUGCCUUUCCAUGAAUCAAUGUGUCACUUUACUGAAUGGUUAGAUCUUUCUCAAACAUCAGUUCAUAACAUUGCAUCAGUUCAGUUCAAAAUAGUGCAUCAGUUCACUGUAUACAUGCAUAUAAAUGGAGGAUAAAACACAGAAAAAUUUUCUGCGUUUCUGUCAUUUUUCCUUUGGUAUUUUCAAAUCAAAUUUUGAUUAAAUAAAUUUUGUCCAAAAAGAUAGAUCUCAUCGAUCGAUCAUUUGACAAAUCCAAAUCCAAAUCUGAAGCCGAGCCAAGCAAGCGAGCGACGACGUGAGGCACCACCUUAUUCUUGCCUCACUAUCCAUGUGGAGUAAGUAUUCAUUAUUAAAAACACUCCAAAGUUCUCUUCUCCCAUCAAUGUGGGAUAUUUAGUGAACUUUCCAAUUUGGGAGUACACUAUCUAAAUUAGUGUCUCCUUCCCUCCACCAUUCUUCUCUCCAUUUUUCAUUCACACUUCUUCCAUACAUAUUGAACCCAAUAGUGGAUUACGUGGCUAAUCCUAGCUAGAACCAUGUAGUCUAUUUUUAGAAUGAUUUUUAGCACUUAUCUAUUUUCUCUUAAAAAAUCAACAUUGUGUGGCUAUGAAGAAUAGAACCCGUGACCACUUCUUUACAAAGCACUUGACAAUACCAACAAGACAAGCCUCCAUGUAAUACUAACAUUUGUUAGAUAUAUAUAAUUAUAGUUUACUCUUUGAAUAUUGAUUCCACUAUCCUAAAAUAUCGUACGGAGUAUACGUUGUUCAAAAUAAGUUGGCACCCGGAGCUUUCAAAUCUUGGAUCCGCCUCUGUCCUACAUGUUUUAUCUUUUGUAUGCAUGCAUUUUUUGAUCGACAUAGACAAUUAUUAAAUACGGCCACUUGCUUCAGAAGGUCAAUAAAUAAUAUCUACUCUGUUUAGGUAUGACAUAUGACAAUUAAACGUUAGUCCCCAGAAGGCAUAUUCAAAUGCAUGUCCUAUAUAAGAAGAAAAAAUCAUUAGACAUAUAAUUUUAUCAAUAAUCUGUUAAGUCCUUAGUUUUGAUGAUUGACAAAUCUCCAACCGUGAAACCUGAUUCAAGGAUAUUACCUUAAUGAUAAAAUUGUAACUGCUCAGGGACCAGGUUCAUCGCAUCCACAUCUUUUUCACUCAGUCAGCAUACAACUGGAAAAAGUACCGUUUGGCAAAAAGUUGGUGGCAAUGUUGCAAUACUUUUUGUCCCAGCCGAUGAGAGGAGUUCCAAGUCUUCGUGUCUUAUAUAUAUGAAACAUGUUAAAAUAAGAAAACCUAAGCUUCCAUAUGCAAACAACAUCAAAUCUCCCUUGAAGUAAUUCAUCAUCCAAAGCCUCACUUGCAACAAGGACCUGUGCUCAAUUGUUGUUUGUGUCUUAAGCUCUUGUUGUAUUUGAGUUUUUGUUUUGUAAUUUGUAAAUGUUUAGCCUACUACUCUUGUUCAUUAAUAGUAAGUGUGUUUCAUUGUUAAUUGUGUCAUCUAGAGUUAAUUGACAUUGAAUCUAAAGUUAGCUUGAUACUGAUUUAGUUAGAGUUAGUUGUGUCAGUUAGUGCAAUUGAGUUAUUGCAUUAGAGUUUAUUGUAAUAGUGUUAUUACAAGUAGAAGUUGAUGUUAUCAUACUUCUACGGGUGCUAAAAUUUGUAUAUAAGCAACAGAAACUUCAAUGAAAGUUCAAGUUCAAGACAAGAACUUAUGAAGUUUCUUAACACCUUCAACACUAGAUUAUGAAUAAUCUAUCUUAGAAGUGUGUUAAUAUUCAAAAAAAAAUGAAACAGAAAUUUAGACCAAGUCCCCCGACUUCAUGGAGUGUCCUUAAGGAAGAAUUUCUCUCACUGUACCCGAGGUUAUAGAAUCUUCCUCCCAAGAUAAAAUGGCCUUCAAUCCGAAAAAUAGCGGUACCUCAAAUUGACGGAUUCUUCAAACUAACUUAAAAGUUUGAUUGAUCACACAGAAUUUUUGAAGACAAGAAGAGUUUGUGUUUCAAAAAAUUUUUCAUAUCUAAACCUGUGGAUGAAAGCAGGUUUAUAUAGCCAUAAUAUGCCUCUUCUAAAAAGUAGCAAUGGUUCACUUAAAAAGGUGUAACCUUUCCUGAAAAAUCAUGUCUAUUCGUCCAAACAGUAUGUCUUUUUCGAACAAGCAUGCCAUUCCAUGAAUCAGUGUGUCAUUUUACUGAAUGGUUGCAUCUUUCUCAAACAUCAGUUCAUAACACUGCAUCAGUUCAGUUUGAAACAGUGCAUCAGUUCACUGUAAACAUGCAUAUAAAUGGAGGAUAAAACACAGAAAAAUUUUCUGCGUUUCUGUGAUUUUCCCUUUAGUAUCUUCGGAUCAAAUUUUGAUUAAAUAAAUUUUGUUCAAAAAGAUAGAUCUCAUCGAUCGAUCAUUUGACAAAUCCAAAUCUGAAGCCGAGCCGGGCGAGCAACGACGCAAGGAACCACCUUGUUCUUGCCUCACUAUCCAUGUGGAGUAAGUAUUCUUUAUUAAAAACACUCCAAAGUUCUCUUCUCCCACCAAUGUGGGAGAUUUAGUGAACUUUCCAAUUUGGGAGUACACUUCCUAAAUUAGUGUCUCCUUUCCUCCACCAUUUUUCUCUCCAUUUUCCAUUCACACUUCUUCCAUACAUAUUGAACCCAAUAGUGGAUUAAGCGGCUAAUCCUAGCUAGGACCAUGGAGUUUAUUUUUAGAAUGAUUUUUAGCACUUAUCUAUUUUCUCUUAAAAAUAAUAACAUAGUGCGGCUAUGAAGAAUAGAACCCGUGACCUCUUCUUUACAAAGAACUUGACAAUACCAACUAUGAAAGUCUUCAUGUAAUACUAACACUUGUUAGAUAUAUAUAAUUAUAGUUUACUCUUUGAAUAUUGAUUCCACUAUCCUAAAAUAUCGUAUGGAGUAUAUGUUAUUGUUCAAAAUAAGGUCCCACCCGGAGCUUUUGAAUCUUAGAUCCGCCUCUGCCCUACAUGUUUUAUCUUUUGCAUGUAUGCAUUUUUCGAUCCACAUAGACAAUUAUUAAAUACGGCCAGUUACUUCAGAAGGACAAUAACUAAUAUUUACUCAGUUUAGGUAUAACAUAUGACAAUUAAAUGUUAGUCCCCAGAAGCCAAAUCAAAUGCAUGUCCUAUAUAAGAAGAAAAAAACAUUAGACAUAUAAUUUUAUCAAUGAUCUGUUAAGUCCUUAGUUUUGAUGAUUGACAAAUCUCCAACCGUGAAACCUGAUUCAAGGAUAUUACCUUAAUGAUAAAAUUGUAACUGCUCAGGGACCAGGUUCAUCGCAUCCACAUCUUUUUCACUCAGUCAGUACACAACUGGAAAAAGUACCGUUUGGCAAAAAGUUGGUGGCAAUGUUGCAAUACUUUUUGUCCCAGCCAAUGAGAGGAGUUCCAGGUCUUCGUGUCUCAUAUAUAUGCAACAUGUUACAAUAAGAAAAUGUAAGCUUCCAUGUGAAAACAACAUCAAAUCUCCCUUGAAGCAAUUCAUCAUCAAAAGCCUCACUUGCUAUAAGGACCUGUGCUCAGUUGUCGUUUGUGUCUUAAGCUCUUAUUGUAUUUGAUUUUUUGUUUUGUAAUUUGUAAAUGUACAGCCUACUGCUCUUGUUCAUUAAUAGUAUGUGUGUUUUAUUGUUAAUUGUGUCAUCUAGAGUUAAUUGACAUUGAAGCUAAAGUUAGCUUGAUACUGAUUUAGUUAGAGUUAGUUGUGUCAGUUAGUGCAAUUAAGUUAUUGCAUCGGUGUUUAUUGUAAUAGAGUGAUUACAAGAAGAAAUGGAUAUUAUCUUCCUUCUACAGGUACUAAAGUUAAAUAACUUUUAAUCUUUUCUUUUUGUUUUUAGUUAACAAUGAAGUUUUUAUUACUUCAAAUUGCCAAUCGAGUGAACUUUAACUUGUGAUGAAGAUUUUAUGUCUUCUAAUCACUAGUUAAAUUCAAGCAGAGUAGAAAACUUAAAGCUUUAAUCUCCAAAAACAAGUAAUACAGAUUCUGUAAAUUUAUUUUUUUAACAUAGUUAUCUUCUUUCUACGGGUUCAAAAAUUUGUAUAAAAGCGACAGAAAGUUCAAAGAAAGUUCAAGUUCAAGCCAAGAACUUAUGAAGUUUCUUAACACCUUCAACACUAGAUUAUGAAUAAUCUAUCUUAGAAGUGUGUUGAUAUUCAGAAAAAGAUGAAACAAAAAUUUAGACAAAGUCCCCCAACUUCACAGAGUGUCCUUAAGGAAUAAUUCCCCUCACUGUACCUAAGCUUAUGGAAUCUUCCUCCCAAGAUAAAAUGGCCUUCAAUCCGAACAAUAGCGGUACCUUAAAUUGAUGGAUUCUUCAAACUCACUCAACAGUUAGAUUGAUCACACAGAAUUUUUGAAGACAAGAAGAGUUUGCGUUUCAAAAAAUUUUUCAUUUCUAAACCUGUGGAUGAAAGCAGGUUUAUAUAGCCAUAAAAUGCCUCUUCUGAAAAGUGGCAAUGGUUCACUUAAAAAGGUGUAACCUUUCCUGAAAAAUCAUGUCUAUUCGUCCAAAUAGUGUGUCUUUUCUGAACAAACAUGCCUUUCCAUGAAUCAAUGUGUCACAUUACUAAAUGGUUAGAUCUUUCUCAAACAUCAGUUCAUAACAUUGCAUCAGUUCAGUUCAAAAUAGUGCAUCAGUUCACUGUAUACACGCAUAUAAAUGGAGGAUAAAACACAGAAAAAUUUUCUGCGUUUCUGUCAUUUUUCCUUUGGUAUUUUCGAAUCAAAUUUUGAUUAAAUAAAUUUUUUCCAAAAAGAUAGAUCUCAUCGAUCGAUCAUUUGACAAAUCCAAAUCCAAAUCUGAAGCCGAGCCAAGCGAGCGAGCGACGACGUGAGGCACCACCUUAUUCUUGUCUCACUAUCCAUGUGGAGUAAGUAUUCAUUAUUAAAAACACUCCAAAGUUCUCUUCUCCCAUCAAUGUGGGAUAUUUAGUGAACUUUCCAAUUUAGGAGUACACUAUCUAAAUUAGUGUCUCCUUCCCUCCACCAUUAUUCUCUCCAUUUUCCAUUCACACUUCUUCCAUACAUAUUGAACCCAAUAGUGGAUUACGCAGCUAUCCUAGCUAGAACCAUGUAGUUUAUUUUUAGAAUGAUUUUUAGCACUUAUCUGUGUUCUCUUAAAAAAACAACAUAGUGUGGCUUUGAAGAAUAGAACUCGUGACCACUUCUUUACAAAGCACUUGAUAAUACCAACAAGACAAGCCUUCAUGUAAUACUAACAUUUCUUAGAUAUAUAUAAUUAUAGGUUACUCUUUGAAUAUUGAUUCCACUAUCCUAAAAUAUCAUACGGAGUAUACGUUGUUGUUCAAAAUAAGUUGGCACCCGGAGCUUUCAAAUCUUGGAUCCGCCUCUGUCCUACAUGUUUUAUCUUUUGCAUGCAUGCAUUUUUUGAUCAACAUAGACAAUUAUUAAAUACGGCCACUUGCUUCAGAAGGACAAUAACUAAUAUCUACUCUGUUUAGGUAUGACAUAUGACAAUUAAACAUUAGUCCCCAGAAUCCAUAUUCAAAUGCAUGUCCUAUAUAAGAAGAAAAAAAAUUAGACAUAUAAUUUUAUCAAUAAUCUGUUUAGUCCUUAGUUUUGAUGAUUGACAAACCUCCAACCGUGAAACCUGGUUCAAGGAGUUCACCUUAAUGAUAAAAUUAUAACUGCUCAGGGACGAGGUUCAUCGCAUCCACAUCUUUUUCACUCAGUCAGCAUACAUCUGGAAAAAGUACCGUUUGGAAAAAAGUUGGUGGCAAAGUUACAACACUUUUUGUCCCAGCCAAUGAGACGAGUCCCAGAUCUUCGUGUCUCAUAUAUAUGAAACAUGUUACAAUAAGAAAACCUAAGCUUCCAUAUGCAAACAACAUCAAAUCUCCCUUGAAGCAAUUCAUCAUCCAAAGCCUUACUUGCAACAAGGACCUGUGCUUAAUUGUCGUUUGUAUCUUAAACUCCUGUUGUAUUUGAGUUUUUGUUUUGUAAUUUGUAAAUGUUUAGCCUACUACUCUUGUUCAUUAAUAGUAAGUGUGUUUCAUUGUUAAUUGUGUCAUCUAGAGUUAAUUAACAUUGAAGCUAAAGUUAGCCUGAUACUAAUAUAGUUAAAGUUAGUUGUGUCAAUUAGUGCAAUUGAGUUAUUGCAUUGGAGUUUAUUGUAAUAGAGUUAUUACAAGUAGAAGUGGAUGUUAUCUUCCUUCUAUGGGUACUAAAAUCUGUAUAUAAUAAAUAGAAACUUCAAAGAAAGUUCAAGUUCUAGACAACAACUUAUGAAGUUUCUUUACACCUUUAACACUAGAUUAUGAAUAAUGUAUCUUAGAAGUGUGUUAAUAUUCAAAAAAAAAAUGAAACAGAAAUUUAGACCAAGUCCCCUGACUUCACCGAAUGUCCUUAAGUAAUAAUUUCCCUCACUGUACCCGAGGUUAUGGAAUCUUCCUCCCAGGAUAAAAUGGCCUUCAAUCCAAACAAUAGCGGUACCUCAAAUUGAAGGAUUCUUCAAACUCACUCAACAGUUUGAUUGAUCACACAAAAUAUUUGAAGUCAAGAAGAGUUUGUGUUUCAGAAAUUUUUUCAUAUCUAAACCUGUGGAUGAAAUCAGGUUUAUAUCGCCAUAACAUGACUCUUCUGAAAAGUGGCAAUGGUUCACUUAAAAAGGUGUAACGUUUCCUGAAAAAUCAUGUCUAUUCGUCCAAACAGUGUGUCUUUUCCAAACAAGCAUGCCUUUCCAUGAAUCAGUGUGCUAUUUUACUGAAUGGUUGCAUCUUUCUCAAACAUCAGUUCAUAACAUUGCAUUAGUUCAUUUUGAAAUAGUGCAUCAGUUCACUGUAUACAUGCAUAUAAAUGGAGGAUAAAACACAGAAAAUUUUUCUGCGUUUCUGUCAUUUUUCCUUUGGUAUAUUCAGAUCAAAUUUUGAUUAAAUAAAUUUUGUCCAAAAAGAUAGAUCUCAUCGACCAAUUAUUUGACAAAUCUAAAUCCAAAUCUGAAGCCGAGCUGAGCGAGUGACGACGACGUGGGGAACCACCUUGUUCUUGCCUCACUAUCCAUGUGGAGUAAGUAUUCUUUAUUAGAAACACUCCAAAGUUCUCUUCUCCCACCAAUGUGGGAGAUUUAGUGUACUUUCCAAUUUGGGAGUUUCUAAAUUAAUGUCUCUUUUCCCCCAUCAUUUUUCUCUCCAUUUUCCAUUCAUACUUAUUUCAUAUAUAUUGAACCCAACAAUCCCCCACAUGAAUAGGGAAUGGCUAUUUUUCAUAAAAGUUUUAUGGACAAGUAUGUGAUCAUCUAGCAAAGACUGAUUGCACUGGAUGAGUGGGUUUCCCUUUCAACUUUCCAUAGUGAACAUGCAUCGGAUGCACUCGGUCAAUUGGUAGAUUUAAUAUAUUUGAACCGUCGAGCUUUAAUGUACACCUAGACAACACAUGUCACACUACCAUCCUUUUACCAUUUAUGGUUCUCACGAUUUUGUUCUUUUCAGCCAUGAACAUGUCCCGAUUUCAUGAGGCUUAGAGAACAGGCCUUUACUAACAUACUCUUUCAAGCGGCUUCCACUUCACCCUCACUUAGGUAAUUUCUAAACAUUCAAUCCUAUAGAUUAAACUAUUUGGUCAAAUCUGUCAAAUUUAGAUAAUCAUUAAAAGACUUUUAACCUUAAGUCUUAUCCUUGUUUACUAAAAAUUGUCUACAUCAUGAGAAUGGGUUGGAUAAUUGACAAUGUUGAACUUGUCAAACACAAAUUUAUUUGAUCUCCUUGAACCUAGCUCUUGGGAUCUCUAGUCUUCUAGGUAGAGUUACCGCCAUACUGACUUGUCCUAGGCCGUAAACCCAUUCCCUUAGAUGUUCUUUCCACUCUUUCUCUAGAUAGGCCUUUCGUAAGUGGAUGCGACACAUUAUCCUUUGACUUUACGUAGUCAAAAGUGAUAAUUCCACUAGAGAGAAGUUCCCUAAUGGUAUUAUGUCUCCGUCGUAUGUGAUGAGAUUUACCAUUAUACAUCAUGCUCCCUGCCCUACCUAUUGCCACUUGGCUAUCACAGUAUAUACAUACUGGUGCCACUGGUUUGGGCCCAUACGAAAUGUCUUCCAAGAAAUUCCGGAGCCAUUCUGCUUCUUCACCAGCUUUAUCCAAUGCUAUAAAUUCAGAUUCCAUUGUAGAGAAAGCAAUACAAGUCUAUUUGGAUGAUUUCCAAGAGACUGCUCCUCCACCAAUAGUAAAUACAUAUCCACUUGUGGAUUUUACUGCGUUUGAUCCGAUGAUCCAAUUUGCAUCUCUAUAUGCUUCAAGUACUGUAGGAUAUUUAUUAUAAUACAAGUCUUAGUCUUGAGUGUAUUUAAGAUACCCUAAAACUCUUUUCAUUGUAUUCCAAUGAGUUUUGUUGGGAUUACUCGUGUACCGACUCAAUUUACUAAUAGCGCAUGAUAUGUCUGGUCGUGUAUAAUUCAUUAUAUACAUUAAACAUCCCAAUACUCUUGCGUACUCCAAUUUUGAGUCACUUUCACCUUCAUUCUUUCGAAGUGCAAAGCUCACAUCCAAUGGAGUUUUGGCAACACCGAAUUUCAUAUACUUGAACUUGUCAAGUACAUUUUUCAUAUAAUAAGAUUGUGACAAUGCCAACCCUUGUGAAGUUCUAUGGAUUAUUAUACCUAAGAUUACAUCUACAACUCCAACAUCUUUCAUAUCAAACUUUCUUUCAAGCAUUCGUUUUGUUGCAUUUAUGUCAAAAAUGUCUCUGCUGAUGAUCAACAUAUCAUCCACAUAAACAAAAAAUAACUUGGUGAUUUGGAGUGUCUUUAAUAUAAACACAUUUAUCAUAUUCAUUUAUCUUGAACCCAUUUGCCAACAUGGUUUGGUUAAACUUUGUACGUCAUUGUUUAGGUGCUUGCUUUAGUCCAUAUAAUGACUUAAUAAGUUUACACACCUUAUUUUCCUUUCCUGGAACCACAAAACCCUAAAGCUGUUCCAUGUAUAUUUCUUCCUCCAAUUCUCCAUUUAGGAAAGUAGUUUUCACAUCCAUUUGAUGGAUUUCAAGACCAUAUACCGCAGCCAAGGCAAUUAACACUCGAAUCGAUGUUAUCCUUGUUACUGGCGAGUAUGUAUCGAUGUAAUCAAGGCCUUCUUUUUGUUUGAAUUCUUUUACUACAAGUCUUGACUUGUAUUUUUCAAUAGUACCAUCCAUUUUCAUCUUCCUUUUAAAUAUCCAUUUAGAACCUAAAGGUUUAUUUCCUGGAGGAAGGUCAACCAAUUCUCACAUAUGGUUGCUUAAGAUUGAAUAAAUCUCACUAUUGACUACCUCUUUCCAAAAGGCUGAGUUCGAAGAUGCCAUCGCUUUCUUAAAUGUUUGAGGCUCAUUUUCUAAGAGAAAUUUUACAAAAUUUGAUCCAAACGAAGUAGACGUUCUUUGACGUGUGAUAUGAUACAAAUUUGGUACGUAUCAAAAACAAGCCAAAAAUAGUCCACAAAUAAAGGGAAACCUAAGAGCUCAACAAACACCAAAUCUCAGUUCCAACAACAUCAGGAAACAAGGUGUAAAUGACACCAAAAUCACUAACAACAACAAGAGAUAAACAACAAUAACAAGAGGAACAACACUACAAUAACAAUAAUCCAACGGUUACAUGAUUACAAGAACAACAAGAACCAAAUGGUUCACUAGACUACACAACUAGUACAUGAUAUGUAAAGAUAGGAAGUGAGACAUACACUAUUACAAGGUCAAGAACCCAAAGAUGUAUUAAAUCUUAAGGACCCCUAAGACUUACAAUAGCAACACCAUACUCUUACGUGACACAAGAGAGAUUCCACCACUUAAGCACCAACGUUUCCAAGCAAUACACAAUCACAAGUGAAUCUACACUUGUUCAUGUCCUAGUUUAGGCCUAGAGACCCUCUCUCUCAAGAGAUGUGUUCUUUCAACAAUAUUCAACAAAAACUAAUGAACUAAAACCCUAUAUUAUUAUAUUUAUAGUACUUUACAAAUAAAAAGAUAAAAUGACAAAAAGGCCCUUUAAUGACCAAGAAGGCAAAUAGGCACCCAUGGAGUGUUUUUAGGGGCGGUUUGGAGCCCUUUAAACACUUCAACUCAUACACCUCUGAGGUUACAUCCAAAAUACUCAAAAACGUUCAUCUUCAUGAUUGUUCUUGUAUCAUCCUCUCCAUCUUGAGAGGAAUUUGACCUCAAAUUCAUGGCACUAGCCAAAUGAUAAUGGCUCCAAAAUAGUCCACAAAAUAAGAAGAAACCGAGAACACAACAAUUUCAAGUCUCUGCCAACGUCUUUAUUUUGCACCAAGAUUAUUACAAGAUUAAUAACCAAGUGUAUUUCAACACUAACCCCUAAUAAAUGUAAUAAACAAAAUCACACUCUUACGGUGACCACCAAGAGAAUCAACUCACCUCAAGAUCCACGUUUCCAAGCAAAGGUCAAUAUUGGCUUUUCCAAGCCCUAUACUAAGGAUGACUUUUCCAAGCCCUAACUAAGACUACACUAAGGUGGUCUACUCCCAAGAGAGAGGAUUUUCAAUUUUUCAUACAUUCAUUAUUUAAAACUAAUGAGAAAAGACCUAAAAGAGACUAUAUAUUGUAUAUUACAAAAGAAAGACAAAAUGACUCCAAUGCCUUUAAUGAGGUGGGGUGGCCAUGGAGUGUCAUUUAGACAAGUCUAAAUAACCAAAAUUCCCUCAAGGCUAAGUGACCAAAAUGCCCUUAAUAAAGGGAACCAAAAUUGUGAACCACCAAGUAUGGCUCAAACCCAAGAGUCCUCAAGUCAUCAAGGCUCCAAGCAAUCUUUCACACUCGGAUUUGUUUAAUGGCAUGCUCAAGACGACCCCUCCAAGUAUUAUCCCGUACCCCCAUGCGACCAAAGCUUGAUUCUUCAUGUAGUGACUUUGAAUGAUGUCAUUGAAAGCUAAGGCGACCAUUUGACUUGUAUCACCUAAACUUCAUCAUUUUCAAGUCACUAAGUCACCUCCCAAACAAACAUACUAAACUACCUUCAAAAUGAUAAAUUCACCUUUUAACUAUCUACACUUAAUCAAUUGCAAGUGACUAAGUCACCUCACAUGUCACCAAACUAAACCACAUUCAAAAAAAAAAUUCACAUUUUAUGUACCUAAACUUUAACAUUUUUAAGUUACUAAGUCACCUCUUAAAACAACAAACUAAACUACCUUCAAAAUGAUAAAUUCACAUUUCAAGUACCUACACAUAAUCAAUUUCAAGUGACUAAGUCACCACCCAAGUCACCAAACUAAACCAUAUUUAAAAUUAGCAAAAUUCACAAUAAAGAGUUCACCUUCAAGUAACUACACUUAUUCACUUUCAAGUAACAUAUUUAUUUAUAGUAUAAUAAGUCAAACAAUUGACCAAGUGUAACAAAGCAAAUAAGUAGAGGCAUCGUAUGUCCCUCUCACACCAUAUAAUCAUCACAAAAUUCCUAUGGCUUUCAAAGCCUUCUUCAAUGAACAAUCCCAAACUAAACUACAUUUAAAGACUUUAUUAUAAGAAAAUAAAGAGANNNNNNNNNNNNNNNNNNNNNNNNNNNNNNNNNNNNNNNNNNNNNNNNNNNNNNNNNNNNNNNNNNNNNNNNNNNNNNNNNNNNNNNNNNNNNNNNNNNNNNNNNNNNNNNNNNNNNNNNNNNNNNNNNNNNNNNNNNNNNNNNNNNNNNNNNNNNNNNNNNNNNNNNNNNNNNNNNNNNNNNNNNNNNNNNNNNNNNNNNNNNNNNNNNNNNNNNNNNNNNNNNNNNNNNNNNNNNNNNNNNNNNNNNNNNNNNNNNNNNNNNNNNNNNNNNNNNNNNNNNNNNNNNNNNNNNNNNNNNNNNNNNNNNNNNNNNNNNNNNNNNNNNNNNNNNNNNNNNNNNNNNNNNNNNNNNNNNNNNNNNNNNNNNNNNNNNNNNNNNNNNNNNNNNNNNNNNNNNNNNNNNNNNNNNNNNNNNNNNNNNNNNNNNNNNNNNNNNNNNNNNNNNNNNNNNNNNNNNNNNNNNNNNNNNNNNNNNNNNNNNNNNNNNNNNNNNNNNNNNNNNNNNNNNNNNNNNNNNNNNNNNNNNNNNNNNNNNNNNNNNNNNNNNNNNNNNNNNNNNNNNNNNNNNNNNNNNNNNNNNNNNNNNNNNNNNNNNNNNNNNNNNNNNNNNNNNNNNNNNNNNNNNNNNNNNNNNNNNNNNNNNNNNNNNNNNNNNNNNNNNNNNNNNNNNNNNNNNNNNNNNNNNNNNNNNNNNNNNNNNNNNNNNNNNNNNNNNNNNNNNNNNNNNNNNNNNNNNNNNNNNNNNNNNNNNNNNNNNNNNNNNNNNNNNNNNNNNNNNNNNNNNNNNNNNNNNNNNNNNNNNNNNNNNNNNNNNNNNNNNNNNNNNNNNNNNNNNNNNNNNNNNNNNNNNNNNNNNNNNNNNNNNNNNNNNNNNNNNNNNNNNNNNNNNNNNNNNNNNNNNNNNNNNNNNNNNNNNNNNNNNNNNNNNNNNNNNNNNNNNNNNNNNNNNNNNNNNNNNNNNNNNNNNNNNNNNNNNNNNNNNNNNNNNNNNNNNNNNNNNNNNNNNNNNNNNNNNNNNNNNNNNNNNNNNNNNNNNNNNNNNNNNNNNNNNNNNNNNNNNNNNNNNNNNNNNNNNNNNNNNNNNNNNNNNNNNNNNNNNNNNNNNNNNNNNNNNNNNNNNNNNNNNNNNNNNNNNNNNNNNNNNNNNNNNNNNNNNNNNNNNNNNNNNNNNNNNNNNNNNNNNNNNNNNNNNNNNNNNNNNNNNNNNNNNNNNNNNNNNNNNNNNNNNNNNNNNNNNNNNNNNNNNNNNNNNNNNNNNNNNNNNNNNNNNNNNNNNNNNNNNNNNNNNNNNNNNNNNNNNNNNNNNNNNNNNNNNNNNNNNNNNNNNNNNNNNNNNNNNNNNNNNNNNNNNNNNNNNNNNNNNNNNNNNNNNNNNNNNNNNNNNNNNNNNNNNNNNNNNNNNNNNNNNNNNNNNNNNNNNNNNNNNNNNNNNNNNNNNNNNNNNNNNNNNNNNNNNNNNNNNNNNNNNNNNNNNNNNNNNNNNNNNNNNNNNNNNNNNNNNNNNNNNNNNNNNNNNNNNNNNNNNNNNNNNNNNNNNNNNNNNNNNNNNNNNNNNNNNNNNNNNNNNNNNNNNNNNNNNNNNNNNNNNNNNNNNNNNNNNNNNNNNNNNNNNNNNNNNNNNNNNNNNNNNNNNNNNNNNNNNNNNNNNNNNNNNNNNNNNNNNNNNNNNNNNNNNNNNNNNNNNNNNNNNNNNNNNNNNNNNNNNNNNNNNNNNNNNNNNNNNNNNNNNNNNNNNNNNNNNNNNNNNNNNNNNNNNNNNNNNNNNNNNNNNNNNNNNNNNNNNNNNNNNNNNNNNNNNNNNNNNNNNNNNNNNNNNNNNNNNNNNNNNNNNNNNNNNNNNNNNNNNNNNNNNNNNNNNNNNNNNNNNNNNNNNNNNNNNNNNNNNNNNNNNNNNNNNNNNNNNNNNNNNNNNNNNNNNNNNNNNNNNNNNNNNNNNNNNNNNNNNNNNNNNNNNNNNNNNNNNNNNNNNNNNNNNNNNNNNNNNNNNNNNNNNNNNNNNNNNNNNNNNNNNNNNNNNNNNNNNNNNNNNNNNNNNNNNNNNNNNNNNNNNNNNNNNNNNNNNNNNNNNNNNNNNNNNNNNNNNNNNNNNNNNNNNNNNNNNNNNNNNNNNNNNNNNNNNNNNNNNNNNNNNNNNNNNNNNNNNNNNNNNNNNNNNNNNNNNNNNNNNNNNNNNNNNNNNNNNNNNNNNNNNNNNNNNNNNNNNNNNNNNNNNNNNNNNNNNNNNNNNNNNNNNNNNNNNNNNNNNNNNNNNNNNNNNNNNNNNNNNNNNNNNNNNNNNNNNNNNNNNNNNNNNNNNNNNNNNNNNNNNNNNNNNNNNNNNNNNNNNNNNNNNNNNNNNNNNNNNNNNNNNNNNNNNNNNNNNNNNNNNNNNNNNNNNNNNNNNNNNNNNNNNNNNNNNNNNNNNNNNNNNNNNNNNNNNNNNNNNNNNNNNNNNNNNNNNNNNNNNNNNNNNNNNNNNNNNNNNNNNNNNNNNNNNNNNNNNNNNNNNNNNNNNNNNNNNNNNNNNNNNNNNNNNNNNNNNNNNNNNNNNNNNNNNNNNNNNNNNNNNNNNNNNNNNNNNNNNNNNNNNNNNNNNNNNNNNNNNNNNNNNNNNNNNNNNNNNNNNNNNNNNNNNNNNNNNNNNNNNNNNNNNNNNNNNNNNNNNNNNNNNNNNNNNNNNNNNNNNNNNNNNNNNNNNNNNNNNNNNNNNNNNNNNNNNNNNNNNNNNNNNNNNNNNNNNNNNNNNNNNNNNNNNNNNNNNNNNNNNNNNNNNNNNNNNNNNNNNNNNNNNNNNNNNNNNNNNNNNNNNNNNNNNNNNNNNNNNNNNNNNNNNNNNNNNNNNNNNNNNNNNNNNNNNNNNNNNNNNNNNNNNNNNNNNNNNNNNNNNNNNNNNNNNNNNNNNNNNNNNNNNNNNNNNNNNNNNNNNNNNNNNNNNNNNNNNNNNNNNNNNNNNNNNNNNNNNNNNNNNNNNNNNNNNNNNNNNNNNNNNNNNNNNNNNNNNNNNNNNNNNNNNNNNNNNNNNNNNNNNNNNNNNNNNNNNNNNNNNNNNNNNNNNNNNNNNNNNNNNNNNNNNNNNNNNNNNNNNNNNNNNNNNNNNNNNNNNNNNNNNNNNNNNNNNNNNNNNNNNNNNNNNNNNNNNNNNNNNNNNNNNNNNNNNNNNNNNNNNNNNNNNNNNNNNNNNNNNNNNNNNNNNNNNNNNNNNNNNNNNNNNNNNNNNNNNNNNNNNNNNNNNNNNNNNNNNNNNNNNNNNNNNNNNNNNNNNNNNNNNNNNNNNNNNNNNNNNNNNNNNNNNNNNNNNNNNNNNNNNNNNNNNNNNNNNNNNNNNNNNNNNNNNNNNNNNNNNNNNNNNNNNNNNNNNNNNNNNNNNNNNNNNNNNNNNNNNNNNNNNNNNNNNNNNNNNNNNNNNNNNNNNNNNNNNNNNNNNNNNNNNNNNNNNNNNNNNNNNNNNNNNNNNNNNNNNNNNNNNNNNNNNNNNNNNNNNNNNNNNNNNNNNNNNNNNNNNNNNNNNNNNNNNNNNNNNNNNNNNNNNNNNNNNNNNNNNNNNNNNNNNNNNNNNNNNNNNNNNNNNNNNNNNNNNNNNNNNNNNNNNNNNNNNNNNNNNNNNNNNNNNNNNNNNNNNNNNNNNNNNNNNNNNNNNNNNNNNNNNNNNNNNNNNNNNNNNNNNNNNNNNNNNNNNNNNNNNNNNNNNNNNNNNNNNNNNNNNNNNNNNNNNNNNNNNNNNNNNNNNNNNNNNNNNNNNNNNNNNNNNNNNNNNNNNNNNNNNNNNNNNNNNNNNNNNNNNNNNNNNNNNNNNNNNNNNNNNNNNNNNNNNNNNNNNNNNNNNNNNNNNNNNNNNNNNNNNNNNNNNNNNNNNNNNNNNNNNNNNNNNNNNNNNNNNNNNNNNNNNNNNNNNNNNNNNNNNNNNNNNNNNNNNNNNNNNNNNNNNNNNNNNNNNNNNNNNNNNNNNNNNNNNNNNNNNNNNNNNNNNNNNNNNNNNNNNNNNNNNNNNNNNNNNNNNNNNNNNNNNNNNNNNNNNNNNNNNNNNNNNNNNNNNNNNNNNNNNNNNNNNNNNNNNNNNNNNNNNNNNNNNNNNNNNNNNNNNNNNNNNNNNNNNNNNNNNNNNNNNNNNNNNNNNNNNNNNNNNNNNNNNNNNNNNNNNNNNNNNNNNNNNNNNNNNNNNNNNNNNNNNNNNNNNNNNNNNNNNNNNNNNNNNNNNNNNNNNNNNNNNNNNNNNNNNNNNNNNNNNNNNNNNNNNNNNNNNNNNNNNNNNNNNNNNNNNNNNNNNNNNNNNNNNNNNNNNNNNNNNNNNNNNNNNNNNNNNNNNNNNNNNNNNNNNNNNNNNNNNNNNNNNNNNNNNNNNNNNNNNNNNNNNNNNNNNNNNNNNNNNNNNNNNNNNNNNNNNNNNNNNNNNNNNNNNNNNNNNNNNNNNNNNNNNNNNNNNNNNNNNNNNNNNNNNNNNNNNNNNNNNNNNNNNNNNNNNNNNNNNNNNNNNNNNNNNNNNNNNNNNNNNNNNNNNNNNNNNNNNNNNNNNNNNNNNNNNNNNNNNNNNNNNNNNNNNNNNNNNNNNNNNNNNNNNNNNNNNNNNNNNNNNNNNNNNNNNNNNNNNNNNNNNNNNNNNNNNNNNNNNNNNNNNNNNNNNNNNNNNNNNNNNNNNNNNNNNNNNNNNNNNNNNNNNNNNNNNNNNNNNNNNNNNNNNNNNNNNNNNNNNNNNNNNNNNNNNNNNNNNNNNNNNNNNNNNNNNNNNNNNNNNNNNNNNNNNNNNNNNNNNNNNNNNNNNNNNNNNNNNNNNNNNNNNNNNNNNNNNNNNNNNNNNNNNNNNNNNNNNNNNNNNNNNNNNNNNNNNNNNNNNNNNNNNNNNNNNNNNNNNNNNNNNNNNNNNNNNNNNNNNNNNNNNNNNNNNNNNNNNNNNNNNNNNNNNNNNNNNNNNNNNNNNNNNNNNNNNNNNNNNNNNNNNNNNNNNNNNNNNNNNNNNNNNNNNNNNNNNNNNNNNNNNNNNNNNNNNNNNNNNNNNNNNNNNNNNNNNNNNNNNNNNNNNNNNNNNNNNNNNNNNNNNNNNNNNNNNNNNNNNNNNNNNNNNNNNNNNNNNNNNNNNNNNNNNNNNNNNNNNNNNNNNNNNNNNNNNNNNNNNNNNNNNNNNNNNNNNNNNNNNNNNNNNNNNNNNNNNNNNNNNNNNNNNNNNNNNNNNNNNNNNNNNNNNNNNNNNNNNNNNNNNNNNNNNNNNNNNNNNNNNNNNNNNNNNNNNNNNNNNNNNNNNNNNNNNNNNNNNNNNNNNNNNNNNNNNNNNNNNNNNNNNNNNNNNNNNNNNNNNNNNNNNNNNNNNNNNNNNNNNNNNNNNNNNNNNNNNNNNNNNNNNNNNNNNNNNNNNNNNNNNNNNNNNNNNNNNNNNNNNNNNNNNNNNNNNNNNNNNNNNNNNNNNNNNNNNNNNNNNNNNNNNNNNNNNNNNNNNNNNNNNNNNNNNNNNNNNNNNNNNNNNNNNNNNNNNNNNNNNNNNNNNNNNNNNNNNNNNNNNNNNNNNNNNNNNNNNNNNNNNNNNNNNNNNNNNNNNNNNNNNNNNNNNNNNNNNNNNNNNNNNNNNNNNNNNNNNNNNNNNNNNNNNNNNNNNNNNNNNNNNNNNNNNNNNNNNNNNNNNNNNNNNNNNNNNNNNNNNNNNNNNNNNNNNNNNNNNNNNNNNNNNNNNNNNNNNNNNNNNNNNNNNNNNNNNNNNNNNNNNNNNNNNNNNNNNNNNNNNNNNNNNNNNNNNNNNNNNNNNNNNNNNNNNNNNNNNNNNNNNNNNNNNNNNNNNNNNNNNNNNNNNNNNNNNNNNNNNNNNNNNNNNNNNNNNNNNNNNNNNNNNNNNNNNNNNNNNNNNNNNNNNNNNNNNNNNNNNNNNNNNNNNNNNNNNNNNNNNNNNNNNNNNNNNNNNNNNNNNNNNNNNNNNNNNNNNNNNNNNNNNNNNNNNNNNNNNNNNNNNNNNNNNNNNNNNNNNNNNNNNNNNNNNNNNNNNNNNNNNNNNNNNNNNNNNNNNNNNNNNNNNNNNNNNNNNNNNNNNNNNNNNNNNNNNNNNNNNNNNNNNNNNNNNNNNNNNNNNNNNNNNNNNNNNNNNNNNNNNNNNNNNNNNNNNNNNNNNNNNNNNNNNNNNNNNNNNNNNNNNNNNNNNNNNNNNNNNNNNNNNNNNNNNNNNNNNNNNNNNNNNNNNNNNNNNNNNNNNNNNNNNNNNNNNNNNNNNNNNNNNNNNNNNNNNNNNNNNNNNNNNNNNNNNNNNNNNNNNNNNNNNNNNNNNNNNNNNNNNNNNNNNNNNNNNNNNNNNNNNNNNNNNNNNNNNNNNNNNNNNNNNNNNNNNNNNNNNNNNNNNNNNNNNNNNNNNNNNNNNNNNNNNNNNNNNNNNNNNNNNNNNNNNNNNNNNNNNNNNNNNNNNNNNNNNNNNNNNNNNNNNNNNNNNNNNNNNNNNNNNNNNNNNNNNNNNNNNNNNNNNNNNNNNNNNNNNNNNNNNNNNNNNNNNNNNNNNNNNNNNNNNNNNNNNNNNNNNNNNNNNNNNNNNNNNNNNNNNNNNNNNNNNNNNNNNNNNNNNNNNNNNNNNNNNNNNNNNNNNNNNNNNNNNNNNNNNNNNNNNNNNNNNNNNNNNNNNNNNNNNNNNNNNNNNNNNNNNNNNNNNNNNNNNNNNNNNNNNNNNNNNNNNNNNNNNNNNNNNNNNNNNNNNNNNNNNNNNNNNNNNNNNNNNNNNNNNNNNNNNNNNNNNNNNNNNNNNNNNNNNNNNNNNNNNNNNNNNNNNNNNNNNNNNNNNNNNNNNNNNNNNNNNNNNNNNNNNNNNNNNNNNNNNNNNNNNNNNNNNNNNNNNNNNNNNNNNNNNNNNNNNNNNNNNNNNNNNNNNNNNNNNNNNNNNNNNNNNNNNNNNNNNNNNNNNNNNNNNNNNNNNNNNNNNNNNNNNNNNNNNNNNNNNNNNNNNNNNNNNNNNNNNNNNNNNNNNNNNNNNNNNNNNNNNNNNNNNNNNNNNNNNNNNUAUGUCUCCGUCGUAUGUGAUGAGAUUUACCAUUAUACAUCAUGCUCCCUGCCCUACCUAUUGCCACUUGGCUAUCACAGUAUAUACAUACUGGUGCCACUGGUUUGGGCCAAUACGAAAUGUCUUCCAAGAAAUUCCGGAGCCAUUCUGCUUCUUCACCAGCUUUAUCCAAUGCUAUAAAUUCAGAUUCCAUUGUAGAGAAAGCAAUACAAGUCUAUUUGGAUGAUUUCCAAGAGACUGCUCCUCCACCAAUAGUAAAUACAUAUCCACUUGUGGAUUUUACUGCGUUUGAUCCGAUGAUCCAAUUUGCAUCUCUAUAUGCUUCAAGUACUGUAGGAUAUUUAUUAUAAUACAAGUCUUAGUCUUGAGUGUAUUUAAGAUACCCUAAAACUCUUUUCAUUGUAUUCCAAUGAGUUUUGUUGGGAUUACUCGUGUACCGACUCAAUUUACUAAUAGCGCAUGAUAUGUCUGGUCGUGUAUAAUUCAUUAUAUACAUUAAACAUCCCAAUACUCUUGCGUACUCCAAUUUUGAGUCACUUUCACCUUCAUUCUUUCGAAGUGCAAAGCUCACAUCCAAUGGAGUUUUGGCAACACCGAAUUUCAUAUACUUGAACUUGUCAAGUACAUUUUUCAUAUAAUAAGAUUGUGACAAUGCCAACCCUUGUGAAGUUCUAUGGAUUAUUAUACCUAAGAUUACAUCUACAACUCCAACAUCUUUCAUAUCAAACUUUCUUUCAAGCAUUCGUUUUGUUGCAUUUAUGUCAAAAAUGUCUCUGCUGAUGAUCAACAUAUCAUCCACAUAAACAAAAAAUAACUUGGUGAUUUGGAGUGUCUUUAAUAUAAACACAUUUAUCAUAUUCAUUUAUCUUGAACCCAUUUGCCAACAUGGUUUGGUUAAACUUUGUACGUCAUUGUUUAGGUGCUUGCUUUAGUCCAUAUAAUGACUUAAUAAGUUUACACACCUUAUUUUCCUUUCCUGGAACCACAAAACCCUAAAGCUGUUCCAUGUAUAUUUCUUCCUCCAAUUCUCCAUUUAGGAAAGUAGUUUUCACAUCCAUUUGAUGGAUUUCAAGACCAUAUACCGCAGCCAAGGCAAUUAACACUCGAAUCGAUGUUAUCCUUGUUACUGGCGAGUAUGUAUCGAUGUAAUCAAGGCCUUCUUUUUGUUUGCAUUCUUUUACUACAAGUCUUGACUUGUAUUUUUCAAUAGUACCAUCCAUUUUCAUCUUCCUUUUAAAUAUCCAUUUAGAACCUAAAGGUUUAUUUCCUGGAGGAAGGUCAACCAAUUCUCACAUAUGGUUGCUUAAGAUUGAAUAAAUCUCACUAUUGACUACCUCUUUCCAAAAGGCUGAGUUCGAAGAUGCCAUCGCUUUCUUAAAUGUUUGAGGCUCAUUUUCUAAGAGAAAUUUUACAAAAUUUGAUCCAAACGAAGUAGACGUUCUUUGACGUGUGAUAUGAUACAAAUUUGGUACGUAUCAAAAACAAGCCAAAAAUAGUCCACAAAUAAAGGGAAACCUAAGAGCUCAACAAACACCAAAUCUCAGUUCCAACAACAUCAGGAAACAAGGUGUAAAUGACACCAAAAUCACUAACAACAACAAGAGAUAAACAACAAUAACAAGAGGAACAACACUACAAUAACAAUAAUCCAACGGUUACAUGAUUACAAGAACAACAAGAACCAAAUGGUUCACUAGACUACACAACUAGUACAUGAUAUGUAAAGAUAGGAAGUGAGACAUACACUAUUACAAGGUUAAGAACCCAAAGAUGUAUUAAAUCUUAAGGACCUAAUCCAACGGUUACAUGAUUACAAGAACAACAAGAACCAAAUGGUUCACUAGACUACACAACUAGUACAUGAUAUGUAAAGAUAGGAAGUGAGACAUACACUAUUACAAGGUUAAGAACCCAAAGAUGUAUUAAAUCUUAAGGACCCCUAAGACUUACAAUAGCAACACCAUACUCUUACGUGACACAAGAGAGAUUCCACCACUUAAGCACCAACGUUUCCAAGCAAUACACAAUCACAAGUGAAUCUACACUUGUUCAUGUCCUAGUUUAGGCCUAGAGACCCUCUCUCUCAAGAGAUGUGUUCUUUCAACAAUAUUCAACAAAAACUAAUGAACUAAAACCCUAUAUUAUUAUAUUUAUAGUACUUUACAAAUAAAAAGAUAAAAUGACAAAAAGGCCCUUUAAUGACCAAGAAGGCAAAUAGGCACCCAUGGAGUGUUUUUAGGGGCGGUUUGGAGCCCUUUAAACACUUCAACUCAUACACCUCUGAGGUUACAUCCAAAAUACUCAAAAACGUUCAUCUUCAUGAUUGUUCUUGUAUCAUCCUCUCCAUCUUGAGAGGAAUUUGACCUCAAAUUCAUGGCACUAGCCAAAUGAUAAUGGCUCCAAAAUAGUCCACAAAAUAAGAAGAAACCGAGAACACAACAAUUUCAAGUCUCUGCCAACGUCUUUAUUUUGCACCAAGAUUAUUACAAGAUUAAUAACCAAGUGUAUUUCAACACUAACCCCUAAUAAAUGUAAUAAACAAAAUCACACUCUUACGGUGACCACCAAGAGAAUCAACUCACCUCAAGAUCCACGUUUCCAAGCAAAGGUCAAUAUUGGCUUUUCCAAGCCCUAUACUAAGGAUGACUUUUCCAAGCCCUAACUAAGACUACACUAAGGUGGUCUACUCCCAAGAGAGAGGAUUUUCAAUUUUUCAUACAUUCAUUAUUUAAAACUAAUGAGAAAAGACCUAAAAGAGACUAUAUAUUGUAUAUUACAAAAGAAAGACAAAAUGACUCCAAUGCCUUUAAUGAGGUGGGGUGGCCAUGGAGUGUCAUUUAGACAAGUCUAAAUAACCAAAAUUCCCUCAAGGCUAAGUGACCAAAAUGCCCUUAAUAAAGGGAACCAAAAUUGUGAACCACCAAGUAUGGCUCAAACCCAAGAGUCCUCAAGUCAUCAAGGCUCCAAGCAAUCUUUCACACUCGGAUUUGUUUAAUGGCAUGCUCAAGACGACCCCUCCAAGUAUUAUCCCGUACCCCCAUGCGACCAAAGCUUGAUUCUUCAUGUAGUGACUUUGAAUGAUGUCAUUGAAAGCUAAGGCGACCAUUUGACUUGUAUCACCUAAACUUCAUCAUUUUCAAGUCACUAAGUCACCUCCCAAACAAACAUACUAAACUACCUUCAAAAUGAUAAAUUCACCUUUUAACUAUCUACACUUAAUCAAUUGCAAGUGACUAAGUCACCUCACAUGUCACCAAACUAAACCACAUUCAAAAAAAAAAUUCACAUUUUAUGUACCUAAACUUUAACAUUUUUAAGUUACUAAGUCACCUCUUAAAACAACAAACUAAACUACCUUCAAAAUGAUAAAUUCACAUUUCAAGUACCUACACAUAAUCAAUUUCAAGUGACUAAGUCACCACCCAAGUCACCAAACUAAACCAUAUUUAAAAUUAGCAAAAUUCACAAUAAAGAGUUCACCUUCAAGUAACUACACUUAUUCACUUUCAAGUAACAUAUUUAUUUAUAGUAUAAUAAGUCAAACAAUUGACCAAGUGUAACAAAGCAAAUAAGUAGAGGCAUCGUAUGUCCCUCUCACACCAUAUAAUCAUCACAAAAUUCCUAUGGCUUUCAAAGCCUUCUUCAAUGAACAAUCCCAAACUAAACUACAUUUAAAGACUUUAUUAUAAGAAAAUAAAGAGAAACCAACUUACCUUUGCUUGACAUAAAUUAAAGAGAAAGAGAUUAGUGGUCACUUGUAAAAUAGCAAAGCAAUCCUUUUCCCCAAUUUGGAUUCUGUCAAACAAUAAAAUUAUUAGAAAGAAUAAUUUUUGGAUUAAACAAUUGCAACAACAAUUUAGUAAAAGAUAUCACAUUAUGAAUUCCAUUUCGACUAACAACAAAAAUGACAUACCCAGUAGAAUCACACUCAAUUUUUAACGUUAAACCAGUAAAAAAAGACAUAAAAACAAUAAUUAAGAAGAAAGUAACUAUGUAACACCCCGAGUUUGGUACCCCGAAUGCUACACGGUGCUAACAAUCCUGAAGGACCACUAGCUAACCCAUGAUUGGUACCUGCUGCAAUAACUAUACAAUAAUACUGAAAUAUGCAGAAUAAUGGGUUGAAAUGCCAUAAGGUUCAAAACUGAACAAUACUGAAUAUAACUGGGCAUAUGGUAUAGCAAUACCAAAACUAAAAUAACUGUCUGAACAUACUAUAGUUUGUAAAAACCUAUAAAACUAUCUAAAUAAGGAGUUGAUAGGACUUAUCCCCAAUUAAACCUAACUGCUGAAAUAAACUAAGUAGUAAAGCACUGAAAUAAUGAAACUAUCACGUUAUUCUCAAAUGAUGAGGACUCACGGCUAAUCUACUGCUACUGGAAUUAGAAUUGCUAAGUGCGAUCGGGAACCCGAGCAUCAAACCUAUGGUAUAAAACACCAUUGCGUAAGAGAAAAGUAUGCGUCAGUACAUGAGAAUGUACUGGUACGCAAAGUAAGGUAAGGUGAAUGUAAGGGUUCAUAUGCAUGAACAAUAACUAAUUGAAUAACAUUCAAAUAACUGUGUGGGAAUACAUCCAUAAAUACGUGGAUUGUAACUGAGGUUGUGAUAAUGUUGAAUACUGAAUUUGAAUACUGAUUAACAAAUGUUUAAGUCUAUGGAUACUGUAUAACUGGUAAUUGGAUAACUGUAUCUGACAGUUCUGAAUCUGUGUAACUAUACUGAGCUUAUUGAUAACAUAAUUUACUAAUAACUGAUGUACUGUUAAUUGAAUGAAUAUUUUUGACAUUCCUGAUUCUAAUGGAACUAGCUAAUUUCAGUACUGAUCUGUGUGACUGUAUCUGAGAGGCCUAAAAUCUGAAAAACUAUCUGAAUUCCUUACUAAAGACAGAGAUUGAGACUGUGGGAGGUAAUCAUCUAACCGACAUGCCCCAUAAAUGAACUGGUGGAGUCCAAUCUGUGACCCUAGUUGGAAGGGUGUCAAUAUCGUGCCACGAGUAAAGACAGGUUGUAAGUUAACCCUCUGCUGAUAGAAAGCUCUUCUAUCAACCCCUUACUGGUAAGAGAACUCAAAUGAUAUGUACUAACCCUAGACUCAUAGGGAUAUAUCUCAACCUACACUGGCUACAUAGUUCUGAAAUGCAAGAAUUUCUUCUAAGGAUCUCACCCUCUACUAACUAAAAGGUGAGCCUUCAUCCCUAGGUUCACUCGGUGCUGAAUCCUAAUCCCAACUGAAUAGACACUGACUGAUUUCCUAGUUCAUACUAGGCUUGACUGAUUUGUUACUGAUUGUACUGAUUAACUGAACUGAGCUGAGUUCACUGAGUUCUGUUGACUGAUGGAAAUAUUACUGAAUUCUGUUAGCUGACUAAGUACUACAGAGUUCUGAAAUGAAUACUGAAUACUACUAAUCGUUACAUGACUGAAAUUGUUCUGUAACUGAUACUGGCUCUAGGUAAGCAGCUAAAUUGUUGGGUAUUAAUGACCCCCAGGACUCAAUAGCAUAAAAAUAAUAAGACAUGACCAUUCUUGAAGUUCAUAAACUUGUGUGUGGAUAGGAAAGCAUGCAAUAUAUCAUAAAUUCACAAUUUCGAUCUUAUGAAAAUUUCCUCAAAUCAUUACAAGACAUAGAUUUAGCAUGGAAGACAUUUUGAACCUGUGGGUACAUCAUGAGUUCAUUAUUUGAAUCACAAAUGGGUCAUAAUACACAGUUCUUGUUCACUUAGGAAUUCUAACAAACACAUGGAAGGCAUAAUCUUUUCUAGGGCAUGAAUCAACAGCUAAUACAUCAUGGCUAUAUCAAGCACUUCAAAUUUGAGGAUUUCAAUCCACAUACUAUUAUAAAGUCAUGAAAAUUCAAUAAAGAUUCGAUCUUGGAAUUCAUAACACAACAUUUACAUAUGUACAAUCAAACCCACAAUAUAGAACUAAAAACUCAUAUUUUGAAAAGGGUUUCUUGAGCUCCAAAGGUGGAAGGGACCCUUGGAUGAACACUUUACACACCUUUGUUGAAAAAUUCUGAAAAGUUAAUGGAGAAAUCUUGAGUUCUUGAUUUGAAAUAAAUCACCUAGGGCUCUCUUGUUCUUGAGAAAUUGUGAAAUAAUGAAUGUAUUUAGCCAAAAGAGGGAUAAAUUUUGUAUUAUGGGGGCUGAAGGUCGGGGGAAUAAGACCUAAUUACCCUCAAGGAUGCAGUUAUUUAAUGAUUGAAAUUGGGCACCGACACGUUUGCCGAUGUGGCGCAUCGAUGGCAUCAAUGCAAUAUUCAACGCGCCAUACCAAGAUCGCACCGUAUCACUAGAAUUUGAUGUUGGCAACUGGGAACAAUAUUAACCAACGUGAUAGGUGACGCGGCGCGCCAAGAUCGCAUUGGUCCUCUGUUUUAGGAUUCUAAACAUGGUCUAAAUGAGGUCCAAAAAAUCCAAAACUUGUUCGGGAACACCUAUUGACCUUCCUAAUCAUGAAUUAAUAAAAAUAUAGACCAUUAAAGGACAUUAAGAUCAUGAAAUAAGAUUGCCAACUUUCGAAGGCUAAAAUAAACUAAGUUUGGAAACUUAGCUAGAAUUUUCUGAGUCUGGGAUCCCCUUGACAAGCUUAAAGGACUGAAUUAAGCUAUAAAUUUUGUGGGGUCUUACAAUAUCUCUCCCUUAGGAAUAUUCAUCCUUGAAUGAGACUGACUAAACUGAGAGUGCUAGUAGACUGAAUCCACUUACUGAAUCAUGAAUAUCUGGGACAUGACUAUAGCACUAAUAUUACUAAGAUGCUGAAUUUCACACUGAACAUGCAUAUCUGAUGCAUGAAUACAUGACUGGGCUGAUGCAAGAAUGCAUGACUGGAAGUAUUGAUAAGUGGAUCAUGCAUAUCUGAUGCAUGAAUACAUGAUUGAACGGACUCAUGAACAUAUGACUGGAUAUGCAAUGGUAUUUAAUACCAAGUUGAUUAUAGAAAUUUAGACAUAAAAUUGAAUGAGUUCAAGGAAGACUGUUUCCUUAAACUGAAAAAAUAUAGAUGAACCUGAGAUCAUUUACUAGACAUGCAUGAGAGGAAAUAUGAGAACAUAUUUGAGAUCAAAAUGUGACAUAUGAACUGAACAUUAUGAACUGAACUGAGUUUUUGAAUACAUAUCUUACGACUGAGAUUUGAAAUUGAGGGUCAUCUUAUGAGUACCCCUUGCUCUAGACUAGAUUCAUUACAUGAAGAGGGAAUAGCAUGUUUUUAGUCAUAAAAGUCCGAGGGAUUAUAGUAUAUCCCCCCCUUGGCACAAUAUGUCCACUGAUAGAUACUGACUUAGCUAAGCUACUGAGAAAGGACUGGAACGAUGCACAAGGCAUCUACGAACUGAAUCAUGACUGCAUAUCUAGAAUUUGGAACCUGGUUACUCCAUCUUAGAAUGUUUACACCCAUUCACGAGAAUUCAGAUAAUGCGAAUAGAUAGAAAGAUAGGAAACCAUAUGAACUUAUCCGUCUGACAGCUAAACUGGGUUACGAGCUGUACAGACUGACUCAUAGUGAAAACUUAUUCAUAAUUGGAGAUUUUCUCUAAAAAAAUAUUAUAGAGUUCUAGUGGUCUUAAGGAGGGAGAAAAGCCUGGCAUGGUCUGAAUAUGACAACUGAAUAUAAAAAUAUCAUCCUGGCUAAGAUUUUGUAAUAUGAGGCGAGACCUACUCAUCCUCAUCUCGGGUAGGGUGACUAACCCUUAUGCACUGCAUCUAAAAUUUUCAAGGUUAGACAUACCCCUCAAUUACUCUUUCAACUAUACUUUCUGCCUUAGUACUGCACAUCACUUCAAACUACUAAAAAUAUUCACCUGGGUGUUGAGCAUGAAUGCAUAAAUAUACUCCUCAUCUAAUUAACUGAAUGACUGAUAACUGAAUACUAGAUUUGCAAGACUGAACUGUACUUAGUCUAAAUAACUGAACUGAAACUAUAGAGUAUCAUGUAUAGAAGGUAUUGACUGACUGGGUAACAUGAUGUACUGAAUACAAGACCAUGUGUAUAACAUGGUUUUGAAAUAUUCUGUAAAAUGAGGUAAUAAAAUACUAAUAACUAAGUAACUGAUGGUCAUAUGCUAUCGUUGGGAAAUCCUAAAACUAAACUGAGUUUCUAAUCUAACUACUGGAAUAGGACAGGGACUGAGAUUGCAGUUAAGAUGGUAAUUAAGACUGUAUCUAUAACUAAGACUAAAUGCUCUUUUUUGAUAACUGAGGUUUAGACUGGUACUGGAGUACUAAAUUCUGAUGGCUAAGUAAUUCAUAAAUGAAAGCCAUGGUCCUAUAAGACUAUCUAAGUCCUUUACUGAAUAUUGAUUACUGAACUGACGCUGUAACUGAGGCCUGAGGGAUAGAGCAUCAACACCACAGAUUCACCGAGGGAUCUAAACUGAGGGUAUACAUGAUAUAGUCUAAGUUUGGUUGAUCACUAAGAGUGAAACAUGAGUCACGUGGGCUGAGCAUACUGUAAAGCAUGACAUGAGUGCAUCAGUCAUAUGUUGCAUGACAUGAGUCUGAAGUUCCUGUACUCAUGGAACAUGAUUCAUAACACUAAGUAAACUGGAACUCCUUAUACUAAAAACUAGAAAUGCAUACGAUUCUAUGGAAAGUGUGUGAAUAUAAGUUGUAUUCAUGGAACUGAGACGUAAAACAUGCGUAAGUAUCGUGAUGACUGUAGCACAAAACUUUGCACUUAGAUAGGGAUGGGUCGGGAAUCAUCUUCCCUUAUUGAUUUCCUACACAUACUAGCGAUGCUACUAGAAUCUGAAGGCCUAACAUUUCUGAGAUAUCAUAACUAGAUGGUUCCUGUAUACCUGUCGAAAAAUGAUAGACUGACCCGAUGGGUGGAGACUGGGAAAAGUCCUCUUAAUAUUUGAUCUGACCUUAAAGUUAACUGUUAUACAAAGAGUUACAAAAGAUAGAGAAGCUCCUGGAUCUGAUGAGAUAUAAACACAUAAAUAGGAUAUUUGUAACAUACCAGUGAUUACAUCAGGAGAACAUUCCUGAUCCUGUCGGGACUAAAGUACAUAGAGUCUAUUUGGGUGUUGUCCACUAGUGGCAUUGGAAGUGGCUGAUUUGGGCGACCGAACUGAGCUGAAGAAUGACUAUACUGACUUUGUGGACCGAUAUUGGGAUAGUAUCAAACUUUGUGCCCUAACUCGCCACAUCCAAAACACACAUCACUACCGACUCUACACACACCCUUAUGGUGCUUGCCACAAGUCAGACAAAGAGGAUGGGUUCGAGUACUACUGACACUACCCUGAGACUUAGAGAAUGGUGUCCUAUUUUUGUUACCAUUUUUGAACUUAGGAACUGAAGCACUGGCUGAGGAAGGAGCUGGAACUGAAGACUUUGGGCGAAAGUGAGAAUGAUUACUACCCUCUAACUUAGGCUAAUCAAAGCUAUAGCUACCCAUUUUGGCUCUCUUAUUUUCUCUUUUCUUCUUCUUGAGCGUAUGCUCCUCAAUCUAUUGAGCAUGGACCAUAAUCCUAGAUAUGUCCAUCUCCUUAAUCAACAUCGCAGUCCAACAUUCUUUAACCACUCUACCCGAUACCCUAAAAAUAAACUUGCUCAUUCUGGAUCUACUGUCUGCUACUAUAUGGGGGCAUACCUGGAUAGCUUGGUGAACUUGAGGGAAUACUCUUUCACACUCAUUCUACCUUGACUGAGGUUGAUGAACUCUAACUUUUUGGCUUCUUUCAUCUCUAUGGGAAAGAAUUGGUCUAGGAAGGCAGUAGCAAACGCUUCUCACUCUAUGGGCUCUGAAUCUGUACCUCUAUAUACCUUUCAUUGCUUAAACCACGUAUGGACUACAUCUUGUAACUGAUAGGCAGCUAACUUGGCACUCACAUUGGAAGUCACUCCCAUGAUAUCUGUGACUUUCUAAACCUGGUCGAGGAACUUCUGUGGAUCCUCUUCAAACUUAGAACCUAAGAAUGAAGAGGGAUUUAUUCAAGUGAAGUCCUGAAUCCUAGAUGUAACAAUAUUGGCCACUAGGUUGGUUGGAAUAACAGUUGGCCAUUCAUUCUGAACUGUAACUGAUUUAGCAAGAGUAGUGGAUGUAGUCCUGAAUUCUGCAUGAGAAACGUGUUCGUCCAGAGGAUCUUCCUGAACGGGCUGAGGUACUGACUGAUUCCCGUUUCUCCUUUCAUUAAUCCUUUUGGGAGGCAUGUUCUAUAAACUAAAGGGAGAAGCAGAUUAGACUGAGAGUUUAACUUGAGAUCACGCUCACUCGCAUGAUAUAAAUACUGAAAGAAGGAAAACUGUUCUUAAAAUAUCUCAUAGCCUCUUGUACAGAAAUGUGGCGCGCAACACAUCCAUGCACAAGUCUCUACUAGAUGUGUCUUUUCAGACUUCCUAGGACACUGUUGAACCUUAGGCUCUGAUACCAAGUUUGUAACACCCCGAGUCAGGUACCCCGAAUGCUACACGGUGCUAACAAUCCCAAAGAACCACUAUCUAACCCAUGACUGGUACCUUCUGCAAUAACUGUACAAUAAUACUAAAAUAUGCGGAAUAAUGGGCUGAAAUGCCAUAAGGUUCAUAACUGAACAAUACUGAAUAUAACUUGACAUAUUGUAUAACAAUUCCAAAACUGAAAUAACUAACUGAACAUACUAUAGUUUGUAAAAGCCUCUAAAAUUAUCUAAAUAAGGAGUUGAUGGGACAUGUCCCAAACUAACCCCAACUACUAAAAUAAACUAAGUAUUGAAGCACUAAAUAAUGAAACAAUCACGUUAUCCUCGAAUGAUGAGGACUCACUACUAAUCUACUGCUGCUGGAAUCUGAAAUGCUAAGUGCAAUCGGGAACCUGAGCAUCCAAACCUAUGGUAUAAAACACCAUAACACAAGAAAAAAUUUUGUGUCAGCACAUGAGAAUGUACUGGUACGCAAAGUGAGGUAAGCUAAAUGCAAGGGUUCAUAUGCAUGAACUAUAACUGACUGAAUUACAUGAACAUGACUAUGUGAGAAUACAUACAUGAAUACGUAUACUGUAACUAAGGUCGUGAUAAUGCUGAAUACUGAAUCUGAAUACUCAUUAAUAGAUGUUUAAGUUUACGGAUACUGUAUAAUUGGUAACUGAAUGAUUGUAUCUGAUAGUUCUAAAUCCGUGGAACUAUACUGAGUUUACUGAUAACAUGGAUUACUAAUAACUGAUGUAAUGUUAAUUGAAUGACUAUUUCUGACAAUCCUGAUUUUGAAGGAACUAGCUGAGUUCCGUACUAAACUGAGUGACUGUAUCUGACAGUCCUGAAAUCUGAGGAACUAUUUGAAUUUCUUACUGAAGACUGAGACUGAGACUGUAGAAGGUAAUCAUCUAACCGAAAUGCCCCAUAAAUGAACUGGUGGGUUCUAACCUGUGACCUCUAUUGGAAGGGUGUCAAUAUCGUGCCACGGGUAAAGACAAGCUGUGAGUUAACCCUCUGCUAAGAGUGAGCUCUUCCAUCAACCCCUUACUGGUAGAAGAACUCAAAUGAGAUGUAUUAACCCUAGAAUCAUAGGGAUAUAUCUCAACCUACACUGGCUACGUAGUUCUGGAAUGCAAGGAUUACUUCAAAGGAUCACACCCUCUACUAACUGACAAGUGAGCCCUCAUCCCUGGGUUCACUUAGAGCUGAAUCCUAUUCCCAACUGAAUAAGAACUGACUGAUUUCCUAGUUCAUACUAGGCUAGACUGAUCUAUUACUGAUUGUAUUGAUUAACUGAACUGAGCUGAGUUCACUGAGUUCCGUUGACUGAUGGAAAUAUUAUUGAAUUCUCUUAAGUGACUGAAUACUACAGAGGUCUGAACUAAAUACUAAAUACUACUGAUCGUGACAUAACUGAGAUUAUUCUAUAACUGAUACUAGCUCUAGGUAAGCAGCUAAAUUAUUGGGUAUUAAAUACCCCCAGGACUCAAUAGCAUAAAAAUAAUAAGACAUUACCAUUCUUGAACACGUGGCCAUAGUCAUCAAUUCACAAUACAAUCAUUGAGGAAUUUCACAAGCACUUGAAGGUCAUAAACUUGUACAUGGAUAGAAAAGCAUGCAUUAUAUCCUAAAUUCACAAUUUCGAUCUCAUGAACAUUUCCUCAAAUCAUUACAAGACAUAGAUUUAGCAUAGAAGUCAUUUUGAACAUGUGGGUACAUCAUGAGUUCGUCAUUUGAAUCACAAAUGGGUCAUAAUACACAGUUCUUAUUCAAUUAGGCAUUUCAACAAACACAUGGAAGGUAUAACCUUUUCUAGGGCAUGAAUCAACAACUAAAAUACAUCAUGGAUAUAUCAAGAACUUCAAAUUUAAGGAUUUCAAUCCACAUACUAUCAUAAAUUCAUGGAAAUUCAAUAAAGAUUCAAUCUUCAAAUUCAUAACAUAACAUUUACAUACGUACAAUCAAACCCAUAACAUGGAACUAAAAACUCAUAUUUUGAAAAGGGUUUCUUGAGCUCCAAGGGUGGAAGGGACCCUUGGAUGAACACUUUACACACCUUUGUUAAAAAAUUAUGGAAAGUUAACGGAGAAAUCUUGAGUUCUUGAUUUUAAAUAAAUCACCUAAGGUUCUAUUGUUCUUGAGAAAUUGUUAAAUAAUGAAUAUAUUUAGCCAAAAGAGGACUAAAUUUCGUGUUAUGAGGGCUGAAGGUCAGGGGAAAAAGACCUAAUUACCCUCAAGGAUGCGGUUAUUUAAUGACUAAAACUGGGCACUAAUGCGUUUGCUGACGUGGUGCGUCGAUGGCAUCAACGCAAUAUUUGACGCAUCGCGCCAAGAUCGCGCCGUGUCACUGGAAUUUGACACUGGCAACUGAGGACAAUAUUAACCAACACGAUAGGCAAUACGGUGCGCCAAGAUCGCGUUGGUCCACUAUUUUAGGAUUCCAAACAUGGUCUAAAUGAGGUUCAAAAAAUCCAAAACUUGUUCGGGAAUACCUAUUGACCUUCCUAAUCAUGAAUUAACGAAAAUAUAGAUCAUUAAAGGACAUUAAGGUCGUGAAAUGAGAUUGCCAACUUUCAAAGGCUAAAAUAAACUAAGUUUGUAAACUUAGCUAGAAUUUUCUAAGUCUGGGACCUCCUUGACAAGCUUAAAGGACUGAAUUAAGCUAAAAAAUUUGUGGGGUCUUACAAACUAUCAAGUCAUCACUUACUUUAUCACUUAAAUCCACAAUGUUUGAUCACAAUGAGUAUAAUUGCAACAAUAAUUAAGCCAGACUUCUUUAACAAAACAACUAACAUAAACUUAAUUUUCACCUGAAAUUAGUAAAAAGACCCCAAAUAAGCUCAAAUCACACUUGAUUUUUUAGCAAACUUAACCAAAAUUACUCAAAACCCACAAAAUAAAACACCUACAUAACCCAAAGCAAGCUGAAUCAAAUAAAAAAAGGCUUCAAAAACAAAAAUUAACUCACACUCACAUUUCCAAAACUUCAAAUCGCAACUAGGGUUGUGUGUCAUUUAGUAACUAAGAGGGAAAUGGGUAGUUAAGAGAAGAAGAGAACAAUGUACUUGUGUGUGUCGAGUCGCUGGAGGCCAAUUUGUCGUCGCCGGAGAAGCUAUUGUUGCUGCUCUAUGUGUGUGUCGCACUGUGUGUGUCUGUGUCUGUUGCGGGUUGUUUGUGUGUGUGUUGCGAUAGUUUGUGUGUGUUUUAUUGUGUUUUGGGUGUAAUAUUUUGAUGGGUAUAGGGUCGGGUUGGAUUGAAUUGAAUUUAAUAAUUUUUUAUUUUCAGAAACCUGACCACAUGUGGUCGGUUUUUACAAAAUUAUUUGCAUGGUAAAAUAUGUGUUUGAUUUAGUUUUAAAAAAGUUACUAUUGGAAAACUAUUAAUGCGUAUAAAGUAAAAUUAAUAAAUUAAAAUUAAUUUUUAACAAAUUAAUUUUUUGGUUAAUUAACUUUUAAAUACGAUAUUAUAUGUAUAUAUAUAUAUACCUCGUGAUACAGCGUGUUAAUCAGAUAAAUUAUCGAUUAUUUGUCUUACGUUAUUACAACUUCAACAAUAUACGCGUGUCUGUAUUGAUACAAAAUAGUAUAUCUAUUUCCUCAAUAGUAUGAUAUCAACGUAUUAUUGAAAAUAUUUUGAUAUAUCGAUUCAGUUAUCUACCAUUUGAUUACUGCAAACGUCACUACACGAGAUAGACGUAUAUAUAAAUAUAUUCGAUUGGCUAAAAACUUUCAAAUACGUAAUAUAUACAUCACAUACACAAUGUUACUACCCCAUAAUAAUAUACAACAUAUUUCACAUAUACUCAGAUGAAUUAUCAGUUAGUUUAUCUUAUGUCGUUAUACCGUCACUACAUAAUAUGUAUAUAUACUAUAUAUAUACCUAUACAUACACACAUAUAUAAACACUAUCGACUAUAUCAAGUUCUAAAUACGUACUAUAUAUAUACAUCACAUACGUACACAAGUAUAUUACCCCGUAAUAUAAUGUGUCGUAUUUCGUAUACAUACUUUGACGAGUUAUUGAUUAAUUUGACUGGCUUACAUUAAUAUCACGAUAGUAUAUUAUUACUUCGAUCAUUUCAAAUCAAGGUAUUCAUUAUUUUUUGGUAGAUUCUGCUAGUUUUUCACUACAUCGUUCAUCGAUCUAUCACUACAUCAUAUUUAUAUUUAUAUAUAUAUAUAUAGAUAGAUAGAUAGAUAGAUAGAUAGAUAGAUAGAUAGAUAGAUAGAUAGAUAUAUCAACUCUCGAAUAUGUACUAUAUACAUCACAUACACGAUGUUACCACCCCAUAAUAAUAUACAACGUAUUUCACAUAUACUUAGAUGAAUUAUCGGUAAGUUUAUCUUAUGUCAUUAUACCUUCACUACAUAAUAUGCAUAUAUACUAUAUAUAUACCUAUACAUACAGACACAUAUACAUACUAUCAACUAUAUCAAGUUCUAAAUACGUACUCUAUAUCUAUACAUCACAUACGUACACCAGUAUAUUACCUCGUAAUAUAAUGUGACGUAUUUCGUAUACAUACUUUGAUGAGUUAUCGAUUAUUUUGACUAGCUUACAUUAAUAUCACAUCAACGCACAAUAUAUUAUUACUUCGAUCCUCAAUAGUAUCAUAUUAUCAACGUAUCAUUCAAAAUAUUUUGAUAUAUAAAUUCAGUUAUCUAGCUUUCAAUUAUUACAUACGUCACUACACGAGAUAUACGUAUAUAUACAUAUAUUCAAUUAUCUAUUAGGUUUCAAAUACGUACUAUAAACAUCACAUAGACGAUUUUACUAUCUCAUAAUAAACAUCAGCUUUCAAAUACGUACUAUAAACAUCAGUUUUCUGCUUUCAAGAACGUACUAUAAACAUCAGUUUUCAAUUGUCUAUCCCAACGGUGUGAUAUAGAAAUGCACAUAUUCAUUAUACAAAAAUUAUGCAUGUUUAACGUCAUUUAAUGUAUAUAUAAAGGAAAAUAUUUAUUUUAUAUAUUGAAACAUAAGUAAAAGAUAAAGAUUAUGUUUAACGUAAGUUGUAUAUUAUUUUUGAUAUAUUUUUUCACAAAAUCUAAGAUUGUUUGAUUAUUAUUAUUAUUAUAUUGGUUAUUGACUACUUGUGAUCAGUGUAAUUUCAAAAAGUAAUAUAUUAGAUUAUAUAUAUAAUUAUUUUUUAAUAAAAAUCGACCACAAGUGGUCGGUAUCCUAAAAAUUAUUUACUUUUUUUAUUUUUUUUAUUCCAAAACCGAUCACAAGUGGUCGGUUUUUUAAAAAAAAAUUAUUAUUUUAAUUAAAAAUCGACCACAGGUGGUCGGUUUUUUUAAAUUAUUUUCUUUUUAUUUUAAUUAAAAACCGACCACAAGUGGUCGGUUUUCAAAUAUUUUGUUUUAAAUUAAAAACUGACCACAAAUGGUCGGUUUUUUUAAUAUUUUUUAUUUUUUAUUUGUAAAAAAAAUAAUAAGUGAUCGCUUUUUCCGACCACAAUCUGUGGUCGAUUUUUUGUAGUCAGAAAUCUGUAAUUUUUUUUUUUAGUAGUGAAAGAACCUAACUAUGGGUGGGUUGAUUGGGAUCUUAAGACCUAUGAACUCAAGAAACAACAUAAAGCUAGAAGUGAGCAGAAGAAAGAAAAGAAUUUGGUGUAGAAAUCAUCAAAUUAUUUUGCUCUUUAAAUUGAACAAGAUAAUCGAAGAAACUAUAAAUGUGCUUAGCCAAGCAAGUGUCAAAGUCAAAUAUUGCUACAGUAAAGCUAAUCUACAAGCAAAUUGGUUGGGAAAAUGGCAAUAAACUCACAAGUAAGCAGCAUUAUCUCAGCCACCUAAAGGGCAGGCACUCAAAUCCGUAGUAUUAUGAAUCAUAAUUUGACAAGGUAGAUUUAUUACUUUGUAAAGAAGUAGAUAUGGACAAUAUAUAAGCUAAAUUUUGCUGGUGGUCCAUAUUUUUUUGGAAGGACAGCUUCUAUCUUUGUGCUGUAAUUUUCACCUUUAUGGAACGAAAUACAGCAUCAAGUCCCAGGUAAAUGUUGGAAAGAUAUUGAAAAUAAUGGAAAUUCUCGUAAUUUAUGGUGUGAUUACGAUAUUAUUUUUAAGAAUAUUUUAUUCGGUAUAAGAUACUUAAUCUAUGUUAAAUAAUGGCAAAUGUAUAAUGGAGCGAACUAAUAACAAAAAAUAAAUAUUGCAAUUAUGUAUAAUUACGAACUAUUUAGUGUACCAAUUCCAAGCAUAACAUUUAUUAUUGCUUUAACUACCAAUUAGAUAUAUCUAAAUUUUAUACCCAGUAAAGAAUUGAAAAAACAAAUAAGAAAUCAUAUUUUCUUCAUUAUCUAAACAAUUAAGAAUAUUUCUGUUAGGUAAGGAGGGAUGUCCAAAGCUCUUCACUCCCCUUAUAAAUUCAUUGAGAAAAAAUGAACUCACCAACUGUCUUCAAACUUAAAACUUAGAAGUUGUUGGAGAAUACUACUUAAUAAAUACUGUAUAGUAACAGUAUUCAAAGUUUUCUGUUUGUCGAAUUUACACUACUAAUAAUGUGUCGUGGCAAUUUUUUAUUAAUAAUAAAAAUAAUUAAAUACAUCAAUAUAAUAGGUAUAAAAGAAUGUACUUGUUAUAAUUGGGGAAAGUUAGGUCAUUUAGCUAGAGAUUGUAAAUUACCCAAAAAUUCAAAAAAUAAACAAAUAUCAGAAAUAAAAAUAGAUAAUACAGAAUAUAUGCAGAUAGAUUAUAUAGAUUAUGAAUUAGAAAGUGAGGAUAGUAUAUAUGAAAUUUCAGAAAACGAAACAGAUAAUGAAAUAGAUAGUGAAAUAGAUGAAUCAAAUGACUGAAGAAGAUAUAAAAAUAAUAACAAAGGAAGAAUAUUUAAAUGAUGAAGGAACAGAACAAAAAAUAAUAUUUGACAGUAAUAUAUUUGAUGAAAUAAAAGGAAAAGAAUUAGAUUUAAGUGUAGAAAAAAUAUUUAAAAGAACUACGACAAGCAGAUAUGGAAGAUGUUAGGCAAUGGAUAAUCACAUUACUUAACCCAGAAAAAGUAUCUACGGCAAGAGUAAUUAAGAAAAGAUUUAUUUCAGACGGAUUAUUGACAAGAUAUUGUAAGAUAAUUGGACACAAAUAUCCAGACCAUCAAUGUUCAAGAUGUAACGGAGAAGAUAAUAUUAUUCCAGAAGUUCACCUAGAAUAAAAGAAUCAAGAAGAUGGGCAUGCCAGCUGGAAGAUAAGAUAAGAAGCAAUAAUGGAGAUAUGGAAAAGCAGCAGAUACAACAACGAGAAGAUAUCAACGGAGUAAUAAUAGAAGACAAGAUAUAAAAAUCUUACGUAAAAAUUGUUGUAUAGAAUUAUUGUAUAGACUAAUGAGGUAAUGACCUCUAGUAAUAAAUAGUCGCGAAGAAAAUGAUUUAUUUUAAUUUGGUACGGAAUUUAAGAAAAUAAAAAAAUCUUUCAUAUAUUAUGGUGUUAAAUUAAAGUUAUGUCAAAUGUAUCAAAAUAUCUUUUUAAUUUUGUGGUAUUAAACAUGCCACGUGGAAAGCUGAAAUUAAAGUAUUUUCAAAAAAUAAGUCAUUUUUUAAAACGAACUAAAAAAGAAAGUAGGUCAUUCUUUUUUAAGCGGAUGGAGUAAUACACUCUGUGUUGGAGUAAAUUUCAUCCAUGAUUACUUAGUUUUGUGUCUAUCACACAAAAAUCACUUUUCUUUCAUUCAUUAAACAAACGUCAUUGUACUUUGCUUCGGUCAUCACAAAAGUCACUAUGACUGGAUUUUACAAUAAUUUCAUCGAUAAAAUGAUGUGGCAACCUUAAUAGUUUUUAAUUUUAAUUUAAGAGAAUACAAUUUAUUACUCAUAUCUUGACCCUUUUUAUAUGUGCCUAACUGUUAGAGUACGUGCCCUACUGAUCAGUGAUUUUAACGUAAGAGUUUCAUAUGGAUGGAACGGGUUGCCUAACGUGUUCCAAGGAAGCAGUAAAACGGGAAGUAAAGAACACAAUGAUUUCCUAAGUGAAAAACACCCGGCUUAAAAAGGUGUAAAAAAUCACGACCUGCACCUCUACAGGAUUUAAUCCCAACUUCACUAAAUAACUCUGAGCCUCAACAACAACUGAUUACAAAACUCUUGCAACGUAGGAAUUAUAACUUCUAAUUCCUAACUACACACACCACCCAAGGUAUGUGUUCCCAAAGUCUCUGAGUUUUUUUCAACUCGAAGACUAGCUCCUAGUUCAGUUUAUAACACACUGAAACUAAUAUUACAUCAAUAGUUCAACACAAUGAACAACUCCUAACAAUCAACGCUAAAACUCUUAGCUAGAUUCUAUACUAGGACCAGGUUCUUCAAUUAUGUUUCUUCACUGAUUGAGUAGCACUUUGUGAAGUCAAUCUGUCGAUUGCUAUUUUCAGCUUUGUAAGUGCGUAAGUUACUCUGAAUGAUAUAUCUUCUAUUAAGCACAGCUCUUCAAAGAGUCAUUCUUUAAUUCAAACUCUCUCUUCAAUCAUAACUCUCAUAGCAUAGAGUACUACUUCAAGUGAGAUUCCUUCGUCAAUUUCAACUCUUGUCUCCUUAGUGUUGUACUCGAACUCCAACUCUUUAAAUCAACACAUGUUUAUUUCCUUGAGUUUAUCUGAAUUAAUCACUCAUCUGGUCCUUCUUGAAUUUUUGAACGCUUAUCUUUAAUCAUCGAUGAUUUUGCUACAAGUUUUAGCUACAUGAGACAGUGUUUUUGUGAACCGGCUUGACUGACAUGUUUCAUAUCGCUUUGUCAGUUUGUCAAUCAUCAAAACUACAUCGUACCAAACAAAUUUCUCCUUUUUUAUGAUGACAAACCUCUUGUCUUUGUCCAUUCAAACAUCUUCACCUGUAGGCACUAAAUUAUAAAAUACAAGAAUGAAACAAGUUAGUCAAUGGGUUAUAAAUAUUGCACAACCCUCUUAUCUUCCCCCUUUUGGCAUCAUCGAAAAAUCAUUUCAAUGCAAUGAUAUACUAGCUAAAGUGAUUUGUUAAACAAUUCAUGGCCACUGGGGCUAUCACCAAAACAAUCGGACAAAGACUUUAGCCAACAUAAUAAUGUAUUAAAGAGAGCAAGAACAUGAGUCAAUUAAGCAAAGAUAACCAUUCUAUUAAACUGUCAGAUCAUGUUCCACAUUAAACCUAAGCUAGUACUGAACAAAGCAAAACAACUGAGCAUUAAAUAAAAAAAUAUGGUAUAAAAGUGGGACAUGGCUAAGGAUACAAAUAGGGAGGAGCUGAUGAUAAAUGUGGAAUAGGUGAUAUCAACUGUGUCAAUUGACGAAUGACUUCAAUAUUUUCAGCCCUCUCUCAAUAAAGGUCAAGCUUCAAAGUUAUGAUCCUAGCCUGAAGAACCUCUUAUUCCACUUCAAAGUCUUAUGCAACUUCUAGUUCAGAAUUUUUCUCAGCUAAAACAUUUCUUUAAUUUUUUUAUUUUUUUAUUUUUUUAUUUUUUUUAAGAAAAAUGAGUGUUAGCCGUCCUUAUUGAAACAGGUAGAGCAGCAUGAUUCAUCUAUACAAGAACAUCCUUUGUUGUUUGAAAAGUCAAACCUAAACUAGGACUGAGAAGUGCUCAAAAGUCAGAGCCAAUUAGAAUCCAAAAGGGAGAGCAUGUCCCCUUUCUAUCCUUCAUAAACAUAUGUUGCAUGCGAUUGAUAAUCAAGCUUGACAAAUCCAUGGUACAAAAACUGAUAUUUAGGUUGAGAAAGAAGAAGGAAUUUUUUAUGUAGGAUUAACAUAUUUGUGCACAACCAUUUGGAGAGAAUCAAGGAAAGUUUGCUCAAUCUAUUUGUCAGCUUUAUAAGACAAGGAGAGGAUGAAAUGUGAGAAAUUGAACAGGUGUGCUCAACUAUUUUAACUUAAACAGCCUAUAAUUAUGUCAGUGUAGAACAUACCCGAUAAGAACUUUGUGGUCACAAUUGCUUACUUGUACCUAUUUUUCUGUACAAUCUAAUACAAAAUUAGGUUAGAAGAGUCAAAAAUCUAAAAUUGAGACACAGAACUAAAUGUGCAAGACUGAAUCGAAUAACAGUUUAGCAAAUAAAAUUAAAAAGAAAAAUGGUUAUUCUAGUCAAUCAUUGAGGGAAUUUCAUGAAAUUUUAAUCAUCUCCAAGUCUAACCUACUCUUUUCAAAAUGCUCUCUACUUGGUGCUUUUGGUGCUUCUCCAGUUAAUUAAGUUACCCACAUAGUCAACAUCUUAAUAACCCUUAAAAGUGAAAUUGAUUUUCUUUAGAUACCGUAGUCUCAAUUCAUUAAUUCCCAUGAGAUAUCUCAAGAUUCUUUUGACAGCACCAAUUAUUAUGCAUUACCAACAAUAUUAUCAGCAUCUUGUGUUGGUGUUAUUUAUGCAUCAAUUUCUUAAUUUGUUGUUCCCCCCGUCAAUAUGCCCUCAGUCUGUCCAACACUUGGACCAGGCGGUACAACAUGUUCGUAUGCAUUCUCAUUAGUUUCACUGUCUCUCCCUCUUUUUUUAAAAAAAGAUCUCUUUUGCUUCCCCAUUACAUGAGCACUCCAAAUCUAUCUUAAUUUUUCUUAAAACUAUAGUAAUGGUGCUUAUUUUUCCAUCUCAACAGGAUCCAUUUCCCCUUUAAAUAUGGUGAGUGAAAGAAACUUUAUCUAUUUUCAAUCUUAUGCCUUGAGCAAGCAUUAUUCAUGUACUAAUUUUGCUUGCCUCCUUUCACUCUUACCUGCAAAACAGAUUAGGGGUUAGAUUUAGAAACCCAGAUAAGCUUAGGUCCUUUCUUAUGAGUAAAAGGGUGAAUCAAAUUUCUCCUAGCCCAUCGAGGCAACAGGUGGUGUGGCCUGUUUCUUUAACCAGUUUUGCUUUUCAUCCUAUUUGUCUGUACUACCAAGAAGUCAGAUUUCUUUGACAAAUUAGUGCUCCUAUCUCUACUUUUAGCUGCCACUAGACAUUCAGUAGUUGGAUGUCCAUGAUUACCACAUAUAUAACAUAAAUCCUUAGUAACAUUAGAGCUCUUGAAAAAAACCCAAUCCAGCCCUUUCACUGUGAGUUUUUUCAUUAAGUUGAUGAAUAAUUCUUGAGGAAUUUGUCCAUCUAUUUGCCUUCUCAAGAUCAAGUUUUAGUUUAGUGACUUCUUGGAUUAAUUUGUUCACCUUUUUCUUUUAUCACUACAUUCUUGUUUGGACUUGGUCAAUUCAAGGUCAAUAUUUUCUUGUUCAUCACUUUUGAUUCUGUUUUCUUUUUCAAAAAGAGCCAGUUUUAAAAUUUUAGAUUUUAAGGUCAAAUUUAAAGAAUCCAGUUGACCAACCUAUUCAUUAAGAGUGCAGUUUUCCUUUUCAGCAUUGUUCUUACAAGUUUCUAGAUCAAUAAAAUCAAACUGGAGAAUCGCAAGAUUAUUGAAUAACUCAUUCCUAUCAGAAGUUAAUUCUUGGAAAUCAUCAAUUAGAGCACUCAUUAAGGAAAAAAGUUUCUUUUUAGAAAAUAAAUCCAACUUCUCUUUGUGUUCAAGAAUGCUUGCCUCAGAGGUUCCAUCAUCUUCUUCCAUGUCUGAAUCUCCAAUGGCCAUGAGAGCAGUUUCAUUAUCUUCUUCUUCAUCUGAUUCAUCACUUUCAGAUGCCUUAUUUAAAUCUUUCAUGUUCAUCUCAUAGGUCUUCAAAUUUCCAACAAACUUAUCAAAGGACAUUCUAGUGAGAUCCUUAGCUUCUCUUAUGGUUGUAACUUUGACAUCCCACUUAGACUUUGGUAGCACUCUCAAGACCUUCUCUACCUAUUCCUCAGUAGAUAAAACCUUUCCUAGAGAUGAUAACUCAUUUACCAAUAAAGUUAACCUAGUUAUUAUUUCUUGUAGUGACUUAUUUUUCUCUAUUUUGAAAGCCUCAUAUUCAAUAAAAAGUAAUGCAAUUUUGAAUUUUCUCACUUGGCUAGUGCCUUCAUAUGCAUUCACCAAUACAUCCCAGAUUUGUUUAACAAUGUUGCAAUUCGACACUCUAUUGUACUCAGCUGGACCAAGACCACAAACAAGAAUGUUUUUGGCUUUUGCAUUCUUUUUUAGUGCAACAAGAUAUUCUAGGGUAAAUUCACUCCUUACCUUUUUCAUUUGUUUUCCAUUUACUACCCUCAUGGGAAUUGUUGAUCCAUUAAUAAUUCUGUCACAUAAUUCAUAAUCAACACUUUGAUGAAACAUUUCCAUCCUAGUAUUCCACCAAAUAAAGUGAGAACUAUCAAAUAGUGAAGGUCUAGUAGUGGAUUGACCUUCACUAUGACCAAUAGGUGAUGCGGAAUUCAUCAUAUUGAUCUUUGUCUUAGGUGUUAACCUUUUUAAGACAAUAUCUCUCUGAUACUACUUGUUAGAGUACGUGCCCUACUGAUCAGUGACUUUAACAUAAGAGUUGCCUAUGGAUGGAAUGGGUUGUCUGACGUGUUCAAAGAAAGCAAUAAAAUGGAAAGUAAAGAACACAAUAAUUUUUUACGUGGAAAACACUCGGCUAAAAAAGAUGUAAAAAAACUACGACCUGCAUCUCUACAGGAUUUAACCUCAACUUCACUAAAUAACUCUGAGCCUCAACAACAACUGAAUACAAAACUCUUCUAACCUAAGAAUUAUAAACUCUAAUUCCUAACUAUACACACACCACCCAAGGUAUGUGUUCCCAAAAUCUCUAAGGUUUCCCCAACUCGAAGACUAGCUCCUAGUUCAGUUUAUAACACACUGAAAAUAAUAUUACAUCAAUAGUUCAACACAAUGAACAACUCCUAACAAUCAACGCUAAAACUCUUAGCUAGAUUCUAUACUAGGACCAGGUUUUUUAAUUGUGUUUCUUCACUGAUUGAGUAGCACUUUGUGAAGUCAAUUUGUCGAUUGCUCUUUUCAGAUUUGUAAGUUCGUAAGUUACUCUGAAUGAUACAUCUUCUAUUUAAACAUAACUCUUCAAAGAGUCAUUCUUUAUUUCAAACUCUCCCUUCAAUUAGAACUAUCAUAGCAUAGAGUUCUAUUUCAAGUGAGAUUCUUUCUUCAAUUCCAACUCUUGUCUCCUUAGUGCUAUAGUCAAUCUCCAACUCUUUAAAUCAGCACAUGUUUAUUUCCUUGAGUUUAUUGAAUUAGUCAGUCAUCUGGUCCUUCUUUGAUUUUUGCACGCUUGUCUUUAAUCAUUGAUGAUUUUGCUACAAGUUUUAGCUACAUGAGACAGUGUGUCUGUGAACCAGCUUGACUGACAUGUUUCAUAUCACUUUGUCAGUUUGUCAAUCAUCAAAACUACAUCGUACCCAAUACUAACCCAACUUUCCUUAUGGAUUAUAUAACAAAAGAAUAUCAAUUUCUUAAUAUAUUAAACCACCUAGUAAAGAUUAUUUUUUAAAAAGAAUUGAUUGAUAUUUUUAUGAAACUAAAAUUAUUACUAUUACUAUUAUAUAUACGAGACAAUCUAAGGACUUUAGUAAUCCUCACAAAAGUUUUCAACUUAAAUUUAAUGUUUUCAAUUAAUUACUUUUAUGUCAUGAUUUUAUCUUUUAUAGUAAUUUAAUUAAAUUACCAACAUGGGUUGUGGUGCAGUGGAUGGAGCUGCUCCACCUUAAACAGAGGCUGAGGGUUCGACCUUGGGUAUGGAGAAAACUCUGUUGGGAGCUCUUUCACCUUAAUGGCCCCUGCAACGCGCGAUCCGGAUUAGCCGGGGCUCCAAUGCAGGCAUCGAACACCGGACACCAGAUUAAAAAUCAAAAAAAAAUAAUUAAAUCCUUAAUCCUAAAAUAUUGUGACAUUUGAUUGAUAAAGAUGAAGUUACUUUGUCUUCUUUCUUUCUAUGUGGACCUUUGCACUUAAUGCAUGUGUCAUAGUAUGAGAAGCUAUUAUUAAGUUUUUUUUGUAAUUUUAAUUAUUUAAUUAAUUAUUUAAAAAAAAUGGGAGUAGGGCAAGGGGAAUUAGGGAGGAGAUUACAAAGAAAAAAAUUAAAUAUUUACCAACAAAGUGGAGUUUAAUUAGUUAAUCAAUUGAACUAUUCAAAUUCCCAUAUUGUUUAACUAAUCGAUAAAUCAUUUUUAGAAUCUUCCAUUAUAAUGCUUUGUUUCUCAUACUUAUAUAUUAUUUAAUCUAGUCAAUGUUAAUAUAAACGUUAAAUAUCAUUUAAUUAUUUUAUAUGUUAAAUUACUUGUAUUUCAUGCUUUAUGAAGUACAAGACCAAAAAACUUUAAUUUUUCCGGUUGCUACCCACAAGAACAAAAAGCUUUAAUUUGACUAACUUUUGUUUAUAAAAUUUAAUUAUAAUUAAUUAUUUAAUUAAUUUUUAUAAAAGAAAAUAGCCUUAACAAAAUUAAUAUUUUAUAUGAACUUUUAUUUAAAUUAGUUUAAGAAAAAAUAUAUAUUUUGACCGUGAAGAACUUUCUUCUGUUGCAUGAAUAAUUCAUCACUUUUUUUCUUCUUUCUUAGUAUCUUUAAUAAUUUAUUUUCCAAAAUAAAGAGUUUUGUACAAAUACUGUAGGGAUGAAGAAGAGGAGAAAAAAGGAGGGGUUAAAAUUAGUUAUUGUAUGAGGUUAUAUUUUAUUUCUAUCAUAUCGAGUAUGGUUCUGAUGUAUUUCUUAAUUAUCUUUUAUAAAUUGAAUAAUUCUUUUGUGGACGAUUUUAUCCAUUCUUUUGAAAAUGUCAAACAUAUUUCAUAUACUAAAAAUUAAAAUUAUUAAUAAAGUUAAAAAUUAAGGUAAUGAUAUAAAUUAAGAUCAAAUUAUUUUUAAAAUCUCUUUUCUGGUCAAUUGAAAAUCAACAUUUUUAACCAUUAAGUGUAAAGAGAAAUUUAGUGAAUCUAUUUUUUUUCUUAAUUUAAUAUAAAAUUACACGUAAAACACCACAUUUAACUAACAUAAAUUCUUGUCACAUGAAAUUAUAGAUUAAAUCUUAUAUUUUUCAUCACACACAAAAAGACUUAAGUAAAAUAAUGGAUCCACUUGACGACUUUCACCUUCAUCUUCCUGGUUGCAAAGAUGAACUUGAAUUGAGAAAUUAGAAAAGAAAUAAAUUAUAAACUCAUAAAUUAUUUUACUGAUAUUUUUCAAUAUUUAUAAUCUUUGCAAGUUAUAAUUAUAUUUAUUUAUUUAUAUACAUAUAUAUAUAUGUGUGUGUGUGUGUGUGUGUAUAUAUACAUAUAUAUAUAUAUAUGUGUAUAUAUAUAUAUUAAAUCAUGUUAUUCAUAAAGUAUCAAAUUACUUGAUUUUGGGCACAAACUUAUCACAGGCCUUAUAAAACUAGACUAUAUAUGUAACACCCCGAAUCUGGUACCCGGAAUGCUACACGAUGCUCAUGACCCCGAAGGACCACAAGCUAACCCAUGACUGAUAUCUGUAACUGAGCAUUGAAUAAUAUACUGUAAAUAUGCGGAAUAUAAGCUGUAAGACCAUAAGGUUCAAAGUUGAACUAAUACUGAAUAUAAAACAAUGUCUGUAAUGGGGUAUAACAAUACCCAAAACUGAAAUAAAACUGUCUGAAAACAUACUGUAAUCUGAAAAUACUCUAGUUUGAAAGCCUCUAAAAUGUCUGAAAACUAUGGAGUUGAUGGGACAUAUCCCUAACUAACUCCGAACUACUGAAAUAAUAAAGUAAUAAAAUAAUCAUGCUAUCCUCGACUGAUGAGGACUCAUUACUAGUCUGGUUGCUGAACAUCUGAUCUACUAAGGAUGCUUAGGAGCUCGCGUUUCUAAACCUAUGGUAUAAAACACCAUAGCGCAAAUGCGUCAAUACUUUGAAUAUACUGCUAUGCAAGUGAGGUAGGCCGAAUGCAAAGGGUUCAUAUGCAUAACACUACUAACUAAUUGAAUAACAUGAACGUGAGAAUACAUGCAUGAAUACGUAAUUGUAAUAGAGAUAGUGAUAACGCUGACUCAUGAAUUCUGAUAACAUGUAAUUACUAAUAUCUGGGUACUAUUACUGAGAUACUAAAUGACUGAGUCUAUUGAAUACGGAGAGACUUAUGUUAUUUUACUAAUACAGAAAAGAUUGUUUCUGACAGUUCAGAUUAUGAACAACUGGUCUGCUUGACUGUAUCUGAUAGUCCUGAGUUUGAAUACUGAAAACAUGACUUACUGAUAAGUGAAAACAUAAGUGACUGUAUCUGACAGUCCUGAAUCUGAUGGAACAGGAUGAGUUUCUACUGUAUCUGAGUUGACUGUAUCUGGCAGUUCUAAAAUCUGAAGAACUAUCUGUGUUCUAUUACUGAGACUGGUUGACUGUGUCUGACAGUCCUGAUUCUGUAACAUGAAACUUUGGGAAGUAGUUAUAUAACCAACAUGCCUCUGGUAAGCCAUUAUGGCUGAGUUGGGGUUUAAUCUAUAACCUCAAUUAGAAGGGUGUCAAUACCGUGCCACUAGUAAGGACAAGCUGUGGGCGACCCUCAUCUAAUAGUGUCCCCAAAUGAGAAUGGUGGGGACCUUAUCUGAUAGUGAUUAUCCACCUCAUCAACCCUCAUCGGAUAGUGUUGAUGUCUCGACCUAUGCUGGCUACAUAGUUCUAGAACACAAGGAUGACUUCUAAGAAUCACACCCUCAUCUAAUAGUUUGUUUUCCCAUCCUUGGAUUCCCUCAGUGCUAAUUCCUACUCUCAUCUGAAUAGACUUAAACUGAACAUGGGCUGAGUUACUAAAUUCUGUUGACUAACGGAAUACUACUGAUGUCUGGCAACUGACUGAGUUCAUGAGAUCAUUGAGAUUUCCUGAGUCAUAAGACUGUCUAGAGUGUAAAGAUUCAUAACUUGAUUGAGAGUAUCGUGAAAACAUGAUAUGGAUCUAGGCACACAACUAAUGUUUCGGGUACGAGUACCCCCAAGACUCAAUGGAAGGAAACUAAUCAAGCAUAACUUACUUGAACAUAUAACUAACAUCAUAAUCCAUAAUACAUUUAUAGAAGCAUUUCAUCAAAACAUGUGAUAGACAUAACUUGUAUAUACAUGGGGAUUUCAUGGUAUCAUGCUACUUAAUCACUUUUCCUUCAUCUAGGCAUUUAAUCAAACAUAUUGUAGGCAUGGUAAAUGUAAACAUCAUUGUACAAUAAUUAAACAUCAUGGUUCAAUUUUAAUUUCAUAAUUCAAAGGUUUAGUCAUAGGUUUGCAUGAAUCUAUAUCUAUCAUAAAUUAACCCACAUAGAAUUUAUCACUUAACAUGGAGUAGAAUUCAAUUUCUCAUUAUCCACAUGAACCAGAGCAGCCCAAUCAUGAAAUUCAUAAGAAAAUCCAUAAAACUUGAAUGUAAAAAAGGGAUUCUUGGACUUCAUGGACGAAAGGAGUCCAUGAAAGAACACUAUGCAUACCUUAGUUCUUGAUUCUAUGAAGAUUGACGGAGAGAUUCUUGAAUUUGGGUCUUGGAUUUGAAUUCCCAAUUGAAAAUCCUAGCUUGUUCUUGAGAGAAGCUAAAGAGAAACAAUAUAUUUUGGGUGAAAUAUGGCUUAAGCAUGUGUUAUUGUGUAUAUAUAGGAGUGGAAAAUUGACUCUUUUAACCCUUGGAUGUGUAUUUAAAUUCUGUGAAAUUUCUUAAUUUGAACACAUGGUGCGACUCAGUGCUAUCGUGUCGUGUCACUGGAAUUUGACGACUGGGAAAUUGCAUGAUGGCGCGACGCGGAACUUAUAGCAUUUCCACUUUGUUUACGACCUGGAAGUUUGGCGCGACGUGGUCGUAUCGCGCUGAGACACUGGAAAAGGAUAAAUUCUGAAUUUGAUAUUUGGCGCGACGCUCUAUAAUUACGAAGGCCCACUGUAUUUUGAUGAUUUCCAUUUAAGCAGGCUCCGCGAUGCGCUGAGGGCUCAAGUGAUACACUGUCUCACUAAAAAGGCUCUAACUUUUCGCCCGAGUGUUGGAUUUGGGCAAAUUUGGUAUUGGUGGAAAUCUUAUUCGAUUUCCCACAUGAUAAAAAGUGAAAAUCUUGAAAAUACCACAUGUAUAAAAGUGGAUUCAUCUUUGAAAUAAGUCUUUAACAUUUUUUAGAUUAUUUUCAAGCUAAGUAGAAGUACAGGGUAUUACAAUAUCUCUCUCUUGGAAUUCAUCCACGAAUGAGACUGAUUUAGAUGGGAAAAACGACAAGAUGAAGUACAUACUAAACAUGAACAGCUAAAACAUGACUACUUAACUGACAUUACUGAGAUUCAUACUGAGCAUGCAUAUCUGAUGCAUGCUUUUAUGACUGAGCUAAUGCAUAACUGCAUGACUGAGAGUACUGAUAAGCUGAUAACGCAUAUCUGAUUUGUAAAUACAUGACUGUACUGACUCAUGGACAUAUGAGUGAACAUAUAAGGGUAAAGAUACCAAUUUUAAAAUUAAAACUGAGUGUGGAACCGAAUACCACAUUUGUAACUGAAAUCUGAACAUGAAACUGGAUAAGCUUAAGAUAAGCUAUUAUCUUGGGCUGAUUCUGAGUUUAAUUACUUAAUAUGCAUGAGAGGAAACAUGAGAACGUUACUGGGUCUGGAAUAUGAUACAUGAGCUGAAUAUCAUGAUCUGAACUGAGUACCUUGAACACAUGGCGUAUGACUAUGACUGGAGCUAGAGGGUCAACUUAUAGGUACCCUCUACUCCUAAACUGGAUUCCUUAUGAGAAGAAAGAAUGAGAUUUUCUUGUCAUGAAAGUGUGGGGGUUCAUAGUGUAUCUCCCCCUUUGGAUACUAUGUCCCUCAAAAAAUACUAAUUUGGCCGAGUCGCUGAGAAAACUUAAGCGAUGCACAAGGCAUCUAUGAGCUGAAUCAUGACUGAAUAUCUGGGAUCUGAAACUAAAGCAUAAUACAUGGACCAAGUUGAACACGUAACUACCUAGUUGGUCCAUCUUAGAAUGAUCACAUUCCUGAGAUUUCGAAUAGUACAUCUAGAUGGAAAGGACAGAAUCCCAUACCAUGAAAACUUGUCUGUCUGAUUGCGAAACUGAAGGACUGAUUUUAUGGACAAAAUCAUGAUGAAAACUUAUGGUCGACCGUAGCCUUUAUUUAACACUUUUUAUAUAGAGUUCUAAUGGCUUUAGGGCGUAAGGAAAUCAUGGCCUUGUCUAAACAAGACAGUUGAUUAUGAAAAUCAUGACAUGGCUAAAAUUUGGUAAGAUGAGUUAAGGCCCUACGAACACCAUUUAAGAUAAAAUGACUAAGCCUCCUACACUGCAACUGAUAUUACUGAAAAGAGUCACAUGGGUGCUGAAAAUGAGUGCAUAAAUAUACUAACUUAUCUGAUUAACUGGAUAGUUGAUAGCUGAAUAUUGGACGUGUAAGACUAAAUUAUACUUGGUCUGAAUAGCUGGACUGAGACUAUAAAGUAUUAUACACAGAAGGUAAUGGCUGACUGGGUAACAUGAGGUAACUGAGCAUGAAUUUAUGAAAACUGUAUUACUUGUAAUUGCGAGACCAAGCGUAUGACAUGAUUCAGAAAUAUUUUGUAACUGAGGUACUGAAAUAUUAAUAACUGAGUAACUAAUAGCUAUAUGUUAUGGUCAAGUAAUCCUAAAAGUGAACUGAGUUUUCGAUCUGGCUGAACUAGGACUAGAACUGAGAUCGUAGCUAUGACGAUAAUUGCAACUGAAUAUGGGUUUCUGAUAACUAAGGUUUAGACUGAUACUGAAGUACUAAAUUCUGAGACUAAACACUGAUUAUUAAGUGACAUGUUAACUGAAUUUGUAACUGACAUGGUAAAUGAGUUUUAGAUAGCCACGCAGUGAAGACUAACAUAAGUCGAGGAUCUGAAUGUAUACAUUUACUCACAUUUUGUACUUUUCGAACUUCUAAUUAUAACCUCUUGCUAGCCAUUUACUUGCACACUGAUAUAAAAUUCAAGCCUAUCUUCAUCACUACAUCCUCGUGUAAAAUAAGUAUGCAACAAACUUCUCUUAAUGUGAAACAUCCACUCUCUCCCUUCUGAGCAACUUUUCUCUACCACAUUGUUUUCACAAAGAGAGCUCACUGAUGAGUUCAAUUAGGGGAACCUGAAGCAUGAAUAGACACUAACUGAACUUGACACAUGACUGAGGCCUGAGGCAUAGAAUAUAAACAUCAUGGAUUUACCAAGAGGUCUAAACUGAGGAUAUGCAUAACAUAGUCUGAAUUUGAUUGAUCAGUAGAGGCAUAGCAUGAGCCAUGGAAGCUGAGUAUACUAUAAAGAAUGAUAUGUGUACAUGAGUCAUGAGCUGCAUGACCUGAGUUUUGAGUUUUCUGUAUUCGCGGGACAUAAUUUGCAUUACUGAGGGGAAUAGAACUAAAGUCCUUAUGCUGGGAACUAGAAUUGUACAUAAUUCUAUGAAAAGCGUGCGAAUAUAAGCUGGGUUCAUGGAACUGAGAUGUGAAGCAUGCGUAGGCAUCAUGCUGACUGAAGUACAAAAAUUUACAUUGAGAUAAGAAUGGGUCGAGAAUCACCUUCCCUUACUUCUUUUCUAUACGUACUUGCACUAAUACGGGAAUCUGAGAGCUUGAAUUGGUCACUUUAUCUAUCAUCUCCACCUUAGCUUUAAGCCAUCAUCAUACGUCUGUGAGCACUUUACUAAACUCUAAACUAAACGGCAAUCAUCAUAACAUACUUUUGCACUAUUCAACACCUGCUGGCCUUACUAAACACAUCAUUUGGUUCUAUUCUUUCAUAGACUACUAAUUCCAUAUCACCUAAUUCUUAUCCACACCUUCGUACAUAAUAUCAAAUUAAUAAACUUAAGGGCUAGCUUGCAUUAUUCAAGUCUACUGAUUAACUCUGGUAUAACUAUCCUCAUGAAUACAUAAUCUAUUCAACCUGGAUAUUGUUAUCCUAACUCCACUACUGCUAAACUCUGGAGUUCAUACAUCUAACUCUAGGUCAUAUGCUAUCAUAGAAUUCUGAUAAGGGGUCUAAUGACAUAUGAGUUCUCAUGAUCAUGAAUAAGAGUUGUACAACUCUGGAACAUAACUGAACUGAUGGAAUACUCUUGAGCUUAUGGGCAAUCCUAUACUAACUGUUUGUGGGGACCAUCUGAGAAAGCCAUAUCUCUAGGACUUUGAGCGUCACUAUUUAUGUUACCUUGAAAUAAGGUAAAGUUGACAUGAGUGAAGCAUAAGGAGAAUCUACAUAAGUUUCUCAGAGAACUUUUUUAUAGCACGACCUGAGACAUGAAAGAAGGGAAAUUAUUCCUAAAACAUCUCAUAGCCUUCUGCCCAUAAGUGUAGUGCACAAUACACCCAUGUACAAGACUCUACUAGAUGCGGCUUUUCAGGUUUCCUAGGGCACAGUUGAACCUUAGGCUCUGAUACCAAGUUUGUAACUCCCCAAAUUUGGUACCCAAAAUACUACACGAUACUCAUGACUCCGAAGAACCACAAGCUAACCCAUGACUGAUAUCUGUAACUGAGCACUGAAUAAUAUACUAUAAAUAUGCAAAAUAUAAGCUGUAAGACCAUACGGUUCAAAGCUGAACUAAUACUGAAACUGAAAUAAAACUGUCUGAAAACAUACUGUAGUCUAAAAAUACUAUAGUUUGAAAGCCUCUAAGAUGUCUGAAAACUGUGGAGUUGAUGGGACAUGUCCUCAAUUAACUUAGAACUACUGAAAAAAUAAAGUAAUAAAAUAAUCAUGCUAUCCUCAACUGAUGAGGACUCAUUACUAGUCUGGCUGCUGAACCUCUGAUCUACUAAGGAUGGUCGGGAGCUCAUGCUUCUAAACCUAUGGUAUAAAACACCAUAGCGGAAAUACGUCAGUACUUUGAAUGUACUGCUAUGCAAGUGAGGUAGGUUGAAUGUAAAGGGUUCAUAUGCAUGAAUAACACUAACUAACUGAAUAACAUGAACGUGAGAAUACAUGCAUGAAUAUGUAACUGUAACUAAGAUCGUGAUAACGCUGACUCAUAAAUUCUGAUAACAUAGAUUUACUGAUAUCUGAGUACUAAUAGUGGGAUACUAAAUGACUGAGUCUACUGAAAACUAGUAGACUGAUGUUAUUUUAAUGAUAGAGGAAAGACUAUUUUGGAAAGUUUUGAUUAUGAAAAACUGGUCUGCUUGACUAUAUCUGACAGUCCUGAGUCUGAAUACUAAUAGCAUGACAUACUGAUAACUGAUAUAACUGAUAACAUGAGUGACUGUAUCUAACAGUCCUAAAUCUAAUGGAACUAACUGAGUUCCAUACUGCAUCUGAGUUGACUGUAUCUGACAGUCCUGAAAUCUAAAGAACAAUCUGUGUUCUAUUACUGAGACUAAUUGACUCUGUCUGACAGUCCUGAUUCUGUAACAUAAAACUGUGGGAAGUAGUUAUCUAACCGACAUGCCCUUGGUACGCCAUUAUGGCUGAGUUGGGGUCUAAUAUGUAACCCCAAUUGGAAGGGUGUCAAUACCGCACCACUAGUAAGGACAAGUUAUGAGCGACCCUCAUCUGAUAGUGUCCCCAAAUAAGGACGGUGGGGCCCUUAUCUAACAGUGCUUAUCCACCUCAUCAACCCUUAUCGGAUAGUGUUGAUGUCUCAACCUAUGCUGGCUACAUAGUUCUGGAAUGCAAGGAUGACUUCUAAGAAUCAUACCCUGAUCUGAUAGUGUGUUUUUCCAUCCUUGGGUUCACUCGGUGCUAAUUCCUACUCCCAUCUGAAUAGACUCUGAACUGAACAUAAGCUGAGUUACUGAAUUCCAUUGACAGAAGGAAUACUAUUGAUGUCUAACAACUGACUGAGUUCAUGAGAUCAUGGAGAUUUCCUGAGUCAUAAGACUGUCUGAAAUUUAAGGAUUCAUAGCUUGACUAAGAGUAUCGUGAAAACAUGACAUGGCUCUAGGCAUACAGCUAAUGUUUUAGGUACGAGUACCCCCAGGACUCGAUGGAAGAAAACUGAACAAGCAUAACAUACUUGAACAUAUAAUUAACAUAAUAAUCCAUAAUACAUUUAUAGAAGAAUUUUAUCAAAACAUGUGAUAGGCAUAACUUGUACAUACAUGGGAAUUUCAUGGUAUCAUGCUAGUUAGAAAAUUUUCCUUCAUCUAGGAAUUUAAUCAAACAUAUUGUAGCAUGGUAUAUGUAAACAGCAUUGUACAACAAUUAAACAUCAUGGUUCAAUUCUAAUUUCAUCAUUCAAGGGUUGUCAUAGGUUUGCAUGAAUCUAUAUCUAUAAUAAAUUAACCCACAUAGAAUUUAUCACCCAACAUAGAGUAGAAUUCAAUUUCUCAUUAUCCACAUGAACCAAAACAGCCAAUCAUGAAAUUCAUAGGAAAAUCCAUAAAACUUGAAUUUAGAAAAGGUAUUCUUGGGCUUCAUGGACGAAAGGAGUCCACGAAUGAAUACUAUGCAUACCUUAGUUCUUGAUUCUACAAAUAUUGAUGGAGAAAUUCUUGAAUUUGGGUCUUGGAUUUAAAUCCCCAAUUGAAAAUCCUAGCUUAUUCUUGAGAGAAGCUUGAGAGAAAUAAUAUAUUUUGGGUGAAAUAUGGCUUAAUCACGGGUUAUUAGGUAUAUAUAGGGGUGGAAAAUUGACCAUUUUAACCCUUGGACACGUAUUUCAAUUUUGUGAAAUUUCUUGAUUUGGACCCAUGGCGCGACGCGACGCGUUCACUGGAAUUUGAUGACUGGGAAAAUUGCAUGAUGGCGCAAUGCGGAGCUUAUCGCAUUGCCACUUUGUUUGUGACUUGGAAGUUUGGCAUGACGCGGUGGUAUCGCACUGAGACACUGAAAAAAGGACAAAUUCUGAAUUUACGCUUAGGCACGACGCGUCAUAAUCGCGGAGGCCCAGUGGAUUUUGACGAUUUCCAUUUAAGCUAGCUCCAGGAUGCACUGAGUGCUUAGGUAAUGCACUGUCUCACUAAAAAGGCUCUAACUCUUCGUCGGGGUGUUGGAUUUGGGCGAAUUUGAUAUCGAUGGAAAGCAUAUUCGAUUUCUCACAUGUUAACAUAAAAAUCUUUAAAAUACCACAUGUAUAAAAGUGUAUUCAUCUUUGAAACAAGACUUUAACAUUUCUGGGAUGAUUUUUAAGCUAGGUAGAAGUUCAGGGUAUUACAAUAUAUAAAGGAGAACAUCUCAUUUUGGUAGUCCUCACAUGAUUGUAUUUUGUCUAUUUUAUCCUUAAUUAAUUUUUAAUGAUCCUCCAAGAUCUCAUCCAUUUUAGUAAAUUUGAAUAAUUACUUGGACAUUUAAAAUGCUAUACAAAAAUGACGAAUCAUAAAAAAAGUGAUAGUAACACUAAAAAAAUCUAUUUAUCCAACUAAAUUUAAAAUUAAUUCGAAAUUUUACUGUCAUCUUUUGUGUGGAAUAAUAGUAAUUUAAUUAAAAAAAUACUUUUUAAAUCCUCACAAGACAUUUGUGAAGCUUUAAUAAACUUGUAAGGACUCAUGGAAGAGGCAUCUACAAAAAGUAUUCUAUUGAGUCUAACUUUUAAUUAUUUAAUUCAUCAUAAAUCAUACAAUAGAUUGUAGCAUCAAAUAUUUUUAUAUUAAUCAAAUAUGAAAUUAUUUUUAAAAAAAUGAAUUAGCCAAUGUAAAGUUUAUUUGAGCAAAAAUAAUGAAAUUUAUUAUACGUAAGAUAAAACUUAAUUUAGAUCCUUAAAGGCUUUCAUUCAAAAACUUUCAGUAAAGUAAAAAAGAGAAAAAUUUUCGUGUGUGAGUUUGUUUGAAAAUUAAAAAAAGACUAAAAUAUACCUUAAAAAAAAUUAUUAUUUUUAAUUUAUAAAAGUUUUUAUUUCCUUUGUUUUAAUUUAUUUUUUUGCUUUUGACUUAACACAAAGCUAAAGAAAAAGUAAGGAAUAUUUUUGAUUUUAUGGUCUUAAACUAAAAAAAAGUAGAAAGGAUCAAAAUAUUUGUUGAUCUUAUUGUCUUAAACAUGCCAUGUGGUAACCUGAAAUUAACCCAAGAAAGAAAAGAGAUAUUUUUUUUAAAACGAACUAAAAAAAUAGGACAAAAAUUGAAAUAGAUAUAUAAUUUGACAUUUUAAAAAUAUCAAAAAACAAUUAAACUAGACCGUUAACUAAUAUAAUGGUACAAAAUAAAUAAAAAUCAAACAUAGCAAAUUAAAAAAAAUUACAAAUAUAAAUGUUAAUGUAGUCUGGGUCCGGGCUUAGCACGGGCUAAACGACAAUAGUUCUUAUAUAUAACAAAGAAUACCAAAAUUUGGUAGUCUUCACAAUGGCACUAUGGUAAAAUUGUGAUAUGUGGUUAGUAAAUUACUUUUCUCAUCUAAAAUUGUGACAUGUAGUUGACUUUUCUCCCUCUAAUCGUGACAUAUUGUUGAUAAAAUUACUUUUCUCCCUUUAAAAUUAUGACAUGUAGUUGAAAAAUUAUUUUUUUCAUACAUUUGUUUUAUUACCGCUUGGGCCUUUGCCAAUGAAGCCAUUUUGAUUAACGCUCACCUAUACCAUAGUUUGGAUAUAGGACGAUCGUUGUGAAUAAAGCUUAACUCAGGUUGAGGUCGAAUCCUCGAGGAGUGAGUGUAGUCCUCAAAACCUAUAGGUGUUGAUGGCUUCUAAGUGUAUGCCCGUAGCGGAAACAAAGUAAAAUGCAUAAAUUAAAAUGGGGGAUUGAUUUUGGAAAAUGAUUUUACCAACAUCUAGUUAAGCUAGCAACUAGAGGUAACAAUUGUGAGUGAAAAUUCAAUAUGAAAAGGAUCUUGGGAUUAUUUCCACCUAAGGGCAACUUAUGUAUGGGUGCAUGACAAUUGGGUACAAAUUCUAGUUAUCAACGACAUGGUAGACUAGGUUGAAGGUUCUCGAGACUAGUUUGUCAACAAAACCUCAAGAUUAUCACCCAUGGACCCUUUCGGGUACCUCAUGGGUGUGACAAAUAAAACCACUGAAUAGCUCAAUUAGGCAUCCCUAUUUCUAGAAAGAUGCCCAAGACAUAGCUAACUAUCCACUCACUCUUAUUUCUAAGAUAGUGAAAAGAGAACAAACCACAUAUAUUAUUGUCCACUAUUGCCUUGUCACUUAUAUCCCUUUUUCAAGGAUGAUAUGGGAUCCAAAUGUUCACCAACACUCCUCUUUCAAGGAUGAUGUGAUCUUUUAAGAACAUGGAAUUUUCGCCCACAAAUUCAUUUUGGGUGUCACACCCUUUUUUAAGUAAAAAAAGAUAUUGAUUUUAAGUUUGAAAAGGGUUUUUAUUAUUAAGUAACAAAGAUGAAAAUUAUUUCGAAAAGGAUUCAUUUCUCAAUUAAAUUUACAGUUGCCACUUGCCAUGAAUUGGGUGUGUCAAGGCACCUUUGAAAAUUCUUUUUCAGAACGGUUUGACUCGAAAACUGAUCCGCGAACAGAAAGCUAAGGAUUCUAUGAUCGACAGGAAGGUGUUAGGAAUCCCUCGGUCCUAUGGUUCGACCACGAUCGCUUGGUGAAGCAUAUCAGUUAAUUUGACACUAUGAAUAUAUAAACCACUCAAAACAAUCAAUCAAACAAACAAAAAAAGUCCAAAAAUAUAGUGUCCAGUCCAAUUAUUACAGCUGGAAAUAAAAAGAUACUAAAAAGUAAACCUACACUAAUCCUAAACUAUGCACUAAUAUUUUACCUGAUUCCUCGGGCCUUGAUCACGAGCCUUAUUUGCGUACAUCAUACUUCGAGACAUUCUCCGGUGAAUAAGUACAAUAUAACCUCGGGGCAUUUCCCGAUGAAUGAAUACAUCUUCAAAUCUUGUGCAAUAAAGUAGAAAGAACUAUUCACAUGCACAUUCAAAAAUUCAACAAAACACCAUUCCUAAAAUUUUCCUACCCGACUUACCAUUUGCCUACUAAUUUUGAUUUAAAUCAACAAUAAUGAAUCAAAUUAAACCACUUUCAUUUCGUCAAUCUCAACCUCUCCCCAAAUUCCUUCUUUUAACCCAUGAAUUUUCACAUGAAACAAUUAUCCACACCCUUACUCAAUCAUCAAAUACAAACCACAAUCGAUUAUUCACGAAUAAACAAUAUCAAACAUCAAUAAAAUAUCCAAUCAACCAUCAUCAAACACAUAAUGAAAAUAACAGAGUAGAGUCGAGAAUUGGACCUCAAAAUCUUUCAAGUGACUUAAGAAUAAAGAUGAGAGCCGCUCUAAGAACCUCAACGAACACUGAAAUCUAAACUACGAACCAACUCUAGCACAAAAAUCCCUCAAAAUCCAAUUCGAAAGUGAAUCCACGAUAACUCGAAAAGCAAAACAGAAUAGUGGCACCUAAGUCUGACCAAAAUUUAAACCACAGAUGGAAUUUUGGUGAGAUGCAAACUAAAAAUGGAGCAAAAUCAGCUUUUAGUGCGAGUUUGGAUCGAAGUGUCACCGGUCGUGUUGUUUUUUGGAGAGUAUUGCCAAAACAGUGGCCAAACGGUCAUUUUUUAGCGGCGAUUCUAGCGAUUCUCAAGCGAAACUCGCCAGAGAAACACCCCCUUUCUUGAUUCUUCCCUUUUCUCUCUUCAUAACCUCUCUCCCCGACCUGUGAGUAUGUAUCAUGAGUGUGUAUGUGCUUGGUAGUAUGAAUGUUUAUGUGUAUAUGUGUUGUUGUGUGGAUUCUUUUAGUAUAUGUACAUGUGAUCGGUGUCUUCAGUGAGGGGAGAUGGUGAGGAUUAUGUGUAUUUGUUAAUGGUGUGUGUGUAUGUGAAUUUUGUAAGGGUAUGAGGUCUGUUAAUGGUGAGAGUGUCCAUUCCAUCUGAGUGAUGUAUUGAUGGAGAGGGUGAGUCCCUUUUGUGUGAUUCUAGUGGGGCCCCUUUCUAUUUUUGUUCCUAUUAUUGUGUGAGUUGUUCAAAGGUAAAAAAAAGUGAGGGUUCAUUUAUGUGAGUGGGGUGGGGUAUGUGUGUAGGGGUAGGGGUAGGGUAGUGAUAUGUUGUCAAAAUUUGAUAGGGAGGGGUUGUUAGUUUGUUCAAAUUGAGAUUAUGUGGGAAUUUAGGGAUAAAAUUUGUUAUGAAUUUGUUGAGAGUUGGUUAUUAUUUGUCAUUUUGUGGAAAAAUUAUGGAAUGGGGUUGGGGUGCGUGGUAAUAUGAUGUAAAUGGUAAAAAUAAUCUUUUAAGGACAAACUUACGUGUCUACAUCCUGCCCCCUUUGUAUGUAAACAUAAAAUGUAUUCAGACAAAGAAGUAGACAAAGAGACAGAAUUGUAUUGCGAUUGUUAUUCAAAAGAAGGAAACAAAAAAAAAGAGGGCAACCGAGUUGAUUUUGAGCAUCCUACCUAUCCCAAGUUGUGUGGGAGUCAAUUUGCAGAUGGUUCCAUGAUUGACAAAGAGGGACUAUACCGAGUUGGAGAGUCGAGUGAGGUCCGAGGUUCAGAUCCACGACUCUGUCAUUACAUCAAUAAUAAAAAUUACAAGUUAAAAAGAUAACUGAAAUUAGAAAAUCCUAUCUAUGCAGCUUCUCUGGACUCUUGACUUGAGUUUCAUCACCCUGUUCUUUGAGCGGGCUCCCGACUUGCAAUUUCAUCACUCUGUUCUCCAGACGGGCUCCUGACUGGCAAUUUCUUCAACUUGUUGUUUGACUUUCAAUUUCUUCACCCUGUUCUUCAGAUGGGCUCCUAACUUGCUAUUUUUCAAUCUGUUGACUUUUAAUUUCUUCACCCUGUUCCCCAGAUGAACUCCUGACUUGCUAUUUUUCAAUCUGUUGACUUUUAAUUUCUUAACCUUGUUCUCCAUGUCGUCUCCUAACUUGCUAUUUUUCAAUUUGUUGACUUUCAAUUUUUCACCUUGUUGCUUGACUCUCAACUUCUUCACCUUUUUGUUUGACUUUUCAUUUAUUCGCCCUGUUCUUCAAGUGGGCUCCUGAAAUCAUAUCAUAACUAUUUGCAUGCUGCAAUGAUGAAUCAAAAUUCUGACCAAGAAGUGCAUCUCUUGAGAGUAAAAUUAAAUGACCAAGGCUAGAAAAUGCGUCUCCUAAAAAUUAAAGUGAGGAAUUCAAACUAAAAAGUGCGUCUUCUAGAGAUAAAGAUUUGGGUUAGAAAGUGUGCCACGUGAAAAAUAAAAAUGGACAAGGAAGUGCGUCUCCUAAACGUUAAGAGCAAUGACUCGACUAGGAAGUACAUCUUCUAGGAAUCAAAUGGAAUGACUCAACAAAGAAGUACAUCUUCUAGGAAUCAAGGGGAAUGAGCCGACCAGGAAGUACAUCUUCUAGGAAUCAAGGGGAAUGAAUCGACUAGGAGGUACAUCUUCUAGGAAUCAAGGGGACUGACUCGACCAGGAAGUACGUCUUUUAGGAAUCAAGGGGACUAUCUCGACUAGGAGGCACAUCUUCUAGGAGUCAAGACUUAAGUUAGGCAGUGUAUCACCUAACGAUUAAAAUUCAAAUUACCCAAUCAAGAAAGUGCGUCUCCUUACCAAUGCCGGUUGAAUUACCAAAACAGGAAGUGUGUCUCCUUACCAAUAUCGCUUAAAUUAUCCGAACAAGGAAGUGCAUCUCCUUACAAAUGCCGCUUGAAUUACCCAAACAAGGAAGUGUAUCUCCUUACAAAUGCCGCUUGAAUUACCUAAACAAGGAAGUGCGUCUCCUUACAAAUACCACUUAAAUUACCUAAGAAAAUGAGUCUCCUAGGGGUUAACUAUUCAACUAAAAAGUACAUUUUCUAGGAGUAAAGACUUAAGUUAGGAAGUGAAUCACCUAACAAGCGAAACUUGAAUAUCUACCAAGGAAGUGUGUCUCCUAAGGGUCAAGUGGAAUGACUCGACUAGAAAAUAUGACUUCUAGGAGCGAAAGUUCAAUUUAGGAAAUGCAUCACCUAAUAAAUGAAACCUGAAUUACUCAGAUAAGGAGGUGUAUCUCCUAGGGGUUGCAUGGAAGGACUCGGCCAGAAAGUGCAUCUUCUAGGAGUAAUGGCUUAAGUUGGGAAGUAUGUCACCUAGCAAGCCAAAGCUUGAACUACCCUAAUAAGGAAGUGUGUCUGCUAAGGGUUAAGUGGAAAGACUCAACUAGAAAGUGCGACUUCUAGGAGUGAAGGUUCAAUUUAGGAAGUGUAUCACCUAAUAAAUGAACCUGAAUUAUCCGAACAAAGAAGUAUGUCUCCUAGAGAUAUUGGAUUAUGAGUUUUACCAUGGUUUUAAUUACCAAACCUGUGCAGCAACGUUGCCUCUUACAUUUGUAGAAGUGAUAAAUUACGACCUUUGAUGUUUAGGCUUUGAAGUCCUUGAUUUGAAUGUAACAUGUUUCCUAUUUCAUCAAAGAAAACUUGUGAGUUUAAAAACAUGGUGGCUGGUUUGUGGCUUUGGAUUUUGAGGUAAUUGCUCUUGUGCCGGUCACAUUUAAUCUUGCUUCCAACCAUUAAUAUAUUCCAUUGACUUGCUGUAUCAUUAACCCAAACUCAGAUUAUUAAGAGUGGCUCUGAAAUAAAACACAGCAUCUCCGCUUUGCCAUGCUCCUCAGAUAAACUCUUUAAACCUUGAUAUUUCCAUGAGUUCCUAAAUUUGUCUGUUGAGGAAACUUUCUGCAUUCCUUAUUUUGGCUCACAAUCAUGUAUCUUUCAGGCACUGGCUUUUUGUCUUUUUUUGUGCAAUUAAAGAAGCUGAUAGCCAAUUUUGAAAUCUUUUCUGACUUGUUUUGACAUGGAAUUGACUCAAAGACAAGAGAAAAAAUGACAAUAAUUUUUUUAUUUGGAUAACUGACUCAAUAAAAUAAAAUAAAAAUAAAGAAAAGAAAGAACAGGCUAAGAAUUUCCCAAUUUGAAACAAAGAAACGAAAAAUUUAUCUAAAAAUGACAGUCAACUCUAAUGAUUAUGCCAUGCAUUUUGGAUUAAGCUGUCUGAUCUUUCCAUCCAAACUUUCUACCACUUGUUAUUGAGUUAAUGGCCUUGAAACUGAGUUUCUUCCUUAGGUCAAUUGCAUUUAAGACCACAUUCGGCUAGUGGCUCUUUGAGGGUUUUCGCCAACAAUCCUCUCUCAUUUUCUUUUUCUCAGCUCACCAUUGCCUCAUAGUGUCGGUGAGGGUUUUUCACCAAUGAGACUCUCUUAUUUUAAUUUCUCUUAACUCACCAUCUUCUUACAGUGCCCGCGAGGGUUUUCACCAAUAAGACUCUCUCAUUUUAUUUCUCUCCUGAUUCCUUAUGCUGAGGAAGAUGAGUAGUUCCUAAAAUGCAUUAUCAUAUACAUUGCAUGUUAAGACUUAUCAUUCUCAAAUAUUGAUCUGAAGGUCUUUCUUUGGUUGUAACUUGACUUUUGGAUAAGUUAGAAAGAAAGGAUGGUAUGAGGCCCAAACGACACUUGAAAUGGGAUAGGACUUAAAACUUAUAAAAACAACUCAAAAAAUGAGGAUUAACUCAUGCCCCAGGUUCUUGUGACUGGGUGAUUCUAAAUUGUUUAUUUGGUUAGACCGAGUCUAGAGUAAGACAACCUACGUAUUUCACUCCUGAGAGAGGAGAAUCAGAUCACGCGUACUCUCGAUAACUUGUUCUUUUGCUUAAUUCUGAUUUCUUUUUCUUUUUUCUUUUCUUUCAUUGACUCUUUUCUUUUUGGAGUUUUUUCUGACUCUAUUUUUCUUGACACUCUUCUCUUUUCUUCCCUUUUGACACUUUUUUUUCUUUUUGAAACUUUUCUGACUCUAUUCUUUUCCUCGACACUUUUCUUUUGAGCUUUGUUGACUCGUAUCUUGAUUCCAAAAGAGGUAUAUGAAACAAAAUAAAACUAAUCCUCAAAUGGGGUAAACAAAGAAUGACACAAUGUUUGGAUAGCAGAAUGAAAUGCCUUCGUUAUAUCAAUCCUUUAAAAUUUCAGUACACAUUAUGCAAUAUAAAGUGAAAGAUAAAGAUCAUUUGUGAUACUUUAACAACAAAAACUUUAACUGAGCAUAUGUGCCACUUCUUCUUCUACACUUGUCAAACAUACAACUCCACCUUUGUUGUACAUCCCUCACAUUAAACAACUCAUGCUUUCGUGAAAUUGAUUUUCUUUUUAUUCCUCUUGAUAUAGGAUUGACAUCCACUGUUUGACCUAAUUGAGACAUGUCUUUCAAUUGAUAACCAAGUUAUUCUUGUAAUCUAAAAAUAAUUUCCUUAAUUUUCAAAGAAGGCUUGAACUUGUCACAAAUGUCUCAACACUCUACCUAUUUUCUCAGAUGAUUUUUCUAACUUUAGCCAUCUGAUUCAAUGUUUCAUGGUUAAAUCAAAUUUUAAGAACUGGCUGAAAUUCCGCAGGCAUCUCAUGUCACUAGAAUCAACAUAAAAUGUACUGUAUAAAUAAAACAAACAAACAACACAUAUUUAAAACAUAAAGGAAAAAAGACACUCCAUUAAGUUGAAAUAAAAUAUAAAAAGGAUUGAACAUAAAUGAUUAUGGGACAAAACAAGAUAGAUCCCGAACAACAACCCUAAAAUAAUUUGGAUAACAGAAAAGAAAAGAAAACAAACUACCAAAUAUUAAUCCUAGUAGGGAGUGGAGUGACUUCUCAAUUGUUGAGCUUGACAUCUUAGUCACUGGUUUUCAUAUCAGCAUGACUAAAGCUUGAGUAGUUGCUUUCAAUGUUGCAAAACUCAAAAUGCGACCGGUCUUAAUUCCAUCCUCUAUCAUCUCCCCUAUUUUGAGAACCACAAUAAAUGGCUUGCCUAAUGCAGGUAACAAGUGUUGAUAAUAUGUUUCAUCCUUUGCUUGAAUAAACACCUCCACUAUUUUUCUUUCUUUCAUUAGCGGUUUCACCCUAGCAGCUUGUUCACGCUAUCGAAUCGCAUACUCUCUGAAACUUUCAAUACUCUUCUUCUUCAUGUUAGUUAGGGAUUUCUCAUGAGGAAUCAACUCCACAUUGUAUUGAAAUUGUUGCACUAAUUCAUUAGCCAGGUCAUCCCAACUAUUCCACUUGUCGAUGUCUUGGUCAACAAACCAUUCUAAAGAUAGACUUGAAAGACUCUCACUAAAAUAAGUCAUGAGUAAUUCUUCCUUCCCUCCAGCGCCCCUUAAUUGGUUAUAAUAAUGCCUCAAAUGUGUCACUAGGUCCCCAUGUUCGUCAUAUUUCUCAAACUUUAGCAUUUUAAAACCAAGAGGGAGGUUAACACUUGAAAACAUGCACAGAUAUUUAUACGAGACACUUUUGUAUCCCCCAAGUCCUUGGAAGUUUUUCAUAUCCAAUUCCAAACUUCUUAAUUUUUGGGCCAUUUUCUCUUGUUCUUAUUUCAUAAUAGGCUUUUCAGCAUUAAGAGAAAAUUCAGGCAGAUAAGUGUAGCCAUAUGGACCACUCGACUUAAAUGUGAGCUUGAAAGCACAAUAUUGAUCACCAAAAAUAUUCAAUACAGGAUUUUUGGUAGAGUGAGGAGUUACAACCGUUCAAUUGACAUUAAAAGCAGGAACUUCAGGCGGGGGUGGCGCCAUAAAAGCAUGAGUAGUAGGUAGAUUCGAGCAUGUGGUAACUCUGUGUUGAGGAGUGAGGAAAUGAAUAUUGGAAGUGUUUGGAUAGUGUUGCCCCGGAGUAGUCCCUGAUGCAUAUUGUGGUGUGUCAACAAAAAUAGGAAACUGUUCAUGUGACACUAGAGGCAAGCUAGGAAAAUAUUCCAGAUAAUCAACGGGAAAUGGAGGAGGCGGCAACCCAUUAGCCCAAGCUCGAUGCAUUUCUAUCAUUUGUUGCCUUAAUUUUCAAAUCUCUUCAUUAGCUCCUAAAUUCUCAUUCCCUAAACUCCCUAUCUAAUUAGUGACAACCUCGGUAUCCUUGUUGGCCAUAACUUUCUCUUCGACUUGGUGCAAUAUGGAGGACUAACCAAAAUGCCACAAACCAACUACCUUAAACUAACUGAGCAAUAGAAAAAACAAAGGCGUUAGAAAGAAACACUUUUUUAAAUACUUUUUUUCUUUAUUUUUUGAAAAAAUCACUCAAAAUACCAACGUAUCCCACUCUCGAAAGAGGAGAAUCAGGUGUGCGUAGUUUGUGAAGUCUUUCCGAAAUGGUCAAUUAAACUCUUUUUUCUUUCUUUUUUUUAUUUUUCUUGAAAAUUUAAGAAGAAAAGGAACUAACAAAUUGACGAAAAUCUUUUUAAAAUUUUUCAGCUUUAACAUCCCUAUACAAAAUGAAACCUAUGAUUACCAAAGAAAAAUCUUUUUGGGUUUUCUAUUUUGAAUUUCAUAAAAAAAAUGAAAAUUGAACCUAUUAAAGAAAAUAAAAUUGUGUGUGUAGUUUUCUUUUAAAGAUGUAUAUGAAACACCUACUCUAAAUGAUGAGAGAAGAAAAUCUUUUUAGAUUUUUAAAUAAGAUCACCGAACCCUAGAAGGGCUACCUACGUAUCUUACUCCCAAAAAAGGAGAACCAGGUGUGCGUAGUUCGUCCAGAUUGGAAAAUUAAGGAUUAAAUAGCAAACUAAACCUUGACUUAGUAUACACUACCAAAGACAAACAAUGAAAAAAGUUAAUAAAAUCUUUUUGUUUUAGUUUUCAAUUUGACACUUCACAUAAAAAUGACACCAACAACUAUGAAAGAAAAAAUCUUUUUUGAUAUUUUCGUUAUAUGAAAUGUACAAAACUUCUACCAUCUUUUUUUAAUUUUCAUUUUAUAAAAAACUCCUUUUCAAUUUUUUAUUUUUUUUUUGAGUUUUCGAAUUGUGAAUGCUUACUAAAGAAACAAAAGGAUUUUUUUUAUGUUUUUUCUAAUUUUUGGAAAAUGAGUACAAAACAUAAAAAAUCUUUUUAAAUUUUGUGAUUAUGGAAAACAAAAGUCAUAAAACUCUAAACAACUAUGAAACUUUUUGUUUUUCCUUGCCUAAAUGCACGCUCCUUUAAUUCUAACACAUGUUUUCCCCAAAUCAAUCCACCAAAUGACACUGCUACCCUCAAAGAUGCAACAAUCAGCACGUAGGGAUGCUUUAAGAGUGAGUCUCAUACAAAGGACCAAGUGAGUCCCUCUAGGUCUCAAUAUGAUGCAAAUAAACAUGACCUAAAGGCUGACCUACACUGGGGUCCACUAACAAGGUCGUUCGGGGGAGCAUAUGAUCAAUAGUGGUUGCUUUGCUUUCCACCUACUCCAUACAUCCAACGGAUCCCCCUCCUAAAAUAAGGGUGACUCAACUAGAGUUCGUGUACACGAUGUGUACUUCAGGACUUGUUGUGAAAGAAAUGAUUCGGGUUAUGCAAAUGAUGUCAGAUAUAAAGCAGUAACACAUAAAGAAAGACUGUAAAUAAAUAGCACGUAGGCAUCCAACAACAAUAAAACAAUAAUACAAACGCAACAACAAUAAAACAAUAAUACAAACGCUAACACAAACAAAUGUCUAUACACCCAUAAUGUCAAACUAAACCGAUACAAAAUAACCUCAAAUUUGAAAAGGUCCCCAGCAGAGUCGCCAGAGAUAUCACACCCCUUUUUUAACCAAAAAAGAUAUUGAUUUUAAGUUUGGAGAGAGUUUUUAUUAUUAAGUGACAAAAGAUGAAAAUUAUUUCGAAAAGGAUUCAUUUUACAAUUAAAUUCAUAGUUGCCACUUGGCAUAAACUGGGUGUGCCAAGUCACCUUUGAAAAUUCUUUUUCAAAAUGGCUUGACUCUAAAACUGAUCCGCAAACAGAGAUUCCAGCUAACGAAUUCUAUUGACCGAGGGGAAGGUGUAAGACACCCCUCAGUCCCGUGGUUCGACCAUGGUCGCUUGAUGGAGCAUAUCGACUAAUUUGACACUAUGAAGUUAUAAACCACACAAAACAAUCAAUCAAACAAAAAAAAACAGUCCAAAAAUAUAGUGUCUAGUCCAAUUAUUAUAGCCCAAAAUAAAAAGAUACUAAAAAGUAAACCUACACUAAUCCUAAACUACGUUCCAAUGCUUUACUUGAUUCCUCGGACCUUGAUCACGAGCCUCCUUUACAUAUAUGAUACUUCGGGGCAUUCCCUAAUGAAUAAGUACAAUAUAACCUCAGGGCAUUUUCCGGCGAAUGAAUACAUCUUAAAAUCUUGUGCGAUAAAGUAGAAAGAACUAUUCACACGAAGAUUCAAAAAUUCAUCAAAACACCAUUCCUAAAAUUUACCUACCCGACUUAGCAUUUGCCUACUAAUUUCAAUUUAAAUCAACAAUAAUGAAUCAAAAUUAAACCACCUUCAUUUCAUCAAUCUCAACCCCUCCCCAAAUUCCUUCUUUUAACCCAUUAAUUUUCAUAUGAAACAAUUAUCCAAAUUAAUUUUCAUAUGAAACAAUUAUCCAAAUCCUUACUCAAUCAUCAAAUACAUACCACGAUCGAUUAUUCACGAAUAAACAAUAUCGAAUAUUAAUAAAAUAUCCAAUAAACCAUUGUCAAACACAUAAUGAUAAUAAGAGAGUAGAAUCGAGAAUUGGACCUCAAAAGCUUUCAAUUGACUUAAGAAGAAAGAUGAGAGUUACUCAGAAAACCUCAAUGAACAUCGAAAUCUCAACUACAAACCAAUUCUAGCAUAAAAAUCCCUUGAAAUCCAAUUUGAAAAGGGAUUCACAAUAACCCAAAAAUCAAAAAAGAACAGUGGCGCCUAAGUCUGACCAAAAUGUGAACCACGGAUAAAUUACGCAUCCAUUUGCAUAACUGAUGGAAUUUUGGUGAGAAGCGAACAGAAAAUAAAUCAAGAUCGACUUUUGGUGCGAGUUUAGAUUGAAGUGCCACUGGUCGUGUAAUUUUCCGAUGAGUAUUGCUGGAACAGUGGCCAAACGGUCAUUUUUAAGGAUUUUUGGCGGUGAUUUCAAUGAUUCUCAGGCGAGACUCGCCGGAGAACCCCCCACCCCUACCCCUUUCUCGAUUCUUCCCUUUUCUCUCUUUAUUACCUCUCUCCCCAACCUGUGAGUAUGUAUCAUGAGUGUGUAUGUGCUUGGGUGUGUGAACGUGUAUAUGUAUAUGUAUUAUUGUGCAGAUUCUUUCAGUAUAUAUGUAUGUGAUAGGUGACUUCGGUGAGGGUUAAUGGUGAGGAUUCUGUAUGUCUGUUAAUGGGGUGUGUGUGUGUUAAUUUUGUGAGUUCUAUUAAUGGUGAGAGUGUCCAUUCUAUCCAAGGUCAUCUCUUCCACGCUUACUACCCCUAACUUAGGCAUUUGGCCUCAAUUUUCGUUUUUUAUGUCCAAGAAGGGUAGGGUUCAAGAGACGGAAAAACUUUGAAUGGUUCAAGGCUUGUAAUGUGGUUGUCAAAAAAGGCUUUAAGGCUCGAAUGGUGUAACUAAGGGUAAUAUUCUAUGCAUCGGUAGGCUAUUUAGGCAUUAAAGUGGGUUUUUAUAUUCACAAAGAUGGCCUAAGAUCAUUUCACUAACCAAGCAUAAUCAAAAUUAGUCUUGCGAGACUAAAGGGGCGAGUUAUAUAUGGUAACAAGUAUUCAUGAGAUUUAUACAAAUAUGUUCACUGCACAUGACAUGCAAACUCUUCAAAGGGGCUCAAAAUCACUCCCCACUAGUGACAAAAUGGAGUACUUAUCAACCUCUAUAAGCUAAGAGGUUUGGAGUCACAAAAAGAGUUUAAGUAUUGUUACAAAAAAUUUCACAUCCAUACCCUUGGUUUUCAAAAGUUUUUAGGCGGAGUGGAGUAUUUGCUUCGCAUUUUUACCACGCACAAUUUGCUAUUUAUGGCACCAACCAAGCCAUCGUCUCACAUUUUGCUUUCAUGAGGGCAAACCAUAUGGUUUCUCGAAAUUCACCAUAGGUAUAUGUGCGAUCCCAAAUCCGAAAUGCCACUGUUACUUAUAAUUUCCUAGCAUUUGUAACUUUGAUGCUAUGGGUACUCAGAUUUUCCCUGCAUUCAUGGCUCAAAACCCAAUCACAAUGAUUUUUCCUUAAGAAUGUCAUCCUCAAUCUAUCAUAAGGAAAGGCUCUUCCGAUGUCACCAUAAACAAAAUAAAGAUAAAGUAAAAAUCUAAAAAUGAAACAAACAACUAAUCCAUUAAAUGUGGGCAUCAUCAGAGUGCCCAAAUAUUACAACCCAUAAAAAUAAAAAAUCAUCCAAAAAGACAUAAAAAUCCAAAAAUAUCUUAAUAAUACAGGCCCAAAUGAAUAAAUAUGAAGACAGACACCCCCAAUAAAAAAGCUUGUAUUGACCUUACUGCAUGAACAAUAAAGCAUAAAGAGAGGAAAGGGUGCUCCCUGAAAUCGCAUCAAGAGAUGCUCUCACCCUCAGAUUGGGUUGGAGAGAGAUACUAUGCUAUGGUUGGCGUAGAACUCCCUUACCCACUGCUUAUUUGCAUUACAAGGGUUUGGGGCUAAACAUCUCCACCCGGUGGCAAUUAUCUAUCAUGAAAAGCUGAAAGCUUUUUCGGCACCUUGUCCAAACAAAUGCCUCUUUCCGAAAUCAUCUUGGUGGGAGAUCACUGUAGUACUGGUUAUGGAAUUCUAAGGCCAUGAUUUGGAUUUUGUCAUAAUCUCCCAUGAUAUAAACCUGAAUAAUAUGAAAAUAACACAACAACACUUAUCAGUAUUAUUUCCAUGCCAAAACUAUGCUAUGUUGUCCAAUUAAGCUAAUGGGAUGCUUACUUAGUGGUUUUGACAAGAAUUAAAAGUACAGUAUUUUUGGCCCAAGCUAGGAAUCAGCCUCAGGUAUAGCUAUCACGGGUCACCGAGCCGCAAUUGAGGUGUAGCGAUCGUAAUUCAAUGAUCGUGAUCGCGAUAUCUAAGGCAAAAUCAGACUUCAUUUUUAAAAAAAUUCAAAAAUUCAAACUUCAAAGCCGUAUCAUGUUCCAAAGUAAUAAUUAAUCAUACAAAACAUUGAACAAGGUUCCUAGGUACUCAAUCAUGCCCUUAGAAUAUGAAAACAACUAGUUAUGAGUUUGUUUGGGCAUUUGAUCAAGCACUUGGUGUGCACACUAUAUUUCUUUCAAAUUCAACACAAUUUGGGUACUCAAGAUUUCCUCAAACGUGUGCAUACCACUUUUAAUAGCGAACCAUACCACACAAGUACAAUUACACAAUGAUUUAGCAAUAAAAGUUACAAUCCUAGGCCACCCCUAAUUAAUACAUUCUAAGGCCUACAAACAGACAAUUUAAGUGAGGGUUAUACAUACAUGCCCGACUGAGGAUGCAAAAAUGCUUUUGGAUGCCCAAAAUAUGACCAAGAAUGAGUGCAAUUUAUGAGAGAAUUCAAAGAGGGAGAGUGAGCAAAUAGGCAGUCGGAUGGUUUUUUUAACCAUACUUAACCAUGAUCGCGGUCCAUGUUCCGUAAUCACGGAUAUGCAGCUACCUCAAUCGUGGGUACGAGUGUCGCGUCGCGGUAACUGAGGCUAUUUUUGUCCUCUAUUUUCUCCUGUUUAGUACACUGCACAAAAAUUACACUUUCCCUUGUUCAGCAUCAUUCAAACACCCCAUUGUGCCACAAAUGCAUGGAUUAAUCAACACAAAAUUAAAAUAUACUUUACUAAAUCAAAAACAAAGGAUACGAGUCACUUUCGUGGUAUUUGUGGGUUGUCUUUCACAUAGCACCUUAUUUAUCAUCGGGGCAUGAUAUUUUUCACUAUCUUCAAGUUGGAUCCUCAAUGGACCCAGCAUCCACCCCCGUGUUCUCAACAUCAAUAACUGAUACCACUUGAAGCUCCAUGGGUUGUUUCUUUGUUUUGCACACCCGAAAGUGACCUUCACCAUCUUUGACCCUAAACUUUAUUUCACCCAAUUCUAAAUCAACGAUAGCUCUUAUGACAGAAAGAAAAGGUCAACCAAGGAUAAUAUGCAUUUUUUGAUCAAUUUCGCAAUGAAGCACCAUGAAAUUCGAUGAAAGGAUGAAUCUAUCCACCUUUACUAACACGUCAAACAAGACCCCAAUCGGUCUCUUGAUAGACCAGUCCACCAUCAAAAGCCUUAUCAUUGUUAGAGUAGGGGUGCCUAAGCCAAGCCUCCGAUAUAUUACAUAAGGCAUAAGAUUUAUACUUGCAUCAAGGUCACAUAAAGCUUUUUCAAACAUAUGUGUCCCAAUGGUGCAUGGAAUUGUAAAGUCCCCUUGGUCCUCUUUUUUUUCUAUCGUACUGGACAUGAUAGGGCUACACCCAUAGGUCACUUCAAUGGCGUCACCCUCAACAGGCCUCUUUUUCGAUAUCAAUUUCCUCAUAAGCGUAGUAUUCCCCGGGAUUUCUUGGAUAGCCUCAAGUAACAGGAUAUUAAUAGACAGGUUGCUAAGCUUUGCAAGGAAUAUUUUGAACUUGGCAUUGUCAUCUUUAUUUUUGAGUCUUUGAGGUAAUGGAGAAGGAAUCUUUAUGGUAAGAAACGAAUUAUUUUGCACUUUAUCAUUUUCCACUACCUUCGGAUCUCCCUCUUCAUCUUUCACAUUUUCACUUAGCAUUAAUUCUUCUUUGUUUCCCUCUUGAGACUUCAAAGCCUCCUCAUUCACAUGUUUUUUCUUCACAUUUGUUUGUUAAACAUUGGUCCUUUUUUUUUACAUCCACCACAAGAUCAUCGAGGGUUUUACCACUCCUAGUGACAAUAGCAAACACUUGGGCAUCAUUUUUUGGAUUCACAAUGGUGUUACUAGGAAGACCUUCUAUUUGUCUAGCAUUAAGUUGAGUGGAGAUUUUCCCGAUUUGAGUUUCCAAUUGCUUGAUCGAGUCAGAGUGCGAUAUCAUAUUUUGAGUGAUUUGUGAGAAGUCUCAUUCAAGGAUCAUUUUAUUUGUUCCUUCUACCGUCAUCAAAAUCCUUACUAACACAUCUUUGGACUUGAAUUUUUUGGGAUAAAUGGUGUUGGAUUCUUUACCCUUUUCUUGGUCAUAGGGAGGUACAUAUAGGUCAUAUUUUCUUUUCUUGUCUCUCCAAUAGCGAUCACGCUAGUCCUAUUUCUUUUCAUAAUCCGUCCAACCUUGGUUCCCACCUUGCCUUUAAUAGGCUAGGUGGGAACCCACCGGAUAGUUAGUUAAAUACUGAAUCUCCUCAUCAAGACUCGUGGACUCCUCCUCCUCAUAGAACUUAGAUGCCAUGGUGUUUAACGUUUUCGUGGGUGCACCCAUCACAUACUUCGUUAGCAACUCCAAUUGUAUCAUAACUUUUGUCAUGUUCUCCUUCCUCUCUUUAUAGUUCUUUCUUUGCUCUUAUCAACAUAGGAGGUGGUAAGAGAGACUUUAGUUACCUUGGUGUCUCGAGUAUGCUAUCCCCAAUUUUUCUUUAUGGCUUCCUCAAUAAAAUUUGAAGACACAUUAUAAGACAAUUUGAAAACACAUUAUAAGACAAUCUUACAAACGAACCCCCGAUCUCAUUAUCUACGAUGGUUUUAUUUAAUUGAUCCAAGGCCAGAUAGAAGAUUUGGAGAAGCAUCUUCUCUGGGACUUCGUGGUUGGGACAUUGCAUGAGCUUCCCUUUGAAUCUCUCCCACACCUCGAAUAGAGGUUCUCCAUUCAAUUAUCAAAAAUUGUGAUCUCAUCAUGGAAUUGUACCAUCUUGGAUGGUGGCAAGUAUCGACUUAGGAAAGAAACGGUUAGUUCAUCCCACGAAGUAAUUAAACCAGCUGAAAGAUAUCGAAGACAUGAUACCUCCUCUCCCAUUAGAGAAAAUGGGAUGAGGCGCAACCUUAUAGACUCUUGAGAGAUGUCUGCAAUAUCAAAGGGGGCACAAACUUAUACGAAGUUCUUCAAAUGAAAAUUGGGGUCCUCAUGGGCUUGACCCCCGAAGAGGCCCUUCAUUUGAAGCAUAUGCAACAUGACAUUCAUAACAUGGAAUACCCUGUUCCCUUGAUUAGGUGGGAUAUGGAUAGCAAUCAUAUGUCCGAGUCCUGGAGUUUCUCGUCGUCAUCAAGGGGACCGUCAAAAGUCCCUGCUCGUAGUGUCUUCACCUACACAAUCACAGAAACAACAAACAAAGUAAAUCAAAAUCACCACGGGUAUACCCAAAGCAACAACCAACACUCUAAAAGUGAAAACUAAGUCUCACUUCCCGGCAACUGCAUUAUUUUGGUUAACACUCACCUAUGCCAUAGUUUGAAUAUAGGACGAUUGUUAUUAAUAAAUCUUAACUCACGUUGAGGUCAAAUUCUCGAGUGAGUCUAGUACUCAAAAUAUAUAGGUGUUGAUGGCUUCUAAGUGUAUGCCCAUAGCGUAAACAAAGUAAAAUGCAUAAAUUAAAAUGGGUGAUUGGUUUUGGGAAACGAUUUAACCAACAUCUAAUUAAGCUAACAACUAAAGGCAAUAAUUAUGAGUGAAAAUUCAAUAUAGGAAGGAUCUUCGAAUUAUGUCUACCUAAGGGCAAGUUAUGUAUGGGUGCAUGACAAUUGGGUGCAAAUUCUAGUCAUCAACGACAUGAUAGGCUAGGUUGAAGGCUCUCGAGACAAGUUUGUCAACAAAACCUCAAGAUUAUCACCCAUGGACCCUUUUGAUUACCUCACGGGUGUGAUAAUUAAAAUCAUCUAAUAUCUCAAUUGGACAUUCUUAUUUCUAGGAAGAUGCCCAAGACAUAGCUAACUAUCCACUCACCCUUAUUUCUAAGAUAGUGAAAAGAGAACAAACUACAUCUAUUAUUGUCCAAUAUUGCCUUGUGACCUAUAUCCCUAUUUUAGGGAUGAUAUGGGGUCUGAAAGUUCACUCACAUCCCUCUUUCAAGGAUGAUGUGAGCUUUAAGAACUUGGAGUUUUCACCCACAAAUCCAUUUUGGGUAUUUGAGAUUUUCACCCACAAACCCCAACUAAUUCAAGCAAGUAAUAGUUAAAUCCAUCAUCAACAUAUUAGAAUCUACACAAAUACAUCACAACCCACACAUAAUUGCACCUUAGUUCAACAUAAUCCCAAGACAAGAAAGUAUAGCUACUCAUAAAGUUAAAGAGAAGAGAUAUACCAAGAGGUUCAUUUUAAGCAUCCAUGGCAAUGGAAAAUAAGAAGAUUCUUCAAUUUAACUCCAAUUUCACCAAACCCAAAUUGGAAAAUUCUAGCACAAAAGUUUUUUCAAUUUGUAGGGUUACAAAUUAUCCAAAAUUCAAUUGUUCAAAGUGUAAACUAUCAAAUGGGAAAGAUUUUUAGCCUUGUAAGGAAAUUAGGGUUGGCGGUUUCAAAUUACGAAAUUACCCCUGGUCAAAACCCAAUUAAGUCGCGAUCGUAGCAGAUUAUCUGUGAUCGCAGCUAUCGCGACUGCUAUAGGUUUAUCGCGAUCGUGACACUUAACCCCACUUGACUGGCCGCGAUCACUUCCCUUAGACGGAGAUCAUGAUAACUGAGACUGGUUACUGUGCAGGGUGUUCCAGUUUGUGCACUUUUCUUCUCUUCUUAAUUCCUUUUAAGCUCAAUUCCAUAUCUUUCUUUCUCGUCACCUGUAUACCUGCAGAAUGUGAAAAUUAGUGCAUUCAACUAACAAAUUUAUCUUGUUCAUACCUUCAAAUCAUUAUAGUGUGCACGAAUUUUGGAUGUAAAUGAGUAGUAAAUUCAUCACUCAUCAUAUAUCAUAAUAAUAUGAUAAACAAUUCUAUUUAUUGAGUUUGUCUUUGUGCUUUUAAUUGUUUGACUAAUCAUUUAAUUCUCUUAGAAGUUUUUAUUAUAAUAUUCAGUUUUAGAUCAAUUUCAUAUUGUUUAAUUAAUUCAAUUGAUAAAUAUACAAACUAAAUUUUCAAUAAUUUAUGGUAUCUAUUAAAUAACUUUUAUUUUAUGGCUUUUAUUAAUACAACUGUCAAUAAUAUUAUUUGUACAAAUUUUGACAAUACUUAUUCAAUGACAAAAUUUAAAAAGUUUUAUUUUAAAAUUAUCUUUAACAUGUUGAUUUAUCUUCAAAGAAUUAAAAUUAUCUUAAAAAAAUAAUACUCCCUCCGUUUCAUUUUAUGUGUCGUCAUUUUCUUUUUGGUCUGUCUCAAAAAAGAAUAUCACCUUUUCUUUUUUGGUAACUAUUAAAACACACAAUCCACUUUUACCCUUAUUGAUCCCACUUAAUUAAAGAUAGUAGUAGUAUAAUUUUUUAAUAAAGGAUAAUUUGGUAAACAUCAUCAAUUUUUUUUUAUUUCUUAAAUUUUGUACCUAGUCAAAGUAUGCCACAUAAAAUGGGAUGAAGGGGAGUAUUAUACACGUAUUUCUAUUUUAUGUGUUUUGAUGAAUUUAUCUUGUUUAUUACUUCCAAUUUUUCUUUAUGAAAAUAGUCUUCACUAGGUAGCCUAAUCUAUUAAUUGGUAUUCUUCCGUUAAAUAAUCCAUAAGAAAAAUUGGGGUAGGCACACAUAAAAAAGGUCAAGAUAUGGGUAAUAUAUUAUAUUCUCUUAAAUUAAAAUUAUGAACUAAUUAAUGUUGCCACAUCAUUUUUUCGGUGGGAUUAUUGUAAAAUCCGGCUCUAGUGACUUUUAUGAUGACCGGAGCAAAGUAAAAUGACUUUUGUAUAAUGAAUAAAAAAAAGUAACUUUUGCAUAAUAAACACAAAGCUAAGUCACCAUGGAUGAAAAUUUACUCCUCAUAUUGAUAUUGAAUGUGUGAGGGUUAAACAAUGCAAAAUUAUAAAAUAAAAUUGAGUUAUUAACCUCAAUUUAUUUAUUUUUACAAAAUGUAUAAACUUUAAAAAAAAAAAAAAAUAAACCACCUCCAUGGUGGGGGGUUAGGCAGACCCCUACCAAAGUAAUUCUUUUAAAGUAUUCAAAAGUAUUUUUAUUUUUUUUCUCUUCUCUUCUUCCUCAAAAUUGUCUAACAACACUUUUUUUUUUUUUUUUGGUGAAAAGUCUAACUACACUUUGAUAAUUCAUCAUUUCUUCUUGAAUUUAUUGGAUCUUGUUGAAAUUAUUGGCAUUGUCACAUAACUCUGCCUUAUUAGUCGCAUUAAUAGGUGCCUUAAAAGCUAGAAUAAACUCCCCAGCCACCUUAUCAUCUUGAUUAUUCUUUCUUUUUCAACUCCAGGUCAUUAUCUAUUAAAUUAGUAUCUUAUAAGAAAAUGAAAAAGAACUCUAUUUUUUAUAUCAAACUCAAUUUAAAUAUUAUUAUAAAUAUUGGGGCGGGGCGUCUUGAAAACAAGAAAAAAAAAUGACAUGGGGUGAAUUGGAGUCUUUGCAGAUUUGCCCGCACCAUGUCUCACCAAUUGUUUAAUUAUCGUAUCAAUAAGAGAUCUUUAUUUUGGAGUUGGCUCGACCAUAAAGCAACUAAAGAAAUGUCUUGAGGCCUCAUUUUUUGUAAAUAUUUUUAUUAACUGACAACAGGAUACAUGUAUAGUGUAUAAAAUGUACAUAAGAUGUACGUAAAUGGCCCAAGAAGCACGUAAAUCGCACAAGAUGCACGUACAUCACACGAGAUGCACGGUUGGCACAUUGGAUACAUGUGUGAUGUACAAAAGCUAAUUUUAUUGAAUAUACUUGAAACCUAUGAUUAAACUUUGGCUUUAGGCCACCAAAUUCAUUUAAGCGACCUUGUUUACUCCCCACCAAGCAAUUUAUCUAUAGCAGUUAAAAAUUCAAGCGAGAAUACAUAUUACUAAAUCAUAGUUAGGUGACGAAUGAGUGUAAACACCAUUGUGCACAAGUUUUUACCUUAUGGUUAUACAAUGAGAUUAUAAAAUCAUAAGACCUAGAGAAAUAAAAUAAAUGAUCAUGCACAAUCCCAGUUUUCAGCAAAAGCUUUUAGUACUAUCUUUUGUCCUCCUCUUGAAAUAUGACAGGGUAGAAAUAUGUACCUCAAUAUUAAAUUUAUUAAGGCGCAAUACAUAAAUUUUAGAUGUACAAUUUAUAAAUUGAGCCAAAUAUAGAAAGAUCUUUAUGUAUCAUCCUAGAUUGAUAUUAUAAAUUAGCAAAUAAAUUGGUCAAAUGUCUAACUAUUUUUUUCAUUGCAGAUAUUAGAAACACUGAUGUGAAUACCUAUAAAGAUGUUUGUUUAAGGAACUGUUCCUGUAAAGCUGCUCUAUUUCGUAGUGGUUUAAACUCAUCAACAGAAGACUGCUACCUACCAUUCGAGAUCUUUUCACUAGCGAAUAAUAAGAAAGUCAGGACACGGUAUGAUUUCAAGGCAUUUAUAAAAGUACAGGAACCUGAACCCGUAGCUCAUAUUCCUAAAACGUUUUUAAGUGAGUCUAUACUAGGCUCUGUCAUAGUAUCUUCCAUCUUAAGCAUCGUAAUUGGAAUUAUAGUUUUCAUAUUCGGGAAGAAGAAGAGAAAGAGAGACCAAAGAAGAAGAGGAGGAUUAUCUUGAUCAAGUAUCAAGAAUAGAUUUUCUUAUAAUGAUCUAAAGGUUGCAAUGGAGAAUUUUACUAAGAAGCUUGGUGAAGGAGGAUUUGGGUCGAUUUUUGAAGGAUGCUUAGAAGAUGGCACAAAGAUUGCAGUGAAAUGCCUUGAUAGAAUAGGACAAGUCAAAAAAUCAUUCUUAGCUGAGGUUCAAACUAUUGACAGCAUACAUCAUAUAAAUUUGGUGCAAUUGAUUAGAUUCUGUGCUGAGAAAUCUCAUAGGACUUUAGUAUACGAGUUCAUGGGCAAUGGAUCACUAGAAAAAUGGAUCUACCAUGAGAAACAAGAGGAAAUUCUAGACUGGAUCUAUAGGAAGAAGAUUAUUCAAGAUGUAGCUAAAGGAUUAGCCUACCUUCAUGAAGAAUGCAGGUAAAAUAUUUUGCAUUUGGAUAUUAAACCACCAAACAUACCCCCAGAUGAGAAGCUCAACGCUAAACUCUCUAACUUUGGACUUGCAAAGCUAAUUGAUCAAAAUCAGAGCCAAGUCAUGACCAUGAUGAGAGACACUCCUGAUUAUUUCUCUCUUGAAUGGCUUAGUGGAGUUAUAACAGAAAAGGUAGAUGCUUACAGCUUUGACAUUGUUAUCUUGAAAAUUUUGAGUGGACGAAGACAUUUUGAGGCGUCAGAGACUGAAGAGGAAAGGAUAACAUUGAACUUACUCAGGAAAAGGCAGAGGAAGGACAGUUGGUGGAUCUUAUUGAUAAGCAUAGUGAAGAUAUGCAGUUUUACAAAGAAAAGUAAUAAUGACGAUGCAGAUUGUUGCCUGGUGUUUACAAUAUGAUUAAACAAAGAGGCCAUCAAUGUCAAUGGUGUUCAAGGCCAUAGAGGGUGUGCUAGAUGUAGAAAAGGAUCUAGAUUACAACUUUAAGCCACAAACUAUUCCUGCAAUACCAAAUAUAAGCUUUGUUGAUUCAACUCACUUACUGCCUUUGGUCCUAUCAAAUCCAAGGUGAGGAGGAAGUUCCUUAGAUUUUUUGUUAAUUUCUUAUUUUUAUGCUAUUGUUGUUUGCUUGCUGCUGUGUAAAUUUUUUCUCCAAUGUUCACAAAGUUAUGGUUGUUUUCUUCAAUUUAUUCAUUGCAGUAUUACUAAUCAACUCAUCAUUGUGGAUUUUUAUGCGCUUGUUAGCAUGAUAGUAUGUGUAACAAAAACAAGAAGGUUUUAAGUUAGAGCAGAGAAAUCAUUCUGAACCCAAUACUUCAAAGGACUUAAAAGCAAUAUUUUUAAAAUUGCAUCUCAUCUAUGGUAAAUACUUACAUGCACCCGGUGUUUACUCCCAGGGCUGGCUCGACCAUAAAGCUACUAAAACAAUGGCUUGAAACCCCAACUUUUUGGAGGUCCAUUUUUUCUAAAUAUUCUUGUUAACUGACAAAAGAAUACAUGUAUAGCAUACAAAAGGCACAUAAGAUGCACGUAAAUCACACAAGAUGUAUGUAAAUCGCACAAGAUGCACGUACAUUGUACGAGAUGCACGGAUGGCAUAUGAAAUACAUGUGUGAUACAUAAAAGCUAAUUUUAUUAAAUAUAUUUGAAAUCUUUGAUUAAAAUUUAAUUUUAGGUCAUCCAAUUCGUUGAGCCGACCUUGCGUUAUUUUUUUACGUAACAGUAUGAAAAGUUAAUUAUUGGGGUCCGAAGCCAACAGCCAAUGUGUGCUAUAAUUAUUUCCUUUUUUGGUAAAAGAGUUGCCAAUUAUUGACAUGUGGAAUGUUACUCCAUUAUUUAAUAAAGAAACAAGUCCAAACUUGGAAGUACACACAUUACCUUUUCUGAUUAACAUAAUGUUUUUUAAUCUCAUCGAUAUGGAUUAUAGUCAAAGGUCUUGAUUUUGAAUUCUAGGUAUAGAGAAAAUUCUAUUGGAUAGAAGCUCUACUCUCAAAAUAAGUCAUGCAGUGCGCGAUUCAAAUUAGUCGACCUCUAAUGAGGAUACCAAAUACUGGAUGAAAAAUAAAAAAAAUUAUAUAUAGUUUUAAUCUUAAUUGGUUGAAUCUCAGCAAACAAAUUGGCUUUUUCCUGUUUUCCCAAACAACAUGUCUGCUUCAUCUGGUUGGUCUUCUCCCUUACAUUCCAUUUGGUUGGUCUUCUUCCCCCACUGGGUGCCCCUGUUAAUGAAUGUGACAUUUUUUAAAACAGAAAAGGAUUUAUAUUCUCCAAAUUAAAUUAUGUGAAAUUGCACAAAAAUGUCCUCGUUAAUAGUUUGGUACCAAAAUUAUUUUAUCCUUAAUAAUUUGUAGAAAUCAUCAAAGACAAUUAUUUAUGGGAAAUUUUAGGAAUCCAGAGCUAAAAGGACUAUUUUUUAAUAAAAAUACCAAGGGGACAACUAAUUUUAAAAAAAAUGGACAAGUCGUGGGGAGGGGGGUAGCGACUCGUAAGUCAACGACGUGACAACGACUUGUAAGUCGCCCAUACCCCCAGCGACUUGCAUGAAACGUUGACUGGCAAACAUGUUGCAUGAUUCCUUUGAAAAAUGUUGCCAUCCCUGCAUGUAUUACAGGUAAGAACACAAUCAAGAAAAUAAAACAUUCAAAUACUUCUUAGCUCACCUCAAAGAUUUGCUGAUUUAAUUCCUUCUUUGAUUCCCUGUUUGCCUCCAGUUUCCACACGUAAGCUACUAAUUACACAUAUAGCAAGUGAUUAAUUAAAAAAAUAACAUAUAUAUUAGUCGACUUCUAUGUUUAUAUAUUCAUUGACAUUGUGUAAAUAUCGGAUACGAGUAAAUUUUUUUGUCGUUUAACAUUCUAUAUUCAUGGACGAGUCAAUUCCUCAUAUUGUCACUCAACUUAGGAAAAUGUCCAACUAAAGUCACUUAUUUUUUUUUUGUUCCAACAAUUUAUAAUUCCAAUUCCAAUAUUCAUUUCUAUGCCCAUAUCAUUAAUAUUGCUAAAGGGUAAAAUAAUAAAAAAAUUCAUUCAAUUUAUAAUUUCCCUAUUUUAUCAUUAAUAGAAAGUAAUUGCCUAUUUUAUCUCCAUCAUACACCAUUGACAACGAUUCAAAGUUCUUGAUAGAAUCUUGAUAUUGACAUCCACCUCGUUUAUCAUGAUAGAUUUUUUGAUUUUCUUUCUUCACGGAGAGAAAGUAAUUGCCUAUUUUAUCUCCAUCAUCCACCAUUGAAAAUGAUUCAAAGUUCUUGAUAGAAUCUUGAUAUUGAUAUCCACCUUGUUUAUCACAAGAGAGUUCUUGAUUUUCUUUCUUAGAGGAGUCACCACCCACAUUGACAAUGAUUCAAAGUUUUUGAUAGAAUCUUGAUAUUGAUAUUCAACUUGUUUAAGAGAAAAUUUCUUGAUUUUCUUUUUACUGUGGAAGUGCAUGCAUGUUGUUUAUUAAGGAGAAGAAGUGUUUGAAUUUAUAUAAAUUUAAUGUACGGUGACAUUUUUUGACCAAUGAGUGGUGAAUUGUUACGCACGUCUAACACUUUCAAAAUUUUGUCAUCACUUUCUUGAUUAUUCUCCAUGAAUUUUGGUUAUGUGGAGUUUCUAUAGGAGUUUGUAUAGAAUUCUCUUAUUUCCUAGCUAGAGUUCUUGUGGUUGCACUAUAUAUUAAUGUUCCAACAAUUUAUAAUUCCAAUUUCAAUAUUCAUUUCUAUGCCCUUAUCAUUAAUAUUGAAAUUAUAAUUGUUGGAACAAAAAAAGAUAAAUGACUUUAGUAGGACAUUUUCUUAAGUUGAGUGACAAUAUGAGGAAUUGACUCGUCCAUGAAUAUAUAGAAUGUUAAAUGACAGAAAAAUUUAUUCAUAUCUGAUAUUUACACAAUGUCAAUGAAUAUAUAAACAUACAACAUUGACUAAUAUAUAUGUUAUUUUUUUAAUUAAUCACUUGCUAUGUGUGUAAUUAGUAGCUUACGUGUGGGAACUGGAGGCAAAUAGAGAAUCAAAGAAGGAAUUAAAUCAGCAAAUCUUUGAGGCGAGCUACGAAGGGUUUGAAUGUUUUAUUUUCUUGAUUGUCUUCUUAUAAUACAUGCAGGGAUGGCAACAUUUUUCAAAGGAAUCAUGCAGCAUGUUUGGCAGUCAACGUUUCAUGCAAGGCGCUGGGGUAUGGGCGACUUACAAGUCGCUAUCACGUAAGCGACUUACAAGUCGUUGUCAUGUUAGCAAUUUAUAAGUUGCUGGCCCUCACAACUUGUCCAUUUUUUAAAAAGAACAAAUUAAUUAUAAAGAUAUUUUUGAUAAAAAAAAAAUAACCAUUUUGACUCCGGAUUCGAAAUUUUAGCGUUGUCUUUCUCUAUACAUGCAGUGUGAUGUAUUUAUACAAGUACAAACGAACAAAAGAAAUGAAGAAUAUUUAAAUUUCAACCUACUUGUAAAUUGCUUAUUGACUUAUGUACAUAAUUGCGCAACAAACUUAUUCUUUUACUAUGUUGAUGAUGUGCUUCUCACAUGUGUGUGGAGAAGCUUCUUGAAUAUGUUGAGUUGGACGGCUCUGAUCAUCCUUGUGGUCACAAUUAAUAUUGAAGGCUCGAUUUUGUGCCAUGUUGCUGAUAAUUCUUUAAGGUUGAGUCAAAACACUUCGUGUCUACAAAGUGUGUUUUGUUUCACUUCUCUCCUUUCUUUCUUUCUUUUCCAUCUGCUCGUGUUUCUCCAUUAAUGAAUCUUCAUCUUGACUCGAGAUCUCUUUAUUUCCAACAUAGUUGGCCCCCAAAAUGUCCACCAUAUCAUUAAUAAUUUGGCAAAAAAAAUACUUUACUUUUACUUUACUGGGCCAAACCUGCCCUUUUCUUGUCAAACAUAUUGUUCCCUUUCUUUUUAAAACUAGUUUAACCGCAUUUUAAAACUAGUUUAAUCGUCUGUGUAGCAUUUGAUUAUUUAAAAUUAAAUGAUUUUAUCUAUUGCGGAGAUUUUUAAUAAAGUGUAUAAGUUCAAAUCACUUUUCAAAAUCUUACACAUUUUAAUAUAAUAAUGUAAACAUAUAUAUAUACAAAUAUAUGUUUUACCACCAGAAGUUUCAAAUGGUUGAUGGAUCAUUAUUUUUACGUUUGUCAUAUAGUACUUCUUUCCCUUGUUGUUACAGGCUAAGAGAGACGCAUAACCAUAUUUGUGUUAUGAUUAUUUUUUUAUAUAUAUUUAAAAUCUUUUCAUAUUUUUAAAGUCAAACCUUUACAACAUCAUUUAUUACAUUCUUAUUACGUACUAAUGGAAAAAGUAUCAGCUGUGUCAGUUAGUGCAAUAGAGUUAUUGCAUUGGAGUUUGUUGUAAUAGAGUUAUUAAAACAGUAAAAGAAGAUUAAGAGGUUAAUCCUAGAAGCAUGUAGUCUGUAUUCGAGGUUGCUUUAACAUAGUGAAGUGGUUGAAAAUCCUACGUGGUAGGUUGUGGUAUUACUCCCUUGAGCAAGGACGUUUCCGCAUAAAAUAUCAUGUGCGUGCAUUGUUCUUUACGUUGUUUUACUUUUAAUUUCGUUCAUUAAUGCAUACAAUAGUUGGGACCACGUCCCUAAGUUGGUGGGCAUUUCGUGCAGUUCUUCAUUUGGUAUCAGAGUAGAUUCUUCCUAAAAAGGUAACACCCAAGAAGGAUCAUCUAAAUAGCAACAUCACCAAAUCUUGAAGAGGGUCAGGACAAUACUAUGGGUAGUGGAAAACUUAUAUGCAUGACUUCAUUAUGGCUAAGGACUGUAAACUAUGGGAUGUUAUUGUUGAUGGGCUUUUGUUUCCACUAAUCUAGUAAAAGUGGGUGAUGUUACUUCCAACGUUCUCAAAACAAGGAUGGAAUAUGAUGAGGCUAACAGGAUAAAGAUAGAGAAAAACUUUAAAUCUAAGAACUCCUCGUGUGUGGAAUUGAUCCUGAUGAAUGUAACAGGAUUUCAACUUGUGAAACGGUCAAGGAAAUCUGGGAAUGCUUGCAAACUCUCCAUGAGGGAACUAGUCAAGUUAAGGGGUCAAAGGUAGAUAUGUCGACUAUGCAAUAUGAAGCUUUCAGUAUGAAAUAAGGUUAGAUCAUGUUGGGUUCAUAGUAUAUGAAAGAAAUGUGAAUGGAAAAAUAGAGAGUAAAAUGGUGGAGGUAAAGAGACAAUAAAAUAGAAAGUGUACUCCCAAAUUAGAAAGUUUACUCUUUCUCCCAUAUUGGUGGAAGAACAGAACUUGAAAGUGUUUAUAAUCAAGAACACUUACUCCACAUGAUAAGUGAGGCAAGAAAUAAGAGAUGCCUCACGCUCGGCUUCAGCUUCAGAUUUGGCUUUGGAUUUGGAAAAGGAUCGAUCGAUGAGAUCUAUCUUUUUGGAUAAAAUUUAUUUGAUGAAAUCUGAUCAAUGACAAAAACACAGAAAAUUUUUCUGUGUGUUUAAUACUCCAUUUAUAUGCAUGCAGUAACAGUAACAGAUGUAAUGUUUCGACUAAAUUGAUGCACUAUUUCUGUUUCGACUAAACUGAUUUAGAUUUUUGAAAAAAUGUUUCCUGAACUAAUAGAUUGGUUUAAACAGAUGCAAUUCUUCAACGAAGUGAUGCACUGUUUCGAAAUGGUGCACUGUUUCAUGAAAUGGUAUUAUUGUUUCAACCAAAAUAUUGCUCUAUUUUGGGUAAACAGGCAUGCAUUUUCAGAAAAGUCACACCUCUAAAUUGAACCACUGCCACCUUUUCAAAGAGGCAUGUUAUGGUUAUAUAAACCUGGUUUCAUUCACAGGUUUUGAUAUGAACGAAAAUUUCAGAAUAAAAAUACUCUUCUUGCCUUAAAAAUAUUCUGUGUGAUCACUCAAAACGUUCAGUGAGUUCGACGAUAUUUCAAUUGUUUGAGGUACCGCUAUAGUUGGUUUGUUUGGCCAUUUUAUCCUGGGAGGAAAAUUCCGCAACCUCAGGUACAGUGAGGGAAAUUAUUUCCUUAAGAAAAGUUCGUGAAUUCAGGCAACUUAACCAUUUCUGUUUCAUCUUUAUUUCUGAAAAAUAAAAUAAACCUCUUAUAAAGAUCAUUUUGAUCUUGGGUAGAGGGUAUUUUCUGUACUUCAUUGCGUUCUUGUUCUUAAACUUGAACUAGUUGAAGUGGUUGUUUCUAGUAUACAGAUUCUUGUAUCCAUAGAAGGAAAAUAACAAUCUUAAGGAAAUAAUUUUACAGAAUCUGUAUUACUUUUUUUUGGAGACUAAAGCUUUAAGCUUUCUACUCCGCUUGAAUUUAACUAGUAAUUAGAAGACAUAAAUCUUCAUUACAAGUUAAAGUUCACUCGGUUGGCGAUUUGAAGUUAUAAAAACUUCAUCGUUAACUAGAAACAAGAAGAAAAGUUAUUUAACUUUAUAAGUAGUAUUCUGAAAAUGCUAAAUUUUUUUGUCUUGUGGUGACAGGAAAAAUAAUAAGCGAAAGUCAAAUGCAAGAUGUAGCAACAUCUGUGGGGGCAACUAAUAUUGCCACAUCAAGUUGCACAAAUGCUCCGCCUACAAUGGCACCGGCGGAGAAGCACAGAAAAUUUACGGGCAUUGACUUUAAGCGAUGGCAGCAAAAGAUAUUCUUUUACCUCACCACUUUGUGUCUGCAAUGGUUCACAAGCGAAGACGCUCUUGAGUUGCCCGAGAGAACCUUGGACAAAGAGCGUUUCGAAAUUGUAGAAGCUUGAAAACAUUCAGACUUCCUUUGCAGGAAUUAUAUUCUGAGUGGUCUCCAAGACGACCUCUACAAUGUUUACAGUGGAACUAAGACAUUGAAAGAAUUGUGGGGGGCAUUUAAACAAAAAUAUAAAACAGAGAAUGCGAGAAUUAAGAAAUUCCUUGUUGCACGAUUUCUGAAAAAUACCUUAGUUGAACAAAUUAAAAAUGUUCUUAAUACUCAUAUAAACUGUUUUGUAGGUUUGAUUGUGAAUGAUACAUUUCAAGUAGCAGCGGUAGUUGAGAAGCUACCACCUUUGUGGAAAGACUUCAAAAACUACUUGAAGCAUAAAUGCAAGGAGAUGACUGUUGAAGAUCUUAUUAUCCAACUGCGUAUUGAAGAGGAUAAUAAGGCUACUCAGAGAAGGUCAAAAGGGAAUUCUAUAAUUAAUGGAGCACAUAUUGUAGAAGAUGAUCAAAACAAUUCUAAGAAAAGAAAGAAAGCUGAACAAGGAAGCCACCAACCUAAGAAGAAAUUCAAGGGAAAAUGCUUCAAUUGUGGCAAGAUUGGCCACAAGUCCACGGAUUGUCGUGCCCCAAAGAAAGGCAAGAAAAAGAAUCAAUCAAAUAUGAUUGAAUCCAACAAAGAAUGUGAUGAUUUGUGUGUUAUGUUCUCAUAAUGCAACUUGGUGGGAAAUCCUCGCGAAUGGUGGAUGGAUUCUAGUGCCACCCGUCAUGUAUGUGCCAACAAAGAGUUAUUUUCAUCAUUUGCUCUGGCUCAAGUAGAAGAAAUGAUUUACAUGGCUAACUCCGCUACCGCUAAGGUAGAAGGAACAGGAAAAAUAUGCUUGAAAAUAACUUCAGGAAAGGUCUUGACCCUUAACAAUGUUUUGUAUGUUCCGGAGUUACGUAGGAAUUUAAUUUCUAUUUCACUUCUAGACAAGAAUGGAUUCAAUUGUGUAACCAUUUCUGGAAAAAUUAUAAUUAGGAAAGGAGAAAUGUAUGUAGGAAAAGGCUAUCUCACCGAGGGCCUUUAUAAGAUAAAUGUAAUGACUGUUGAAAUAAAUAAAAGUUCAAAUUCUUCUUAUUUGCUUGAGUCUUAUGAUUUAUGGCAUGAACGUUUAGGCUAUGUUAAUUACAAAACACUAUGAAAACUGAUUAACUUAGAAGUUUUGCCAAACUUUGAGUGCAAUAAAUCAAAGUGUCAAACGUGUGUGGAAUCAAAGUAUGCAAAGCAUCCUUAUAAGUCCGUUGAAAGGAAUUCCAAUCCCUUAGACUUAAUACACACUGACAUUUGUGAUAUGAAGUCAACACCAUCACGUGGUGGAAAAAAGUACUUCAUAACUUUUAUUGACGAUUGCACUAGAUACUGUUAUGUCUACUUGCUAAAUAGUAAGGAUGUAGCAAUAGAUGCGUUUAGGAAAUAUAAAACUGAAGUUGAAAAUCAGUUAGACAAAAUGAUCAAAAUGAUAAGAAGUGAUAUGGGCGAAGAAUAUAAAUCUCCCUUUGCGCAAAUAUGUGUAGAGAAUGGAAUCAUCCAUCAAACUACGGCCCCAUAUUCACCUCAAUCUAAUGGAAUUACGGAAAGAAAAAACUAAACUUUGAAGAAAAUGAUGAAUGUCUUACUUAUAAGUUCUGGUUUACCGCAAAACUUGUGGGGGAGGCUAUUCUUACGGCCAAUCGUAUACUCAAUAGAGUUCCCCAUAGUAAGACACAAUCAAUUCCUUAUGAAAAAUGAAAAGGAAGAAAACCCAACUUGAAAUAUUUUAAAGUGUGGGGGUGUCUAGCAAAGGUCCAAAUUACUAUGCCUAAAAGGGUUAAGAUAAGACCUAAGAUGGUGGACUGCGUGUUCAUAGGAUAUGCUAAAAGUAGUAAAGCAUGUUGGUUUUUGGUUCAUAAAUUCGAACAUCCAUAUAUAAAUGAAAAUACAGAAAUUGAAUCAGAUAAUGCUGAAUUCCUUGAAAAUAUUUACCCGUAUAAACUUAGACAUGAACAGUCUAGUGGAGGAUCUAAACGACCUUGAGAUGAACCAAGUGAGAACGUACAUAAUUAAGAAAAUCCAAGAUGUAGUACAUGUCAAAGAACGUCAACUUUGUUUGGAUCAGAUUUUGUAAUAUUUCUCUUAGAAAAUAAGCCUCAAACGUUUAAAGAAGCGAUGUCGUCGUCAGACUCAUCCUCUUGGAAAGAGGCAGUCAAUAGUGAGAUUGAUUCAAUCUUAAGCAAUCAUAUGUGGUAAUUGGUUGAUCUUCCUCCAGGAUAUAAACCUUUAGGUUUUAAAUGGAUCUUCAAAAGGAAAAUGAAAGCGGAUGGUACUAUUGACAAAUACAAGGCAAGACUUGUAGUAAAAGGUUUCAAAAAAAAUAAAGUUCUUGAUUACUUUGAUGCAUACUCGCCUGUAAAAAGGACAACAUCGAUUCAAAUGCUAAUUUCCUUGGCGUCGGUAUAUGAUCUUGAAAUCCACCAAAUGGAUUUGAAAACCGAAUUCUUAAAUGGAGAAUUAGAGGAAGAAAUUUACAUAGAAUAGCCUGAGGGUCUUGUGGUUCCAGGAAAAGAUAAUAAUGUGUGUAGACUUAUUAAGUCAAUGUAUGGACUAAAGCAAUCACCUAAACAAUGGCAUACAAAGUUUGACCAAACCAUAUUGGCAAACGGGUUCAAGAUAAAUGAAUAUGAUAAAUGUGUUUAUAUUAAAGACACUCUAAAUCACCAAGUCAUUGUUUGUUAAAUGUGGAUGAUAUGUUAAUCAUCAGUAGAGACAUUUCUGACAUAAAUGCAACAAAACGAAUGCUCGAGAGCAAGUUUGAUAUGAAAGACCUUGGAGUUGCAGAUGUGAUCUUAGGUAUAAGAAUCCAUAGAACUCCACAAGGGUUGGCAUUGUUAAAGUCUCGUUAUAUUGAAAAGGUACUUGGCAAAUUCAAGUAUAUGGAAUUCGGUAUUGCCAAGACUCCAUUGGAUGCGAGCUUUCUACUUUGAAAGAAUGAAGGUGAAAGUGACUCACAAUUGGAGUAUGAAAGAGUAUUGGGAUGUUCAAUGUAUAUAAUGAAUUGUACACGGCUAGACAUAACAUGCGCUAUCAGUACAUUGAGACGGUACAUGAGUAAUCCCAACAAAAUUCAUUGGAUGACAUUGAAAAGAGUUUUGGGUAUCUUAAAUACACUUAAGAUUAUGCUUUCCAUUAUAAUAAAUAUCCUGCGGUACUUGAAGGAUAUAGUGAUGCAAAUUGGAUCACCGGAUCGAAUGAAGUAAAAUCCACAAGUGGAUAUGUAUUUACUAUCGAUGGAGGAGAAGUCUCUUGGAAAUCGUCUAAACAGACUUGUAUUGCUCGCUCUAUAAUGGAAUCUAAAUUUAUCGCAUUGGAUAAAGCCGGUGAAAAAGUAGAAUGGCUCCAAAAUUUCUUGGAAGAUAUUUUGUAUUGGCCUAAGCCAGUGGCACCAGUAUGUAUACACUGUGAUAGUCAAGCGGCUAUAGGUAGGGCAGGGAGCAUUAUGUAUAAUGGUAAAUCUCGUCACAUAUGACGGAGACAUAAUACCGUUAGGGAACUUCUCUCUAAUGGAAUUAUCACUGUUGACUAUGUAAAGUCAAAGGACAAUAUGUCGGAUCCACUUGCAAAAGGCCUAUCUAGAGAAGAAGUGGAAAGGACAUCCAAGAGAAUGGGUUUAAAGCCUAGGACAAAUCAGCAUGGCGGUAACUCUACCUAGCAGACUGGAGAUCCCAAGAGUUAGGUUUAAGGAGAUCAAACAAAGUUGUGUCUGACAGGUUCAAUAUUGUCAAUUACCCAACCCAUUCUCAUGAUGUAGACAAUGUAUAGUAAACAAGGAUAAGACUUAAGGUGAAAAGUCUUUUAAUGAUUAUCUAAAUUUGGCAUAUUUGACCAAAUAGUUUAAUAUAUAGGAUUAAACAUUUAGAAAUCACCUAUGUGAGGGAGAAAUAUAAGCAGCUUCAAGGACAAUGUUAAUAAUGGCCUAUUCUCUAAGCUCUCAUGAAACCGGGACGUGUUCAUGGCUGAAAAGAAUAAAACCGUGAGAACCAAAAACAUUAAAAGGCUGGUUGUGUGACAUGUAUUGUCUAGGUGGACAUUAAAUCUCGACGCUUCAAAGAUAUCAAAUCUAUUGAUUGACCGAGUGCAUCCGAUGCAUGUUCACUACGGAAAGUUCAAAAGGAAAGCCACUUAUUCAGAUGCAAUCAGUCUUUGCUUGAUGAUCACAUACUUGUUCGUAAAACUUUUAUGAAAAAUAGACAUUCCCCAUUCAUGUGGGGGAUUGUUGGGUUCAUAAUAUAUGAAAGAAAUGUAAAUGGAAAAGUAGAGAGUAAAAUGGUGGAGGAAAGGAGACACUAAAAUGGAAAGUGUACUCCCAAAUUAGAAAGUUUACUCUUUCGCCCAUAUUGGUGGAAGAAGAGAACUUGGAAGUGUUUAUAAUCAGGAACACUUACUCCACAUGAUAAGUGUGGCAAGAAAUAAGAGAUGUCUCGCACCGUCAUCGUCGCUCGCUCGGCUCGGCUUCGGCUUCGGCUUUGGCUUCGGAUUUGGAUUUGGAUAUGGAUUUGGAUCGAUCGAUGAGAUCUAUAUUUUUGGAUAAAAUUUAUUUGAUGAAAUAUGAUCAAUGAUAAAAAUGCAGGAAAUUUUUCUGUGUGUUUAAUACUCUAUUUAUAUGCAUACAGUAACAGUAACAGAUGCAAUAUUUUAACUAAACUGAUGCAUUAUUUCUGUUUUGACUGAACUGAUGUAGAUUUUUGAAAUAAUGUUUCCUGAACUAAUACAUUGGUUUGAACAGAUGUAAUUCUUCAAUGAAGUGAUGCACUAUUUCGAACUGGUGCACUGUUUCAUGAAAAGGUAUACUAUUUCAGCUAAAAUACUGCACUAUUUUGGGUAAACAGACAUGCAUUUUCAGAAAAGUCACACCUCUAAAUUGAACCACUGCCACCUUACCAAAGAGGUAUGUUAUGGCUAUAUAAACCUCUUUUCAUUCACAGGUUUUGAUAUAAAUGAAAAUUUCAGAAUAAAAACACUCUUCUUGCCUUAAAAAUAUCUGUGUAUUCACUCAAAACAUUCAGUGAGUUCGAUGAUAUUCCAAUUGUUUGAGGUACCGCUACAGUUGGUUUAUUUAGCCAUUUUAUUCUGGGAGGAAAAUUCUGCAACCUUGGGUAUAGUGAGGGGAAUUAUUUCCUUAAGAAAAGUCUGUGAUUCGGAUGACUUGGCCAUUUCUGUUUUAUCUUUAUUUCUGAAAAUAAAAUACACCUCUUAUAAAGAUCACUUUGAUCUUGGGUAGAGGGUAUUUUCUGUACUUCAUUGAGUUCUUGUUAUUAAACUUGAACUAGUUGAAGUGGUUGUUUCUAGUAUACAAAUUCUUGUAUCCGUAGAAGGAAAAUAACAGAUCAUUCAAGAAAUGCACAGCAGGUUCACUUCUAUCACUGAUGCACUUCAUUUCCUUGGUGAGGAUAUAUAUCCGAGCUACCAAACAGGUUCACAAAGUCCUAAGGAUAUUACCUAAGUCAUGGAAGAACAAGGAAAAUACAAUAACUGAAGCUAAGGACCUAAAGACCCUAACUAUGGAUGAGUUGCAUGGGAAUCUUAAGACUUAUGAACUCAAGAAACAAUAAGACAAAGCUAGAAGUGAGCAGAAGAAAGAAAAGAAUUUGGUGUUGAAAUCUGCAAAUUAUUUUUCUCUUUAAGUUGAACAAAAUAAUUGAAAAAACUACAAAUAUGCUUAGCCAAGCGAGUGCCAAAUCAAAUAUUGCUACAGUAAAGCCAAUCUACUAGCAACUUGAGAAAAUUGAAGGAAAGGUAUCUUUUAAGUCUUGAAUGAAAGAUUGGUGACAUUGACCAACAGAUAGGGUCAAACAUCAUUAGAAUACUUGAUUAAGUUAAUUGUGGACUUGAUUAAUAUUUUUAAAACGUUCUAAUCUUUUCAAAAAUACAAAUCAACCCAACCCACACCUCUCUUCAAUCUAAAUCAAUCACUCUCUCCUCUCUCUCCAGCUUCUCUCAAUUCUCUUCCAGCCAAUAGUUCUGCAAAAUUUCUCCCUUCAACCUCUGGUGACAAAUAGUCGAGCAAGUUUUUUUUCGACUUUCAACUAUCAAUUAACGUGAAUACUUCUCUAGUGACAACAACUUUGAGUUUUUCGUCCUCCCAUUUCCUUUUUCACAGGUAAAAAAUUAUGAAUAAACAGAGGAACUUGAGCCAACUACUCUUCUAGUAUUGAAAUAUGAACUGAAUAAAACCUUAAUUUCUGGCAUUUCUGCAUUUCUUCUUCUUGUUUUCGUACUGUUGAUUCAAAUUUAUUGGUGAUUUUUUAUCACAGUUGAUGUUCUUAGUGUGUGUGUAUGUGAUGUGUUAGUGUUUUGGGUUGAUUUAUUAUUGUCUUGGUAGAAAUGGUAUUGCAACAGUUGAAAUAUCUGAUGUAAUAGAUGAAACAUAUGAUGUAACAGAUGAAAAUCUGAUGCAACAGAUGAAAAAUCUGAUGUUACAGAUGAAAAAUCUGAUGCAACAGAUGAAAAAUCUGAUGCAACAGGUGAACAAUCUAACAGAUCAUUCAUCUGUUGCGACAAAUAACUCUUCUGUUUGGAAGAAAUCUAAACAAUAUUGAUCCAAUAGAUAACUUAUUAGUGAUCUAUUUUUAUUCUUUUCAAUGGUUUACUCUUCAUUUUACAACAAAUUAGGACUAUUUUUAUUCUUUCCAAUGGUUUACUCAUCCAUUGCAACAAGUCAAUUAUCUGUUGCAACAGAUAACAUAGCUGUUGUAACAGAUUAUUGAUCUAUUUUUAUUCUUUCCAAUGGUUUACUCAUCCAUUGCAAUAGGUCGGUUAUAUGUUACAACAGAUAAAAUAUCUGGUGCAACAGAUAAAAUAUCUGGUGCAACAGAUUAGUGAUCUAUUUUUAUGGUUUCCAAUGGAUUACUCAUCUGUUGCAACGGGUCAGUUAUGUGUUGUAUCAGAUAAACUACCAGGUGCAAUAGAUAGAGUUGUUUUUAUGGUUCUCACGAAUUACUCAUCCGUUGCAACAGGUCGAUUAUAUAUUGCAACAGAUAACAUACUUGGUGCAACAAAUUAGUUGUCUGUUGGAACUGUUAUAUUACUGUUAUGCAUUAAUUAAUUAUAAUCUAUGUUAUGUUCCUGUUAAUUUAAGAUAACAUGGCUCCCAAAAGAAAAGAAAUCGAAUCAAGUCCAAGUAAAGGAAUAAGUGCAGCAACUCUGCUACAUCCACCACUCUAUGAGUUUGCUUUAUAAGUGUUAUCUUAAUCAGGAGCAGAAGAUAGUCAACACGGGGCGGAGGAAUCUUUCAAAAGAGAUGAUCCAAAUGAUAAUAGCCCUUCCGUCGAAGAGUUGGUCAAAAUCUUCAGCAUUUAUCGUUAUCCUGUGAAAAUACAGUAUGAUGGUGCCACAGAUUUAAUGGGUGAUCUCGUGGUUAAGUCAUUCAUAGGAAAAUCUUUUGAAGCCUUCAGAAAAAUACUUCGAGAAGAAAAAUUGGAUUCUUAUUUCAGGGAAAGCUGCUUUGGGCAAUAUCUUGAUAUGUCGGAGGACAACAAUGCUAGUUUCCAGAUGAAAAGGUAUGUGAUCUUCUCAAGUGCAGGUUUAUGUAUGAAAACAAAGAUAUUAUGGAUGAGGUGUGGAUAAAUUACUGUGGCAUGCCUAUUUAUUUUGGUUGGGAGGAUUUUUCCAUAGUUAUCGGACUAAAAUAUUAUCCUCCUUCUCUUUCUCAAGUUAUACCUACUCUGACCCAAAAAAAAGCACCCCGCACACCCAAAAAAAGAAAAGGCAAGUCGAGUGAUCGUGAUAACUUGGUGUCCAUUGUUGGUCUAAGCUUCAAAAUAAAAAUCUGAUUGAAGCUUUGAAAGGUAAAGGACUUUUAAAGAAGCACAAGCAAUCAUUAUGCUUGGUUUGGUUUGUCAUAAUGUUCUUUGGGGUGAGAGAUGUUAACAACAACAUAAGCCUCAGUUUAAUAAAUCUCUCUGAGGAUCUUAAGGCAUUUAAAAGCUAUCCUUGGGGUUAUGUAAGCUUCAAAAUGACUGUCGAAUAUUUGUUGACUCCGUUAAUGCCAAAAACAGUCAACUUAUAUACUUUUCCAUGGGCUUUCAUGGUAAAUAUUUCUUUUAUCAUGAUAUGAUUCAUCAUUUUUUUAUUCAAUAAUGCUUUUGAUUUAUUGACGUUAUGUUAUAGGCUUGGGCAUUGAAGUCAUUCCUUAUUUGAGACGAGUGAACUAUCGGAAGAAGUUUCCUGUCCAAGAAUUUUGAGAUGGUUGUAGGCCAAAAUCGAUAAAAAUUUAAAAUUUCUUGAUCUUUUCAAUCCCCCCAAGUAAGCAGUAAGUCCAAUUCUAAUUAAAUUUUUGUUUUAAUUAAUGAUUAAAUGAUUUCAUCAUCAUUCUUAAUAUAUGUACCAAUUUAUUUUAGAUUGUCCAUCCGUAGCUUAUUCCGACCAACUAAGAGUUGAAAAUGUCAUUUUUUCUUACUUCAUGAUCUGUGCAAACUUUAUCGGACCCUAAGGUCGUUGAUGGAAUAAAAAUGGAAUUGUUUGGAGCAACAACCAUAACGAGAAAAAUAAUUUUGGAGGGUGAGGCUAAUGAUGCUCCUCUGACAGUUUUUGAAAUAACAAGUCAUUAUGAUUAUGAUCAUAAUAGUUGUACAAAUUUUUCUCCAUAUUUUGCCACAUCUAACGAAUGUUCUUCAUGCAAAUGCCAAGACUGCAAGGUGAAAUACGAUAGAGUGAUUAAUGCUAUCAAUGCACUAAAUGCUUUUGUAAAGAAAAUGACAUCUAAAGAAAAUGACAUCUAAGAGGGGUGUCAUUCCAUCAAAGAGGAUUUCAUAUCCAGACACUCCACUAGAGAUCAAGGCAGCUAAGAGGAAAAGGAAGGACACUUUUAAGGCAUCAUCAAUCAUCAAAAAAAUCAAGAUUGCAAUGCCUCUGUCUUUGUCUUGCACCGAUGUUCAGUGUGUAAGGGCCACAGAAGAGCAGCAUGAACUGAAGAAGGUGAAUGUACAUCAUCUAUUCCAAAAAAAACAACAAGCACAUAUCUAUUUCAGCAGAUGAUACAUCUACUGAAAAUUAUCAAAUAGUUAUAUACAUUUGUUGCAACUGUUGUCUAACCCAUUGCAUCAUAUUUGUUAUCUGUUUUAAUAGAUGAGUCAUAUUGCAACAGAUGGGUCAUUUGUUCGAAAUUUUCGUACUGCUCUGAUUUACCUGUUCGAAUCUAUCCCAACAGAUAAUUCAUCUGAUGCAACAUAAGACUCAUUUGUUUCAAUAGAUGGAAAAUCUGUUGCAUAUCUCUACUUAGCAUUGACAAUUCUGGCUUUCUAGGUGGAUGUCACAACUACUGCCAAAGAGCAUAAUAUGACAGUUGAUAAUCCAUCAACUGCUUCCAAAGAUGAAGAAAAAAUAGAGUCUGUCAGUUUGGCAGAAUAGAAGAAUACCUAUUUGAAAGGUUCAGCAUCUCAGACGAGGCUCUAAAAAACCUAACACGGUUGAUCAACAACUAUUCAGAAUGUAUUGUCAAUGGGUUGUUAAAGCAUCAUGCCAGUAGUAACAUAAAUCAAUUUUAUGGAUAUUGGUUUAUACAAUUCUUGUUGUAAGAACCUGAUAUUAACACAUAUAAAUCAUCAUGUAGAAAAUAAAAUAACGAGCGCUACAAAGUAAAUGAAUCGAGUCUUGGUUUUGAUAUGUUCAACUUUAUUGUUGCACAUCCCAGAAUGAAGAAUUGGUUCUAUUUGAUGUCACAGCCUCAAACUUGCUGGAAUGAUGAGGUUUAAAUGUCAUACAUAUUACCAUUAAUUAAUACUUUAUUUAAUUAUAUCUACGUAUUGAUUUUUUCAUCAUGUAAUCAAACAUAUUUGAUAAUAUGUGCAGCAUAUCGAUGUUAUUUUUUACUACCUCCGAAAGAAGGCCAAGUUGCAAACACAAGAACAAUACAGAUACACAACAGGCAAUUAUUUGUACAAAGUUUACAUCAAUAAUGCCUACGAUAGGUAUUAUCAACAGCAGCCGGAAGUUUUCCAAAACGAGAAAUGCUUAAUCAACAUCAUCAAAGGUUUUAGAAUUUUGGAUGGCUUACCUUGGCAUUUGGCCGACGAAGUGUACAUUCCAAUCAAUUAUGGUGAUGAAUUCCAUUGGGUGUUGGCUGUCGUCGUUCUAAAAGAGAGGAGCAUCCGAGAUUAUGACUCAAUGUCGCGAAGGAGACGUUCGGGGCCGUCAUUUAAGAUACAAAAGCUGACCAAAAUAUUGCCUACCUGACCAAAAUAUUGCCUACUUACCUUGAUAUGAGUAGCUUUUUGGAUCAAAAGGUUCGUACUGGUUGGUCGACAAUUGAAACAUACCGAGAUAAAAUGGCUAAUUCAUUUGAUGUACAAUAUGUUGAAGGAAUUGCUCAACAAACCAUUGGUAGCCUAUAAGUUUAAGUGUCAUGAUUUAGUUUCAUUUCACAAAUUUCACAACGCUUGCAUGAACUGCAAGAUAUGGAUUAUCUGAUUUUUUAUAACGCAGGGAUUGUGGUCCUUUUGUUGCCGCCUAUGCCGAGUAUUUGAGUGAUGGAUUACAAGUACCAAAUGAUGGACUUAAUGCCGGAUUACUCCGUAAAAGAUAUGCUGCUCUUUUAUGGAAAUAUGGAGAAGCGAAAGCUCAGAAGCCAUACGCAACCGACGUUAAAGAUCCACGAUGACCAAAGCUGAAUUUCAUAGCACUGGAUGAAGAACAACUUGUCCAUAUUGAUUAGUUCUUUAUAGCUUGAGCCCGUCAAUAUAAUAACCUAUCCUCCUUGGUUUAACUUGUUGAUUUAUUUGUAGAGUAGAUCGUUUGUACCCAUAAUGAUUUUUUUUACAUUUCAUUUAUUUGUUGAGUUAGUUCAUGUAAUUUUUGAAGGCUUCGAUUUAUUUUAUUCUGUCUAUAAAUAUAAUUAAUUCUGAGUUUUGAACAUGUUAAUUGAAAUGGAGUACUAGAUUCAAAUAUUGCAACAGAUAAUACAUCUACUGCAACAGACGACAUAUCUUAUCAAAUAGAUUUAGACAUAUGUUGCAACAUGAGAUGCAAUACGUAGGUCAUCUGUUGGAAAUUAUGUAACAGGUCUUCCUACUUUUUUUAUUUGCUCCAACAAAUUACCGAUCAGUUGCAACAAAUAAGUUAUAUGUUGCAAUAGAUCAUAAAUCUAUUGCGGUAGACAGACGAGGAAUAUAUGCAUAACGCAAUAGAUGACCAACCUAUUCCAACAGAUAAUCAAUUUGUCAUAACAGGUACUAUAUCUGUUAUGACAGAUAUAAAAUCUGUUGCAUUAUAAAAAUUCAACUUUGCCAGACAUAAAAAUUAUUUCCUCUACAUAUAUAGUGAAUUGGCUUGAAAUGAAAAUUUUUUAUCGUGUUCGUCUCUAUCAUUGUACAUGUUCUUUUUUAUACAUGGGCUCCAACCAUUUAGUUAGUACCCCAUAUGCCCAGACCCAUUGCAUUUUUCCCAUAAUGGUAUUGUAUACACUGAUCAUUUGUGUGCCGAUCAGCAAACACUCGAUGUAUGCAAGCGAGUACGGCCCACACGCUGCACCGGUUGUAUUUUUUGGGAGCUGGAUGUUCUUAUUUUGACCUUCAAAAACCCAUGAUUUCUUCGCCAAGACUUCAGCCGGUAAAUGAUCCAUCAGCUUACUCUGCGUUAACAACUUGGGCAACAACUUCAAGAGAGGUUGCAUAUGGGUUAAAAAUGUCUUCUCUCUGAACACAGGUAAGUUGCAGUCAUAAACCUUAAUAUUUCCCUCGUAUAGUAGUAUCUCAACAGUGAUAAAAUGGGUGACAUCCAUGUUCAUGACUGCAAGGAUUCUCUUUGCCUUGGUCCAACUCUUGCCGUGUGGAUAUGGCCUCUUCCCUCUAACAUAUUUAAUCACUUCUUCAUCCCAUUGGAAUGUAGAAACUAACUGAUUAAAUUUCGGGCCACCAAAAUCAGCUAUCUUAUAGAGUUUAGCGUACCUAUCCUUGAAAUUAUUGUAAAAGUUGAGGUCCGUUAUCCUAUCGGCAGACAAUUUUUAAAUAGGUUAGUAAUUGUAAAGAAUAAAAACACAGUCAAAAGAAUCCAAUAUAGAGAGUUCUCUGAAUCAGUUCACAGAUUACCCAGCUAACGCAACUUAUACAACAGAUAUGUAUUAUGUUACAACAGAAUACCAAGUUUUCAAAAUAGAUUACACAUCUGCUGCGUAGAUUUUUCUUCAUGGAGUAGAUUGGAAGGGUAGGUUAGAAAAAGUAAACUUACCUUGUCCUCGUACCACACGCACAUAUUUUUCAUAUUUGAAAAGUCUUUGGUGGCAAAUAAAUGCAUGGUGUAUUCUUUUUUAACCUUCAUCUUGAUGAAUUCUUCCAGUUCCUUCUUCUUUUCCUUGCCAAGCGCCACGAAUAUGUCCACCUUCUUCGGCGGACCCUGAACUUCAAUAACUAUUGGAGAUGGGGGAGUUGCAUUUUUUACUGAUUUUAGAACAAAGAGAAUUUGUCUAAUUUUUCUUCUCUUCCUCCUAACCUCCACUGUAGGAGUGCAUAUCUCCCUUACCUCAUUAGAUGGUAUGACACCCCUCCUGGAUUUCAACUCCUUGGCAGCCUUAGCAAUAGCCUCUAGCUUAUCGAGAAGUUCAUCCUCUCUAUCCUUACAUACUUUGUAUUUGAAAUGAGAACAUAAGUAUGGGGAGGGGUGAGACGGACCACUAUAAGGGUGGGAGGGACCGGUGUAGGGGUGAGAGUAAGGACCUAUGCAAGAGGUGUUUUCAAACAUAUUUAUUUUUUGCUGAGCACAAACAUACUCAUAAUCACGACUAGCAGCAGAAGCAGUAGUAGGAUGGUUGCCACCAUCACAAACAACUCCACCAGCAACACCCUCAAAAGAAGCACCCGGAUCUGUUGUAGUUUGAGUUUAGUCAUGAAGAGCUUCAACAUUAGACUGACCUUGCCUAACUGCUCUUCUUAUGGAUGUUUCUCUAUCCAAUUGCUUUUGUAUUAACUCUACCGUUGGGUCUUUUUUUGUAUCAACAAGACUCAGAGUAAGAAAAAAAGUCAUCCCCAGCUCAUCAAUGGUAGGUACGAUCCAAGGAUGCACAACCUAUAAAAAAUGACAGGAGGAAUUUAAAUCAUAUAAUAAUAAUUUGCAGUUAGUUGGGUUACAUGGGGCUCGGGUUAUGUUAACACAGCCAACUUAUGCAAUAGAUAAUUGAGCUACCGCAAUAGCUGAUCUGUAUGUUGAAACACAUUAAUAAUAUGUUGCAUCAGAAUACCCAUCUGUUGUAUAAUUUACAGUAGAUGAGUAAUUUGUUUAGUAGGUUUUAGAGAACAGAUGAACAUAUGGUUAAUCUGUUGCAAAAUAUGGAUCGUUUGUUGCAACAGAUUACCCAUCUGUUGCACCAGUUGCAGUUGACGGGUAAUCUGUUACAACAGAUGGAACAUCUAUUUUAAUAUCUUUCUUUGAGGCAAAUUAUUUUAGUUGAAAGAAGGCAUACUGCAUCAUCCGGAGGGUUAAAGAGAUAAGCCUCAUUAAUAUUUUUUUUGCUGCUCUCUACUGCAGCCAACCACCUAAGGAUCCUUGGAUGAGAAAUCUUAUUCGGGUAAUCCGUGAAUUGCUUUCAGAGGGGAGGAAUGGCUUCACAUACCCAAGCCUAAAAAUUGUAAACAGGAAGCAACCAAAAAAAAGUCGCAAGUAUAUUCAAUAUAAAUUAAUGAAUGAGUAAAAAUAGUGAUCAAUUUUACCAUGUAAGCCCAAGGAAAGCCGUAUAAUGUGGUCGUCUUUGGCUUUAGCUCUUUCAGUAAAUAUUUGACAGUCAAGUAGUAGCUGUCGUAGCCCCAGGGAUAAUUUUUGAAUUUCCCAAAAUCAUCAGCAAGCACCAACAAAUUAUGUUCUAUGACUUUCUUGAAGUAUCUUGCCAAUAAAACGGAAUGGACAAACCAAACUAAGCACAAUUGCUCCCUGUAGUGCUUUGGUAUAUCUUUAUUCUUAAGAUCCGCUAUCAAAUUCUUCACUUUGUAUCUAGGUCCAAAAAUGCCCAACAACCCAACUUUUUUUACCUUGCGUUUGUUGGACCCUUUGUGGGGUAUUUUCUUGAAGGUGGGUUCUUUUGGAUGAUUGCAUCUCAAGCCCGUCACAAUGGAAAACUCUUUCAAUCCAAAACAAACCAGCAUGCCACAGUAGUUGAUCCAGACUUCAUUCAUAUUAUUUCUGCCCUCCUUCAGACCUCCAUUAUCCCCCGCAUACAUGAUCCUGCGCUUAAGAAGGCCAUAUAUCAUGAUCAUUAGAAAACGGAGAGGGCGGGGCCCAGAUAGCUCAAGAAAGUGUGUAAAGCAGCUCUUCUUAAAAAGUCCAUCUAUGUUUUCCUUCUUCAUAAUACUCCUAAGUUCAUCAAAAGGUUUCCCCAACUGACAUUUAAGUACAAGAUCAUCAAAUACUACAUUAGGGUUAUUCAUCAGCAUCACAACUUGAAACUUGUCAAUAGUAAUGGUUUUGAAAGAAUCAUACUGGAAUUUCGAUAUUAUUUCAUGCCCCAUUGGUGAGGAGGAGUUAUCACUUUCCUCGGUAUCAUUUUGCCCGACUGAGAUUGUUCUGGAAGUUCCUCCAAAUCUAUCUGUGCUCUAGCCUUUUUUGUUUGGUGAUCGGAAGUUGAUCCACUUUCUCCACUUUCAGUUUCUUUUCUUUUGGGAGACAUCUUUUAACUACAAACAAAAGAAAAACAAAAAUACAUUGCAUUUGAUGUCUGCAUAAUUUUUUUUAAAAAAGGUGAGACAAAUUUCAAUAAAUUAUUCUUACCACGUAACCAAAAAAAAUACUCCAACGAACAUCCCAUUAGUUGGAACAGAUGGGGAACCCGAAUCUUUUUGAAGACCUAUUUAAUAUCUCCCCGCAGAUAUUUCACCUGUUGCAACAGGUGGAGAAAUUUCAUUAAAUUAUUCUAUGCCACAUUACAAGAAAAUAAUCCAACGGAUAACCCAUCAGUUGGAACAGAUGGGGAAUCUGUUUGAAGACCUAUUUAAUAUCUCCUAACAGAUCUUUCACCCAUUGCAACAGAUGGACUACCACCACCACAACCAAUGCCAUAACCAAUGCCACCAAGACCACCACCAAUGUCACCAAUGCCACCAAUACCAAUACCAACACCAAGACCACCGACACCAAAAAACACAAAUACCAACACCACCAACAACAGCGACCAACAACACAAACACCAUCCAACAAUACCACGACAGUCAACAAAAUAUUGAGAGAAACACUAGGGUUUUCUCUGGUGCUUCUUACUUUUUUAGCAUCAAAACUCAAAAUUGUUAACCCAUUCUCAAAGAUAAUACAACUAAAAGUCUUCUUUUUUAUCAUUAACUAAAAAGCCCUAUUUUUUAGAAUAAAGAACAAAUGUAUAAAUCUUCUCGAACUCUAUUACACGUAAAGAUAGAGAAUACAAUGGAUACAAGUGGGAAUGAAGUCGAAAGAAACAACUAUAUAUAGUCGUAAAUGGGAAGAAAAUCGACCUAUUUUGAAGGGUUGAGUAGUUGUUGUUUGUAUUGUUGAGAGGAAGAGGACACCCCAAGAGAGAGAGAAAGAGAAGAUCGAGAACUUAAGAUUUGAAAUGAAAAGUUUUUCGCACAAAUGGAUGAUUUGUAUGGGUUGAUUUGUAAUUUUGGAAAAGAAUGACAAGUUUUGAAAUUGCUAAUUUGGUUCAAAUUAAUAUUAAUUAAUUUUAAAAAAUUUAAAAGAUAUAGUUUUAAAAAUAUUGAGUUGAUGAGAACUCAUUUCAACUCAGAGUGAUUGAUCGAUGACUUGGGUCGGGAUGAACGCAAUACCAACGCCAUGCAAUUGCAAAGACUCAAUUAGUUUUGUAGUUGACCCUGCGAGCUCAUUCACUCAUCCCUAGUUCCACCUAAAUCAACUUAGGUAUUAUCACUAUCCUAACAUUGAGUUGAUGAGAACUCAUUUCAACUCAAAGUAAUCGAUUGACGACUCAGGUUGGGAUGAACGCAAUACCAGCACCAUGCAAUUGCAAAGACUCAAUUAGUUUUGUAGUUGACCCUGCGAGCUCAUUCACUCAUCCCUAGUUCCACCUAAAUCAACUUAGGUAUUAUCACUAUCCUAACAUUGAGUUGAUGAGAACUCAUUUCAACUCAGAGUGAUCGAUCGACGACUCGGGUCAUGAUGAACGCAAUACCAAUGCUAUGCAAUUGCAAAAACUCGAUUGAAUUUGUAGUUAACCCUAUGAGCUUAUUCAUUCAUCCCUAGUUCUACCUAAAUCAAAUUAGGUACUAUCACUAUCCUAACAUUGAGUUGAUGAGAACUCAUUUUAAAUCAGAGUGAUUGAUUGAUGACUCGGGUCGAGAUGAACGCAAUACCAGCGCCAUACAACUGCAAAGACUCAAUUGGAUUUGUAUUUGACCCCUGCGAGCUCAUUCAUUGAUCCCUAGUUCCACCUAAAUCAACUUAGGUACUAUCACUAUCCUAACAUUGAGUUGAUGAGAACUCAUUUCAACUCAAAGUGAUCGAUCGAUGACUCAGGUCGGGAUGAACACAAUACCAACGCCAUGCAAUUCCAAAGACUCAAUUAAAUUUAUAGUUGACCCUUUGAGAUUAUUCAUUCAUCCCUAGUUCCACCUAAAUUAACUUAGGUACUAUCACUAUCCUAACAUUGAGUUGAUGAGAACUCAUUUUAACUCAGAGUGAUCGAUCGAUCGACUUGGGUCAGUAUGAACUCAAUACCAAUGCUAUGCAAUAGCAAAGACUCGAUUGGAUUUAUAGUUGACCCUGCGAACUCAUUCCUUCAUCCCUAGUUAACCUAAAUCAACUUAGGUACUAUCACUAUCUAACAUUGAGUUGAUGAGAACUUAUUUCAACUCAGAGUGAUCGAUCGAUGACUCAGGUUGGGAUGAACACAAUACCAAUGCCAUGUAAUUGCAAAGACUUGAUUGAAUUUAUAGUUGACCCUACGAGAUCAUUCAUUCAUCCCUGAUUCCACCUAAAUCAAUUGCAAUAAAAUCUGUUGCAACAAACGACUAAGCUGUUGAAAAUUUUCAAACAGGUACAUAUAUGUUACAACAAAUGACAUAUGUAAUUUAAUUAUCAAAUAGAUAUUUGCAUCUGUUGUGACAAAUGAAUGAGCUAUUGGAAAUUUUCAAACAGAUAUUUAUAUCAGUUGUAACAGAUGACAUAUCUAAUUUUAUUAAUUAUCAAAUGAACAUUUUCAUCUGUUGUCACAGAUGACUGAGCUGUUAGAAUUUUUAAAUAGAUAUUUAUAUCUGUUGUAACAGAUGACUGAGCUGUUCGAAUUUCUAAAAAGAUAUUUAUAUAUGUUGCAAUAGAUGACAUAUUUGAUUGAAAAUUUGUUUUCUCUUUUAAUUUUAAAGCAAGAAGCUUCUGGUCCAAGUAGAUAAUAUCAAGUAGUAGUACUUACUACUAAAGGCAGUUAAAAAUAUUUCUUGAAUAUCUCAAAAGUGAGUUCAUUGAGCAGUCUUGUCUUGUCUUUACCAUGUCAGUAGUCUUAGCCUUCCUCGUGUGCCUAAAAUUAUUAAUGAAAUUAAUGAAUAUUAAUUAAUGAAUAUUUAAAACCACCACGUCUACAUACACAAUACAUCUAUAGAAAUUAUCUCAUCUCUUCUUUCAGCUGUAGUUUAUUUUAUUCAACUCUCAUAUUUUUCUCUCUCCUCUUUAGGGUCACAGCCUUUUUUCUCUCUUUUCUCUUCUCUUCUCAUAAAGAUCUUUUCGGAUCUAAACCCAUUCAUAUCUUUUCUCAACUUAAAUUUCUAUUUUGAUCCCCUUUUUUAUAUUAAGGUAUGAUUCAUUAUUGCUCUUUCAUUCUCGUCUUCUUCUUUGCAAGUUAUUUAUAUCUGUUUUUUAUUUAAUUACUAUUUACCCAUAUCAUAUUUAUUAGAAAAAUUAAGGAACUAGUAAGUAUUGAAUAAUCAAUUCGAGAAUUUUUAUUAGAAAAUGAGAAAAAAGUCAUCUGUUGGGAGAAGUUUAAAAGUCUUGUUGGCAGUAUCAUUUUUUUGUAUGUAUUUUAUUUAUUUCAUUAUUGUUAAUGCAGUUAUUGAUGUUGGUGGUAGGAUUAGCGUUGUUGGAACUUAUGGUGUGGUGUUGUUGAUGGUUCUAGAACAAAAGAUGUUACUUCUUGGUUGUUGAUGAUGUUGUUGGGACAAAUGUUGUUUUUUUGUUGAUGUUUAUGUUAUUGUUGAUGUUGCAACAAAUGGAGAAACUGUUGAAACAAAUAAAACCACCAGAAAAGUUGUUUGAUGUAUUCCAUCAGACUCCAUAUCUAUUGCAACAGACUUCACAUUUGUUGCAACAGACUCCACAUCUGUUGCAAUAGAUGGAUAAUGUUCUUUUUGUGACAUCAAUUUUUUCCUCUUCUUUGUAGAUAUAAGGAACUGACAGUUGAUCAACUUUUGACGGACUAUCGCAAGAGGCUUUAGUAAAUAUGGGAUCGGAGAAAUAAGCUGCUUGCAGAUGGAACCACUUCAUAUGUGGGAGGUAUGUAUUACUGAUAAUGUUAUCGUAGAAACACACACAGAGUGCACUAAUUUUGUAAAUAAUGUUUUUACUGAUUAGUCAUAGAUCGUUCAAACAAGAUGUCUGCAAUUUUACAGUUAAGUUUCGUAGGUCCAAACUGAUAAGGAUAAGGGACCAUGAAUAUAGUUCUGAUAGCCUAUUAAGAUUUAAUGUCAGUUGUUGCUCAUGUUUAUUUGUCAAGCAUUGUGAAGGGAUUUAGUUUUAGUGUCAUUGUAAAGAGAUUCAAUAGAGAUUGGACUAACUUUUAGGGUGCAUUGGACCCUAAGAGGGCCUUUGAAGCUUAGCAUGCAUCUAAUAAGAAUGAAAAAACAGUAUAGUUAUUGCCCUGGCUAAAAUUUAUAUGGCUGGGUUGCUCGCUUGGGGUGAUGAUUAUGCCAGAAUGUGCGGUAGGAGAAUGCUUUCAAAGAAAAAUGGAUGGUUGAUGGAAGACUAUAUCAUUUGAGAGCUAAUUGAGAAAGAGACAUAGGGUAGAUACAACUUCUAACGAAUCUGGCCGGUGGAAUUAUCUUAACAGAUGUGAGAUCUGAAUCAAGUGCAAAUAUGAAAGUGUAUUCGGUAAUGUAAUUUCAUCUGUUGUGUCUCUUAAAGAAAAACAAUGCAUCUGAACACUUUACUAGGGAGCUGCGUGGUUGGGAUUAUCACCUAGAUAGAAAAUAGAAGAAGACCAACAAAGAAGCCUCACGGGCAUCAAGGGUUGAAAUGAUGUACAGCAAGUCUUGAAAACUUAAGCCAACAGCAACUGCAGUUAAAAUAAAGAAUCUAAGCGAAGGCGACAAAUUUUUGAAUUAUAAAUUUCAUCCCAUACUUUCUUGUUUGUGUUUUUGAUCAGGUCCACUGUCGUUGACCUGAUCAGAACCAAAAACGAGAUUGAAAGGCAAAUAGAGUAUCAUUGCUUCCUUAGCAAUAUGGUUAUAAUUGAUUGUGUUUUCUUGCCUUGACAUGCUUUCAACAUUUCUUGGAGAAGAUCAGAUGUUUGCUAUAGUAUGUGAAUCCCGAUAAUUUUCAAGCUUGCCUUCAGCUUGUUGAUUCUGUAUUCAAGCUGGUCGUUGCCGUCUUCAAAGUUGAUAAGGAGUUCCUCGUAUCUUGUGAGCUCGAUCAGGAACACUACCUUCAAAGUUGUGGCAUUCUAGAAGCCCUUCAGAACACUUUCUUCAGAAGCCUUAAAGGAUACAUGGAGGGUCUCUGUGUUUGUUUUAGGUCAAAAUAUAUUGAUGCACGUUGAAAAUGUGGUCCCAACAGUUGAACAAUACACUUUUAUCGAGUAUUGCUCUAUGCAUCUUACUUAACCAAUUUGAUAAAUUAGUGAACAUGGAGUUACGUAGCGUGUGAUCUAAACCAGCUCUACCAAGCCUAUCAAACGUUACGUAACUCUAAGCUCAAUACUCUAUCAAAAAAAUAUGACUGAGUUAGCGCACAAAUCGAAUGAGCUCGAUCUCUCAGCCUUUCUGCUGAUCGCUUUUCUCCAAUAUAGAUGAUAAGAUAUCUGCUAUGGAAAAGUCUACACCGUCGUCAGACAUGUUUUCCUGGGAGAAAUUUUUCUGAAGAUAUCUAUUGAUUUCUUCUAAAGAAUUGCUCCCAGGCAAGCAUGUCUAGCAAUGGUGUAGACUUUUGCAUAGCAGAUAUCUUGUUAUCUAUAUUGGAGAAGAGUGAUCAACAGAAAGGCUGACAGAUUGGGUUUUUUUUAUUUGGGCACUAACUCGGGCAUAUUGUUUUGAUAGGGUAAUGAGCUCAAAGUUACGUAUCAUUUGAUAGGCUUAGUAGAGCCGAUUUAAAUCACAUGCUACGUAACUCCAUGCUUACUAAUUUAUCAAAUUAGUUGAGCAAGAUACAUGGAGCAAGGCUGGAUAAAAGUGUGUUGUUCAACUGUUGGGACCACAUCUUCAAUGUAAAUCAACACAUUUUAACCUAAAACAAACACAGCGAUCCUCCAUGUAUCCUUUAAGGCUUCUGAAGAAAGUGUUUUGAAGGGCUUCUAGAAUGCCACAACUUUGAAGGUAGUAUUCCUGAUCGAGCUCACAAGAGAUGAGGAACUCCUUACCAACUUCGAAGACGGCAACGACCAGCUUGAAUACAGAAUCAACAAACUGGAGGCAAGCUUAAAAAUUAUCGGGAUUCACAUACUACAGCAAGCAUCUGAUCCUCUCCAAGGAAUGAUGAAAGCAUGCUAAGGCAAGAAAAAACAAUCAGUUAAUCCAUAUUGCUAAGGAAGUAAUUAUACUCUAUUUGCCUUUCAAUCUCUUUUGUGGUUCCGAGCAGGUCAACGAUAGUGGACCUGAUCGGAAACACAAAUAAAAAGGCAUGGGAUGAAAUUUAAAAUUCAGAAAUUGCCGCCUUCGCUUAGUUUCCUUAUUUUAAAUGCAGUUGUUGUUGGCGUAAGUUUUCUAUACUUACUGAACAUCAUUUCUACCCUCGAUGCCCGUAAGGCUGCUUUGUUGGUCUUCUCCUAUUUUUUACCUAGGUGAUAAUCCCGACCAUGCAGCUCCCUAGCAAAGUGUCCAUCUGCAUUGUUUUUCUUUCAGAGACACAACAGACGAAAUUACAUUACUGGAUACACUUUCAUAUUUGCACUUGAUUCAGAUUUUGCAUCAGUUAAGAUAAUUCCAUCAGCCAGAUUCGCUAGAAGUUACUUUCUACCCUAUGUCUCUUCUUCAGUUAUCUCUCAGAUAAUAUAGUCUUCCAUCAACCACUCAUUUUUCCUCAAAACCAUUCUCCUACUGCACCUUCUGGCAUAUAAUUAUCACCCCGAGCGAGCAACCCAACCAUAAAAAUUUUGGUCAGGGCAAUUAAUUUAUAAAUAGGUCCCUCCUUAUAAAUAUGGAUGAUCCAGAUUCGUACAAGAAUAUUCAUAUUGAGUCCUUGCGUGAACUUCAAAGGCAGUUUGAUGAACUCCAGAGAGAUUUGGCUGACUUCGGAGCAAGGCUGCUGGAUGAAAAAUGUCUGAUUUACAAUAAUCAUUCUGUGUAUUCCUUGUUCUCAACAUGUCGACGGUUGAUGGUAGGGAUUGAGCAGCAAUUUUUGUCAAAAGUUAGAGGUUAAUUUGCUACGACAGAUCGAUCGUAUGUUGCACCUGGCAGUUUUUAAUAAAAAGGGUUAUUGUUAUUGAGAGGGUGAAAAGAAAAAAACAUGACUUUCCGUUCCGAUUAUUCAAUAUGAAAAAUGUUUUGUAAAUAAAUAAUAAGGAAAUAAAUGAUAAACACAAUUUAUAACAACAAUUUUAAUAACUGAUCGUGACUUUUCACCAUUUUUGUUUUUGAAUUUAUUUUUUAAAUUAUUUAUUAUACAAUAAAAUGGUUAUUAUGUUAUUAAGGAAUUUGAAAAGGUAUUUUUUUUUAUCUAUAAAAUAAAAAAGUAAGAAAAUUUGGAUUAAUGAUAUGAUGAUAGUUAUUUUUAAAAAAAAAAAGUAGAUUAUAUGUUGCAACAGAUAUGUUAUCUGAUGCAUCAUAUUUUAUAUUUGUUGCAAUAUAUAAUAUAUCUGUUGUCACAGAUGUGUUAUCUGAUGCAACAAAUAUAGAAUCUGUUACCACAACUCAGUAAAAAUGGUUCUUCGAAAGAACUAAUGAAUAAUAAUAAUCUGAAAAGUCAUGACUUAUCACAAUAUUUCUUAAUUUAAUUAAUUCAUUACUUUUCACAUUAAUAAAAAUGUAAUUAAUAAAUGGAGGUGAACAGUUAGAUUAUAUGUUGCAACAGAUAUGUUAUCUGAUGCAUCAUAUUUUAUAUUUGUUGCAAUAUAUAAUAUAUCUGUUGUCACAGAUGUGUUAUCUGAUGCAACAAAUAUAGAAUCUGUUACCACAACUCAGUAAAAAUGGUUCUUCGAAAGAACUAAUGAAUAAUAAUAAUCUGAAAAGUCAUGACUUAUAUCACAAUAUUUAUUUUCUUAAUUUAAUCAAAAAUUUAAUUAAUGUAUGGAGGUGAAUAGUCGCGCCUUUUUGCCUCUCAUUUAAAUUCAAUCCUCUAUAAAUAGGUAUCUCCUUACUCACUUGUUCAUUCAAAUACACUAUAUUUAUUUAUUGCAUCUCGUCUUUUAUAUUACACUCUAGAAGAUAAGAUUAUGGCUGACCCCGUGUGGGACAUUGCUUUUCUGCAAAAUGCCGUGAAUGAACUUCGGAAUCAAGUUUGUGAUCUGCAAUAGGAACUGGGAGGAGUUAAAUCAAGAAUGCUCCGCGAGAUACGCAGGUUGAGGAGGGUCUUUCUACUUCUGGUUGAAGAUUGUCCGGCUGGCAAUGAUGAUGUUGAUAAUAUUAAUAAUAAUAAUUAGACUAUUAUUUUUCUUUUAUUCUAUUAUAUGUAUUUUUAUUUGUUUUUGUUUAAUAAAUAAAUUAUGUUUGAUCUUUGUUGUUUUAAUCCAUAUUUAAUUUUCAUUUUGUCUAUUAUUUUCUCAACAAACAUGUCGACAAUUCGACAUAAAAAGGAAUAAUUUAAAAUCCAGUAGUAAUAGCCAGAUUUAUCUAUUAGGUUUGUGACAGGGGUUGAUAUGUUGUUCAAAACAGAUUACUCAUGUUGCAACAGAUAAGAAGUUGAUGCAACAGAUAAAUAGUUUGUUUCAACAGAUGACUAGUUUGUUGCUUUGCUUGGCUCUAACGUUUUAAUUCGUACUCCCUCCGUCUCAAAUUACCCAUCCCAAAUUGAGAUGCCACAUUGAUUAAGAAAAAUAAUUAAUAACAUGUCUAGUUUACCAUAACUCAUUAAUCAAUUGGUGGGACAUUAGACGUGUUUGAAAUAACCAUUGUUUGCUAUUCAAUCGAAAUUUCAUAAGAGAAGAAAGCUUUUAACAUCGGUCAGCGUAUAGUCCCCCUAUUAAAUGAUGUUUCCAUUUUAAUUUGAAGAAAAAGUUAUUAAUGCAAAGGGUAAAACAUGAAUUUUUUUAAUCUUUUCUUGAUUUAUUCAAAAGACAAGUAAAAUGAGAAAUCGAAUUAGGAAAUUUGGGAUGGGUAAUUGGACGUAAGGAAUAAUUUUGAAUCCAGUAGCAAUACCAAGUGUUGAAAACAUAUUGGUUAUCUGUUGGGUUUGUGGCAGGGGUUGAUUUGUAUUGUUUCAAACAGAUUAAUCAUUCGUUGCAACAGAUAAUUAGUCUGGUGCAACAGAUAAACAUUUUGAUGCAAUAAAUAAUUAGUAUGGUGCAACAGAUAAACAUCCUGAUACAACAGAUAAUACGUCUGAUGCAACAGAUAAACAGUAUGAUGCAACAGAUAAAUCUUUUGAUGCAACAGAUUACUCAUCUGAUGCACCAGAUGAUUGAUCUGUUUAAAUUGUGGGCACUUAUGCUGGAUUCACAAUCGGUGUUCAAUCCAUUGUUGGAAAAACAGAAGUGUACCCAGCUGACAAAUACAAAUAAAAAUUAUAAUUUUACUUACCAAAGUCACCUAUGAAGUAAUGCUAAAGUGGAAAGUGAUGUAGUAAACAAAAUUUGACCUAAGAAAUUAGUCAGAUCAUAGCAGUAGCAAUGUACCAACAACAACAACAACAAAUGGUCUACAAGAAGAAGAUGAAGAUGAUAAUGAAGUAGAAGAUGAUGAUAAUGAAGCAGAAGAUGACGAAUAAAGCAGCAGAAACAGAAACAAUUAACAACAAAAAUCGCUAAGAGAGAGAAAACAACAAUGGAUGAGAAGAGAGAGAAAGACGCCUUUUUUUUUCCUCCGUUUUCCAUUAUUUUAGGUAUACAUUGGGAUCAAAGUGUAAAUUUAAAAAUUUGUGGAUUAUUUUCAAACUUCCCCAACUUUCUUAAUCCAUAAUAAAGUAAUUGUCACCUCCAACUAAUAAUUAAGAUUUGUGUCACCUACACCUCAUUUUAAAACUCUUUUGUCACCUAUGGCCCAAACCCCUAGCAACUUGGUUGGCAAAAUGGCAAUAAACUCACAAGUAAACAGCAUCAUCUCAGCCACCUAAGGGGCAAUGGGGCCUCUCCUUAUGGAUAGGUAUUAUAAAUCAUAAUUUGACAAGGUAGAUUUAUCACUUUGUAAAGAAGUGGAUAUAGACACUAAGGCAUAAGCUAAUUUUUUGCUGGUGGUCCAUAUUUUUUGAAAGGAUAGCUUCUAUCUGUGUUGUAAUUUUCACCUUUAUGGAAUGAAAUACAACACCAAGUCCUAGGUUAAUGUUUGAAAGAUAUUGAAAAUAAUGGAAAUUCUCGUAAUUUAUGGUGUGAAUAUGAUAUUAUUUUUAAGAAUAUUUUAUUCGGUAUAAGAUACUUAAUCUAUGUUAAAUGGCAAAUAUAUGAUGGAACGAACUAGUAACAAAAAAUAAAUAUUGCAAUUAUUUAAAAAUUGAUGAGGUGUGAUUUGCAGGUAUGUGCAACUUAUGCUAGUUUAAAUUCAUUUUUAACUUUUUUUUUUGGCGGGCGGGGGGGGGAGGGGGGGUUUGAAUCACAAAUUUUAAUAGGUGAAAUCAUGAAAAUAAGAAAUGUGUAUAACUACGAACUAUUUUGUAUUCCAAUUCCAAGCAUAAUAUUUAUUAUUCUUUUAGCUACCAAUUAGAUAUAUCUAGAUUUUACCCUCAAUAUAGAAUUGAAAAAACAAAUUAAAAUUAAAAAUUAUAUUUUCUUCAUUUACUAAACAUUUAAGAAUAUUUCUGUUAGGUAAGGCGGUUUCGAAAGGUCUUCACUCACCUUAUAAAUUCAUUCUAAGGGUGUUAAAUGCGCCAGGCCGGGUCAAUUUGAAAUCGGCCUAUUAAAUUUAGUUGGGUUGUGGGUCGGGCCGGGGUUGGGUUCAACGGUAAAAUUUUUAAAAAUAAUCCUAACCCGGCCCACUUAACCCAACCCGAUCAAACCCACCUAAAUCCGGUCAAACCCGGUUAAAAAUUCGGUCAAAUCCGAUCAAAAAUAAAAAUAAAAAUAAUUCAAUAUACACUAUAUAUAUCCACCUAUAUACAUUUUAAAUACAUUAAACAAUAUAUAUACACUAUAUAUAUAGUAUAUACUACAUUAGAAUUUAAAAAAUAUAUACACAUAUACAUAAUUACACAUAUAUACGUAACAUUCAAAAUAUAUGACUAUACGUACUACUUUAAAUAAAACAUAUACUACAAUAUAUAUAUACUACANNNNNNNNNNNNNNNNNNNNNNNNNNNNNNNNNNNNNNNNNNNNNNNNNNNNNNNNNNNNNNNNNNNNNNNNNNNNNNNNNNNNNNNNNNNNNNNNNNNNNNNNNNNNNNNNNNNNNNNNNNNNNNNNNNNNNNNNNNNNNNNNNNNNNNNNNNNNNNNNNNNNNNNNNNNNNNNNNNNNNNNNNNNNNNNNNNNNNNNNNNNNNNNNNNNNNNNNNNNNNNNNNNNNNNNNNNNNNNNNNNNNNNNNNNNNNNNNNNNNNNNNNNNNNNNNNNNNNNNNNNNNNNNNNNNNNNNNNNNNNNNNNNNNNNNNNNNNNNNNNNNNNNNNNNNNNNNNNNNNNNNNNNNNNNNNNNNNNNNNNNNNNNNNNNNNNNNNNNNNNNNNNNNNNNNNNNNNNNNNNNNNNNNNNNNNNNNNNNNNNNNNNNNNNNNNNNNNNNNNNNNNNNNNNNNNNNNNNNNNNNNNNNNNNNNNNNNNNNNNNNNNNNNNNNNNNNNNNNNNNNNNNNNNNNNNNNNNNNNNNNNNNNNNNNNNNNNNNNNNNNNNNNNNNNNNNNNNNNNNNNNNNNNNNNNNNNNNNNNNNNNNNNNNNNNNNNNNNNNNNNNNNNNNNNNNNNNNNNNNNNNNNNNNNNNNNNNNNNNNNNNNNNNNNNNNNNNNNNNNNNNNNNNNNNNNNNNNNNNNNNNNNNNNNNNNNNNNNNNNNNNNNNNNNNNNNNNNNNNNNNNNNNNNNNNNNNNNNNNNNNNNNNNNNNNNNNNNNNNNNNNNNNNNNNNNNNNNNNNNNNNNNNNNNNNNNNNNNNNNNNNNNNNNNNNNNNNNNNNNNNNNNNNNNNNNNNNNNNNNNNNNNNNNNNNNNNNNNNNNNNNNNNNNNNNNNNNNNNNNNNNNNNNNNNNNNNNNNNNNNNNNNNNNNNNNNNNNNNNNNNNNNNNNNNNNNNNNNNNNNNNNNNNNNNNNNNNNNNNNNNNNNNNNNNNNNNNNNNNNNNNNNNNNNNNNNNNNNNNNNNNNNNNNNNNNNNNNNNNNNNNNNNNNNNNNNNNNNNNNNNNNNNNNNNNNNNNNNNNNNNNNNNNNNNNNNNNNNNNNNNNNNNNNNNNNNNNNNNNNNNNNNNNNNNNNNNNNNNNNCAAUAUAUAUAUAUAUAGUUAUAUACUAAUUUAUAAAACAUAUACAUAUGUAUACAUUAAAUAUAUACGUCUAUAGAAGAUAUAUACACAUAUAUACGUACCAUUUAAUAUAUAUGUACUACUUUAAAUAAAACAUAUACUACAAUAUAUAUACAAUUUAUAAAACAUAUACACAUGUAUACACUAAAUAUACACAUCUAUAGAAGAUAUAAAUACUAAUAUACAAAACAUAUGCUGCUUAAUAUAAUAAAUUAAUAAUACUUGAUAGUAAAUUAAUAAUAUAUAAAAAGUAAGUUUUUAAUUUAAACUAUAAAUUCAAUUUAAAUCAUUAAAUGAUAAAAAUUACAAAGUAAGGACUAAGGAGUGAAUGAAUGUUGAAUUUUAUUGAUUGCAAAAUGAUCCAAAAUUUAUAAUGUACAUGAAUGAAAAAUCUACAAACUAUGCAUCAUUUUUUUCAACAUUAACGGGAACUUGCAUAGAAUAGUCAAAGUCAACGGGGGCAAAACCAUACAUUGGACUUGAUUCUGCUGAGUUCUCUCGUGAAAACAUAACUUCUUCAAGUUUCUGCUCGUCGUUCGGCUCCUCUUCCAUUCCUUGAUUUCUUCUUUCCACUCUAAUCCAAUCUCUGAGGCAAACUAGAACAUUCAUUGCAUUGCUUCCCAAUGAGUGCCAGUUGUCGCCAAGUUGUUGUCGUCCCUGACUAAAAGCGCUCUCUGAUGCAAUGGUUGAUAUUGGAACAUUCAAGAUAUCUCUAGCUAAUCUUGAAAGCACAAGAUAUUGUGUUUCACUACUCCUCCACCAAUUCAACGUGUUGAUCCAUCAUCUGUGAUCCUCUGGCGGCGAUCGAGGAUAAUAUUUAAGCUCUUCCCGAUAAGUUGAUAUGUAAGCUCUCUCAUCAAUACUGUUCCAAUAAGGUAAAUCAUAAAAGGAAUCAGGAAAACCACUAUAUGCCAGCAUUUAGAAGAUGAUGGCUCCUCGGGAGAAUGAGGAGCGACAGUUGGAGUGAUAUUCGUAGGUACGGUUAAAUCAGCAUAGUGAUUAUAUAAUUUUUCUAUGUAUUCAUUCGCAUCACCUAUAGCUGUCCACAAAUCAGGUUGUACUUGUUGAGAAGCAUUGUUAGUAUUUAUUUCUAAGUUAGCAUAAAUAAGAGUACUAAAGUGGAACAUAGUAUUAUAUUUAAUGCACGGAUUUAGCAUAGCACCAAUAAAUAGGGGGAAUCGGAAAAAAAUAUUUUUUAAAUUUAGUAAACAUGGCACCAACAGCUUCUUUAUAACCUUCUUUAUUUUUAUAUUCUUUGAGCAAACUAGAAAUAAAGCUAUAUGUGUCAAAAUAUUACAAACAGUAGGAUAAUAAGCACCGAAAAAUUCCACCAUAGCUAUAUAAAAAUUUUCUAAAAAUUUAACAAGAUCAUUAACUACAACCCAAUCAGAAUCAUGUAGCAUGUAAUCAGCAGAAUCAGCAAAUGAACCACAAUGUUGGUUAAAAGUUAGUGUAAUAGGAACUUUAUAUUUAUAAAAAGUUUUUAAAAAAUCAUACGUAGAAUUUCAUCUAAUAUCAAUUUCCUCGGGCAUCAAUAUCGGUGCAAGUCCAUUUUCUUGACAUUUAACUUUAAAUUCUCUAAUUCUUUUUCUUCGAUUAUUUCCUUGAAUAAAACUAACAAUAAGACAAAUUUUUUCAAUAUAAAGCUCAAAAAAAUCAAAAUCAUCUUUUACAAUUAAAUUAUAUAUAUGACAUGCACACUUAAUAUAAAAAAUUUCAGGUAACGACGGAGAUAGUUUAGAUUUUAACUUUGUUAUAGCAGUCUUGUUGUUAGAAGCAUUAUAAAAAACAAUACAUAAAAUUUUAUUUUCGAUACCAUAAAAUUCUGCAACUUCAACAAUCGAAUCAGCAAUAAAAUCUCCAGUAUAUUUACGAUCUUCAUCAUAUAAAAAAGCAAGAAUACGUUUUUGCAUCACAAAAUUACUAUUCAUCCAGUGACAAAUAAAGGUUAAAUAAUCAUUUUUAUUUACAGCACGACCAAGAUCAGAAGUUAGGGACAAUCUACAUUGAAUAUUUUUUAACAAUGUUAAUAAAUAAAAAUAAUAUUGUGAAUAAAGUCUAAAAAUAUCAAACCUACAAGUACUUCUAGGAAUACCAUUAAACAUAGGAUUAUAAAUUGCUUGAAUAUAAUGAAUAAAGGUAUCAGAAGAAGGAAAACUAAAAGGCAAACAACCCACAGCUACCAUUUUACCUAUUUCUUCCCGGUCCCUCAAUUUAUUAUACUUCUUCAUUACCUGACCGGUUGCUGGGUCCAUUCUAGUUUGCGUUGGCCCACCAACAUCCGCACCACCCCGUGCAAUAUUUAACUCUCUUUCGUGAGCAUCACCUAUAUGUCUCAUUAACGUACCCGUACCCCCUUACUUGCCUUCGCUUUUAUGCUUAUAUAUUUGUUGACAAAUAUUGCAUUGCACCUCAGUAUCUGAUAUACAUUUAAAAAAUUGUCAUCCAAUACUAGUUGUUUUACGAGCUCUUGGGGCACGGGGAGGACGGGGAGGGAGAUUAACCGAUUCAGAUCUAAUGUUAGCACUUUCUACUGCGGGUGUCUCACCAAUAUUUUCAUCAUCUUCGUCUAAAUUAACCGCAUCUACUUCAUUUUCUUGUUCUAUACUGUAAUUUUUCUGAGCUUCUACAUAAUCCAUAUUGUGAGCACCUACACCUAUUUCUUCCUCAAAAGGUGUACUAAGCUGUACCGGAGGUGAAGGCACACGGGUAUAUCUACUACUUGAAGUACCUCUACCGCUAGUAAUUCACUUUUUGCUACCGCUACCACUUUCGGAACAAAAAAUUUUAACACCUUUAGUGGCGAGGUUUCUUAAUUUAUCCAUAAUAUAAAUUAAACUAAAAAAAAUUGAAAACACAAAUAUAAUAAAAUGAAAUAUUCAACAAUUAAUACACUUAUUGAAAAUUAAACGUAAGAGAUGGAACGAUAAUACCAAAUUUUUAAAGUAUCUGAAAGUUGCGACUUUAGAAACUUCCACUCGUACUUUGUAAUCGCAAAAUUUAAAAAUUAAAGUGAGCACUUUAGGAAUUUAAAUAUAUAGAAUAUUUGAGAAUUGAGAGAGAAUGAAAAUUUGUGUGAAAAAUGAUUUGAGAAUGUAGGGUAUUUAUAGAAAUUUUUUCGGGAUUAAAAAAAUAUUUAAAAUGAAAAAAAAAAAUUCUUAUUAAAAAAGGUCAAUUGAGCCGUUUUGAGGGCUAGCCGUUGGGCCCAACGGUCAAAUUUUGACCAAAUUCAAAAAAGAAAAAAAAAAAUUUGGAUCGGUUAACCAACCCGGUCCGGGCUGAGUUAAUUGGGCCCAAAUCAAAAAAUAACCCAGCCCGAGACCAGGUAACUACAGCUCGUGGACUGAUUGGACCGGGUCUUCUUAGUGAGCCGGGCCGGACCAACCCGGCUCGUUUGACAAACUUAAUUCUUCGAGAAAAGAAUGUACUCACCAACUGUCUUCAAACUUAGAAGUAGUUGGAGAAUAUUUAUUAAAUACUGUAUAGUAACAGUAUUACAAGUUUUCUGUUUGACGAAUUUACACAACUAAAAAUGUGUCAUGGCGAUUUUUUAUUAAUAAUAAAAUAAUUAAAUACAUCAGUCUAAUGAGUUUAGAGGCAAAGUCAGAAUUUAAAAUUUGUGUGUUCUGAAUUUACAGCAUAAAAAAAAUAAAAAUAAAAAACAAUAUAUAUCCUUCUAUCACCAGGCCAAGCUACUAUCUUUGUUAGUGGAUUCACACUAUUACAUUUUGUACAUAUAUUCAGAAUUUAGUAGUAUAAAUAUAGAAUCUACGUAAAAGCUACUGGAUUCGUCCGAACCCCCAAAGAACUCCACCCCUAAAUGAGGUAAUGACCUCUAGUAAUAAAUAACCGUGAAGAAAAUAAGUGCUAGGAAGACAUUAGAUAUUUUACGAUUAUCACAAAAUUUAUACUCCAUUCGUUUUCUCAAUCGUAAAAUAAUAUCAAUGGACUUUGCAAAUUACGAUAAAUUUUUGGUUAAUUAACUUGUAAAUACAAUUAUCUCUCUCUCGCUCUCUCUCUCUAUAUAUAUAUUAUAUACCUCGUAAUACUACUCUUACGUUAUUACAACUUCAACAACAUAUGCAUAUCUACAUUGACCCAAAAUAGUAUAUCUACUUCCUCAAUAGUAUGAUAUAUAUCAACGUACCAUUCAAACUAUAUUGAUAUAUAAAUUCAGUUAUCUAACUUUCGAUUACUACAUACGUCACUACACGAUAUAUACGUAUAUAUACAUAUAUUCAAUUGUCUAUCAGCUUUCACAUACGUACUAUAAACAUCACAUACACGAUUUUACUACCCCAUAAUAAUAUACAACGUAUUUCACAAAUACUCAGAUGAAUUAUAGAUUACAUUAUCUUAUGUCAUGAAUAUACCUUCACUGUAUAAUAUGUAUAUACUAUAUAUAUAUAUACAUACACAUAUAUACACACUAUCGACUAUAUCAAAUUCUAAAUACAUACUAUAUAUAUCACAUACGUACACAAGUAUAUUAUCCCACAAGUAUAUUAUCCAAUAAUAUAAUGUGAUGUGUUUCUUAUACAUACUUAGAUGAGUGAUCGAUUAAUUAUAUUUGAUUAGCUUGAUAUAAUAUUAGGUUUUGACUACAUCGUUCAUCAUUCGAUCACUACAUGAUAUAUUUAUAUAUAUAUAUAAAGAUAUUUAUGUAUACGAACUCUUGAAUACGUACUAUAUAUAUCACAUUCACAAGUAUAUUACCUUAUAAUAGACCACGUUCAUUAUAUUCUGAUGAAUUAUCGGUUAUAUAUUACAUUAUUAUAACUGGAAUAAUGACAUAAUAUCAUUAUCUAAACGGCAUGAUAUAUAUAUAUAUACACACACACAUAUUGAUUAUACAAAGAUUAUGCAUGUUUAACAUCAUUUAACGUAUAUACAAAGGAAAAUAUUUAUUUUAUACAUUGAAACAUAAGUAAAAGAUAAAGAUUAUGUUUAACAUAAUUUAUUUAGUUUGUUUGAUAUAUUUUUUAGUGUAAUUUUUUCACAAAAUUUAAGAAUUACUAAUUUUUUUUAUUAUUAUACUGGUUAGCGACUUCAUGUGAUCAGUGUAAUUUUAAAAAAUUAUAUAUAUAUUAGAUUAUAUAUAUAAUUACUUUUAAUGAAAAUAAUAUAUAUAUUUCAUUACAUGUAUAUAAUUAUUGGUUACUAAAAAUUAUUUAAUUUUUAUUUUUUUUUAGUUUUUGGUCAUUUUUUUAAAAUUAUUUUUUUAUUUUAAUUAAAAAAUCGACCACAAAUGGUCGGUUUUUAUUUUUAUUUUUUUAAAUUAAAAAUCGACCACUUGUGGUUGAUUUUUAAAAAAAUAAAUUUAAAAAGAAUUUUUAAAAAUCGAACACAAAUGAUCGAUUAUUAAAAAUAUUUUUCAAUUAUGUUUUUAUUUGUAAAAUAAAUAAUAAUUAACAUAAAAAUUAUUGAAUUAUUAUUUUUAUUUUUUAAAUUAUAAAAGCGACCACAUAUGGUCACUUUAAAAAAAAAAAAAAUUUAAAACCAACCACUUAUGAUCGGCUUUUUCAGUUUUUUUUUUUUUUUUUUUUUUUAAGUGAAACAUGUUCCAUUUCAGGCAGAAGGCCGAGUGCAAUUCUUCCUAUGAGAAGAAGUGACUGCAAAAUUAGCCCAAAAUGAUCCAUGCCACUUGAGAAUUCGUCCAUCGGCAACUCCUACGUAUGGGCCUUGGCCUUUUGGAUCGUAAGCAACGCUCUACGGUCCAAUUGCACCUUUUAGAUGGAUGAUUUCGGAUUUUGGGAAGACAUUUUGGGAUUUCAACAUAUUUUUCGAAUUAUCAAACGCUAAAUUAACUGAGACCAUUAGUAUAAUGAUGAUCAACAAUAAUAGAUUUGAAGCAUUCAUGGAUGGGAGAUUUUCUUUAUUUUUUAAUUUUUUUAUGAUGAGAUUGUACGUCCAAUAUUUUUCUUCUUCUAUAGGACAUGCAUUUGAAUUUGGAUUGUAGGGAUUAACUUUUAAUUGUGAUAUAUCAUACCUAAAGAGAGUAGAUAUUAGUAAUUGUCCUUCUGAAGCAAGUGGCCGUAUUUAAUACUCCCUCCUUUUCGAAAUAAGUGAAUUGUUGGAGUAUUUAUUAGUGUUUCAAAAUAAGUGAAUCAUUGAAUUUUUUUCUAAAGUUACCAUUAUGAUUUGACAAUCAAUUACUUUUUGAAAAGGUAUUAAAGGUCAACUUUUGCUUUUUCGAGGGUAAAAAUAAAAAGUUGUGUUAAAUUUAUGUCUUUAUUGCUUUUUUCUUCUUAAGCUGUGCGUCAAAAUUCAAUAAUUCAUUUAUUAUGAAACGGAGAAAGUAAUAGUCUAUAUCGAUGAAAAAAUGCAUGCAUGCAAAAGAUAAAACAUGUAGGGUACUACAUCCAUAGUUGGGUAGUAGUACCAGUUACAUACAAUUAGGAGUUAGCUUUCAGUUAUCCAUGUAGAUUUUUUUUUUAACUUCGAUUCAAAUUUUCGUUAGCAUGCACUGACCACCAAACCAAAUUUAAUUUUUGACUCAGCCUUAAAAAGUCAUCUGAAACAUAACGCAAAUAAAAAAGAAACAGAGAAAGCAGAAAAGUGAAACAGAAAACACAUUAUAAAUACCAAGUGUUUUGACUCAACUUUGAAGAAUCAUCAGCAACAUGACACAAAUUGAGCCUUCAAUAUUAAUUGUGACCACAAGGAUAUAUGAUCAGAGCCUUCCAACUCAGCAUAUUCAAGAGGCUUCUCCACACACACGUGAGAAGCACACCAUCAGCAUAGUAAAAGAAUAAGUUUGUUGGGCACUUACAUACACAAGACAAUAGAAAAUUAGGAUGAAAUUUAAAUAUUAUUCUUUUCUUUUAUUCGUUUGUACUUGUAUAAAUGCAUCAACACUGCAUGUACAGAGAAGGACAAUGAGAAAAUUUCUCAUAACUUGUCCUUGAUGAUUUCUACGAUCUAUUAAAUAAUGGAGUAACAUUCCACAUGUCAUAUAUUGGCAACUCUUUACAGAAAAGGAAAUUAUAGCACACAUUGGCAGUUGGCUUCGGACCCCCCAAUAAUUAACUUUUCAUAUUGUUAGGUGAAAAAAAUAAAGCUCUCUUAUUGGUAGGACAAUUGGUGCGAUGUAGUGUGGACAAAUAUGCGAAGACACCAAUUCGCCCCAUGUAAUUUUUAUUUUAUUUUUAAGACGCCCGCCUAAUAUUUAUAAUAAUAUUUAAAUUGAGUUUGGUAUAAAAAAUAAAGUUCAUAAAAUUAUUUUUCAUUUUGUCAUAAUGUCAUUAUAUACUAAAUACUAAUUUAAUAGGUUAGGACCUGAAAUUGAAAAAAAAAAAAAGAAUAGUUGAGAUGGUAAGGUGGUUGAGGAGGUUGUUCUAACUUUUAUGGCACCUGCUAAUGCGAUUAAUAAAGCAGAAUUAUGUAAAUGUCAAUAAUUUCAACAAGAUUCAAUAAAUUCAAGAAGAAUGAUGAGCGACUAAGUGUUGUUAGACAGAUUUGAAGAAGAGGAGGAGAAGAGAAGAUAAAAAGUACUUCUGAAUAUUUUAAAAGGACAACUUAUUUUUUUUUUGUUUAUACAUUUUAUAAAAGAAAGUUUGAUGAUGGUAACUCAAUUUUCUUUUUGACCUUUAUAAUUUUGCAUUAUUUAAACCCUCAUAUUCAAUAUCAAUACGUGUAUUAUUUUCUCCAAAGAGAAUAACCUAUUUUCUUUUUUAGUUCGCGUAAAAAAUAGCGUCUAAUUUCUUUUUUUUGAAAACACUUUAAUUUCAACUUUUCACGCGACAUAUUUAAUACCACAAGAUUAAAAAAUAUUUUGAUAUAUUUGUCAUAAUUUUAAUUUAACACCACGGAAUGCAAAAGUCUUCUUUAUUUUCUUAAAAUUCGUGUCAAAUCUGUACAUACAUAGUACAGUGUGUGUACUAUGUAUUUAUAUAUAUACGAAUUGUAUUAAAUUAAUUGAAUGUUGUUAUAAAUAUUAUAGAAUUUAUUAAAAUUUUAAUUUGUUAAAAAAUAAUUUUAAUUUAUUAACUUAUUUUUGUAAUUUGUUAAUUUAUUAAUUGUAAUAUGUUAAAGUUUAAUUUCAAAAAUAUUUUUUUCAAAUAUUAAAAAAAUCGACCACAAGUGGUCGGUUUUCAUAAUAUUUGAAUUUAUUUAUUUUUGAAUAACCGGACCCGACCCGACUCGACCUGUAAUACAUAAUAGUAACACAAAAACACACCAAAAAUCUCCCAUUUUACCCUUCCAAAACAGUAACAACACUCCAAAACCCUCCAAAUCUCACACUUUUACAUUAAACCCUCCAAUCUCCAUUGUUCUUUCUCUUUCAAAGAAGUUUCUACUCAACUUCUUGGAUUCUUUUUGAUUUUAAUCAAAUUUUUAAGGAACUAUUUCAUCCUAACUUUCAAUUUUGGGCAAAGUAACAAUUAACUACAACUCAUUAACUAAAUUUAGUUUAUUUUAGUAUCCACAAACUCAUUUUUUAAUAUCUAGAAAUGUUAAAGGUCUACAUACAAAUAUUUUAGUGUUAGUUUCGUCAAUUGAUUGUGGUUUGAGUUCUAGGGUUUGGAUAUUUGUUUUAUUUAGCUAAACUUUGGCUAAUUUUUGGAAUUUGAGAUUGAAUUAGCUAAUUUUAGAAUUGUUCCUACGUUAAUUUGAUUUUGAAUUAGCUAAAUUUUGGUUAGUCUUGACACUUAUUUCUUCACUUUACUCAUUAAUUGUUUAAUUUGUUUGAGAAAAAAUCUUAUUUCUAUUCCUUUACUAAAUUGUUGUAAUAAUUUAAGCAAAAGAUUAUUCUUUGUAACAAUUUUACUAUGUGACAGAUUUCGAAUCGGUAUAAGGAUUGCUUUGCUAUUUUUUUCGAUGACCGCUUAUCUCUUUCACUUUAAUUUAGGUCAAGCAAAGGUAAGUUGUUAUCUUCUUGUUAUUGUUCAUAUUGAAGUCUAGUGAAGCCCUGUGUGGCCUUGUUCGAUUCACUAGCAUUGUUGUUAUCUUCUUGUUAUUGUUCAUAUUGAAGUCUAGUGAAGCCGUAUGUGGCCUUGUUCGACUCACUAGCAUUGUUGUUGACAUCUUAUUGGUCUUGUUGUUGCUUGUUUUAAAUGUGGUUUGAUUUUGAUACUUAGUCACUUGAAAAUGGUUAAGUAUGGUUAAAUGUAGGGAAUUUUUUGUUUUGAAUGUGGUUUGGUUGGUGACUUAGUUACUUGAAAAUGGUUGAAUGUAGAGACUUUAAAGGAGAUUUUUUAUUUUGAAUGUGGUUUUGUUUUGAUACUUAGUCACUUGAAAAUGGCUAAGUGUAGGGACUUUAAAGGAGAUUUUUUAUUUUGAAUGUGGUUUGGUUGGUGACUUAGUCACUUGAAAAUGGUUAAGUGUAGGGACUUUAAAAGGGAUAUUUUAUUUUGAAUGUGGUUUUGGUUUGAUAGUCGCUUGAAAAUGGUUAAGUGUAGUGACUUUAAAGGGCAUUUUUGUUUUGAAUCUGGUUUGGUUGGUGACUUAGUUACUUAAAAAUGGUUAAGUGUAAGGACUUUAAAGGGGAUUUUUUCUUUUGAAUGUGGUUUGGUUGGUGACUUAGUUACUUGAAAAUGGUUGUGUAGGGAUUUUAAAGGGGAUUUUGUGUUUUGAAUGUGUGAUUAUAGGUGGUGAGUUGGUAGGUUGAAAAUGGUCAAGUGUAGAGACUUUAAAGGUGAUUUUUUGUUUUGAAUGUGGUUUUGUUUUAAUACUUAGUCACUUGAAAAUGGUUAAGUGUAGNNNNNNNNNNNNNNNNNNNNNNNNNNNNNNNNNNNNNNNNNNNNNNNNNNNNNNNNNNNNNNNNNNNNNNNNNNNNNNNNNNNNNNNNNNNNNNNNNNNNNNNNNNNNNNNNNNNNNNNNNNNNNNNNNNNNNNNNNNNNNNNNNNNNNNNNNNNNNNNNNNNNNNNNNNNNNNNNNNNNNNNNNNNNNNNNNNNNNNNNNNNNAAUGUGGUUUGGUUGGUGACUUAGUUACUUGAAAAUGGAUAAGUGUAUGGACUUUAAAGUGGAUUUUUUGUUUUGAAAGUGAUUAUAUUUGGUGAGUUGGUAGGUUGAAAAUGGUCAAGUGUAGAGACUUUAAAGGUGUUUUUUUGUUUUGAAAGUGGUUAUGUUUGGUUACUUGGUAGGUUGAAAAUGGUUAAGUGUAGGGACAUUAAAGGUGUUUUUUUGUUUUCUAAGUGGUUAUGUUUGGUGAGUUGGUAGGUUGAAAAUGAUUAAGUGUAGGGACUUUAAUGGUAUUUUUUUUAUUUUGAAAGUGGUUAUGUUUGGUGAGUUGGUAGGUUGAAAAUGGUUAAGUGUAGGAUCUUUAAAGGUGUUUUUAUUUUUAAUGUGGUUAUGUUUGGUGAUAAUUGAAUUUUUGUGACUUGAUCUAAUUAGUUGAAUCUGAUUGAUUGCGUAGAUAGAACCUGAUUAUAGCUGGAUAUAUUAAUGGAACAAUGAUAAUAGAAUUGGUAUUAGGGAUGAAUUUGUUGAAGGUGUCAAACGAUUUAUUGAACAUGCUAAGACACUUGAUGUUUGGACAUGUUUUCAGGCUAUUCAUUUUCCUUGUGUUAGAUAUGUUGGUAUAAAUCUUAUAAAUGAAGUAGAUGUAAAGGAACAUCUUUAUAGAAAGGGGUUUCACGAGGACUUUUUAAUAUUGCAUGAUUUUUAUGGUGAUGUUGCGGAAAAUAACUUUGUUGUUGGAGAAAGUAGUAGGUCUGCAGGGCAUAAUGAAUAUCAAGAUAUUAGGAUGACAGAAAUGGUGCACGAUGCUUUAGAGAUGCAACACGGGGGCGACCUUAGGGAAGAUGUCGAAGAUAUUCCUAAUAGCGAAGUGGGCAAAUUCUAUGAACAAUUGCAUGUUGCUAGCCAUCCUUUAUCUGACGGGUGUUCGCACUCUCAUUUGUCUAUUGUUGUUAGAUUAUUAAGUAUUAAAUCUGACUAGAAUAUUUCUGAAGGAGGAAUGGACUCAAUGAUAGACCUUAUUAAAGAGUUAGUUGACCUCGGCUUGGAUAUUCCUGAUUCUUUCUAUAAGGUAAAAAAAUUGGUGUCAAAGUUAGGUCUCUCCUCGAUUAGAAUUGAUUGUUGUGAAAAUGGUUGCAUGUUAUACUUUAAGGAAGAUGCUAACCUAGAGUCCUGUAAGUUUUAUCAGAACCCUCGAUAUAAGCGUGGUUCUUGUGGAAAUCAAAUUGCUAUUAAGUCUAUGCAUUAUUUAUCUCUAAUACCAAGGUUGAAGAGGUUGUAUGCUUUAAACAUCUCAGCUCAUCAUAUGAGAUGACACAGUGAAAAUAGAAGGCCUACUGGUGUUAUGUGUCAUUCAUCUGAUUGAGAGGCUUGGAAGCAUUUUGAUGCAACUUAUCCAGAUUUUGCAGCUGAGCCACGAAAUAUUCAUUUGGGAUUAUGUGCAGAUGGCUUCUCUCCUUUUUCAAUUGGUGUUGUUCCAUAUUCAUGUUGGCCUAUCACCCCUUAUAAUCUUCAUCCUAAAAUGUUGAUGACUAGUCCCUAUAUAUUUCUGAAUUGUGUUGUUCCUGGCCCGCAUAAUCCAAAAAGAGGAAUAGAUGUCUACUUGCAACCUUUGAUUGAUGAACUUCAAAUUUUAUGACAUGAGGGGGUUAAAACUUAGGACAUCUCACUUAAAUAGAAUUUCAAUUUGCAUGCAUAUCUAAUAUGGACUGUUAAUGAUUUUUCUGCUUAUGAAAUGUUGUCUAGGUGGAUGACAGCUGGAAAGCUGGCUUGUCCAUACUGCAUGAAAAAAAUAAAAUCUUUCACAUUGAGACAUGGCAGAAAAAAUUCAUGGUUUGAUUGUCAUCGCUGUUUCUUACCACCUAAUAAUGAAUUUAGGAGACUCAAGAAUGCAUUUAGAAGGAAUAGAAGGGAAUAUGAUGGUCCAACUCCAAGGCUGUCUGGUCAUGACAUCUGGGAGAUAGUUCAGGAUUUGCCUAAAGCCAGCGAGGAACCAUUGUACAGGCUUAAUGGAUAUGGCGUUUCGCAUAACUGGACUAAGCAAAGUAUAUUUUGGGAGUUAGAAUAUUGGCCAAAUAAUUUACUUAGAAAUAAUAUUGAUGUCAUGCAUACUGAGAAGAACUAUUUUGACAACUUGUUCAACACAGUUAUGGAUGUCACCGACAAAAUAAAGGAUAAUACUAAGGCCUGACAUGACUUACCAGAAUAUUGCAAACGCAGAGAAUUACACUUACAGGAGGGGUCCAAUGGCAAUGUUCUUAAGACCAAGUCUAGUUUUACAUUUAAGUUGGACCAAAAACAUCAAAUAUGUGAGUGGGUCCAAAGUUUGAAGAUUCUCGAUAGAUAUGCCUUAAAUUUGGGAAAGAGGGUUGAUAUGGCACAAGGAAUCUUGCAUGGAAUGAAAAGCCAUAAUUGUCAUGUUUUCAUGGAACAAUUAUUUCCAAUUGCUCUUAUUGGUUUACCUGAAAACAUAUGAAAACCAAUAACAGAGAUCAGUUUGUUCUUUAAAGACUUAUGUGCCACCACAUCAAAAGAAGAAAAUCUGGCGCGAAUGGAAAGUAAUAUUGUUGUUAUCACCAACAAACUGGAGAAGAUUUUUUCGCCAGCGUUCUUCGAUGUGAUGGAACAUCUUCCCAUUUACCUUGUGCACGAAGCUCGGCUAGGCGGUCCAGUUGAAACUAGGUGGAUAUAUUCAUUCGAACGGUAAGCAAUUACAUUAUAUUUAAAUGCAUACAUAUCUUUUUUAAAUAUAGUAAACAUCUAAUCUUAAGAUUAUGCAGGGCAAUUGGAAAAUUGAAAAGGGGUCCCCAAAAACAAACAUAGGGUGGAAGGCUCUAUAUUUGAGGCAUAUCUUGCAAGAUUAACGUCUCAAUUUUGUUCAUACUACUUUCAUUAUGAAGUUGCAGCUUGUUCAAGAAAUCGACCGAAUCAUCAUCAGGAUGAUGUGAAUGAGCCUCAUUUGCAACCGAUAUCGAUGAGCCUCAUUUGCAACCGAUAUCGAUUUGCAAUCAAUCUAGUUGUAAGGAAAAAAAUAUCAUACGUUGCAGGCUCACUCCCAUGGAGCGUAAAUCAGCAACUUUGUAUGUCUUGCUGAAUUGCCCGGAAGUUGAGCCCUUUCUGAAGUAAGGAGAUUAAAAUUUUAACAUAUCUUAUUUGUUUACUUAUUCUCUUAAAGAAACUAAUUGUGUUUCACAUGUUGGAUCUUUAUUUCAUUUAAGACUCAAUUCCACAAAAAUCAAGUGUACGCAUACUUUGAAACAUGGUUUACAUAUGAGGUUCGUAAGUGUAUUAAUAUUUCUACAAAUUUUAAACAUUUACACAUUCCUUAAUUAACAUAAUAUAUAUAUAUAUAUAUAUAUAUAUAUAUAUGUAUAGUAUCUUUAGGUACACCAAUCACCAAAUGCAGUUGCAUACGAUCAAAUCUUGAGAGAUGUUUCUUUGGGUCCAGUUAAAGCUCAUGCAAUGUUAUAUUACACAGUAAAUGGGUUCAAAUUUUCCACCGAACAACACUCUAGAACAAGGAAAACAAAUAAUAGUAGUGUUUGGGUUAAGGGUAAUGAUGAUGUUGAUUACUUUGGCAUCAUGCACGAGAUCUUAGAACUGGAGUAUUUUGGUUUCUCUAUAAAAAAAAAUUAUCCUCUUUCGAUGUAAGUGGUUUGAUCCAAGGACAAGAGGCACAAGAGUACAUAAGGAGCAUAACAUCAUUGAAGUGAAGCACAAUAGGUUGUAUCCUGUUUACGAUCUAUUUGUUCUAGCGCAAAAUGCUAAACAAGUAUAUUAUGCUCCUUAUCUGUUGCGUAGUGAUAAGUCUGAUUGGUGGACUGUAAUCAAAACAAAUCCUAUAGGACGGGUGGAAGUUGAGAAUAUGCUGAAGACUGCGUAUCAAAAUGAAAUGCAGAUUGAUCACCAGCUAGUGGACAUUGACUUAGUGGAUACUUUGAAUCACCCAAAAAAUAUAUUUUACAAAAAUUAAUAUUGUGGAAGAAGAGGCUGAGUGGGUAGGAGAUGAGGAAACUUCCGAAGAGGAUGAAUGAUUUAGUGGAGAGUCUUCAGAAGAGGUGGAUUAGUUUGUCUAGGUUGUAUUUAUUAUGUAUUGAUUAUGUCUUUUUGCUUUGUACUAUAUAUUUACCUUUAUGUUUCUUGUUUAAGAUUGAUAUGUAAUAUACUGUUUAAGAUUGUUGUCUUCACUUUUUCAUGAUUUAUAUAGUAAUAAAAAGAUUCUUUUCUAUCUCGUGUUGUUGGUGCGAUUUAAAAUGUGAAUUAGUAACUUGAAAUUAGUUACUUGUAAUGUUUUCUUACAUAUUCAUUUUGUAGGACCUAACUACUUGUUAACUUUAUAUAAUUUAGAUGUCAGACAGAGGUGACAAAGGUAAGGAAAAAGUUGUUCUUACAAAAACAAAAAGGAAAAAACAACCUCCGCCGUAUAGAUGACAGAUAGGUAUUCAUAUAUCUGAGGGUCGGUUUGCUGACGCGACAGCACAACCCUCAUAUUCUAGGUCAUCUCAGCAUUCGGUUCCUACUCUUACGCAUAUGGGGCCACUUCAUGGGUCUACACCGACUCAUUCUGCUCCUACCAUCAUGCCACCACCAUCGCCGUACUAUCGAACAACCGCUGGCCCAUCUAUAGUACUACCAUCAUCAGUACCCUCCUGUAGCAAUUACGCAGGUUCGCACAGUGGUUCUGCAGGAUCUAUUGGGUUGUCGGAUCUUCAGCUUGGAGGCACUCCAUCUGGUGCUUCAGAUCCACCCACACCAGUGCAUCCACCAUCACUUACUUUGCAGCAAGGCGACAAAGAUGAUUUUGGGAGGCGUUAUCUUACUCUAUAUGCGACAGGGUAAGAUUUCUAAAUUUAAUAAUAUUAUUCAUUUUUUUAUUACUUUAUUAUUAUGCUCUAUGAAAUUACUGUUUGAUCUUGUGUUGUAGGUUCAGGCCGAAUGCUGGAGUUGGACAAACUGCGAGAAAAUACAUUUGUCGAAACUUCAACGGCUACUGGACCAGUUGGCAAAAGGUUCCAGAAAUUGACAGGGAAAGAAUGUUUCAAGAAUUUAAUGUAAGAAUUUAACUUAUCGGCUACUUAACACUUUGUUGGAACAAAAAAUUGAAUAUUAUAUUUUUAUUUUUGUUGUAGAAAUUUUACUGGUGGGAUGAUGCGAAUGCAUGUCGUAUUUCAAAAGAUGUAGAUCCAGAUUUAACGGUCUGUUGGAUUAUGCCCGAACCAACUUGGUACGACCUGACUAGAUUAGUGAACCAUUAUGGCAACAGUAUAUUCGCUAUUGGAAUAGCGAAAAAUACCAAUUGCUAAGGGACAAAGAAAAGAAAGUCCGGGCAUCAUCCAGGGGGUGGCUCCCUACAUACUGCGGGUGCCAAAAGUAUAAUUGUUGUGGAGAAAAAAUUGGUAUGUAACUUUUAUAGUUUUAAUUGUUUGUUUCUGUUUACAUUUUUAAUUAUUUGAACAUUGAUAAUUUUUUCAUAUGCAGGAAAAAGAAAGGGUAGGAGCAUACCACAGGGUGAGCUAUUCGAGGAGACUCAUCUGAAAAAGAAAAAUAACUCGACUGAUGAAGAUGUCUGGGUUGAACCUCGUGCAAAAGUUGCCCAUGUAAGAAUCAAAUUUUGAAUUUAUGAAUCUUUUUCUCAAAGUUGAUAUUAUUCAAGUAUAAGUACUUUAAUAUUUAUUUUUUUAAUUUUAACUUUACUUUGAAUAUAGGACAAAUAUACGUAGCUCGUUAGUGAGUAUCGUAGUACUCAGCCUCCUGAAAGUCAGGGUGACCCACUACCCCAACAUGUAGAGGAGAAAUUAUGGGAUAAAGUUGUGGGUCCUGCAGUUAGAGGCCAUUACUGCGGAUGCCACAAAAAAAAAUUGGCGAGAAUAUUAGGUGUUCGUCCGGCCCUACAUACUUUAACUCUUCAGUUGAUAGAGAAACCAUUGAAAGACUAAAAAAUGCGGUUUUCAAACUCACUGAAGAGCUUGCUGAACAGAGAGAGGGCGCACAAGGAGGAGGAAACAUCAUCACAAAUCAGGAUGCUGCAGGAGCAGUUCAACUCUUUCAUUCAGACUGCAGGGAUUAUUCCUCUAUAUCCUGGUGAUGCAGUUCGGGCUGCAAAAGUCCACGCCCCCUGGAUGAUAUCAGCAUAGAUGAAGAUAUGGAAGAUGAGGACGAAUUCGAUGAAGAUGAGUUUUAGUUUUUUGAUUUUUGUAUGUGUUGUACUUUGAAUUUAGACAUUUUGUUGUAGUUUGUACACUUUUGAAACUAUUGUUGUAGUUUUUACACUUUCACUUUUGUUGGACAUUUUGUAUGUGUUGUACACUUUUGAAAGUAUUUACAUUUGGUUUGUUGUUGUAUUGCAUGUUGGACCAUUUGUUGAUUUUUAUUUUUAUUUUUAAAUUCCUAGAAAAAACGAUCACAAGUGGUCAUUUUAGAAAAAAAAAAUUGCAGAAAACCGCCCACAAGUGGUCGGUUUUUUUUUCAAUUAUUUUUUUAAAUUUUAAUAAAAUAAUAAUGAAUUUUAAAAAUAUAUAUAUAUUUUUUAAAAAACGACCACAAGUGGUCGGUUUUUAAAAAACUACCACUACUUUAUCGACCACGCACUUUGGUCGAUUUUGUGGUCGGAAAUUGGAGAAAACCAAUCACUUAUGAUCGAUUUUUGUGAUCGAUUUUCCUUUUUUUUAAGUAGUGUAUGUGGAAGACCAUUGGGCUUACGAUUCGAUAUGAAAACAGGUGACCUAUAUAUUGCUCUUGCCUAUUUAGGACUCCAAGUUGUUGGACCAAAAGGCGGAUUAGCUACCCCAUUAGUGCAAAAAUUCGAAGGUAAACCUCUAAUCUUCACAAAUGAAGUUGAUAUUGAUGACCAUGACGAUGUGAUUUGCUUCACGGAUACAAGCACAAAGUACCAACGCAGGCAAUUUCUCGCCUUUUUUUCAAGUGGAGAUGCAACUGGCAGGCUAGUGAAAUAUGUUAAAGCAACAAAAAAAGUAACAGUUGCAUUAGGAGGCCUUGCUUUUGCAAAUGGUAUAGCUUUGAGUAAAGACAGGUCCGUUGUGCUAGUGGCUGAAAAUAGUAAUUUUAGAAUUUUAAGGUAUUGGCCUAAAGGCUCCCUUGCAAGAACACAUGAUACAUUUGCUGAGUUGCCAGGAUUUCCUGACAACAUCAGAAUAAAUUCGAAAGGGGAACUUUGGGUUGCUCUGCAAGCAAUAAGUUCAGUAUUGAGUAUUUCAGAUUCAGAAUCAGGAAAGCUCCCGUUCACCACGCAGCAAAUGGACGAAGGAAAUCUGCACCCUAAGGCGAUGAAGCUAAGUGAGGAAGGGCAAGUUUUGGAGGUUCUAGAAGAUGUUGAAGGCAAGAAGUUGAGGUCUAUUAGUCAAGUUGAGGAGAAAGAUGGCAAGUUGUGGUUUGGUUCUGUUGUGUUUCCCUUCUUGAGAGUUUAUGGAUUAUAAUUAUAUCAGUUAUCUAGAGACUGCCCUACGAGUAUGUUGCGAAUGGGUCUAGACUGUUGGGUUCAAAGUGCGAAGAAAGUGUGAAUGGAAAAUGGAGAGAAAAAUGGUGGAGGGAAGGAGACACCGAUUUGAAAAGUGUACUCCCAAAAUUAGAAAGUUUACUAAGUCUCCCAUAUUGGUGGGAGAAGGAAACUUUGGAGUGUUUAUAAUAAUGAACACUUACUCAACAUAAUAAGUGAGGUAAGAAAAUAGAGAUGCCUCGUGCCAUCAUUGUUGCUCGCUUGGCUUGGCUUAGAAUUGGAAAAUGGUUGAUCAGAUCUAUCUUUUUGCACAAACUUUAUUUGAAUUCCGAAAAAUACCCACUGUUUUGUGAGGUAUACCUAUUCGGGAAACAGUGGGUAUAUAAACCUUUUCGGGAAAAAUACCCACUGUUUCAUAACGUUUUUAUUGAACAGACAUGUUAUGGCUAUAUAAACUUGUUUUCAUUCAUAGGUUUAGAUACGAAAAUUUUCAGAAUACAAAAUUCUUCCUGACUUCAAAAUUACUCUGUGUGAUCAAUAAAAACGUUCUGUGCGUUCGAAGAUAUUUUAGUUGUUUGAGGUACCGCUACAAUUGGUUUGUUUGGCCAUUUUAUCCUGGGAGAAAAAUUCCGCAACCUCGGGUACAGUGAGGAGAAUUAUUUCCUUGAGGAAAGUCCGUGAAUUCGGGCGACUUGGUCAUUUCUGUUUUCAUCCUUAUUUCUAAAAUUCAAAUACACCUAUUAGAAAGAUCAUUUUGAUCUUGUGUUGAGGGUAUUUACUGCACUUCAUUGUGUUCUUGUUUUUAAACAUAGAACUAAAGUUGAAGUUGUUGUUCUACAUAUACAGAUUCUGCGUAUCCGUAGAAGGAAAUAACAUGGACUAGUAUUGGCAAAGCAGUAUAGCACCAGAUUAAGUGGUUAUGUCUGGGAUCUGGGUUGAUAAAUAGCGAUUUGUGAGAGUAAAACAGGCUUAUUUGUCUUGUGUAUGAGCUUCGGCAAAGUCCGUGUCUCUCAUCCCCUUCUCCUUUAUUUGUUAUUGCCAUUGUUCAUGUUCUUCAUAUUGUAUAGCAAUUUUAGUGUUUGUUGCAUAGUAACUCAAGUUAAAUCCAAGUCAAGUCGACUUCAAGCUUCUAACAUGAUGAUUCAAAUAUCCCUUUGUUUUCGUUUGGUGAUUCAGUUGUAUGAGACAUAAUAAAAUUUAUCGAACUUGGAUAGUACUUACAAGCUAGUAGUAACACAUAUUUGUAGUAUAAUAUAAUAUUUUUGAUAUGAUUCUUUCAAAUGUUUGGUGAGUAUAUACCAAUAUAUUUAUUUUUUUUUCCAAAUCAAAUGAGAUUAGCAUAAAGAAGUUGAUUCCAAGUAUCAGGAACACCAGGAAGACACCAAUGUGUACAAUCCAUGCCUUUAUAUCUAGGACUUCCAUAAAUAGAAGGAUGACCAUCAACUCUAUAUUGAGACAUUUUGUUUAAUUUCAGCAAAUGAAUUGGCUUUCCUGUUUUUCCCAACACUUUUCCCAACAACAUGUCUGCUUCAUCUGGAUCUCCUAAAUAUCUUAGCCUUUUUACUGGUUUCUGCUCCCCCUUGCAUUGCAUUGUGUUGGUCUUUUUCCCCCAUUGGGUGCCACUGCAAUGCAACAUUUUUUGAGGAAAGAAAAUACAUUAGCAUACACUUCCUUCGUUGCAAUUUGUUUGACAUCAUUUGACGGGGCAUUAUAAAAUUUAAGAAAAUAGUAAAUGAGAACUUUUGAAAUUGGCAUAAUAUAUAAAUAUGCCCAUUAACUUGGCUUCAACUUUCAUUAUGCCCUCCAACUUUGAGUGUGCACAAGUAGACACUUAAACUUGUAUGACGUCAAACAAGUAGAUACAUACGUCCUGUGUGGCACCCUACGUGGGUAAUUCGUGUCCUACAUGGCAUCCUACGUGUAUUAUGCCACAUAGGAUACAUGUGUCUACUUGUUCAACUUUAUACAAGUUUAAGUGUCUACUUGUGCACCUCCAAAGUUGGAGGUCAUAUGAGUUGAGGCCAAGUUAAAGGACAUGUUUACAUAUUAUACCUUUGAAAUUUAUGAUCUAAAACAAGAGUAAAAGAAGAAAAAUCUUACUUGCUGUGGUCAGGAGAGAUACCCUGGAAGAAGACUUGAACUUUGUUGAAAUUAAUGUUGUUGGAGACCCAUUUACCCCAUGUUACCAAGGCUUUUUCAUAAGCUUUUAAACGAUCCAUAUCUUUACGUAGGACUUUCCCAUCACGAAUCAUAUCCCAUCUGCAAAAUCAGUGACUAUUUUAGUAGGAAUUUUUAUACAACAAAGUCUUCAGUAAAAAAUCAUAACUUUAGUCUAUUUUUUUUUAAUAAAUUUUACUCAGUAUAAACACUGCAUAUUUAUACACUUCUUAUACGCUAUAUAUACAUUAGCGAUAACUACAAUCUAUUACGGUUAAAUGGAUGAAAUCUCUUUUAGAUAGCUGACUAAAAAUAUUAAGAUCCCAUUUUAGUAUAAUACAAUCUAUUGAGAUAUGUACUUAUUAGGACUCGUCAUAGUAGAAAUUUGAUAUGAAUUUCUCCCAUCAACUUAGGUAUCAGAUAAUUUUAUCCAAACAUAUCUUAGAUUGUCGUGCCUCACUUGUGCACCCAACGGACUUUUUGUCUAAGAUUGAUACUAUAAAGAAUCACCUAGUAUUUUAUGUUGUUGUAUUAAUUUAAACGUCAGAUCUCUUGAUUCUCAACUCAGUUUAUUAACCACUAGGUAACAUCCUCGAGUGCUACAAAUAAUUAACAUCUCUAAACCCUACAUUUAGAAACUAUAUUCAUAAUUAAUUACAAUGAGAAUUGUAUGCAUAACUUACGGUUGUUUUUUUCCAGUAUGAAGCCACCAAUGCCAAGUAUCAAAGAUCAAAAUGUCAUAACCAGUCCAGAGCUUUGAAGAAACUGCAACUGAGUUCAACUCUAGCACUCUUUUUGAUUUCUCCCUCACUAUGUCAACCAGCAGUGCAUUUCUCACGUAACUCAAUGUCACUUGCUUUGACUAUGUAUAAACAGUAUAAUCAACCAUUAUUAUUUGAGAUAAUUAUAUAUUAUUACUAUCAGUUUGACAAUGACAAUAAUAUUGAGAAAUAUAUAAAUGUAAGAGAUUAAACAAAAGAGGAUGAUAAAUGAGUUCGGAGACGAAUUUAGAGCAAGUUAUUUAGCAGGUUCGAUCGAAUCCAUCAUUUUUGGCUCGAAUCACUUACAUAUAUAUGUUGAAAUUUUGCAAUAUUAGUCACUAAAAUAUCAAUAAAUUUUGAUAUUGAUCCCCAUUGUAUAUGGUUAAACAUAUUUGACAUUAAUGAAUUGACAUAUGAAAUUUUGGUCCCUCUACAUCUAUUUAUCCAAUUAUUAUUUGUCAACACUUAAUUAUCCAUUUUUAUGUUAAAUUUGCAUCAUUACUCCAUAUUUUAGGGGCCAAAAACAUAUUUUAUUUUAUUAAAUUAAGAUUACAAAUUCUUAACCAAAUAUCACAAAAAUCAAAAUAGAAUUUAUCAAUAGUCAAGGAAACAAAACUAUCACAAACAUGCACAGACUUUUGUGUGUGUAUAAGUUAUAAUAGUAAUCUUACCAUUUCAAUUUAAAUGUCUUAUUUUUCUUGUUUAGUGUGUUUAAAAAUAUCUUUUUACAUUUCACAAAUCUCUUAUUUUAAUAUUCUACAUGGUUUAUUUAAGAUCAAGAGAUUUAAUAAGCAUGUUAAUAUAUUAUAAACAUCUUUAAUUUAAAAACUAUAAAAUUCAAAAGUUCUGAUUAUUUUUUAAACUUCAUGUCUAAUCAAACUAACAAGACAUGCAUACACUAAAACAUAGACAUCCAAACUCUAUCAAUAAAUUGCAUUUAUUCGAAACUCAUUAACUAUAAAUUGUGAAUUCACCUCUAAAUUAAUCACUUACAGGUAUAGAAAAGGUCGACAUGAGUGGUCCAUUUCUUGUGACAGUGUAAUUAAGACGAGGGAAGGCAGAAUGAAGCAUGCAUGCCAAAGAUUGCCAUUGAUUUAAGCUCAAUGAAUCUCCCACGAACAACACCUCCUUGUUUUUAAUUCUUCUCACAAACUCCUUUCCAUCCCACCUGCGUGUAUAUCCAUAAAUUAAACCAAGGAAAUACAUUUUUACAAAAAAUAAUAGAGGAAAAGUUACAAUAUUUGAUCACGCCGUUUAUUAUUAUUAUUAUUAUUAUUAUUAUUAGUAUCAUUAUCAUUAUUAUUUUCACUUACUUGAUGACAACCUUCGGAUUGAAAGUGACGAGUGCAUAUCAUCUGAGCAACUCGUCUAUUUAGCGGUUAUCUCUUAUGGGGCAAAUGGCUAUUUGUGUUAAUUUUCUAUUUGAAAAAAAAAAAAAAAUGUUUAUCACAUGUGGUCACUUUGCCAAAAUAAUUACAAUUACUAGUUAAAGAUACGAAAGAUAUAAAUUAUUAACAUGUAAGAAAAUAUACUUUAUCCUCUACUAUGAAGCACAAAAGUCGCUAAAAUAAUAUAUAUUUUUAAAAUGUGAAAUUUGUAAUCUUAAAAACAAAACAAAUUCUUGUUAUUAAUAGAUGAAAUGGCCGCAUGAGAUGAUAUAAAAAAUAUUUAUAUUCAUGAUAUAGUAUAACUUAAACUCUAAUAAUAAAUGAUUUUCACGAGAUCACAAGUUGGUGCAAUUAAUACUCAACGUAGGCGGGAAUACAGCAGUGGAAGAUUAAAAUUCAUCAAGUAAUCACAAUUAGCAAAGGAAUCUUUCGUUUAAUCAUUUUUUUAAAAUUUCAACCACUCAUUUUCGUAGAAAAUUAACUAUUCAUAACUACCUAAAUAAGCAAAAGACAAAGUGCACGAAAACAAAUAAUCCAAUUAUCAAGCAAAACAUGUCCACCUAGAUUAACGAAUAUAUACUAAGCACGAUAUAGAUGAGACAAGUUAUCCUAUGUUCCCUAAGUUUUCUGAAUUUUCUUUUUUAAGCUAACAAUUUAAAUUAUAUUUAAAAGUCUGACUAAAAGGAGCAUGUAUAUAUAGAGAAAACAAAGUCUGACUAAAAGGAGCAUGUGUAUAUAGAGAAUAAAAUUACAUAUUCAAUUAGAGUUAUGCUGAAAGUUAAUUGAUCUUUCGUGUAAUCCAUCCGUUCACUUUUACUUGUACUGUCAUGUUUCGCUUUUAGAAGGUCAAAUUGUAUGAGAUUUGACCAAUUUUUAAGAUGUAUUUUUUAAUCGUAUUAAUAUUAGAAGAAUUGCAACUUAUAGCAUUUUCGUAUAGUUUUCGAAUAUCUGAAUUUUUUAUAUUAAAUUAAUCUCCUUCAAUUUACCUCUAAAAUUUAGUCAAAUUAACUUUACGUGUAAAGUGAAACAUAAUAAGUAAAAAUGAGUAGAUGGAGUAUUUAUCUUGAAUAAUUCUGAAAUCUUCUUCCCUCCUUUGUUUUCCCUUUCAUUUCUGAAUUUUGCUGCAAGAAAUUAAAUGAAGUUCUAUCUAUCGAUAAGUAUUUCUAGUAAUAUCUCUUCAUUUCAGUAUAAUCUGCCUUCAUUACAAUUUUGAUUAUUUUUAAACAAAGGGCAGUGUCUAAAGCUUCCACGGUGCAGAGUCUGUGAAAGAACCGAACCACAUUAUUGUACAUGGCUACAAAUGUAUGAUUUCUUCAAUCAUCUAUAUUCUUAGCUUCAACACAACCAUAUUCUUAUAAAUACACAAAUGUUUAACUUAUGUUCCUCACCAUAUGAAUUGGAUUUUAACUUUUACCAAGCCAAUUGUCAUCAAAUGAACUUUCAAUGUCAGGGUGUGAUUCAAGAAAAUUCUACCUCUUUAUCUACAUCUCUUUCUUCAUUUCAAUUUGUUUAACUGAUUUACGUGACACAAAAUUUAAUGGUAGUAAACAGAAACCGAUUUUUUGUUUGUUUGUUUUUAAAAUUAACUAAAAAGGAAUGCUUAAUAGACAAAUUGAAACGAAGAGUAAUCAAAGGAUGGACAAAUUAAUUACCUGGCUAAGUUACACUUUGUGGGUUGCCAUCUAUACUUUAGAUAAGCUCUAUCUGGACUUCUAUUCCCUACCCAAUCAAAUUGCUUCGAAUGGACAAUCUUUUGCAUUAUAGACUGGAUACUUAUAAUCAACAACCCAUUUUCCAUCAUAAAAAUCACAUUUUCCAGCCAAAUUUUUUGGUGGUUUUUUUGGUGCUACAGCAGGAGGCCUUAGCUUAUUUGCAAGAAUAUUACUAACAUUAUUGUUAAAGCAAAUAAUGGUGGUGAUUAUUAUGAACCAAUGAAAAAUCAUAGGAGAUUUCAUUUUAGGAAAACAGUGAUGGAGAUGAAUAAGAAAGCAAAAAUGGUCAGUUAUGUUGAGGGUAAUGCAGGUGGAGGAUUAAUUUAAUGGGUGAGAUUUAUGAGUAAUUAAUGAGUCAUGAUUUGUGUAAGUGAGGGAAAAAUGAAAUUAUGAGGAAAGAAGAGUGUGCUUAAUUCGUGCACCACGUUCAUUAAAUGCUAAUUAUUGGCGGUUUAAUUUGGUUUUUUAUUUAUUCCCUCCGUUCACUUUUACUUAUCACACUUUGACUUGAUACAUGCAUUAAAAAAAAAAUUAUCGAAAUUCAGAUGAAUUGAGGUGAAAACUCCGUUGAUGGAGAUAAUCUGAGCAGCGACAGGACAAAUGAGGAGAAGAGAAGCAUAAAUGGAGAAGAUAUUUUGUAAAAUCAGAAAGUGGUCUCAUUUUUUCUGUAUUGUUCUAGUUAUACAAGGAAGAAGAAAAUGACAGCUAGCUACAACUGAUGCCAGCUAAUGCUAUAUUCUCUAACUAACACAUUAGACAUUUAGUCACAAUUAACUAACUAAUCAACUAACUAAGCUGCACACAGUCUCAACUAAUUAACUGCUUGCAUAGAUAAUGUCUAAUUAAUCUCAACACCCCCUUAAGUUGGCGGUGAGGAAUGCACUGACAACUUUCCAAGUAUACAAUGAUGUUUGACUCCAAUGAGUGCCUUGGUGAGUAUAUAUAUCAGCCAAUUGUUGAGUGUUGGAGAUGUGUUGCAAAUCAAUGAGUCCAUCAUGAAGCUUAUCCUUGACAAAGUGACAAUCUACCUCGAUCUGUUUGGUCCUUUCAUGAAAUACGGGGUUCUUCGCAAUGUGGAUUGCAGCUUCUUUAUCACAGAAAACAGUGAUAGGUUUAGAGGGAGUGACAAUCAGCUCUAUGAGCUGUCUAUCAAUCUACACCAAUUCACCAACCACCUUUCUGAGUGAUCUAUAUUUAGCCUCUGCCGAUGAAAGUGAAAUGGUGGUUUGUUUCUUUGAUUUCCAGCUGAUGGUAGUGUCACCAAGGAAGACAAUAUACCCACUAAAAUAUCUCCUAGAAUCAGGACAAGCAGCCCAGUCUGAGUCACAAUGAGCUGAGACAGUGCAAUAUGGAUUUCUUGAGAGAAAAAGACCCAAGGUCAGAUCACUUUUGAUGUAUCUCAAGAUAUGCAAUACAGCUUGAUAAUGGGGUUCUCUUGGAGCAUGCAUAAACUAACUCAGGUGUUGUAUACUAUAUGCAAUAUCCAAUCUGGUGUUCGUGAGGAAAUUCAACUUCCCCACUAAUUUUUUGUAUGCAGUGGGAUCUGAUAACAACUUUUUCUGUUGAGCAUGUAGUUUCACUGUAGGAUUAGUGGUGAUGACACUUUGAUAUAAUUUAGGCAAUUAAAUUCCUUAAGUAAAUCAGCACCAAACUUCCUUUGAGAGAUAAAUGCACCAUUAUCUGUGUAGAGAAUUUCUAAUCCCAAGAAGUAGUGAAGUCUUCCUAGAUCCUUGAUCUUGAAUUGACGGUGCAAAAAUUGUUUUAACUCUUGAAUCUUACUUAGAUCAGUCCCAGUGAUAGUAAAAUCAUCAACAUAAACAGCAACGAAACACAGAGAUUUAGCAUUUGCAUCCUUCUUGUAAAAUAAAGAAUAAUCACUAGUUGAAUGAACAAAACCUUUUGAGUAGAGAGACUCAGUUAAUUUGUCAUAUCAUUGCCUACUUGUUUAUUUCAAACCAUAUAGAGACUUUUUCAGUUUGCAAACCACUCCUUUCUCUUCAACUAACAAGCUUGGUGGAAUUUCCAUAUACACUUCCUCUUUCAAGUCUCCAUGCAAGAAUGCAUUGUUGACAUCUAAUUGAGAUGGUGGCCAUCCCUUUUUGAUAGCUAAGGACAACAAAGUUCUUAUAGUUGUCAUUUUUACUACAGGUGAGAAGGUCUCAGUGUAAUCAAUACCAUGUUGUUGAGUGAACCCCUUUACUAAAAGCGUGGCCUUAAACCUUUCCACAUUUCCAUCUGCCUUAUGUUUAAUUUUAAACACCCACUUGCAUCCUGUAACACCCCGUAGUUUUCUCGACCUGAUGUCACUUCGUGGUAUGCUUGGAGGGUAGAUCUUCUGAAUUUUUUCUAAGUGUCAAGAGGACUUAGUCAUAUUUUGAGCUCCUACCCUUUGAUGAUUUUUUUUUUACCUUUCCGACCUCGAAAAGCUGAUUUUUAAGUUGUCUCAUGAUUGGGAAAGUUAUUAGUACAUCUUGGGUAAGUUUCAAAAUUUUCGAGCAUCGUUAGAGGGGUGUUUGGAUAUUGAAAACAGUGGCCCAAUGUGAAGUCGGUGUGCAGCAUCGAUGAUAGCGUCGAUGAAAUGGUGGACCAAUGCGAUCUCAACACAUCACAUCGGGUAACGCGUCGGUGCCCAGUUCGCAAAUUUAUUUUAAAUAACCAGCCUUAGGGAGGUCAGAUCAGUCUUUUUCUCUAGUCAUAACUGCGCCAUAACACAAAAUUAAGGUGUCAUUAGGGAAAAAUAUAUCAGAAAACUACUUCUCUCUCUUUAAUCAAGACCCUAGGUUUUCCACAAAGAUCAAGAAACUCAUCUUUAGAAGUCAAGAGUAUCAAGAACUUAGUCAAGAUUUGGGCCCCGCUCUUUCUCCUAAGUUAUAUAAGAUACGUGGAGUUUUCCUGAACUACAUGAGCUUGUUGAAAACAUAUUGAAUAAGAUUUAAAGUUAUAGAAAUCAUGAAAUUUUAAAAUCUUACAUUAUGAAUGCUUUAAUGUUACUAUUGUUUUGGUCUUGAGGCUUUUCCCCCAAAUUUGAUUUAAAAUCUUAUAUAUGUAUGUAUGAAAUUGAGAUUUAAGGAUUUGAAUGGAGAGUAUAAGCCUAUAAACAUCCCUCUCUUGUUGUUAAGCUACUUAUUCCUUUGUGUGUUAUGAAAUACUCGAUUUUUUUAUAAGAAAGCAUGAUAUGAAUGACUUGAUCUUUGGUUUAUGACUUGAUUAUGAUUUUGAACUUAAGAGGGGACGGUUUAUUUGAUGUUAAAUGUUAAGAGAAUUGCUAAAAGAAUUUCAUGAUUUGUCAUAAAUUUUAUGACCACCACGUGUUGUUGAAAGGUUAAAAAGAGAGAGUUUCAUGCAUGUGUUCACAUGAGUUUAAAGCAAGAGCCCUUUUGAAUUUAUUGAUUGAUAUGGUGGUCCCAAACUUCAUGCUUUGAAAGAAGAGAUUAUAAUAUGCUAUGAAUGGCCCAGAGAUGCGACUUUUAAGUCAAUGGUAUGACGAUACCAUAUAAAAAUGUAUGUCAUAACAAAGUUAUAGUUUUCAGUUUUUUAUUUUAGAGACUACAUGUUUUAAAGAGCUAAAAAUGGGCUUAAAGAGGGUUAAGUGGUUGCCCAAAGAAGUCUUGAGUUUAAGAACUCCUAGCCCAAAAUCGUGUUUUACUGAUAUGGGCUCAUUUUAUCCCCUAGAGGGAUUAUACGUUGGCCUAGUGCCCUGUGGCGUAUCAGAGAUAGAGACUCCAACCCUUGCGGAAAACUUGGGUUGGGGGCUCAGUUUUCUAGUUAAGGGCAGAUUUCAUAUAGCCCAUGGAAUUUUAGAGUUUCAGGGUAUACCACCUAGCACAAAAGUAAAAACAAGGAGUAUAUCAGGGAGUUCAGAUAAUUGUUCACAGUCCUUUAAAUAUGCCCAUGUGUUUUCUUUGCAUAUUUAUAUUUAUGAACUAUUUUCUAAACUGCUUUAUAGAAGGAGCGUCAUAGAAAUGCUAGGAUAGAAGCCACUGGAACGUACUAUUCCAAGAUAGGGCAACCAGGUAGUUGUUUGUUCAACACAGUUCAUGUAUCAUGUCUCAGUUUCAGACCCCGGAUAUACAGCCACGACUCAAUUCGUAGGUGCCCUGUACAUCAUCCCAGUUUUCCUAAGUAUCUCAGCCGAGUCAGUAUUCUUCGGGGGAUACAAUGUCUCAAGGGGGAGAUGCUCUAUAACCCCCGAGCUAUCAUGUCUUAAGCCCUCCAGUUUCUCUUCAUGUAACGAAUCCAGUUUGGAAUGAUGGGUAUUCAUAGGUUGACCCUUCAGUUCCAAUCUCAGCAGUAAGCUAUGUAUUCAGGGGCUUAUUUCAGCUCACGAUAUUCAGUCUACGUAGCACGUUUUAGUCUCAGUUAUGAUCUCAUAUUUCUAUUCAGGCAUGUUCAGUAUCUCGAGUUAGAGAGCUGUAAUUUAGAAUUCUUGAAAACCCCUCCUAUGAAAGGAGUGAAGAGGUUUGGCAAGAAGGGAAACUCAGUCCCCGAUAUAUCGGUCCUUACCGAAUUCUCAGCCAUUUUAAAAAGGUAGCUUACUAGCUUAAGUUGCCUUUAAAUCUAGUUUUAGUCCAUUUAGUAUUCCAGGUCUCCUUACUUAAGAAGUGCGUAGGUGACCCAGCAGUUGUAGUUCUUAUAGAAGGCAUAGAUGUUCAGAACAGUCUCUCUUAUGAGAAAAUUCCAAUCAAAAUCCUUGACUAUCAGAUUCGCAGACUGAGGAACAAAGAAGUCCCUUUAGUUAAAGUUCUUUGGCGGAAUCAGUCCAUUAAGGGAGCUACUUGGAAAUCAGAAGCAGACAUGCGGACCAAGUCUCCUCACCUCUUCUCCGUAAACUCAGACUCAGCCCAAGGUAAUAGCUUUCCUUAAAGUUUAUUCAGUUUCAUGUUCAAAUUUUAGUUACAAAUUGGGUAUUCAGUUUCAUGCUUAGAUUCCCAUUAUAAACUUGGUAUCAAAUACCAUUGCAUAUUUAGUCAUAUGUUCAUGUAUCAUGUUAGUCACGUAUUCAUGCAUCAGAGAUGCAUUCUCAUUAUGAGAAAAUCAGCUUAUCAAAAAUCUCAGGCAUGUAUUCAUGAGUUAGAUCAGUCAUGAAAUCAUGCAUCAGAUAUGCAUGCUCAGUAUGAAUUUUAGUAAGUCAGUAAUGUCAAUCAUGUAAUCAUGUUUCAGUUAUUUAUGUCCUAUAUGUACUUUAGUUUAUCAUUUCUCCCAUGUCAUUCAGUCUCACUCUAGGACGAAUGUUCCCAAGGGGGAUAUAUUGUAAGGUCCCGCAAAAUUCUAAGUCUAAUUUAGCCCCUUAAAGCUUAUAAGGGAUCCAACACUUAGAAAAUUUGAGCUAAGUGUUAAGGACUUAGUCUCUUUUAAAGCCUUCGGACUUUGAGGAUUUAUUUCAUGACCUUCCCGGCCUUCGUUUGUCAAUUUUUAAAAUGAUUCAUGAUGGGGCAAGUCAAUAGUACAUCUCGGGUGAGUUUUGGAAUUUUCGGAAUCUAUUUAGGGCAUGUUUGGAUUUCAAAACAGUAGCACCAUGCAAUUAGCAUGCGGUACACGCUCCAGUCCACCCCUGGGGGGUGCAAUAGAGCAUGCGAUGCACAUUCUAUUCUGGCGUACUAGAGCAUGCGACACACACUCCCUAGCACGCUCCUAAAAAUUUUAGUUUUCAACUCCGCGUCCGAAGAGGUAUUUGGGUCAUUUUUCCACCUUUAGUUAACCCUCAAAACAUGAGAUUCAACCCUCAUUAACCUAAAUAUACUCACUUUCACUAAAAUUCUCUCAAGAACAAGCCUUGGGGUUUUUAAUUGAAGAUUUAAUUCUCCAAGAUUUAACCAUCAAUCUUCUCCAAAUAAAGUAACAAGGUAUGUAAAGUGUUCAUCCAAGGACCCCUUCCAUCCUUGGAGCUCAAGAAUCCAAUUUUAAAAUCAAGAAUUGUGAUUUUUAUGAUGUAGAUUGAUUAUGAACAUGUGUCACGGCCCGAACUAGGGCCUGGCCGUGAUGGACAUCCCAAAUCAAGAAGGCUGGGGCGUCCUACUCUAUCUAGUAAUCAUGCACAACAUUCACAUAAUAAAAGACGAUGCAGAAAUAUAAUCUGAUACGGAAACAUGGUCAUACUCUGGAUUAAGUUUAACAAUAAGGAAUAAAAUCUGAAAAUCACUAAAAACAUCUGGAACAGUCUGCGAAAUCUCUACUACAUGAUCUAAAGAUAACUAUCUGAAAAGCUGAGACAAGGCCCCCAGUAGACCAAAACCAUAACUGAUAAUAAAUGUCUGAAAAUAACUAAGCCUUCUAAAAUAUAGAAGGCUCACCGACUAGACCGUGCACUUCUGUCUGAAGAAAUCUAUUGCUUAUCAGGACCCCUAGACUGUGCCUCAGAACCUGGAAGGUAAUGUUGGGGGUCAAUACAGAUGUACUGGUAUGCAGAGAAAUCCAAAAUAAAUCUUUUAAUAUAAAUAAAAUAGUUAAGAGCUAGUCAUAAAACAUCACAUACGAUAUAAAUUCCAAAACACAUGGGCAUUUUGAUAAUCAUAAAAAACCUUUUUGUCAGUGCAAUUUCUGAUCUUUGUAUUACUUCUGAGUUAGGUGGUACACCCCUACAAGUCUAAAACCCCACGGGCUAUAUGGAGUCCGCCAUUGACUCGGCGGGAAAGCCCCCAACCCAAGUGUGUUGCAAGGGUUGGAGUGUCUAAGUCUAAUACGCCACAGGGCGCUAAGCCAGUGUAAUAUAAUAUACCUGGAUCGACAAAUCACUAUUUUAGGCAAUGAGUUAUCUGAACUCGUGUCUUCUUUGGGAGACCACCUAACAUCUCUUUAUGCCCAAUUUUAUCCAUUUCUAAACAUGUAUCAUUCUGAAAUCUUCAUGAAAAUUUGGUUUCUAUAUUUGUCUGGGUCUGUUAUGGCAUUUUCUAUUUUGGUAUCGUCAUACCAAUACUUUGUAAGUCAUAUUUUCUGAGCCAUAAUGCAAUAAGCAUGAUCUUUUCAGUAAGACAUAGUUCAGACCACCCAAAUAUGCAAUUCGCAUAAGAUAUUUCAUGUUCCGAAAACAUAAAUCAAAGUUAUACAAAAGUUCUCAUCCUUUCAAUAAACAAGUGGUGAUCAUGUAAUCUUUAACAAACCAUGCAACUUUUUUCAUUAUAUAAUUAUGUUCAACAUUCAUCAACAUAAACAACCCUCUCUUUUGGAAUUAAAUUCAUAAUCCAAAUAUAACAUUAUUCAAGACAUUUCAUAACAUGCUUUUCAAGAUGCAUUCAAAUGAUUUCAUAUUAUAUCAUAAGUAAAUGAAAAUCAUCUCACAAGAGAGGAAUUUUUUUCAUGAAUCAUGCUCUUAAUUCAAUCAUCAACCUUAAAACACAUGCUUACAUAUAUAUAAAAUUUCAAAUCAAUUUAGGGAAAGGCCUAAAGGCCAAAACAAUAUCAUCAACGCUUCUAAAACAUGAAUAUAUUCAUAAAUCCAAAAUCCUUUUCUUAAAAAUAUGAUUUCUAUGCCCAUGAAAUUUUAGAAAAACUCCGCGUACCUCAAUCUCAGAAAAUAAUGGAUGAUUCGUGAAGCCUACGGCGUGGGGAUUCCAACUCUCUAAUUAUCUUCUAAAAUCCUUGGUUGAAUCUUGAGUUAUUUGGGAUUCUUGUUUGAAACCUUAGAGAGUGUUCUUGUAAAUUUCUGAAGAAAAUAUGAAUAAUGUGAGCACUUGAGAGUAUAAUCCUGUGUUUAAGCUAAUAAGGGGGUGGAAAAAUACCUAAUAUUCCCUAAAUAAGACAGAAUAAAAUAUAAUUGGGAGCCUGAUUUUAUGGGCCACCGCGAUGCGCCACAAUCAUGGUGGCUCACUGUAAAUCGACAAAUGGGAUUCUUAGGGUCACCGCGACGUGGAGCCAUCGCGUUGUCCCACUGAUUGGGACCUGGAGCUUCAGCGCAAUGCGCCACAAUCACGCUAGGCUACUGAAAUAUGACAAUUUCUAAAUAGACUCACUCCGCGAUGCGCCAAACACCAAAAUAAUGGUGUUUUACGAUUAGGACUUAAAUUAGCAAUAACUUCUUGCCCGGGUAUUGGGUUUGGGCGAAUCAUAUAUCGAUGGAAAUCCCAUUCAAUUUUUUACAUGAUGAAAAGUCAAAAUUAGAAAAAUUAUAUAUGGUUUAUACUUUACUCAUUUUGGAAGCCUAAAAUGAGACUAAGUCUCUUUGACACUAUUCUAGUCAUUUAACUCUAAGAGCAUAUUACCACGAACUAACGAAUGGAUGAUUUUUUUUUGCGGGGUGUUACACCAUGUUUAUGUUAUUGUAUGAUUUUCAAGUUGGAAUAUUUAAUGUGUUUUCAUGAAACUAUGAUAGCAUGUGAAUCGAAAUCUAUGAAAUUGAGUUGAAUUAUGUAAUAAUGAUGUAUUGGUUUAAUGUUCAUGCCUAAGCCAAAUAUUAUGCAUCCUAUGUGUUUGAUAAAAUGCCUAUGAGAAUAAGAAUUAUGCAUUAUGGUUCAAUAGGACCUAAAUGAUGAAUCCAUGCUUUACCCUUAUGUUCAAAAUGACUCCCAUGCUAAAUCUAUGUCUUGUAGUUGUUUGAUGGAAUACUCAUGAGACUAGAAAUGUGAAAUAAUGACAUGUUUGAAUGCACUCCUAUCCAUGUACAAGUUUAUGAAUAUCAAGUGUUUCAUUAAAUCCCUAAAUGGUUGUAUUAUGAAUUGUUGACCAUGGUCAUGUGUUCAAGAAGUAUCAUGUUUUAUUUAUUUUCAUGCUAUCGAGUCUUGGGGGUAUUUAAUACCCAAUAAUUUAGUUGUGUGCCUUGAUCCAAUGUCAUUUUUCAAGAUACCCUCAGUCAAUCUAUGAUUAGUAGAAUUCAGUCAGUUAUAGAACUCAGGAAAACUCAGUAAUCUCAGUAUCAGUCUAGUCCCAUUCAAUAUUCAAUUAACUCCUCAGUAAACUCAGUCAGGUAACAGAACUCAGUAUUCCAUCAGUCGAUGGAACUCAGUAAGCUCAGUUCAGUUUAGUUAAAUAGUAUGAUUAGUAAUAGCUAAGUCAAGCCUAAUAUGAACUAGGAAAUCAGUCCAGUGUCUACUCAGUUGGGAGUAGGAUUCAGCACCGAGUGAAUCCAAGAAUGAAGACUCACCUACUAGCAGAGGGUGUGAUCCAGAACUACGUAGCCAGUGUAGGUUAAGAUAUACCCCUACGAGUGUAGGGUUAAUAUAGCUGAUUCGAGUUCUCCUACCAAUAAGGGGUUGACAGAGAAGUUCCCUAUCUGUAGAGGGUUAACUCAUAGCUUGUAUUUACCCGUGGCAUGGUAUUGAUACCCUUCCAACUGGAGUUACAGGUUGGACCCCACCAGUUUAGUUUCGGCGCAUGUCAGUUAGAUGAUUACAUCCCACAGUUUCAGUUUUAGAUACAGUCUUAAUAAUAAAACUUAGUUCAGUUUUACAGAUUCAGGACUGUUAGAUACAGUUACUUAGCUCAGUAAAAAACUCAGAUAGUACUUUAGAAUCAAGACUGUCAGAUAUAGUCAUCCAGUACAGUAUAGAACUCAGAUAGUUUUAUAAUUUUAGGACUAUCAGAAACAGUCACUCAGUUACCGGUUAUCAAUAAUAUUGUACCAGUAAACUUAGAUAUCAGUUAUCAGUAAACUCAGAUAUCAACAUCAGUAGACUCAGUUAUUCAGUAUCCCAGUACUAGUAAACUCAGAUGUCAGUACUUUAGUAUUCAGAACUCAAUAUUCAGUGUUAUCACGACCCCAGUUCCAAUUUACGUAUUAAUGAAUGUACUCUCAUUCAGUCAUACUCAUGUUAUUCAGUUAUUAUUGUUCAUGCAUAUGAACCCAUGCAUUCAGCCUACCUCACUUUGCAUACCAGUACAUUCUCACGUACUUAUGCAUAUUUUUCUCUUCUUCUAUGGUGUUUUAUACCAUAGGUUCAGAUUCUCAAGUUCCCGAUCACACUUAGCAGUUUAGAUUUCAGCAGACAGAGUCAGUGGUGAGUCCUCAUAGUUUGAGGACAUGAUUAUUUUUUUAUUUUAUUAUUUCAGGAGUUAGUUAUUUCAGCAGUCGAAGUUAGUUGGGGAAUUGUCCCAUCAUCUCCACAGUUUAGACAGUUUAGACAGUUUAGAGGCUUUUCAGACUAGAGUAUUUUAGAUAGUUGUUUUUAGUUUUGGUAUUAUUAUACCUUGAUCAGACAUUGCUUAUUUCAAUUUUAAACCUUAUGGAAAGUUUUCUGCCAGAUUUGCACAUUUAUUUUAGUUAUAUUGUUAUUACAGUAUUACUAUAAUACAAUCCUCAUAGCAGGUAUCAGUCAUGGGUUAGCUAGUGGUCCUUCGGGAUUGGUAGCACCGUGUAGCAUUCGGGGUACCAGACUCAAGGCGUUACACAGGCCAAGAGGGCCAUACCAGUAGACCAGAACCAUAGUCAGUACCAAGAUGAACCAUAGUCAGUACCAAGAUGGUAACUAGGGUAACAGAUGGCCAAAAAAAAUGUCUUGGAGUAAUGCCCAGCCUGUGGCCAGCGCCCAGCGCCCCAGCGCCCAGACCUCCAGCAGAUCGGCGAUUCUAGAAUUUUUAACCUAGCUACGGAUCGAGAGUACAGGGUACACAAUUACAAGAGAGUGUGGCACAACCUGAUAGGUCUUAUCCUUGCUAUAACACGUGUGGGAGGCACCACCUAGAGAGGUUCUAGAUUGGUAUAAUGGUAUAAUAUUCUUAUGGCUAACCAGGUCAUAUCCAGAGAGAGUGCCCGACAACGAGAGGUAAUAUCGGGGGAACUAACUCGCAAGCUAAUUCCUCCGUGCAACCACCACCUCCAAAAAGAGCUACUUCAGCUACCGGGAGCGAUCGCAACUGGUUGUAUGAUUUGUCCAACCGUCAGGAUGUACAGGCUUCCCCAGAUGUAGUCAUAAGUAUGUUACAAAUAUUCUUCCAUAAUGUAUAUGUGCUACUUUAUCCCAGGUCUACCUUGUCUUAUGUGACCCCAUAUGUAGCAGUUGAUUUUGGGUUUGAGCUCGAAGUUAUUGCAGAACCUUUCUCUGUUUCCACUCUUGUAGGUGAUUCUAUUGUGGCUAGGAGGGUAUAUAGAAAUUGUGUUAUGUCUGUUUGUAGUCAUGAUACCGUGGUAGACCUUAUAGAGCUUGACAUGAUUGAUUUUAAUGCUAUUUUAGGAAUGGACUGGCUCCAUUCAUGUUAUGCCACUCUUAAUUGUAGAACCCGAAACGUUACUUUCUUUUUUUUGAAUAAACUUGUGAUAGAGUGGGAGAGGUAUUCUUUAGCACCUAAAGGUAAAUUCAUAUCUUACUCUAGAGCCCGUAAUCUUAUUUCUAAGGUUUAUUUGUAUCAUCUUAUUUGGGUUAAAGAUUUGAAUACUGAAAGUCCUUCUCUUUAGUUUGUCCCCGUGGUUAGUGAAUUUUUAGAAGUCUUUCCCGAUUAUCUCCUAGGUAUACCACCUGAUAGGGAGAUAGAUUUUGGUAUUGAUUUAUUUCCGAACACCCAUCCUAUUUCUAUUUCACCAUAUAGAAUGGCUUUUGCUGAAUUGAAAGAGUUGAAAGAGCAACUAGCAGAUCUUCCUGAUAAAGGCUUAAUCCAUCCUAGUGUUUCUCCUAGGGGUGCACCUAUACUUUUUGUACAUAAAAAAAGAUGGUUCCCUUUGUAUGUGUACAGACUACCGCUAGCUGAAUAAGGUCACUAUCAAGAAUAAAUAUCCACUUCCUAGAAUUGAUGAUAUCUUUGACCAACUUCAAGGUGCUAAGUGUUUUUCAAAGAUAGACCUUCAUUUAGGGUAUCAUCAGUUGAUGAUUAGGGAGGCUAAUAUUCCCAAAAUAGCUUUUCGAACCCGAUACAGUCAUUAUGAAUUCUUAGUCAUAUCCUUUGGAUUGACUAAUGCUCCUCCAGCUUUCAUGGACCUAAUGAAUAGGAUGUUUCGCCAGUUUCUAGAUUUAUUUAUCAUAGUUUUCAUUGAUGACAUUUUGGUUUAAUCUAAGAAUAAGGAGGAUCAAGUCAGUCACCUCUGAAUUAUUCUUCAGACCCUCAAAGAUCAUAGAUUGUAUGUAAAAUUUUCCAAGUAUGAAUUCCGGCUUAAUGCUAUUGCUUUCUUAGGACUUAUUAUGUCUAGUGGGGGAGUAAAGGUUGUUCCCCACAAGAUUGAGGUAGUAAAGAAAUGGCCCAGACCCACGACUCCAAUUGAUAUUCGAAACUUCUUGGGUUUGGCAGGGUAUUACAGAAGGUUCAUAGAAAGUUUUUCUUCCAUAGCUGCUCUUCUUACCAGGUUGACACAGAAAAAGGUAAAGUUUGUGUGGUCUGAAUCUUGUGAGAAUAGCUUUAAAAAAAUGAAGGACAAGUUGACUAUUGCACCUGUUUUGACCCUUCCUGAAGGUACAGAGGGUUUUGUGGUGUAUUUUGAUACAUCUCGGGUAGGACUUGGGUGUGUACUUAUGCAGUAUGGUAAGGUGGUAGCUUAUGCAUCUAGGCAGUUGAAGGUGCACGAGCUAAACUACCCCACCUAUAAAUUGGAGCUAGCAGUUGUGGUAUUUUCUCUUAAGAUAUGGCGGCACUAUCUUUAUAGGGUACAAGUUGAUAUUUUCACUGACCAUAAAAGUUUACAGUAUUUUUUAUCGCAGAAAGAAUUAAAUAUCAGGCAAAGGGGUUGGUUCAAACUUUUGAAGUAUUAUGACAUGAGCCUGCACUAUCAUCCAGACAAGGCGAAUAUGGUGUAUGAAGCCCUCAGUAGACUAUCUAUGGGCAUUCCUUCACAUGUUAAGGAAUUAAAAAGGGAGAUGGUGAAAGAUAUUCACCGGCUAACUAAUCUAAGGGUGCGACUUCUGGAUUUCGAAGAUGGAGGACUAGUUAUGCAUGAGAUAGCAAGAUCCUUCUUAUGUGCUGAAGUGAAGGAGAAGCAGGUCGAGGACCCUAUUUUGAUGCAAAUCAAGAAAGAUGUGGGUCAGCAGAAAGUGAUGACUUUUGAAAUUAGCGAUGAUGGGAUUUUGAGAUAUCAAAGUAGGUUAUGUAUGCCAGAUAUGGAUGGUUUGCGGAAAAGAAUUCUUAAUGAAGCUCACACUUCGAAGUAUGUUAUUCACCCAGGCUCUACUAAAAUGUACCAUGAUCUUAAAACUAUAUAUGGGUGGAAUAAUUUGAAGCAUGAUAUGGCUGAUUUUGUUUCCAAGUGUUUGAAUUGCCAACAAGUUAAAGUGGAACAUCCGAGGCCAGGUGGUACUUCCCAAGAGAUAGCUUUGCCUAUGUCAUGCAUAUGAACCCAUGCAUUCAGCCUACCUCACUUUGCAUACCAGUACAUUCUCACGUACUUAUGCAUAUUUUUCUCUUCUUCUAUGGUGUUUUAUACCAUAGGUUCAGAUUCUCAAGUUCCCGAUCACACUUAGCAGUUUAGAUUUCAGCAGACAGAGUCAGUGGUGAGUCAUCAUAGUUUGAGGACAUGAUUAUUUUUUUAUUUUAUUAUUUCAGGAGUUAGUUAUUUCAGCAGUCGAAGUUAGUUGGGGAAUUGUCCCAUCAUCUCCACAGUUUAGACAGUUUAGACAGUUUAGAGGCUUUUCAGACUAGAGUAUUUUAGAUAGUUGUUUUUAGUUUUGGUAUUAUUAUACCUUGAUCAGACAUUGCUUAUUUCAAUUUUAAACCUUAUGGAAAGUUUUCUGCCAGAUUUGCACAUUUAUUUUAGUUAUAUUGUUAUUACAGUAUUACUAUAAUACAAUCCUCAUAGCAGGUAUCAGUCAUGGGUUAGCUAGUGGUCCUUCGGGAUUGGUAGCACCGUGUAGCAUUCGGGGUACCAGACUCAAGGCGUUACACAGGCCAAGAGGGCCAUACCAGUAGACCAGAACCAUAGUCAGUACCAAGAUGAACCAUAGUCAGUACCAAGAUGGUAACUAGGGUAACAGAUGGCCAAAAAAAAUGUCUUGGAGUAAUGCCCAGCCUGUGGCCAGCGCCCAGCGCCCCAGCGCCCAGACCUCCAGCAGAUCGGCGAUUCUAGAAUUUUUAACCUAGCUACGGAUCGAGAGUACAGGGUACACAAUUACAAGAGAGUGUGGCACAACCUGAUAGGUCUUAUCCUUGCUAUAACACGUGUGGGAGGCACCACCUAGAGAGGUUCUAGAUUGGUAUAAUGGUAUAAUAUUCUUAUGGCUAACCAGGUCAUAUCCAGAGAGAGUGCCCGACAACGAGAGGUAAUAUCGGGGGAACUAACUCGCAAGCUAAUUCCUCCGUGCAACCACCACCUCCAAAAAGAGCUACUUCAGCUACCGGGAGCGAUCGCAACUGGUUGUAUGAUUUGUCCAACCGUCAGGAUGUACAGGCUUCCCCAGAUGUAGUCAUAAGUAUGUUACAAAUAUUCUUCCAUAAUGUAUAUGUGCUACUUUAUCCCAGGUCUACCUUGUCUUAUGUGACCCCAUAUGUAGCAGUUGAUUUUGGGUUUGAGCUCGAAGUUAUUGCAGAACCUUUCUCUGUUUCCACUCUUGUAGGUGAUUCUAUUGUGGCUAGGAGGGUAUAUAGAAAUUGUGUUAUGUCUGUUUGUAGUCAUGAUACCGUGGUAGACCUUAUAGAGCUUGACAUGAUUGAUUUUAAUGCUAUUUUAGGAAUGGACUGGCUCCAUUCAUGUUAUGCCACUCUUAAUUGUAGAACCCGAAACGUUACUUUCUUUUUUUUGAAUAAACUUGUGAUAGAGUGGGAGAGGUAUUCUUUAGCACCUAAAGGUAAAUUCAUAUCUUACUCUAGAGCCCGUAAUCUUAUUUCUAAGGUUUAUUUGUAUCAUCUUAUUUGGGUUAAAGAUUUGAAUACUGAAAGUCCUUCUCUUUAGUUUGUCCCCGUGGUUAGUGAAUUUUUAGAAGUCUUUCCCGAUUAUCUCCUAGGUAUACCACCUGAUAGGGAGAUAGAUUUUGGUAUUGAUUUAUUUCCGAACACCCAUCCUAUUUCUAUUUCACCAUAUAGAAUGGCUUUUGCUGAAUUGAAAGAGUUGAAAGAGCAACUAGCAGAUCUUCCUGAUAAAGGCUUAAUCCAUCCUAGUGUUUCUCCUAGGGGUGCACCUAUACUUUUUGUACAUAAAAAAAGAUGGUUCCCUUUGUAUGUGUACAGACUACCGCUAGCUGAAUAAGGUCACUAUCAAGAAUAAAUAUCCACUUCCUAGAAUUGAUGAUAUCUUUGACCAACUUCAAGGUGCUAAGUGUUUUUCAAAGAUAGACCUUCAUUUAGGGUAUCAUCAGUUGAUGAUUAGGGAGGCUAAUAUUCCCAAAAUAGCUUUUCGAACCCGAUACAGUCAUUAUGAAUUCUUAGUCAUAUCCUUUGGAUUGACUAAUGCUCCUCCAGCUUUCAUGGACCUAAUGAAUAGGAUGUUUCGCCAGUUUCUAGAUUUAUUUAUCAUAGUUUUCAUUGAUGACAUUUUGGUUUAAUCUAAGAAUAAGGAGGAUCAAGUCAGUCACCUCUGAAUUAUUCUUCAGACCCUCAAAGAUCAUAGAUUGUAUGUAAAAUUUUCCAAGUAUGAAUUCCGGCUUAAUGCUAUUGCUUUCUUAGGACUUAUUAUGUCUAGUGGGGGAGUAAAGGUUGUUCCCCACAAGAUUGAGGUAGUAAAGAAAUGGCCCAGACCCACGACUCCAAUUGAUAUUCGAAACUUCUUGGGUUUGGCAGGGUAUUACAGAAGGUUCAUAGAAAGUUUUUCUUCCAUAGCUGCUCUUCUUACCAGGUUGACACAGAAAAAGGUAAAGUUUGUGUGGUCUGAAUCUUGUGAGAAUAGCUUUAAAAAAAUGAAGGACAAGUUGACUAUUGCACCUGUUUUGACCCUUCCUGAAGGUACAGAGGGUUUUGUGGUGUAUUUUGAUACAUCUCGGGUAGGACUUGGGUGUGUACUUAUGCAGUAUGGUAAGGUGGUAGCUUAUGCAUCUAGGCAGUUGAAGGUGCACGAGCUAAACUACCCCACCUAUAAAUUGGAGCUAGCAGUUGUGGUAUUUUCUCUUAAGAUAUGGCGGCACUAUCUUUAUAGGGUACAAGUUGAUAUUUUCACUGACCAUAAAAGUUUACAGUAUUUUUUAUCGCAGAAAGAAUUAAAUAUCAGGCAAAGGGGUUGGUUCAAACUUUUGAAGUAUUAUGACAUGAGCCUGCACUAUCAUCCAGACAAGGCGAAUAUGGUGUAUGAAGCCCUCAGUAGACUAUCUAUGGGCAUUCCUUCACAUGUUAAGGAAUUAAAAAGGGAGAUGGUGAAAGAUAUUCACCGGCUAACUAAUCUAAGGGUGCGACUUCUGGAUUUCGAAGAUGGAGGACUAGUUAUGCAUGAGAUAGCAAGAUCCUUCUUAUGUGCUGAAGUGAAGGAGAAGCAGGUCGAGGACCCUAUUUUGAUGCAAAUCAAGAAAGAUGUGGGUCAGCAGAAAGUGAUGACUUUUGAAAUUAGCGAUGAUGGGAUUUUGAGAUAUCAAAGUAGGUUAUGUAUGCCAGAUAUGGAUGGUUUGCGGAAAAGAAUUCUUAAUGAAGCUCACACUUCGAAGUAUGUUAUUCACCCAGGCUCUACUAAAAUGUACCAUGAUCUUAAAACUAUAUAUGGGUGGAAUAAUUUGAAGCAUGAUAUGGCUGAUUUUGUUUCCAAGUGUUUGAAUUGCCAACAAGUUAAAGUGGAACAUCCGAGGCCAGGUGGUACUUCCCAAGAGAUAGCUUUGCCUAUGUGGAAGUGGGAGAUGAUCAAUAUGGACUUCGUAAUGGGACUUCCAAGGUAUCAAAACUAUUAUGAUUCCAUUUGGGUAAUUGUGGAUCGACUGACCAAGUCAGCUCACUUUUUACCUUUGAGGACUAACUAUUUGGGAGAUGAUUACGCCAAGAUGUACAUUGAAGAAAUAGUUUCCUUUCAUGGGGAACCUGUAUUUAUUAUAUCCGAUCGAGGUACGCAAUUCUCAUCACAAUUUUGGAGAUCUUUUCAGAUGGGUUUAGGUACCCAAGUGAACCUGAGUACUGCAUUCCACCCUUAGACUGAUGGGCAAGCAGAGUGCACCAUUUAGACCCUUGAGGAUAAGUUAAGAGCCUUUGUAAUUAACUUCAAAGGUAGUUGGGUAGAUUGAUAUAGUUCGCCUACAAUAAUAGCUACCAUACCAGUAUUAAAAUGGCUCCUUUUAAAACACUUUAUGGGAGAAGAUGUAGAUCACCAGUUGGGUGGUAUGAAGUGGGUGAGACGUGGUUGUUUAGGCAUGACCUGGUUCAUCAGGCAAUGGAAAAGGUGAAAGUCAUUAAAGAACGACUCAAGAUAGCUCAGAGUCAUCAGAAAUCCUACACCGAUAUUAUAAUGAGAGAGUUGUAAUUUGAGGUUGGUGAUUGGGUGUUUCUAAAGGUCUCCCCUAUAAAGGGAGUCAUGCAAUUUAGAAAGAAAGAAAAGUCGAUUCCUUGCUAUAUUGGACCAUAUCAGAUUGUGAAAAGGAUAGGUGGGGUCGCUUAUGAGUUAGAGUUUCCUACAAAUAUGGCUUUUGUCCAUCUCGUAUUUUAUGUGUCCAGGUUGAAGAAGUGUAUUAGAGAUUAUUCUCUAGUGUUUCCUGUAAAGGAGAUCAAGGUAAUAGACUCCUUGACAUAUAAAGAAGAACUUGUUGCUAUUCUAGAUCGUCAAGUCCAGAAGUUGAGAAGCAAGGAAAUAGCUUCGAUUAAGGUGUUGUGGAAAAAUCAAAAAGUUGAAGAAGCUACUUGGGAAUCGGAGAAUGACAUACGUGCAAGAUAUCCAAAACAUUUUUAAUUCGGUGAAUGACAAAAUAGAAGGUACAAUCCUUGCCUUAUUCUUUUUAUCUCAUAUUCACUAGGAUAAAUUGUGUUUACAUGUGUUCUGUGUAAUCAUUCGGGGAUGAAUGAUCCCAAGGGGGGGAUAAUGUAACACCCCAUAGUUUUCUCGACAUUAUGUCACUUCGUGGUAUGCUUGGAGGGUCGAUCUUCUGAAAAUAUUUUGAAGUGUCAAGAGGACUUAGUCAUAUUUUGAGCUCCUAAUCUUUGAUGAUUUUAUUUUUGACCUUUCCGACCCCGUAAAGCUGAUUUUUAAGUUGUUCCAUGAUCGAGGAAGUUAUUAGUACAUCUCGGGUAAGUUUUGGAAUUUUUUAGCAUCGUUUGAGGGGUGUUUAGAUAUUGAAAAUAGUGACCCAACGUGAAGUCGACACACUACAUCAAUGAUAGCGUCGAUGAAAUAGUGGAUCGACGUGAUCUCAAUGUAUCGUAUCAGGUAACGCGUCGGUGCUCAGUUUACAAAUUUAUUUUGAAUAACCGACCUUAGGAAGGGCAAAUUAGUCUUUUUUCCUCAUCAUAACUGUGCCAUAACAUGAAAUUAAGGUGUUAUUAGGGCAAAAUAUAUCAGAAAACUACUUCUCUCUCUUUAAUCAAGACCCUAGGUUUUCCACAAAGAUCAAGAAAUGUAUCUUUAGAAGCCAAGAGUAUCAAGAACUUAGUCAAGAUUUGGGCUCCGCUCUUUUUCCUAAGUAAUCUAAGGUACGUAGGUUUUUUCUAAACUUCAUGGGCUUAUUGAAAACACAUUGAAUAAGAUUUAAAGUUAUAAAAAUCAUGAAAUUUUAAAAGAAGUUGAGGAAAUUAUGUUUUCAAUCUUGCAUUAUGAAUGCUUUAAUGAUACUAUUGUUUUAGUCUUGAGGCCUUUCCCCCAAAUUUGAUUAGAAAUCUUAUAUAUGUAUGUAUAAAAUUAAGAUUUGAGAAUUUAAAUGGAGAGCAUAAGCCAAUAAACAUCCCUCUCUUGUUGUUAAGCUGGUUGUUCCUAUAUGUGUUAUGAAAUACUCGAUUUCUUUAUGAGGAAGCAUGAUAUGAAUGACUUGAUCUUUGGUUUAUGACUUGAUUAUGAUUUUGAACUUAAGAGGAGACAGUUUAUUUGAUGUUAAAUGUUAAGAGAAUUGCUAAAAGAAUUUCAUGAUUUGUCAUAAAUUUCAUGACCACCACAUGUUGUUGAAAGGUUAAAAAGAGAGAGUUUCAUGCAUAUGUUCACAUGAGUUUAAAGCAAGAGCCCUUUUGAAUUUAUUGAUUGAUAUGGUGGUCUCAAACUUCAUGUUUUAAAAAAAGAGAUUAUAAUAUGCUAUGAAUGGCCCAGAGAUGCGACUUGCAAGUCAAUGGUAUGACGAUACAAUAUAAAAAUGUAUGUCAUAAAAGAGAUAGAGUUUUUAGAUUUUGAUUUCAGAGAAUACAUGUUUUAAAGAGCUAAAAAUGGGCUUAAAGAGAGUUAGGUAGUUGCCUGAAGAAGGCUUGAGUUCAAGAACUCCUAGCCCAAAAUUGUGUUUUGCCGAUAUGGGUUCAUUUCAUCCCCUAGCGGGAUUAUACGCUAGCCUAUUACCCUGUGGCGUAUCAGAGACAGAGACUCCAACCCUUGCGGCAAACUCGGGUUGGGGGCUUGGCUGGCGAGUUAAGGGCAGAUUCCAUAUAGCUCAUGAAAUUUCAGAGUUGUAGGGUAUACCACCUAGCACAGAAGUAAAAAUAAAGAGUGUGUCAGGGAGUUUAGAUAAUUGUUUAGAGUCCUUUAAAUAUACCCAUGUGUUUUCUUUGCAUAUGUAUAUUUAUGAACUAUUUUCUAAACUGCUCUUACCUAUGUUGAAUAAAAAAAAAUUGGAAUUUCUCUGCAUACCUGUACAAUUGUAUUGAACCCCCUAUAUUUUAGGGUUUGAGGCUCAAUCUAGAGGUCCUGCUAAGCCGUAAAGUUUUCAGACAGAAGUAAAGAGUGCAGUUGGUAAGCCUUCUCUAUUUUGGAAGGCCUAAUGGUUUUCAGCUAGUUGUUAUUUAUAUUGUUUUGGGUCUACUGGGGCCUUGUCCCAGAUUUAGAUAGUUUACUGAUGUCGUAUGUAGUAGAGAUUUCGCAGAUUGAAAGAGAUGAUGUUCAGAUGUUGAAAACUUAUUUUCAUUCUAUUAAACAAAUUUAAGAAUAUGACCAUGAUUCAGUUUAUUUUAUUUCCACAUUUUUUUCUUUAUCAUUCUAGUAUUGUGCAUGAUUACCAGACGUAAAAGAGUGUCCGAAUCAUUAGGGUUUAGGAUGAUCACCAUGGCUAGGGUCCCGGAUCGGGUCAUGACACAUCUGAUAGCCCUUUUAUCAGCAGGUAAUGUUAGUAGAUCCCAAGUAUUAUUUGCAUAUAAUGCUUCAAACUCUUGUGUCAUGGCAGCUUGCCAAGCAGGGUUUAAAACUGCCUCUUCAUAAGAUAUAGCUCACUGUUUAGUGAUGUGUUUCUUAUUAUCUGUUGACUAUCUUGAUUAAGUGAUGUGAAUGAAGUGUUAUUGGUAACAAAGUAAAGAACUUUGGAGGAUGUGGUUGGAGAAGAAAAGGAAAUAUUAAAGGUUAAAGCGGUGUUUGGGUGUAGAGUAGGCAGAGUGUACUUGUAUUCUUAUAAGUAAGCUGGUAUGGUAUAAGUUCUAGAUAACCUCCUUGGUGCAGGUGGUUGAGAAGAAGUAGUUGAGGAUUGUGGUGUAGUGUGAUGCAAAAAUAUUAAAUCAUUUGUGGAAUUAGUUGUAGGUUGUGUAGAAUUAUGUUCUUAUGUUGGUACAAAUUGGUCUGGUGACAAAGAUGCCUCUUCACUAGUAGUCAUGGGCUCAUGAAUAGGAUGAUUAGUGACAUAAUCAGUGACUUCUCUUGUAUCUAGAUGACUUGUAUUAGUGGUGUGUGUGUCAGUAUUUGAAUUUGAAUAAGACUGCAUUAACUUUAGACAAGAAGAAAAUGUAGAGUGAUUUGAAGACAUAUCAAAAGGAAAAAUAUUUUCAUAGAAUAGGACAUCCCUAGAAACAUAUAAUCUCCUAGUGGCCAAGUCGAGAACCUUUUAACCUUUGAAUCUAAAAGGAUAUCCUACAAAAAUAUGAGGGUUGGAUCUUGGUUCAAACUUGUCUUUGUGAUUCUUGAGAGUGGUCGGAAAUCAAAGGCAUCCAAAAGCUUUCAAAUGACUAUACACUGGUGGUUUUUAGUGUAAUAUCUCAUAUGGCCAUUUGUUCUUUAAAACUGAGGAUGGUAAUCUGUUUAUUAAGUAAGUGGCUAUUAAAAUGCAUUCUCCCCAAUAUUUGAAGGGUAAUUUUGAUUGAUACAAUAGUGCUCUUGCUAUUUCAAGGAGAUGUUUAUGUUUUCUCUCCACAACACCAUUUUGUUGUGGAGUAUAGGGACAGGUUUUCUGAUGUAUUAUUCCUUUGGACUGAAAGUAUUGUUUAGUUUCAUUAUUAACAAAUUCAAGGCCAUUGUCAGUCCUAAUGACCUUUAUGGUGGUGGAAUAUUGAUUUUCAACCAGGAAAAUAAAAGUUUUAAUAACUUGAAGAGCAUUACUCUUGCAAUUCAUCAAAUGAGUCUAGGUUGAUCUACUAGAGUCAUCAACAAUGGUAAUAAAGUAUAUGUGGUUGUCAUGGGUGGUGGUGUGAUAUGGUCCCCACAUGUCAACAUGUAGUAGAUCAAAGGGUUCUGUUGUGAUUGUGGUCUUUUUAGGGAAGGAUUGUCUAGUUUAUCCUGUCAUUGGACAAAUUGAGCAGUCAAAAGGUUGUCUGGGUGAUAAUGGUGGGAGUGAGGAUAUUCUUCUCAUUUUCACAAAGGGUACAUAACCUAGCCUUAAAUGCCAGAGAAAAUCAUCACUGUUUUCUAUAGAACUGGAAAAUAAAGAUUGACUCAAGGUAGAAUGGGUUCCUUUAUUCAUAGAGGAUGAAUUAUUUACAAAAUUGGUUGUGGAUAGAGACGUAACAUGCAAAUCAAAAUUAUAGGAACCAGAACUAGAUUUAGACAAACUAAAGACAGAAUUAGACAAUGGAAACAGACUGUAGGAUGGAUUAACACCUAAACACUUAUUGUGACACUUUAAGCAAAGGUAGUAAAACUAUCUUUGGCUUUACCAAUCUCCAGAGGCCUCUUCAGUGAAGGGGCCUGUAACAUGCAACACACACUGUUGAAACUAACAUUGCUUUGAAGUUGUGAAGUUAAGCAAUUUAUAGAAAUAUGAUUAAAUUUGAAGCUAGGCGCACACAACACUUUAUACAAAUUCAUAGCUGGACUAAGAGAAGCAUCACCAAUUUUGGUCACUCUAACCUUAUAUCCAUUUGGUAGGGUCACAAGAAAGGAUAGUAAUAUUCUAGUGUUGGUCAGUAUUAAUUUUUUAAAAGUUAUGUGAUGGGAGUCCCCUGAAUCUAAAAUCCAGGAGUCAACAAAUAAUGAGUUACAAUCAUAAGUGAGUUAACCAAUCUUAGUUAUGAAAGAGUGACAAGUCAUUAUACCUGUAAAGUUCACUGCUCUAUUGGUGAUAUUGAUGUUGGUUGAGUCUUGUCCAGCUUCUAUUGGUUGAAAGUGGGUGAGAAGAUUGACUAGCUGAUUAUAUCUUUUUGGACAAGCUUUGAAUUCCUUUGUUGUUAGUUUGAUAAUUGGUCCAUUGUUUAUGAUUGUGGCUUUGUUCACUACCAUAUCUAUCUGUUCCUUUAGAGUAGCUUCCAUGAACAUGUGAAAUAGAAGUUGAGUUUUUUUCUUUCGUAAACUUCAAAUACUGUGGGAAUCCAUGCAAACGAUAACACUUAUCUUUAGUGUGGCCAGUUUUCUUGCAGUAGCCACAAAAAAUAUGAGGUUUCUAUGCUGAAAAUCCUGCUCUAUAAACAACAGGACCAUUAGAGUUACCACCAUUAAACUGAUUUCUGCCGAAAGAUGCUCCACCUUGUCUGUUGUAAUGAUUGAGGGACUGUGUAUUAUAAUGACUGUUUCCUUGCCUAUUGAACUGAUUUGAGCUUUGCUUUUCUUGAUAAUUUAUUCUAAAUGUUGUAUUUGCUACUCCAUGUACAUUCAGUGAAGUGGAUGUUAAAUCUAACUGAUUAUAAGGCUUGACCUCUCGUUGCUUCUCCUCUUGAAUGAGAAUAGAAAAAUAUUGAGCUAUGUUUGAUAACGGAUUCAUCAUCAGAAUAUUACCUCGCACUGCAGUGUAAAUUUUAUUUAGGCCCAUAAGAAACCGAAUUAACCUUUUGUCCUGCUCCACCUUGUGCAUUGUAGCCUUAGCACCACAUGUACAAUUGCAAUUGCAAGUAGCGGUGGUAUUGAGAGUGCUCAACUCCUCCCAUAACCUUUUCAUCCUUGUGUAGUAGCUUGUAAUGUCCAGAUUUCCUUGGGACAUAUCAUUAAUUUCCUUCUGCAACUGGUAUAAUUUUGCACCAUUUGUUUGGUCAUACCUGUCCUCUAGCUCCUGCCAAAGUUCUCGAGCAUCAUUGACGUAUUGUAGGUUGUCUACUAAAUCGCGUGAGAAUGAAUUUAAGAGCCAUGAGGUCACCAUGUUGUCACAUCUUUUCUACUGACCAAAAGUAAGUGAAUUUUCAGCUGGUCAUCUGGAAUUGCCAUUGAUGAAGUCGAGCUUGUUCUUGACAGAUAAUGCUCUAAGGAUCCCUCUUCUCCAGGAUCUGUAACUAGUACCAUAAAAAACAACGGGAAGCAAAGUUGAUCCUGCAUUUUCUGCAGGAUGCAGAUACAGAGGAUUGGAGGAAUCGAGUGUUCCAUGUGAUGUUUGAGAAAACUCAGAAUUCGACGUAGUUUCUGAAGCCAUGAAGAAUCAAUAGAAAUAACGAAGAUCAACAAUGCAACAAAAGAAUGAAUUGGAAUUGAGGAAUGAUGAAUUGCAAAAGUGCAAAUCGAGAAAAAAAAAUUAGCUUUGAUUUGUUGUAUGAGAAAAUGAAAAUCGAAGGAAAAGAAAAAUCAACAUUACUGUCUCUGAUACCAUGUCAAAAUUCAGAUGAAUUGAGGUGAAAACUCCAUUGAUGGAGAUAAUCUGAGUAGCGACUGGAUAACUAAGGAGAAGAGAAGCAUAAAUGGAGAAGAUAUUUUGUAAAAUCAGAAAGUGAUCUCAUUUUUUCUGUACUGUUCUAUUUAUACAAGGAAGAAGGAAAUGACAGUUGUCUACAGCUAAUGUUAUAUUCCCUAACUAACACACUAGACAAUUAAUCACAAUUAACUAACUAAUCAACUAACUAAGCUGCACACAGUCUCAACUAAUUAACUGUUUGCAUAGAUAAUAUCUAAUUAAUCUCAACAUAAUUAAUAACAUGACUAAGUAUUCCUAUUAAAUAAUGUUUACAUUAUAUCUUAAAAUUAAUAUGGAGAAAACACAAUUAAUGCUAAGAGUAAAUAGAAAUAGAAAAGUUGUCUUCUUGAUAUGUUAAAAAUGACAAGUAAAAGUAGAAUUUCAAUUAAGAAAUUAGUAACAACUAAAAGUGAUCGGAGGGACCGUCUAUUUUUAUAUUUAACGCUUUAGAAAUGCAUAUGAAAAUGAAAGUCAUACCUUUCCAUAACGUCACUUCGUUAUAAUGGCAUUUCACUAGAGCGGUCUGAUUGUCUUCGAAAUUGAUUUUUCAUGUUAUAUUUACUUCUCUAUAAUAAUAUUCUACCUACAACAAAAAAAUAUCGUUUAUUACAACGGUACACUCUCUGUAAAAUUAUCUCUCUAUAACAACAUACUCAAAUAUUAUGUAAUAAUAUUUUGUAAGAAAUAUACAUUAUGUACAAAAUAAAAUAUUAAAAUAUUUAUGGUAAUCAUCACUAAUUGCAUGCAAGAUUAAAUUUCAAGUAUGAAUAUCUAAUUUAAAGAAAAAAAUUGUAUUUAAAUGAUGCACAUAAGUUAUUUUAUAAUUUCACGAGAAAAAAAUUAUUAAUAUUUGUCUUUUAUAUUUCAUAGUUUUUCUAAUUUUGCGUACUUUUAUUUAUAACAGUUAAAUGAUAUAGUAGUUAUGAAAUUUUCAGACAAACGUUGUCCUUAUAGAGAGAUUUGGUUGUAUAAUUUUAUAAAAAGGGUAAAAUUAAGAUCACAAGAUUUAAAAAAUUCUUAUUUUUUAAAAUUUAGUAUCAAGUUAAAAUACAUUAUUCUAUUUAAAAGCGAAGGAUGUAAUAAAAAUUAAGAAUCCAUCAAGCGCUGUUCUUGGAUCGGUUUCCUGUCAGAAAAUAUGAACUGGAAUUUUCGAUUUUAUAGGACCGGUGAAGUCCCCUUAGAAGAAAGUAUGUAGUAAACAAAAAUUAAAUAAUUUUUUAAAUAAGAUUUAGACUAUUAUUGCUAGAACUCAGAGUAGUAAUGACAUCAUAUUGUGGUGGAAUGGUAAAGGUCUCGAAUUUGAGCCUGGAAUACAGAAUCGACUUUCUUAGGAAACACUUUCCACUCUAUGGUGAGAUUUCCUAACGUGAAUCGACUGCAAUGUAUCUAUCAAACACAUGAUUGGAAAGAAAAUAAAAAAAAGAAUAGUAAUGACUAAUUAGUACUUGGCAGAUGGCACUUAACAAACCCAAAUUAACUUCUUCUUUUAAAAAAAAUAAUAAAAUAAAAUUGGAGAAUGGAAGUUCAGAAUUGUAUAUUCCUUAAUCAGAAAUUACAACUAAAAAAUUAUUGGAAGAUACCUUAGAUGUGCUAAUAGAGGAAGAUCCACAUAACAAGGCAUUUUUGGUAGAUCUUGGUAUUUUUUAUUUGCUUAUAAUCUUUCUAUUGGAUGGGACAUACCAUGAUGUUUGAAGGAGAGAAAAAAAUUCAAUUCCAAAAUGUCUCAAAACAAUGGAUAUAAGGCGUUGUGAGUAUAGAUCCGUGCAGUAUUGUAGCUAACCUAGGUGAACCAAUGUGAAUUAUAUGAAUGAUUUCUUGAGAUUGUGCUGCGAAGCAAGACCAAAAUGUUUUUUAAUAUAGUGUAAUUGAAAUUUUAUUUGUAGAAGUUCGAACUUUAGGAUGGUUCUAUGGACUUCAAACUUAUAAAAGUGGAAUUUCGGAUUAAGUAUUUGAACUAACAAAGUGAAACUCCAGGAUAAUAUUCGAAACUGGUAAAUGCUACUGUCGGAUUUACUCAAAUUCCAUGUAAAACUUCCGGAGUUUGAACUGACAAAGGUUUAAACUUGAUGAAUUUUCUUGGAGUUUUACAUACUGGGAGGUUCCAAUUCCACGACAUUGUCUUGGAUUGUUAUGUUACAGAACAAAACUCCGAGGCAUUAUUCAUUUUUAACUAAACUCCAAGAUACCGUCGUGGGGUUCUAAGUUACAAAACUAGUUUUCGAGAUGGAUUUUGGGACAGUGUCACGGAGUUCAAGAAAAGCAUAAAUGAUGAGAGUAUCUACUGCUUUAUAUUUUUAAAUUUGAGGUAACAAGAGAUCUCAUUUCCUCGAUCCCAUAUGACUGAAGUUCAAAAAAAGCGCAAAUGAUGAGAGAGUCUCUAUCGCUCAUCGGUCCCCGUAUGAAAAAGAGUACUCCUUCUUCAGUCCCCUCAUGAAAAAUUACAAUUCUUGGUUAGUCUUGAAAUCGUAACUUAUUUCAAAUAGCAAUAAUAAAAGUGUCUAUUUGUGAAUUUUUCCCAAAUACGAAACAAGUUAUAAUAACUUAUACAGGUGUCUUCGAAGUUCCAACAAAACAUGCAUUUUCACUGUAUUUGUCUCUUUCCAUUGCUUGGUCAACUAAUCAAUUCUUUUUUCCUCUAAAACUAUCAACAUAACUAACCAAACAGCCUAUUUUGUGAAGAUUCGAUUACUGUGCUAAAAAAAAAUAAUUUUAACAUACAACUAAAGGUAUCUUUGCAGCUUGAAAUUGACAUUUCAUGACUUUGGAUUUAACUUACAUUACUCGUAGGGCGGUCUCCAAGUAGUCCAUAUAUUCUUAUGAAAAAUUCAUUACACUGACGCUAUGUAUGACUUAAACUUAUAAUUCAUAAACUCCCAAAACGGACGUCGCAACAGAACCAAACCACAACUUGCCAUGUUUCUCCUCAACUUCACUUAUAGUCCUCAAUGUCUUGCCUUCAACAUCUUCUAAAACCUCCAAAACUCGCCCGUCCUCACUUAGCUUCAUUGCAGUAGCAUGCGGUUGCCCUCCGCCUAACAUGUUGUCCAGUUGCUGUGCAGUGAUUGGGAGCUUCAACAGUGCCUUUCCGAGCUGCGAAUCUGAAAUACUCAAUUGUGCAAAUACUGAUCUUUUUGCAUGCAGCGCGACCCAAAAUUCCCCUCUCGAAUUUAUUCUGAUGUUGUCAGGUAACCCCGGCAACUCAACAAAUGUAUCAUGUGUUCCUGCAAGGGGGCCUUUAAG
Molecule: long non-coding RNA, 248721 nt
Filed under: Capsicum annuum
Lineage: Eukaryota; Viridiplantae; Streptophyta; Magnoliopsida; Solanales; Solanaceae
Description: long non-coding RNA (CANN_LNC012052)
Rfam family: Plant small nucleolar RNA R71 (bases 159482-159586)
Source: RNAcentral